This 235827-nucleotide long non-coding RNA is filed under the name Zea mays. RNAcentral describes it as "long non-coding RNA (ZMAY_LNC005884)". The stretch from base 26748 to 26820 matches the Rfam family "tRNA". Lineage: Eukaryota; Viridiplantae; Streptophyta; Magnoliopsida; Poales; Poaceae. The record is from RNAcentral.
AUGCAGGCACUAAACAAGUUUCUAAAGCACCACCGGAAGGCUUGCGGUUCCAAAUCAGUUCAGGCACUUCCAAAAGCUUGAGCAAAGCAUGAAAAUGGAGGACAUGGGGGCAUAAGAUUAACUGGAGCUGGGCACUGGCUGAAGGUCGUCAGGAAGGUCGCGUCGGAAGUCAUUUGAUGUGGGAAUCAUACACACUGAAGAUGACGUCUGGGACAAUCAGAGGCAGCUUGCUUAUGUACAUGAACAGCCGUCUGAGGUUCUCGCUCGACACCGUCUCCAUGUCAACCACAUCUUGGUCCUCAACAUAGAUCCACAGGUCACCAGGACAGGUCUUCUUCAGGUUGUCACGGCAGAAUGGGCAGGACUGCGAUCUUGAACUCCUGUAGGAAAACCAAUGUUAUCGUCAAAGUAUGGUAUCUGGAACAUAGACAGCAUUCAAUCUUAAUGCUGAUAUAAUACAAUGAACCCUGAAACAAGACAUUCAGAAAUUCAGUCGAAGUUAAGCUGAAUGAAAAGGUUACACUGGCAAAAAGAACACAGACAAACCACAAAUAUUAUUGGAACACCUAGUACACAAGAUCAAUAAAUCGCAGACACCCACCAUCAGGGCUUGCUAACAUACAAAGCUACUAUUAAUUAUGAUCGGCAGGGCCACAAGUUUAAUGAGCUAAAUUGUUAGCUGCAGUGAACAAAGGAGUAAUGUGCCUUCAUAGCCUAGAACCAAUUGGCCGUAAACAUAGUGCACGGUCUAUACAAGAAGAUGGAUGAUUAUGUGCGUGGAUUGGACAAAAAUGAAAAAUCAAUACUUGACUCGGCACACCAGUCAGAUUCCUCUUUGCACUGAAGGAAUGGCAGAACAUAGUUCAAAAAAUCCAGGUGGUGAAUCGCCACAUUUACCCUACUUACUGUAGUUGGCAAAAUCAGAUGAAUAUCACAAUGCCACUUUCCAACGACCACUUCAUUUUCAGAAUGAUACAGACAGUGGGAAAGCAUGUAAAUGAAUACAGAUCUGCUUCACAGAGCACUAUUUUUUUUAAAGAACCGGCAUGAGAUCUGCCUGUUGUAUUAAGGGGGUGUUUGGUUUCUAGGGACUAAUUUUUAGUCCCUCCAUUUAUCCCAUUUUAGUACCUAAAUUUCCAAAUAGAGAAACUAAAACUCUAUUUUAGUUUCCAUAUUUAGCAAUUUAUGAACUAAAAUGGAAUAAAAUGGGGAGACUAAAAAAUAGUUCCCUAGAAACCAAACAUCCUCUAAAGAGAGGAAAGACCCCAAGGGUCAAAGUACAAUGUACACAUGAAAACAACAACACAACCGCACGGCAAAAAAAACAAUGUACACCUGAAAACAGCAACACAACCGCCCACGGCAAUCAAUGAGAACAAUGUUUCACAGAGCACUAUGUCCUGUUGAUCUAAUAUCACUUCAUUUUCAAAAUGACAGACAAUGGGAAAGCAUGUAAAUGAAUACAGAUCUGUUGCACAGAGCACUAUAUUCAAUAUUCUGUUGAGCUAGUAUCACUUCAUUUUCAGAACGAUACGUUUCACAGAGCACUAUGUUCUGUUGAGCUACUGGCCAUUCAUACCAAAAGGAUUCCUUAGAAGAAGUUAACCCUGUGUGUGGAGGGGUUCCACUUCCAUUGUGUUUAUACAAGCAUAUAAGUUGCUGGAAAGAACAAGGAAGAUGAGUUUAAGCUUAUCUAUAGACACUGUUCACAGCAGCUCAUGUUUAGCAGGAUAUAUACCUUGCUAUGAUACAGAUAUGUGGAGGAAUGAUAUAGAUGAGUCAUCUAGCUAAAAAGCUUGUUAAUCGAUAAUGAUAACAUAAGUCUACGCAAGAAGUUUGCACUUGCACAGCAGUAAAUGAAGGGUGAUUGAGAUUUGAGAAUGUAACACUCAAUGCAGUCCCAGAAAACACAUGGGCAGAAACUGAAUCAUGCACAUACCAGUCCUGGUAACAUCUGAUACACAUAGCAUGGGUGCAGUUGGGCAACACAACUUUGCUGUUCAUCUCCAUGCAAAUCCCACACUCCUCUUCCCUCUCAACAUCAAUAUCAGAUAAGGUGUCCCGUCCAUCCUCAUCUUUCUUUCUGUACUUCUCCAUGCAUAUGGCCUUCUGCUUCUUGUCCUCGACAUCAGUGAUCCCCCUUUGCAGUUGCAGCAAAGAAGGAAAUAUCACAGCUGCUCAUGCCAAAUAUAUAGUAAUUCUGAUCAGCAGUGCAGCACCAAAAAAAACAUAGUUAGGCAAAGAUGUAAUAACAUCAUGCCCUCCUACCAUAGAAUUCUUUGAUGCUGGCUUUCCUCUCAUGAGUCGACAUGGUUGUUGUGCCAUCCACAUAAACCUGAACAAUGACUCAGUGAGCUACAGAUUCAGCAGGGCACAUCCACAAUGUGAGCACGGCACAACCAAACGCGCAACAGACCUUGUAUAUGAGGAUUCUCAGCAGACCAAGAGCCCCUGCGAGGCUGCAGUCCGUCCACUGCACCAGGAAGAGGAAUAUAUGAGCUGCGGGACUGUACGACAGCCGCAUCUGCAGGCACGCACCAUCAUAGUCCCGGGGAAACUCGGAGGCCCUGCUCAUCCAAAUAAACAACUAGCAUCACUUGGCAGAUCACAUGCUGAUGAAGCAACCCUCACCUAAAGACCACACUAGUGGACUCAUCUCGUACCCUUUUCUUCUUAAGCAGAAAAUUAUAUAUAAUUUAGAACGCUAAAACACAUGGGAAUCAGGGUUUGUUUAAACAUCCUAAACACAUGGGAUUCCCACAUGAUCUACUGCCGCUUCGCCACUCGUGCGUGAACGGAUAGGGCAACCACCACAACGGAUCCCGAUGGAGGGGGGCGAACCGGCGUUCGGUCGGUCAAUCUAUCACCCUCCCUGGCCGCCGCAUUGCGCAACCCCGGCAGCAGGCCGAGGAGUCGGCGACGGCGCGACGCAGCCCCGCCGAAACCCCCAAGCACCCGCUCGAUCACGGAGGCAGACGGAGAAACGAGAAGGACAUGGGCCCGUGCUAGUGAACUGGAGCAGAAUCGACAGGGGAUGUGAGGCGGCGCUGGAAUCAGGAAGGGGAGAGAGGAGGGAAGCGGGCGAGAGCUGGGCUUACAGGGUGUUGGCGUGCUGGAUGUCAGCUUCGAGCACCUUGAUGGAGUCCCUGUACGCCUUCCGCAUCCUCCUCCACCGCUGCCCUUCUCAUCCAAGUGCCGCGCGCUAACGGCGACCCCCUCCCUCCUCGCCGCGACGAAGUGAUCUCCCGAACCUGGCCGACCGCCGAGCGCCGGAGCCGGGGGCUUGCGAUUGCGAUGGGAAGGAAGGUGAAGAAAGGGGUCUGGCCUCUGGGUCUCGGGCACCGCGCGGUAGGGGCGGGGGCGGGGUGGGGUGGGUGGCGUGGGGGCAGCGGCGGUGGGCUUUGAGGGGAGGCCGGGAGGAGACGAUGAGGGCGCGGGGCAGGGCCGGGCGUGAGUGGGCGCGGGCGUGCCGGGCGCGCAGGCAGACAGGGGUGAGCACAGCGCGCCGCGUGUGCCCGCGGCGAGCGUGGCCGCGUUCGGGAUGCGUGAGAAUCCCGUGGGUCUGGGCACCUGUCCCCGCCCCUGGCCGUCUGCCGGCCCAGCUCUCGUUUUACCGGUGUCCUGCCGUGGUAAAAGUAUUCUUUUUUUUCCGUGGAAAGCAGCCGUGCAACGGACACGGACGUCGGAAGUCACCAAAAGCGGCAAGGCUGUCCCCAACAACCGUUCUGAAAUAACUAGACACAUAGAAUAUUUUAAUUUUAGAAUAAUUUUUAGCUACAAAUUUAAAAUCUGAAUAAUUUAUAAGCUGUGCAAGUCGCCGAUGCUUACUAACAGUAGAUAGCUUAAUAACAGUUGGAUACAUAUAUAAAAAUUAUUUAUAUGCAAUAAUCCCAUAAACAUGAUGCAUUGCAUUUUAUUUAAUGCUAAUUCAUACCUUGCAUUUAAAAAAGUGUUGCCAAAGAUCUAUGUGAACUAAAGUUAGGAACAUGUUUCAGCCUUUCAGGCAUAUCAUGUCAUGUCUAUGAUAGAAUUUAUCAUUCUACCCGUGUACAUUUAACAUGAUGGAAAGCAUUGUAUUAUAAUAAAAAGACACAUAAGUUCUUUAUAAAGGAAGUUUUAAAAGCUACUCCCUCCGUUCGUUUUUAUAUGUUGUUUAAAUUAAGGAAACAUAGAUUUAACAAUAUUACCUUAUAUCUUCUCUGUUUGACCAUGAAAGUGUCUAACAGUAAACAAAGCAAUGUGCCGAAAGUGGAGAGGUAAAUAUGAAAAACCACCGAAAGUUUGUAAAAGGACGUCAUUUAAAAAAGCACUUUUAAGGGAUGUUUGGUUUGAGCGAUUAAAGAUUAGUUCCUCCAUUUUAGUCUCAUUUAGUCUCUAAAUUGCUAAACGGUGGGACUAAAAUAGGGACUAAAUUGUUUUAGUCUCUAGUCCCUCAAGGGGUGACUAAAAGGGACUGAAUCAUAUAAAUUCCACUUUUUACCCCUCCUUUAUUUCAGUUGCACUAAGAGUGGAAGAAUACUUAGCGGUAUUUUAGUCAUCUUAUGAUCCAUUUAAUACAUUUUGAAUAUUUUUAGUCCCUAUAACUAAAUAGGAUAGGGACUAAACUUUAGUCUCUUAACUAAAUUUUAGUCCCUAGACUAAAGGACCAAACGGGGCCUUACUUUGUGACGUGGCGUCAUAUAAAAACGAACAAAGAGAGUACUAACUAUGCAUAUUUCCUAGUUUUCAUGAGCCUUGCACAUGUUUAUGGCGUGUUUGUUAUGGCUCUAGAGCAAAACUCCAAGAAGGAGUUGGCCAGGACAUGUCAAACACCCUAACUCUAGAGUUGUAAACUCUAUGGAGUUUUUGGAGCUGCAGUACAUUUUUUUGGAGUACCUCUUUUGCUGCUCGGAAAACUCUAAAAAAGCAAACUAGUCAUGGAGUUUAGAGUUAUUUACCCGCCACUGGUUAUGAGAAACAAUCUAAACUCUGGGACAGAUCCGCUCCACCCAGAGUUUUAGAGUAGAGCUGCUCUGAGGUGUAGCAGAGCCAUGCCAAACACGCCCUUAGUCUCUAGCAUUGCUCUAAUCUUCAUUGUGCCUUGACCUCUAUUUUUUAAUCCUAUAAUGUAAGUGGGGGAGUGUAAAAAAUUAGUGAAGAUGGAAGUUGUCAAUUCAAUCAAUAGCAGAAUAAUAUUGUUAUGUUAUGUGCAACCACUUUUUGGAGGUAAUUCCAAUGGUGAUGUCUCUGCAUAAUCUUUCUAAGUGGGACUUUCAUCUACAUGUUAAGAAAUAGAUACAAUAAUAACUAUUAAAUAGAAUAAAUUUAGAAAGACUUAUUAGUAUUUUCUUUACCUAAAUAAUAGGGUAGUGAUCAUAUUUGGACAUAAGUGUUGUACCUUUUGUAAUAAUUGAAAGGGAAAUGUGCCCUUGGGCCAUUUCUAAGUAUUUUGGUGAUUUAGUGCCCAACACAGGUGCCUAAUUGUAAAAUGGUGGACAAAGUACAAAUCAAGGAUAAAGGUAUGUUUCUCAGACUUAGUACAUUGUAUUAUGGACUAAUGUAUUGUGUCUAAGUGCUGGAAACAGAAAAAAUCGAGUUGGAGAAGAGAUGACUCGAGCAGCCAAAGUCUGCCCAGUCUGGGUGCACCGGACUGUCCGGUGGUGCACCGGACAGUGUCCGGUGCGCCAGGCUGGCUUGCGCAAAGUGGCUGCUCUCGGGACUUCGACGGCGGUGUACGUCUAAAAUUCACCGGACUGUCCGGUGUGCACCGGACUGUCCGGUGGGCCGCUCACAGGCGAACUCGUCGCUCUCGGGAAACCAUCAACGGUGUACGGCUAAAAUUCACCGGACUGUCCGGUGUGCACCGGACUCUCCGGUGAGCCAACGGUCGGCCGGGCCAACGGUCGGCCGCGCAAUCUGCGCGGGACACGUGGCCGAGCCAACGGCUAGAAGGGGGCACCGGACAUGUCCGGUGCGCCAACGGUUCCCAGGCUACCAAUGGUCGACUGCGAUGUUUAUGGAAAGAAAUCGGGCACCGGACAUGUCCGGUGUGCACCGGACUGUCCGGUGCGCCAGUCGACAGAAGGCAAGAUCAGCCUUCCAAGAUUGCUCUCAACGGCUCCUAGCUGCCUUAGGGCUAUAAAAGGGACCUCUAGGCGCAUGGAGGAACACACCAAGCAUCUCCUAAGCAUUCCUAAGCACCAAGACAUCGACUCCGCGCCCUUGAUUCUUUGCGAUAGCAAUUAGAGCUCUAGUUGAGUGGUGAACUCAUUAAGUUGUGUUGUGAGCUCUCGUUGCGACUUGUGUGCGUGGUGUUGCUGUGAUUUCUUGUCUUGAGUGCGUUGCUAAUUGAGAGCACCUAGAGGGGGGGGUGAAUAGGUGAUCCUGUAAAAACUUAAACUUAAGCCACAAAAACUUGUUAAGGGUUAGUACAAGUAUGGCCAAGUGGCUAGAGAGAACUCAAAACACGAUAACCACAAGAAAGCAAUCACAGAGUUGACACGGUGGUUAUCCCGUGGUUCGGCCAAGUACAAAACUUGCCUACUCCACGUUGUGGCGUCCCAACGGACGAGAGUUGCACUCAACUCCUCUCAAGUGAUCCAAUGAUCAACUUGAAUACCACGGUGUUUUUCUUUCCUUUGAUCUUUUCCCGUUUGCGAGGAAUCUCCACAACUUGGAGUCUCUCGCCCUUACAAUUGAGUUCACAAAGAAAUACGGAGUAAGGUGGGAAUGAGCAACGCACACAAGACUCGAAAAUCAGAGCAACACCACGCACACAAGUCGCAACAAGAGCUCGCAACACAACACAAAGAGUUCACAACUCCACAAGAGCUCUAUAUGCUAUCACAAUGAAACGAAUGCGUGAGAUUGAUGUCUUGGUGCUUAGAAGAGUUGUAGGAAUGCUUGGUGUACUCCUCCAUGCGCCUAGGGGUCCCUUUUAUAGCCCCAAGGCAGCUAGGAGCCGUUGGGAACAAAUCUGGAAGGCCAUCUUUGCCUUCUGUCUCGUGGCGCACCGGACAGUCCGGUGCACACCGGACACUGUCCGGUGCCCGAUUUGUUUCCUUAAACAGCGCAUCCGACCGUUGCUGUCAGAGUCAGAUCUGCGCACCGUUGGCGCACCGGACAUGUCCGGUGCACACCGGACAGUCCGGUGUAUCUUUCCGACCGUUGGCUCGGCCACGUGUCGCGCGCCGAUCGCGCGGCCGACCGUUGGCCCGGCCGACCGUUGGCUCACCGGACAGUCCGGUGCACACCGGACAGUCCGGUGAAUUUUAGCCGAAGUCGCCGGAGAAAAACCCGAGAGUGGCCUCUUCGGCCGAGGCAGCCUGUCCGGUGCACCACCGGACACUGUCCGGUGCACCACCGGACAGUCCGGUGCCCCAGACCGAAACAGCCCCUUGGCUGUACACAGCCAAGUCUCUCUUCUCUUCUUCUUUCUGUUUCUAACACUUAGACAAAUAUAUUAGUACACAAACCAAUGUACUAAGACUUAGAAACAUACCUUUGUUGAAGAUUUGCACUUUGUUCAUCCAUGGGCGUUGAUUCACAUUUAAACACUUGUGUUGACACUCAAUCACCAAAAUACUUAGAAAUGGCCCAAGGGCACAUUUCCCUUUCAAUCUCCCCCUUUUUGGUGAUUUAUGCCAACACAACAUAAAGCAACUAGAACAAGUGCAAAAUCACUUCAAAUAAAAACUAACUUUGAGUUUUAUUCAAUUUUGGCAUAUAUGGAUCAUCCUUUGCCACCACUUGGUUUGUUUUUGCAAAUCAAACUCAAAUCUCUAUCUCUAAGUCAAACACACAUGUUGAAGCAUAAAGAGAGUCAUUCCAAAAGAGAUUGAUCAAAGAUUUCAAAAACUCCCCCUAUUUCCCAUAAUCAAUACUUCUCCCCACAAGAAGCCAAUUUUUGACAAGAGAGACAAUAAAAGAGUUUAACAAUACAAAAACUCUAUUCUAUUAUUUUCAAAAUCUCUCAAGUGGUAGCUGAUCCAUUUAUCACUUUGGCCUUUAUUUUCUCCCCCUUUGGCAUCAAGCACCAAAACGGGAUCAAUCUUGGCCUUUUAACCCCAUUGCCUCACCAAAGUCUUCAAUUAAGAGCAAAUGGCAAUAAGAUUUCAUGAGAUGAACUUGGAAUUAGUUACCCUCUCAUCGGAGUGCAGUGGAAGUCUUUCAUGGUCCAAGUCCACCUUUUCCCUUUCAAUCCUCCUUCGAGACUAAAUCAUCAAACUCAAGCACAUGGUUAGUCUCAAAAGGGUCAAGUUGUAACACAUCUCCCCCUAAACAUGUGCAUCACUUUGCAACGGACUUGUGAGGUCCAGGGAGUGUUUGUACAACUUGAGCACCACAAUAAGCAACAAAAUGCAAAAAGGAACAUGAUCAAAAGCAUAACUACAUGUAUGCUAUAAUUCAAUCCAGGUUCCGCGAAUGUAAGACAUUUAGCUCACUACGCAACCUGCAAAAGGUCUUCUCAUCUAGAGGCUUAGUGAAGAUAUCGGCUAGCUGGUUCUCGGUGCUAACAUGAAACACUUCGAUAUCUCCCUUUUGCUGGUGGUCUCUCAAAAAGUGAUGUCGGAUGUCUAUGUGCUUUGUGCGGCUGUGCUCAACAGGAUUCUCCGCCAUGCGGAUAGCACUCUCAUUGUCACAUAGGAGUGGGACUUUGCUCAGAUUGUAGCCAAAGUCCCGGAGGGUUUGCCUCAUCCAAAGUAGUUGCGCGCAACACUGACCUGCGGCAACGUACUCGGCCUCAGCGGUGGAUAGGGCAACGGAUGUUUGUUUCUUAGAGUUCCAUGACACCAGGGACCUUCCUAAGAAUUGGCACGUCCCCGAUGUACUCUUCCUAUCGACCUUACAUCCAGCAUAGUCGGAGUCUGAGUAUCCAACUAAGUCAAAGGUAGACCCCUUUGGAUACCAGAGCCCGAAGCAAGGCGUAGCAACCAAAUAUCUAAGAAUUCGCUUCACCGCCACUAAGUGACACUCCUUAGGAUCGGAUUGAAAUCUAGCACACAUGCAUACACUAAGCAUAAUGUCCGGUCUACUAGCACAUAAAUAAAGCAAAGAACCUAUCAUUGACCGGUAUGCUUUUUGAUCAACGGACUUACCUCCUUUGUUGAGGUCGGUGUGUCCGUCGGUUCCCAUCGGCGUCUUUGCGGGCUUGGCGUCCUUCAUCCCAAACCGCUUUAGCAGAUCUUGCGUGUACUUCGUUUGAGAGAUGAAGGUGCCGUCCUUGAGUUGCUUCACUUGGAACCCAAGGAAGUAGUUCAACUCGCCCAUCAUUGACAUCUCGAAUUUCUGCGUCAUCACCCUGCUAAACUCUUCACAAGACUUUUGGUUAGUAGAACCAAAUAUUAUGUCAUCGACAUAAAUUUGGCACACAAACAAAUCACCAUCGCAUGUCUUUGUAAAAAGAGUUGGAUCGGCUUUCCCAACCUUGAAAGCAUUAGCAAUUAAAAAGUCUCUAAGGCAUUCAUACCAUGCUCUUGGGGCUUGCUUAAGUCCAUAGAGCGCCUUAGAGAGCUUACACACAUGGUCGGGAUACCGUUCGUCCUCGAAGCCAGGGGGUUGCUCCACGUACACCUCUUCCUUGAUUGGCCCGUUGAGGAAAGCGCUCUUCACAUCCAUUUGGUACAACCUGAAAGAAUGGUGAGCGGCAUAUGCUAGCAAGAUUCGAAUUGACUCUAGCCUAGCCACAGGAGCAAAGGUCUCCUCGAAAUCCAAACCUGCGACUUGGGCAUAACCUUUUGCCACAAGUCGAGCCUUGUUCCUCGUCACCACCCCGUGCUCGUCCUGUUUGUUGCGGAACACCCACUUGGUUCCCACAACAUUUUGCUUCGGACGAGGCACCAGUGUCCAAACUUCAUUGCGCUUGAAGUUGUUUAACUCCUCUUGCAUGGCCAACACCCAGUCCGGAUCUAGCAAGGCCUCUUCUACCCUGAAAGGCUCAAUAGAAGAGACAAAGGAGUAAUGCUCACAAAAAUUAACUAAUCGAGAUCGAGUAGUUACUCCCUUGCUAAUGUCACCCAGAAUUUGGUCGACGGGAUGAUCCCUUUGAAUCAUCGCUCGAACUUGGGUUGGAGGUGCCGGUUGCACUUCUUCCUCCAUCACAUGAUUAUCUUGUGCUCCCCCUUGAUCGAGCGCCUCCACUUGAGGUACCUGUUCGUCAUCUUCGGUUGGGGGAUGCACCAUAGUUGAGGAAGAAGGUUGAUCUCGUUCAUCUUGUUCCUGUGGCCGUACUUCUCCAAUCGCCAUGGUCCGUAUAGCGGCCGUCGGAACAUCUUCUUCAUCUACAUCAUCACAAUCAACAACUUGCUCUCUUGGAGAGCCAUUAGUCUCAUCAAAUACAACGUCGCUAGAGACUUCAACCAAACCCGAUGAUUUGUUGAAGACUCUAUACGCCUUUGUAUUUGAGUCAUAACCUAAUAAAAACCCUUCUACAGCUUUGGGAGCAAACUUAGAAUUUCUACCCUUCUUCACUAGAAUGUAGCAUUUACUCCCAAAUACACGAAAGUACGAUACAUUGGGUUUGUUACCGGUUAGUAGCUCAUACGACGUCUUCUUGAGGAGGCGAUGAAGGUAGACCCUGUUGAUGGCGUGGCAAGCAGUGUUAACGGCUUCCGUCCAGAAGCACUCGGGGGUCUUGAACUCUCCUAGCAUCGUCCUCGCCAUGUCGAUGAGCGUCCUGUUCUUCCUCUCUACCACACCAUUUUGCUGUGGUGUGUAGGGAGCGGAGAACUCGUGCUUGAUCCCUUCCUCUUCAAGGAACUCCUCCACUUGAAGGUUCUUGAACUCGGACCCGUUGUCGCUUCUUAUCUUUUUCACUUUGAGCUCAAACUCAUUUUGAGCUCUCCUGAGGAAGCGUUUGAGAGUCCCUUGGGUUUCGGAUUUUUCCUGCAAAAAGAACACCCAAGUGAAGCGGGAAAAGUCAUCAACAAUAACCAAACCAUACUUACUUCCUCCUAUGCUCAGAUAGGCGACAGGUCCGAAGAGGUCCAUAUGCAGCAGCUCCAGGGGUCUUGAAGUGGUCAUCACGUUCUUGCUGUGAUGUGCUCCUCCCACUUGUUUACCUGCUUGACAAGCUGCACAAGGUCUAUCUUUUUCGAAAUGCACAUUAGUCAACCCUAUCACGUGUUCUCCCUUUAGAAGCUUGUGAAGGUUCUUCAUCCCCACAUGUGCUAAGCGGCGAUGCCACAGCCAGCCCAUGCUAGUCUUAGCUAUUAAGCAUGCAUCUAGACCGGCCUCUUCUUUUGCAAAAUCAACUAAAUAAAGUUUGCCGUCUAAUUCACCCUUAAAAGCUAGUGAACCAUCACUUCUUCUAAAGACAGACACAUCUACAUUUGUAAAUAGACAGUUAUACCCCAUAUGACAUAAUUGACUAACAGAUAGCAAAUUAUAUCCAAGACUCUCUACUAAAAAUACAUUAGAUAUGGAGUGCUCAUUAGAAAUUGCAAUUUUACCUAAACCUUUUACCUUGCCUUGAUUCCCAUCACCGAAUACAAUUGAAUCUUGGGAAUCUUUAUUCUUGACGUAGGAGGUGAACAUCUUCUUCUCCCUCGUCAUAUGGUUUGUGCAUCCGCUGUCGAUAAUCCAGCUUGAACCCCCGGAUGCAUAAACCUGCAAGGCAAAUUUAGGCUUGGGACUUAGGUACCCAACUCUUGUUGGGUCCUACAAGGUUAGUCACAAUUUCCUUAGGGACCCAAAUGCAAGUUUUAUCACCUUUGCAUUUUGCCCCUAACUUCCUAGCAAUUACUUUUCUAUCCUUUCUACAGAUUGCAAAUGAAGCAUUCAAAGCACAAUAAAUUGUAGAAGGUUCAUUUGCUAUUUUCCUAGGAGCAUGAAUAACAUUCCUUCUAGGCACAUGAUGAAUAGCAUUUCUUUUAGGAACAACAUUUCUCCUAGUAACAUUUCUAUCAUACACAUAAGAGGAACUAGGAGCAAACAUGGCAUGAGAAUCAUAAACAUAUGAAUCAAAAGCAUCAUAACUUCUAUUUCUAGUUUGUCGUUUAUCAUGAUACAAAAAGGCAUGGUUCCUUUUAGCACUAGUAGCCAUAGGGGCCUUCCCUUUCUCCUUGGCGGGAAUGGGAGCCUUAUGGCUUGUUAAGUUCUUGGCUUCCCUCUUGAAGCCAAGUCCAUCCUUAAUUGAGGGGUGUCUACCAACCGUGUAGGCAUCCCUAGCAAAUUUUAGUUUUUCAAAAUCACUUUUGCUAGUCUUAAGUUGAGCAUUAAGACUAGCCACUUCAUCACUCAAUUUUGAAAUGGAAACUAAGUGUUCACUACAGGCAUUAAUAUCAACAUCCUUACACCUAGUGCAAAUUUCAACAUGUUCAACACAAGAGUUGGAUUUAUUUGAUUUAUUUGCUUCUACUAGUUUAGCAUUUAAAUCAUCGUUUAUGCUCUUUAAGUUAGAAAUAGAAUCAUGGCAUGUUGACACUUCACAAGCAAGCAUUUCAUUCCUCUUAAUUUCUAAUGCAAGAGAUUUUUGAGCCUCUACAAACUUAUCAUGUUCUUCAUACAACAAAUCCUCUUGCUUUUCUAAAAGUAUAUUCUUUUCAUUCAAGGCAUCAAUUAAUUCAUUAAUUUUGUCUAUCUUAGAUCUAUCUAAGCCCUUGAACAAACAUGAAUAAUCUACUUCAUCCUCAUCACUAGAUUCGUCCUCACUUGAAGAAGCAUAGGUAGAGUUGCGAGUACAUACCUUCUUCUCCCUUGCCAUAAGGCAUGUGUGACGCUCGUUGGGGAAGAGGGUUGAUUUGUUGAAGGCGGUGGCGGCGAGUCCUUCAUUGUCGGAGUCGGACGAGGAGCAAUCCGAGUCCCACUCCUUGCCUAGAUGCGCCUCGCCUUUUGCCUUCUUAUAAUGCUUCUUCUUUUCCCUCUUGUUUCCCUUUUCCUGGUCACUUUCAUUAUCAGGACAGUUAGCAAUAAAAUGACCAAGCUUACCGCAUUUGAAGCAUGAUCGCUUCCCCUUGGUCUUAGUCUUGCUCGGCUGUCCAUUGCGACCCUUUAGCACCGUCUUGAAGCGCUUAAUGAUGAGAGCCAUUUCUUCAUCAUUAAGCCCGGCCGCCUCAAUUUGCGCCACCUUGCUUGGUAGUGCCUCCUUGCUCCUUGAUGCCUUGAGAGCAAUGGGUUGAGGCUCGUGGAUUGGACCGUUCAACGCGUCAUCGACGUACCUUGCCUCCUUGAUCAUCAUCCGCCCGCUUACAAAUUUUCCAAGAAUUUCUUCGGGCGACAUUUUGGUGUACCUGGGAUUCUCACGAAUAUUAUUCACCAAAUGAGGAUCAAGAACAGUAAAGGACCUUAGCAUUAGGCGGACGACGUCGUGGUCCGUCCAUCGCGUGCUUCCAUAGCUCCUUAUCUUGUUGACAAGGGUCUUGAGCCGGUUGUAUGUUUGAGUUGGCUCCUCGCCCCUUAUCAUCGCGAACCGUCCAAGCUCGCCCUCCACCAACUCCAUUUUGGUGAGCAAGGUAGCGUCAUUUCCCUCAUGAGAGAUCUUGAGGGUAUCCCAGAUUUGCUUGGCGUUAUCCAAGCCACUCACUUUAUUAUAUUCAUCCCUGCACAAUGAGGCUAGAAGAACAGUAGUAGCUUGUGCAUUCUUAUGGAUUUGCUCAUUAAUGAAUAUAGGACUAUCCGAACUAUUAAAGUGCAUUCCACUAUCUACAAUCUCCCAUAUGCUAGGAUGGAGAGAGAAUAGGUGACUACGCAUUUUGUGGCUCCAAAAUCCGUAGUCCUCCCCAUCAAAGUGUGGGGGCUUGCCGAGUGGAAUAGAAAGCAAAUGUGAAUUUGAACUUUGCGGAAUACGAGAGUAGUCAAAAGAAAAGUUAGAAUUAACCGGUUUCCUUUGUUUGUCGUGGUCGUCGUCCUUUUGGGAAGAAGAGGACUCAUCGCUGUCGUAGUAGACGAUCUCCUUGAUGCGUCUUGUCUUCUUCUUCUUCCCAUCUCUUCGCUUGUGGCCCGAGCCCGAGUCAUUGGACUUGUCAUCCCUUGGCUCGUUGACGAAGGACUCCUUCUCCUUGUCGUUGAUCACAAUUCCCUUCCCCUUAGGAUCCAUCUCUUCGGGCGGUUAGUCCCUUUCUUGAAGAGAACGCCUCUGAUACCAAUUGAGAGCACCUAGAGGGGGGGUGAAUAGGUGAUCCUGUAAAAACUUAAACUUAAGCCACAAAAACUUGUUAAGGGUUAGUACAAGUAUGGCCAAGUGGCUAGAGAGAACUCAAAACACGAUAACCACAAGAAAGCAAUCACAGAGUUGACACGGUGGUUAUCCCGUGGUUCGGCCAAGUACAAAACUUGCCUACUCCACGUUGUGGCGUCCCAACGGACGAGAGUUGCACUCAACUCCUCUCAAGUGAUCCAAUGAUCAACUUGAAUACCACGGUGUUUUUCUUUCCUUUGAUCUUUUCCCGUUUGCGAGGAAUCUCCACAACUUGGAGUCUCUCGCCCUUACAAUUGAGUUCACAAAGAAAUACGGAGUAAGGUGGGAAUGAGCAACGCACACAAGACUCGAAAAUCAGAGCAACACCACGCACACAAGUCGCAACAAGAGCUCGCAACACAACACAAAGAGUUCACAACUCCACAAGAGCUCUAUAUGCUAUCACAAUGAAACGAAUGCGUGAGAUUGAUGUCUUGGUGCUUAGAAGAGUUGUAGGAAUGCUUGGUGUACUCCUCCAUGCGCCUAGGGGUCCCUUUUAUAGCCCCAAGGCAGCUAGGAGCCGUUGGGAACAAAUCUGGAAGGCCAUCUUUGCCUUCUGUCUCGUGGCGCACCGGACAGUCCGGUGCACACCGGACACUGUCCGGUGCCCGAUUUGUUUCCUUAAACAGCGCAUCCGACCGUUGCUGUCAGAGUCAGAUCUGCGCACCGUUGGCGCACCGGACAUGUCCGGUGCACACCGGACAGUCCGGUGUAUCUUUCCGACCGUUGGCUCGGCCACGUGUCGCGCGCCGAUCGCGCGGCCGACCGUUGGCCCGGCCGACCGUUGGCUCACCGGACAGUCCGGUGCACACCGGACAGUCCGGUGAAUUUUAGCCGAAGUCGCCGGAGAAAAACCCGAGAGUGGCCUCUUCGGCCGAGGCAGCCUGUCCGGUGCACCACCGGACACUGUCCGGUGCACCACCGGACAGUCCGGUGCCCCAGACCGAAACAGCCCCUUGGCUGUACACAGCCAAGUCUCUCUUCUCUUCUUCUUUCUGUUUCUAACACUUAGACAAAUAUAUUAGUACACAAACCAAUGUACUAAGACUUAGAAACAUACCUUUGUUGAAGAUUUGCACUUUGUUCAUCCAUGGGCGUUGAUUCACAUUUAAACACUUGUGUUGACACUCAAUCACCAAAAUACUUAGAAAUGGCCCAAGGGCACAUUUCCCUUUCACUAAUCCCUCCCUUGCUCUGUGCUUCUUUGUGAAUUUCAAGUGUAAGGGCGAGAGGCUCCAAGUUGUGGAGAUUCCUCGCAAACGGGAUUGAGUAAAGCAAAGCAAAACACCGUGGUAUUCAAGUGGGUCUUUGGACCGCUUGAGAGGGGUUGAUUGCAACCCUCGUCCGUUGGGACGCCACAACGUGGAGUAGGCAAGCGUUGGUCUUGGCCGAACCACGGGAUAACCACUGUGCCAUCUCUGUGAUUGUUUUCUUGUGGUUAUUGUGUUUUGUUGAGAUUCCUCUCCAGCCACUUGGCAUUUACUGUGCUAACGCUUAACCAAGUUUUUGUGGCUUAAGUUUUCAAGAUUUACAGGAUCACCUAUUCACCCCCCCUCUAGGUGCUCUCAAUUGGUAUUAGAGCCGUUCUCUUCACAAAGGGACUAACCGCCCGAGGAGAUGGAUCCUAAGGGGAAGGGUAUCGUGAUCAAUGAUAAAGAGAAGGAAUCUUUCGUCAACGAGCCAAAGGAUGACAAGCCUACCGACUCGGGCUCGGGUCAUAGACGAAAAGAUGGGAAGAAGAAGAAGACAAGGCGCAUUAAGGAGAUCGUCUACUACGACGACAGUGAUGAGUCCACUUCUUCCCACAAGGACAACGACGACAACGACUACGACAAACGAAAGACGGUUAACUCGAACUUUUCUUUCGAUUAUUCGCGUAUUCCUCAAAGUGCAAAUGCUCAUUUAUUAUCUAUUCCACUUGGUAAACCUCCUCAUUUUGAUGGAGAGGACUACGGAUUUUGGAGUCACAAAAUGCGUAGUCACUUGUUCUCUCUCCAUCCUAGUAUAUGGGAGAUUGUAGAGAGUGGAAUGCACUUUGAUAGUUUGGAUAGUCCCAUGUUCAUUAAUGACCAAAUUCAUAAGAAUGCACAAGCUACUACUGUUCUUCUAGCUUCAUUGUGCAGGGAUGAAUACCACAAAGUGAGCGGCUUGGAUAACGCCAAGCAGAUCUGGGACACCCUCAAGAUUUCACAUGAGGGGAACGACGUCACCUUGCUCACCAAGAUGGAGUUGGUGGAGGGCGAGCUUGGACGAUUCGCGAUGAUAAGGGGCGAGGAGCCGACACAAACAUACAACCGGCUCAAGACCCUUAUCAACAAAAUAAGGAGCUACGAAAGCACGCGAUGGACGGACCACGACGUCGUCCGAUUGAUGCUAAGGUCCUUUACCGUUCUUGAUCCUCAUUUGGUGAAUAACAUUCGUGAGAAUCCCAGGUACACCAAAAUGUCGCCCGAAGAAGUCCUUGGAAAAUUCGUAAGCGGGCGAAUGAUGAUCAAGGAAGCGAGGUACGUGGACGACGCUCUAAACGGUCCAAUCAAUGAGCCUCAACCCGUUGCUCUCAAGGCAACAAGGAGCAAGGAGGCGUUACCCAGCAAGGUAGCACAAAUUGAGGCCGCCGGACUUAAUGAUGAAGAGAUGGCUCUCAUCAUCAAGAGAUUCAAGACGACGCUUAAGGGUCGCAAGGGACAGCCAAACAAGACCAAAGCCAAGGGGAAGUGCUCAUGCUUCAAAUGCGGUAAGCUUGGUCAUUUUAUUGCUAACUGUCCCGACAAUGAUAGUGAUCAGGAUCAAGGGAACAAGAGGGAGAAUAAGAAAAACUAUAAAAAAGGCAAAGGGCGAGGCUCAUCUUGGCAAGGAGUGGGAUUCGGAUUGCUCCUCGUCUGACUCUGACAAUGAAGGACUCGCCGCCACCGCCUUCAACAAAUCAUCCCUCUUCCCCAACGAACAUCACACAUGCCUUAUGGCAAGGGAGAAGAAGGUAUGUACUCAAGACUCUACUUAUGCUUCUUCAAGUGAGGAGGAAUCUAGUGAUGAGGAUGAAAUAGAUUAUUCAUGUCUAUUUAAGGGCCUAGAUAGAACCAAGGUAGAUAAAAUUAAUGAAUUAAUUGAUGCCUUGAAUGAUAAGAAUAGGCUUCUAGAAAAACAAGAAGAUUUAUUGUAUGAAGAACAUGACAAAUUUAUAGAAGCACAAAAAUCUCAUGCUUUAGAAGUCAAAAGAAAUGAAAUGCUUUCAUGUGAAUUAUCUUCGUGCCAUGAGACAAUUUCUAGCUUAAGGAACAUUAAUGAUGAUUUGAAUGCUAAGUUGAAAAUAGUUAGUAAAUCAACAACUUGUGUAGAAAAUGUUGUUAUCUGCAAUAGAUGUAAAGAUUUUGAUAUUGAUGCUUGUAGUGAACACAUAGCUUCUAUUGCAAAGUUAAACGAUGAAUUGGCUAUUCUCAAUGCCCAACUUAAGACUAGCAAAAGUGAUUUCGAUAAACUAAAAUUUGCAAGGGAUGCCUACACGAUUGGUAGACACCCCUCCAUUAAGGAUGGACUUGGCUUCAAGAGGGAAGCCAAGGACUUAACAAGCCAUAAGGCUCCCAUCUCCACCAAGGAGAAAGGGAAGGCCCCUAUGACAAGUAGCACUAAAAAGAACCAUGCUUUUAUGUACAACAAUAGAAGACAGUCUCAUAGGAGUUGCAAUGCUUUUGAUUCACAUGACUCGUAUGCUAUGUUUGCUCCUAGUUCUUCCUAUAUGCAUGGUAGAGAUAUGCCUAGGAAAAAUGUUCAUCAUGUGCCUAGGAAGAAUAUUGUUCAUGUUCCUAGAAGAGUUAUGAAUGGUCCCUCUACAAUUUAUCAUGCAUUAAAUGCUUCCUUUGCUAUUUGUAGAAAGGAUAGGAAGAUAGUUGCUAGGAAAUUAGGGGCAAAAUGCAAGGGUGAUAAAACUUGCAUUUGGGUCCCUAAGGAAAUUGUGACUAACCUUGUAGGACCCAACAAGAGUUGGGUACCUAAGACCCAAGCCUAAAUUUGCCUUGCAGGUUUAUGCAUCCGGGGGCUCAAGCUGGAUUAUCGACAGCGGAUGCACAAACCACAUGACGGGGGAGAAGAAGAUGUUCACCUCCUACGUCAAGAAUAAGGAUUCCCAAGAUUCAAUCAUAUUCGGUGAUGGGAACCAAGGCAAGGUGAAAGGUUUAGGCAAGAUUGCAAUAUCAAAUGAGCAUUCUAUCUCUAAUGUGUUUUUAGUGGAGAGUCUUGGAUAUAAUUUACUAUCAGUUAGUCAAUUAUGUAAUAUGGGAUAUAACUGUUUAUUUACAAAUAUAGAUGUGUCUGUCUUUAGAAGAUGUGAUGGUUCACUAGCUUUUAAGGGUGUACUAGACGGCAAACUUUACUUAGUUGAUUUUGCAAAAGAAGAGGCCGGUCUAGAUGCAUGCUUAAUGGCUAAGACUUGCAUGGGCUGGUUGUGGCAUCGCCGCUUAGCACAUGUGGGGAUGAAGAACCUCCACAAGCUUCUAAAGGGAGAACAGGUGAUAGGUCUAACCAAUGUUCAUUUCGAAAAAGAUAGACCUUGUGCAGCUUGUCAAGCAGGUAAACAAGUGGGAGGAGCACAUCACAGCAAGAAUGUGAUGACCACGUCAAGACCUCUGGAGCUGCUACAUAUGGACCUCUUCGGACCCGUCGCCUAUCUGAGCAUAGGAGGAAGUAAGUAUGGUCUAGUUAUUGUUGAUGACUUUUCCCGCUUCACUUGGGUGUUCUUUUUGCAGGAUAAGUCUGAAACCCAAGGGACCCUCAAGCGCUUCCUAAGGAGAGCUCAAAAUGAGUUUGAGCUCAAGGUGAAGAAGAUAAGGAGCGACAACGGGUCCGAAUUCAAGAAUCUUCAAGUGGAGGAGUUCCUUGAGGAGGAGGGGAUCAAGCACGAGUUCUCCGCUCCCUACACACCUCAUCAAAAUGGUGUGGUAGAGAGGAAGAACAUGACGCUUAUAGAUAUGGCGAGGACUAUGCUUGGAGAGUUCAAGACCCUUGAGUGCUUUUGGUCGGAAGCCGUGAACACGGCUUGCCACGCCAUCAAUAGGGUCUACCUUCACCGCCUCCUCAAGAAGACUUCAUAUGAGCUGCUAACUGGUAACAAACCCAAUGUAUCGUACUUUCGUGUAUUUGGGAGUAAAUGCUACAUUCUAGUGAAGAAGGGUAGGAAUUCCAAAUUUGCUCCCAAAGCCGUAGAAGGGUUUUAUUAGGUUAUGAUUCAAAUACAAAGGCGUAUAGGGUCUUCAACAAAUCAUCGGGUUUGGUUGAAGUCUCUAGCGACGUUGUAUUUGAUGAGACUAAUGGCUCUCCAAGAGAGCAAGUUGUUGAUCUUGAUGAUGUAGAUGAAGAAGACGUUCCAACGGCCGUGAUACGCACCAUGGCGAUUGGAGAUGUACGGCCUCAGGAACAUUUGGAGCAAGAUCAACCGUCUUCCUCAACUAUGGUGCAUCCCCCAACCCAAGAUGACGAACAGGUACCUCAAGUGGAGGCGCAUGAUCAAGGGGGAGCACAGGAUGUUCAAAUUGAAGAGGAAGAUGCACCUCAGGCACCUCCAACCCAAGUUCGAGCGACGAUUCAAAGGAAUCAUCUCGUCGACCAGAUAUUGGGUGAUAUUAGUAAGGGAGUAACUACUCGUUCAAGAUUAGUUAAUUUUUGUGAGCAUUACUCUUUUGUCUCUUCUAUUGAGCCUUUCAGGGUAGAAGAGGCCUUGCUAGAUCCGGACUGGGUGUUGGCCAUGCAGGAGGAACUCAACAAUUUCAAGCGCAAUGAAGUUUGGACACUGGUGCCUCGCCCCAAGCAAAAUGUUGUGGGAACCAAGUGGGUGUUCCGCAACAAACAGGACGAGCACGGGGUGGUGACAAAGAACAAGGCUCGGCUUGUGGCAAAAGGUUACGCCCAAGUCGCAGGUUUGGACUUUGAGAAGACUUUUGCUCCUGUGGCUAGGCUAGAAUCAAUUCGUAUCUUGCUAGCAUAUGCCGCUCACCAUUCUUUCAGGUUGUACCAAAUGGAUGUGAAGAGCGCUUUCCUCAACGGGCCGAUCAAGGAGGAGGUGUACGUAGAGCAACCCCCUGGCUUCGAGGAUGAACGGUACCCCGACCACGUGUGUAAGCUCUCUAAGGCGCUCUAUGGACUUAAGCAAGCCCCAAGAGCAUGGUAUGAAUGCCUUAGAGACUUUUUAAUUGCUAAUGCUUUCAAGGUUGGGAAAGCCGAUCCAACUCUUUUUACUAAGACUUGUGAUGGUGAUCUUUUUGUGUGCCAAAUUUAUGUCGAUGACAUAAUAUUUGGUUCUACUAAUCAAAAGUCGUGUGAAGAGUUUAGUAGGGUGAUGACGCAGAAAUUCGAGAUGUCGAUGAUGGGCGAGUUGAACUACUUCCUUGGGUUCCAAGUGAAGCAACUCAAGGACGGCACCUUUAUCUCCCAAACGAAGUACACGCAAGAUUUGCUAAAGAGGUUUGGGAUGAAAGACGCCAAGCCCGCAAAGACGCCGAUGGGAACCGACGGACACACCGACCUCAACAAAGGUGGUAAGUCCGUUGAUCAAAAAGCAUACCGGUCCAUGAUAGGUUCAUUGCUUUAUUUAUGUGCUAGUAGACCAGAUAUUAUGCUCAGCGUAUGCAUGUGUGCUAGAUUUCAAUCCGAUUCUAAGGAGUGUCACUUAGUGGCUGUGAAGCGAAUUCUUAGAUAUUUAGUCGCUACGCCUUGCUUCGAGAUCUGGUAUCCAAAGGGGUCUAACUUUGACUUGAUUGGAUAUUCAGAAUCCGACUAUGCUGGAUGUAAGGUCGAUAGGAAGAGUACAUCGGGGACGUGCCAAUUCUUAGGAAGGUCCCUGGUGUCGUGGAACUCUAAGAAACAAACUUCCGUUGCCCUAUCCACCGCUGAGGCCGAGUACGUUGCCGCAGGACAGUGUUGUGCGCAACUACUUUGGAUGAGGCAAACCCUCCGGGACUUUGGCUACAAUCUGAGCAAAGUCCCACUCCUAUGUGACAAUGAGAGUGCUAUCCGAAUAGCGGAAAAUUCUGUUGAGCACAGCCGCACAAAGCACAUUGACAUCCGGCAUCACUUUUUGAGAGACCACCAGCAAAAGGGAGAUAUCGAAGUGUUUCAUGUUAGCACCGAGAACCAGCUAGCCGAUAUCUUUACCAAACCUCUAGAUGAGAAGACCUUUUGCAGGCUGCGUAGUGAGCUCAAUAUCUUAGAUUCGCGGAACUUGGAUUGAAUUGUAGCAUACAUGUGUUUAUGCCUUUGAUCAUGUUCCUUAUGCAUUUUGUUGUUUACUAUGGUGCUCAAGUUGUACAAACACUUCCCGGACCUCACAAGUCCUUGUGCAAGUGAUGCACAUAUUUAGGGGGAGUUGUGUUAUAACUUGACCCUUUGAGACUAACCAUAUGCUUGAGUUUGUUUGUUUUAGUCUCAAAGGAGGUUUGAAAGGGAAAAGGUGGACUUGGACCAUGAAAGACUUCCACUGCACUCCGAUAAGAGGGUAACUUAUUCCAAGUUCAUCUCAUGUACUCUUAUUGCCUUUGCGUUCUUAUUUAAAGAUUUUGGUGAGGCAAUGGGGUUUAAGGGCCAAGAUUGAUCCCGUUUUGGUUCUUGAUGCCAAAGGGGGAGAAAAUAAAGGCCAAAGCAAUAGAUGGAUCAGCUACCACUUGAGAAAUUUUGAAAAUAGUAGAAUAGAGCUUUUGGUUUGUCAAAACUAUUUAUUGUCUCUCUUGUCAAAAGAUGGCUUCUUGUGGGGAGAAGUGUUGAUUAUAAAAAAAGGGGGGGAGUUUUUUUAAAUCUUGAAUCAAUUUCUCUUGGAAUGGCUCUCUUUAUGUCUUAACAUGUGUGUUUGACUUAGAGAUAGAAAUUUGAGUUUGAUUUGCAAAAACAAACCAAGUGGUGGCAAAGAGUGAUCCAUAUAUGUCAAAUUUGAAUCAAAAUAAUUUGAGUUCUUAUUUGAAGUGAUUUUGUACCUGUUCUACUUGCUUUAUGUUGUGUUGGCAUAAAUCACCAAAAAGGGGGAGAUUGAAAGGGAAAUGUGCCCUUGGGCCAUUUCUAAGUAUUUUGGUGAUUUAGUGCCCAACACAGGUGCCUAAUUGUAAAAUGGUGGACAAAGUACAAAUCAAGGAUAAAGGUAUGUUUCUCAGACUUAGUACAUUGUUUUAUUGACUAAUGUAUUGUGUCUAAGUGCUGGAAACAGAAAAAAUCGAGUUGGAGAAGAGAUGGCCCGAGCAGCCAAAGUCUGCCCAGUCUGGGUGCACCGGACUGUCCGGUGGUGCACCGGACUGUCCGGUGGUGCACCGGACAGUGUCCGGUGCGCCAGGCUGGCUUGCGCAAGGUGGCUGCUCUCGGGACUUUGACGGCGGUGUACGGCUAAAAUUCACCGGACUGUCCGGUGGGCCGCUCACAGGCGAACUCGUCGCUCUCGGGAAACCAUCAACGGCGUACGGCUAAAAUUCACCGGACUGUCUGGUGUGCACCGGACUGUCCGGUGAGCCAACGGUCGGCCGCGCAAUCUGCGCAGGACACGUGGCCGAGCCAACGGCUAGAAGGGGGCACCGGACUGUCCGGUGUGCACCGGACAUGUCCGGUGCGCCAACGGCUCCCAGGCUGCCAACGGUCGACUGCGAUGUUUAUGGAAAGAAAUCGGGCACCGGACAUGUCCGGUGUGCACCGGACUGUCCGGUGCGCCAGUCGACAGAAGGCAAGAUCAGCCUUCCAAGAUUGCUCUCAACGGCUCCUAGCUGCCUUGGGGCUAUAAAAGGGACCUCUAGGCGCAUGGAGGAACACACCAAGCAUCUCCUAAGCAUUCCUAAGCACCAAGACAUCGACUCCGCGCCCUUGAUUCUUUGCGAUAGCAAUUAGAGCUCUAGUUGAGUGAUGAACUCAUUAAGUUGUGUUGUGAGCUCUCGUUGCGACUUGUGUGCGUGGUGUUGCUGUGAUUUCUUGUCUUGAGUGCGUUGCUAAUCCCUACCUUGCUCUGUGCUUCUUUGUGAAUUUCAAGUGUAAGGGCGAGAGGCUCCAAGUUGUGGAGAUUCCUCGCAAACGGGAUUGAGUAAAGCAAAGCAAAACACCGUGGUAUUCAAGUGGGUCUUUGGACCGCUUGAGAGGGGUUGAUUGCAACCCUCGUCCGUUGGGACGCCACAACGUGGAGUAGGCAAGCGUUGGUCUUGGCCGAACCACGGGAUAACCACCGUGCCAUCUCUGUGAUUGUUUUCUUGUGGUUAUUGUGUUUUGUUGAGAUUCCUCUCCAGCCACUUGGCAUUUACUGUGCUAACGCUUAACCAAGUUUUUGUGGCUUAAGUUUUCAAGAUUUAUAGGAUCACCUAUUCACCCCCCUCUAGGUGCUCUCAAUAAUAUACUUUUAGUAAAAGUACUUGUUGGUCAUAUAUUAAAGUUCCUUAAUAGAACCAAAAUAGGACAACACGGUUAAAGUAAAAGGAUUCUUUCUCUAGGAGGACAAAUCUAGGUUGAAGGUUGAAAGUAAAUGCAAGGGAUUCGAAGCAGUCAAAUUCAAUUCAUGUUCAUCCUACUUUUUUAUUAAUUAAACGAUGUUACAAGACUACCUUCAGAAUGUUCAAAGACAAUAAAGACACACCUAAAUUUUAUAGCUUUGGACGUGCAGCGAUCCAUUAUGAAAAUGUAUAUCUCAUCUCAGGAAGAAUCUGGCUCUAUGCAUAGGCACAGUAAUUCUAUUUAUAGGGGGCAUGAUACACAUCUUCAUAUAAAAUUAUAAUUACAAUCUCGAAUCCUAUACUUGUGAACUACACGGUUCAUCAAAGGUAUUGCUAUCUUUUCUUCUUGGAGACGUGCUAAAUAUGUCGCUUGAUUCCUUCUUUGUUUUCUUGCCAUCCGCUUCACGUGUCACAAGGUGCUUCGGCUAAACACCAACGCCUAAGCUAGUAGUUUGAGGACUAGAAUCAUUCUAGGUCGGUAGAGGCUACUGUGAUGAAGAUCACUUUGUUACUCCUGAAACAAACCACAAAGCAAUGAGAUUAAUUAGUUUGAGUACCUUCGGCAAAGGUAUACCUCCAACAGUACUACAUAUUCGUAUUGGUGCUUUGUCUAUAUCUGAGUGAAAUUUUCAUUUUAUUGUUAAAAUGUAAACACAAUAAUAAUUUUUAAACAGAAUAGGUGUAAAGAGAUUUUCCAAAAUUUUGUUUUGCUAAAUACUACUCCGUCCCAAAUUAGUAUUCGAUUUAGCUCUUUGUUUUUAUGUCUAUAUUCAAAUGAAUGAUAAUAAAUCUAGGCACAUAUGCAAAACAUAUACAACAAUUUGAAUCCAUAAAUGGCUAAAACGAAUUUUAAAUUGGAAAAGGGGAAGUAAUAGGUAGUGAUCAUAUUUAAACAUGAUUGUUCUGCCUUUUGUAAUAGUAUACUACUAUCAGUAAAAGUACUACGUACUUGUAUUGAUGUUUUGGGUUGUUUGGUUUGCAGCCUCACCUUACAUUUUGUCACGUCUAAGGUUACACAUGUUUAACAGAGCUAGACAUGUGUUUGGUUUGCAGCCACAGUUCUGACAAGAUUUUUCUGCAAAUACGUAGGUCUCACGUUAAUAAUUUGUAAAAGUGUGACAAAAUUUAUUUUAGUCAUGUUAAGAUGUAAUGUAGAAUUUAGGCGGCUAACCUUAGUCAACUCAAGGUUGCCGGUGAGCCUCCCUCCAUACGACGCGAGGAGCCCUAGUCCAGCGGCGACGAACCUCGAUUGCCUCGAUUCAGCGUCGGUAAAUUUUAACCCGGCACCGGUGAGCCUCGACUGGGCACCGACAAGUCUCGAUGCGACGCCAACUCGACUGUCCAGUGUCCACGGAGGUGCACGAUCGAGGACCUUGCUUACGUAGGAGAGUUGAUUUGGCUCGCCUAUGCUGACAAAGAUUUUCUUGCCCGGGCGGGUAAGCUUGCCUAACAACUGGGUGAGGCGAGCGAGAGAGACUACCAAACAGCUUGUCUCGCCCAGCUAGGUGAUGCAAGCGGCUGGCAAGGGAUUUAAGCACAUCCGUAGUUACCUUCAUACUUGAGUGGAAGAUCUUGUGUUCUUAGUAGAGCUGUUGUUAGGAGGUACGAAUAAUUUUUUUAUAUCUAUAGAUCUGACCAAAUCUUAUUACAUAGCACCACCAAAUCUAUUAUAUAAGCUAAUAUUAAGCGUACUUUGAGCAUUGUGUUAUCCAGGUAUACAUAUAUAUAUAUAUAUAUAUAAAAACUCCGCGAACAAUUUAUUUAAACUCAAACGAAUUGCACCGUACAGGGAUAGAAAAUGGCACACGUAGGCGACCCAUCGCCUGUGGCCAUCCAGUUGCUUUCAGCUCUCCCUGUCCACAUGGUGCACCAACUUUCUAGCCUUAGAUUCAACUGACCAACCUCUUUUGUGUUAUCGUGUGUGUGACUCCUCCGUCACAAAACUCUGAAACGAAAGGACUCCGUGGGUUUAACAUAGGAUGCGUCUAGCAAUUUGGCUCCUGGUGGGCCCAAAACGGACAAAAUUGGCCUGGAUGGAUUCGUAAGGACCGUAGUGGGUCCUUCCAGUAGUUUCUCAACUAAUUAUAAGGCAUGAUUGAUACAUGUGGAUAAAGUUUUCUCUGAUGAUUGCAGCGGGACAUUACCCCCGGUUUUUUAGACGUGUACAGUCAAUUACCAUGAAACGACUUCAUUCUGGUUUAAAUAUGACAGGUAAAAGUAAAACAUCAUAAAAGUUCCGUGUGCGAGUGAAAGAGGGUAGACGAGACAAGCAGACAAGCGUUGGAUAUUUCUAGACCGGUCAGCUGUGGCUCUGCUUUGAAAAACAGCCUUGCCUUAUCCUGUAAGGCAUGUGGUCCCCCGGUUUUCAAAAAAAAAUGUUUUCUCUCUCUCUCGGAUCUGAUCUUAGGGGGAUCUAGUAUUUGUUUAGUUCAGUGAGCUUCAGCUCUUAGGCCGAAUCUAGGAAGAGUUUUGCUAAAUAGUACUUCUUCCGUUUUUUUACUUAACGUUUUUUAUUCAAAAAUAAACUAUUCGACGUCAAAUAUUUAAAAAUAAAGUAGUAGUAUUUCAAAAGAACCGAUUUUUUCGCAUGUUUGAGUAGAUUCGCUGGGGAAUUUGGUGUUGCCUGAAGCCCACUAGACGAGUGGCCCAUUGAUCCUGAGGACAUGGUGGCCGCCUUUGUGGUCCAGUAGGUAGGUUGAGAACUGUGUUUAGAAUAAGAGGACCACGGCACAACUUCUUAUUCUGUUUCAGUACCAAUGAUAGGAGGAAAUAAAGCAACAACUCACGUUCUACUUAGUUUUGUUCAGAAAUCAUAUCAUCUCUGUCCUUUGCCACAGCUGUCUGUCCUGGAGGAUUGGACCAGCCCCUGUGCGUGCUCGUCGCCGUCGUCGAUGGAUAGGCACCGUCCGUGCCGGGCGCUUGAUAGAGCUGUUGGCUGUUGCCGCUGGUCAAUAGUUCACUGCCAUGUUAGUUUACGAAUGUCUGUUGGGAUAAUCCACCUUCAUCGAUGAGUAGUACAGCAAUGUUUAGUCGUUGGUGUGACGCCGAUCUAAACCGCCGACCGUCAGUUGUAGCAAUACUUACACAACAGCGCAGUUGCCCACAACUGGAUAGCUUGCAUAGAAUGUUUAAAUAUAACUUAAUUAGAUAAAACGAAAUCCGUUGUAGUCUAGCUGGUCAGGAUAUUUGGCUCUCACCCGAAAGACCCGGGUUCGAGUCCCGGCAACGGAAUAAUUUUUUUGCCUGGUUGCAGGCCUACGUUUUGCAUUUCCUGUGUUUCGCCAGAGCUCGGUGGCCUCGUGCGGCAUCUGCGUCUGUGGCACGUCACGGCCGACGGCCUCCCGCGCGGCCUUAUGCGAAAUUAAACAGGACUUCUUAUUGAAGGAUGUUGAAUUCUUCAUUAUUUUCGAUAGAGAUUACAGAGACAACGAAAACAUAAUUUUGACACUAUCUAAAUAUACAACAGAUCUCUUUUAAAAGAGUUGGUAUGGCAAACUACAAUUCUAUAAACACACCAUUAUGUACUAGUAAAAAGUAGAGAUGACAAUGGGUACUACCUCAUACCCAAACCCACGAUACAAAAAUAACCCCAUCGGAUCACCCAUAUAAACUGACGGGUAUGGAUUUACCCCCAUACCAUACCCAUGUGGGUAUGGGUCACCCAUCGGGUCACGCGUACCCACAAAAAGUAAACAUCUAUCAAAAUAUUAUAUUAUACAGAUAUCAAGUAUAUCCAUCUAAAUACCAUUACAAAAUUUAUAGCAUCAUUUAACCAUCCAUUCAACACACCAAAGAUAAUUGGAUAAAGUAGUAACACUAGGAUAGUACUACAUAGCACAUUACAUGUUCCAUUACAUGGUCAUUAAAUUAUCGUUAAGCCUUCUAUGACAUUAUGACCUAGAAGUUUGUUAAAUAAAAGAUUGAUGACUAAAGUCCAAUUUCAUGCUUGGGCAAAGUUUAUAUUGGGUAUUUUAUACCCAUGGGUUAACGGGUAUGAGUGAAGGCAGAACAUUCUAAUACCUGUUUACCCUUUGGGUGAAGAUUUUUGCCUAAUAAUAGAUACACGGGUAGAAUAUUUAGCCCACAUACAUACCCUAAUGGAGUAAAUACCUAUCGGGUAUCGGGUCGCGGGUACCCAUUGCCAUCUCUAAUAAAAAGUCAUCUCUUCACGAAGGAUUGUUGUUAGAACCAAAAGAUGUAACAUGGUAUAGAAAUAUACCAUGUGUUUGGUUGCCGUAGAAGUCGAGUCAGUCCGGCAUGAGACUAGCUAGUAUUGUUAGAAUUAGGGUGAGUCAUGUAAGCAGUUUUGUUUGAUUGUUUGUACAUGUUUGUGCAGACUAGACACCGACUUUGUUUGGUUGUUUGCACUGAGACGUAGGUGCAUAAAUAAAUCUCUAAUAUUAUAUAGUAUGACUGGCCUAGUUUUAUUCACGAAAGUCUUAGGGACACAAAUAUAAAAUUAAUUAGGUGAUUAAAUAUUUUUAAUUAAAAGAUAUAAUAAAAAAACAAUCCAGAAUGUAUUCUUGUUUUAUGUGCCGCACGCAGCGGCCGACUGCAUCUAGCCUGGGCGCGCGCUUACGUGAAACGUGGGCGUAUGGCAUGGACCUGGCCGGAAGCCAAUAUUUGCAUCUGAGCAGCCUGCGUCUGUAAAGAAGAGUAAACAACACUUUACGGACCCACGAAUGCAACUGCAUGCGAGCAGCAGUCAAUCAAACACAUAGACAGUGGGUGCUCUUCAAUAUUUUGACUUUGACUAUACCUGAUAUUGCAUUCCGGCGUUCUCAAGGUAUAUUAGUAUCUGCAUGCUCCUACUACAAUGCAUCGGACAACAGUAAAGUUAAUAGUAAGAUAUAUCAAAUCUUAUACUAAUCUCGGUGUGAAGAUUUGUAAAUCUCUGUCAAUGAUAGUAAACGGUUACCUAGAUGCAGACAGGCCCGGCCCUGAGGGUAGGCAGGGUAUGCCGCCGCUCAGGGCCCCCAAAAGUUAGUAGGGCCCCCAGUCCUACCUAAAUAGAUAUAUACUCUUAUAUAUAUGUAUGGUAUAUAUUUAUUCUAUUCCCAAAAUCUCUAGCCGCUGCUCGCUGGUAACCAUUGUUAAAGAUAUUGCAAAUGAUUUUGGUGUAAAUACAUCAUUUCCAAUAAAGCGUAAAACGGUGAGAAAGAAACAAUUUGAUGAAAGUAGGUGCCACGAAGAAAUUCUAGAAAAUGAGAGAGCUUUUCAAGUCAACUAUUUUUUGGUAUUAGUUGACAUGACGAGCACUUCUUUGAGGACCAGAUUUGAAGAACUCUCCAUGUUUAGGUAUAUUUGGGUUUUUAUUGAGCUCAAGCACACUAAGCUCACUAAAUGAUAGAGAACUUGAAGAGUUUUGCACUAAAUUUGCAAACACUUUCUCUCAUGAUGGUUCAUGUGAUGUUGAGUUAAAUAAUUUGAUUUCUAAAUUGAAUAUUCUAAAGUUUACUUUGCCUAACGACACAUUAUCUGCUGUGGAGAUUUUUGAGCAUAUCAGAGUUGUGGAUUGUUAUCCUAAUGCCUCUAUUGCUUAUAGAAUAUUAUUUACUGUGUUUGUUACUAUUGCAUCUGCUGAAAGAAGCUUCUCAAAAUUGAAGUUACCGAAUAAUUAUUUAAGAUCAGCAAUGAGUCAAGAAAGGUUGAAUAGUUUGACGCCUUUAUGAUCGAGAAGAAGCUAUUGAAUGAUAUCGAUAUCAAUAGUAUAAUCGAUGAUUUUGUAUCAAAAAAUGUUAGAAGAAAUUUUAUAAGAUGAGAAGUGUCAAGUAAAUUUUUAUUAUUUCAGCCAAUGUUAUUUUAUAAACAAUAAUGUGUAAUAUUCUAUAUUACAGUAACUUAUAUACAGUUUCUUUACUGAUAUGUAUUUAGUAGAUGUAUAGAUGAUAUAUACAUAUAUCUAAUUAUAUGGGGCCUCUAUAUAAUUUUUUGCUUAGGGCCCCCGAAAUGUUAGGACCGGCCCUGGAUGCAGAUUAGACAAAUUGUUUAGAUGAUAUUAGAUCUACAUGAGGUUUUGCUAUUUUUCUAGGGAAUAAUCUUGUUUUCUAGGAUGCAAGGAAACAUGCAACGUAAUGGAAAAAAAGUGAAUACUACCGUCGAGAUGACGUGGAUACAAACCUUACUGUUUAAACCACAAUUUUCAAGUCCUUUUUUAUGAAGGUAUGGGUUGGCAAGACAGGUGCAAAGCACCUAGUAUUUAAUCCAGUUUUUUUCAUGCCAGAACAAAACACAUUAAAGUUGAUUACCCUUUUGUUAGAGAACGAGUGGUUAGAAAAAUAAUUGAUGUCGAUUUUGUGUAUAUAGAAGAUCAAAUCGUUGAUAAGUUCAUAAAAGCUCUCACUAUAAGAAAGUUAGAAAAUUUGAAGUACAAUCUUAAUCUAGGGGGGGGGGGGGGGGAAUGCGAUCGAGGGGAUAUAUGCCGUGUUUGGAUCGGCUUUUGGUGGACUUCUGGCCGCCAGAAGCUGGAAGCCCAUCCAAACAGCUAGCUUCGUGACCAGAUUCUUUCCACCACGCGGCGGCUCGCAGCAGCUUCACCACAGCGGCCAAGAAUCGGCCAGGCGGCCAGCAGCCCACGUCCAUGAGAAGUUAGACGACUUCUCACCUUAAGCCGACACGGAAGCAAACUAUUUAGGGAUGAAACCAAAUUAGUUGUAAUGAACAUCACAUGUGUUAUUUGUGGAGCAAACUAACCAUCAGUUUCUUCCUACAGCCAGCUUAUCAAACAUCUAGAUCCUUGUUUUUGCAGGUAAAUACUAUCUUGUAGCCUUGUUCAUGAUGUACACGAUCGAGGCUUUGACCAAUAUGUACAUAGUAGCCUUGUUCAUGAUGUACCCGUAUCAAACACCCAGAUUCUAACCACCAGUUUCUUUCCACAGCAGCCGAACCAAACAUCUAGAUUCUAACCACCAGCUUCUCACUACAGUCAGUUUUUCCCUACAGUCAGCUUUUUAGAAAAGCUCUUCAGAAAAAAGCCGAACCGAACAUGCCCAUAAAAUAGUAUAGCUUCGAUUUCAAUCACACGUGAUGUAAUUGAUUGUAUUCUUUAAAAGAUAAGGAAUAAAUUUGAUUUAAUUUAAAUAAAGACAGAAAGAUAUAGUAUCUAAAUUAAACCUUAGUUAUAUUUAAAUUUGUAAACUAAAGCAAUGGUGAUAGCAUCGUAGCUCCAUGACUGGUUCAGAGAUUAGGGAUAGCACUGGUGGCUCAGGAUUACCUGUAGGAUCGACAAUUUGUCACGUGUUCUGUUUCUGUUGUCUUUGUGCGUUAUUGUGGAAUUAAACACCCUCUGUUGUUUAGAGCUGACGAAUGUUGUAGCUGUGGGUUCAUGUGGUACCAGUACCUUUUUCUUUGUCUGUGAACACUGCGCAUGUUUCCUCAGGCAUGUUCACCUUUACUGAAAAAGAAUUUUUUUUUGUGGGGGGGGGGGGGGGGGGGGGUCAAUCUUUUAUGCCAGUGGCACAUUGCCUUUUCUUCUUCGUUGUGCCUUUUUUUUUUAAAAAAAUUACUGCUUCGAACACAUAAUAUGCGUCGAAGUCUCUGCGACAAUGUUGCAACAGGAACCAAACUACUUGCAAUCUUGAACCAAACAAGUGCUCUGCUAUGCUAUGCAUACCCGACAUAUUUCCUCACAAACAAGAAAAAGAAUACCGCCAAGGGAGAGAAGAAAAAAAUAACCAAGAAACGAAUAUGAUGCGCAGUAAAAAGCAACCAGAAACUGCACGAAUUCACGCAAGCAACCGGGUCAAACGCGGCCAAAACUCCCGGGGGUUCUUGUGCUUCCAACCAGAAACUGCACAGGCACAGCUCCUUCCUUCAUCACGUUUUAAGUGCUGGACGAGUACCCGACUUUCUUGUCGUCGCGGUGCGGAACAACGGUCCUGGGAGCGUCGACGUGCAUCCUCAGGGAGCUGAACUCGAGCGCGAAGAUGGGCCUGGACAACAGGACCGAGAUGCUGUGGCUUCGGGCGUCCAAGUCGGCUGCCACGCUGGACCCGGAGCUGCUGACCUCGCCGUCGGAUUUUUCCUGCUGGGGCUCUGUGGUUCUUGCACUCCAGAUCCUAGCAGGCUUCACAGGGCGCACCCUGUGGAAGGAAACAGUCAACAGUGCGUCGAAUACGGGUAGAUCGUACGCCAUCAAUGGAUAGCUCACUAGCCCAGGACGUUCACAGAGUUUUGUUUUUUGUCAUCACCUGCAUUCUACUUGACAGGAGUACUUGAGAAGAUCAGGAUGGUCCACUGUACGUCCGCUGAAAUUCGCAAAGCAAGCGAGACGUGCCUGUUUCAGAAACAAUACGUAUUUUGACGAGGACUCUUUUUUUUCCCCUUCUUCUUGCCCUUCUUUCGAUUUCUCAGUAGAAAUCUGCGCAUGGCUACGUAAAUUCUUUCUUUGAAGGAAAUCAUGGGGGAAUACGGUUUGGUUCGCCUGACCUGAAACUCGGGAGUGACAUUCUGAUUGCUGGGCCCGCCCACUGGUGGUCCUUAUGUGAUCCUGCUGUCGCCUCCAUAUGGUUAGAAAGUGAAGUAAAAGCAUUGGAUCAACAAAGCAGAGGCUCGUGUCGUGAGUAGCGCGUCUUGAGAGUGAAAAAGGAUAGAUAGCAUUAGGAAACAUGUCGUUCUGAAAGACAUACAGGAAAACCUCAUCGUAUUUGACAUCCACAUCAGUGAAGAAGUGAGGUCAAGAGUGAUUUGACAAAAUCCAAUGCGACAGAUUCAGACUACUAUAUAUAUAGUUUAUGUAUUUUGAGCCCUAGGCUUUUAAUAGUUGAGCGGAAGCCCUGACCCGAUGUUGCCAACCGGUUCAGCCGCAUCUCGUCCAAAGUGUUUAUAAAAGAAGCUCUAGAUCGCUAGCCGCUAGGGUUCAGUUACGUCGACAGUUACGCCCCCACCCCUGAGGGGCGCGCGCGACGGCGGAUCCUGGGAGCAAGCGCGCGACGGCGGAUCUGGGGGACACGCUUGCGACGACGGAUCAGGGGACACGCUCGCGACGGCGGAUCCCUGAGGCGCGCACGACAGCGAGGUGGGAGCGACUGCGGCAUCGGAUCCCGAGGGCACGCACACGACAGCGGCCCCAUGAGGUGCGCACGACGGUGAUGUGGCAGCGGUCGCGGCGGCGAAUCUCGUGGGGCUCGAGCGCGACAGCGUCUCCCUGAGGUGCAGGCGGUAGCGACCCCUUGAGGUGCGCACAACGAUGACGUGGGAGCGGUUGCGGCGGCGCGACGGUGGAUCUCAGGGGCAUGUGAGCAACAAUGACACCCCUAAGGCAUGCAUGACGACGAGGUGGGAGCGGUUGGUGCAACGGAUCUCGGGAUUCAUGCGCGCGAGGGUCGACUCCUGAGCGCAUACAACUGCGAUGCCAUCCAAGGUGGGAGCAGCGAUGGCGGAUUUCCCUAGGCGCAAGCGACGACGGCAUCCUCCCCUAGGCACGAAGUGGUGGCGCAUCCCAGAUGCAAGGCGUCGGUUCCGCAGGCCGGUGAUCAUAUUUUUAUGCUAUUUUGUAUACAUAUUUAUACCAAUGUCAAUAGAAUUUUACGACCUAUAUUUCAGUUCAUGGCUCCGCUUCCAUCUAUUAGUCUGUUUAUGAUAUUUCUAUUCAUAUUUUACGCAAACGAUUUAUUGUUUUAUGCAUUAACUCGUUCAUUAAUCUAGUGUGUAUUGGAUUCCUACCAUUUAUGCCAUAUGUAUAAGAUAUAUUUACGACCCACACAUUAACGCAAUAAAAUAGAAAUUUAGAAAGAAAAAAUAACCGCUAUAAGAAAUGAGGUCAUUUGCCACAAUUCCAUAAAUCUCGCAUAUGCUGAUCCAUUUUCUUUUCAGCUCACAUUAUUGCCAUCCUAAAUUUGAGCACAUGCAGUACAAAACCGAUUUUUUACGCAGUCCACCGUAGGACAUAAAUAACUUCACCGUGUUGUAUAACUAGUAUCAGUAUAUAUCAUAAACUGGUUAUAAUGAGCCUUAAUGCAUGGAUGUUGGAGAGAUCUUAUAUUUAUAGAGGAAAUAAAGCAUUGAAAUCAGAUUUUUUUUAUUUCCAUACGUGUUUUCGUUAUGAAAUAGAUCGAUGAUUUACACUAAAAUGUAUACCCAUUUAUACUGUUUUGGUUCACGUUUUCUGAUGAUAAGUCAUCUUACUGGGCACUAGUUCUGGUUAAAAAAAGAACAGUGCAUUUUGCAUGUUCAAAAAUGUUAUUUUGAAGAGUCCACGUUCAGUAAUAUAGCCGAAAAAAAAGUUCAGGGAAACGUAGCUCAAAAGGAUAAGGAAACAAGCACAACAUUUGAGCCUAGCAAUUACUGUAUAACCGUAUCAACGUGGUUUCGAUAGAUUAAGGGCAUGUUUGUUUCCUCGCUGGAUUGUAUAAUCCAACUUAUUUUAUAUAGAUUAUAUAAUUCAUAAUCCUAUUAGAGAUGUUUAUUUACGCAAAUUAUUAGCAGGUAAAACGCAAACAAUUAAUUUAAAAUAACCAUCUACUGAUCUGCUUAUGGAUUUAUCACAAUCUAGGUAGAGGUGGUAAUGAGCUUUAAAUUUUAUACUACAAAAUUUAAGGAUCAGAUCGGGAUCUAUUUCUAUUUAUUUUUAGACUAAAAUUAAGUAAGGGAUCAAAUAUAAUGUGGAAAAAAAAUAAUAUUUGGAUCGUGAUCUAUUACCACCUAUAAAUCUAGGUAACUAGAUUAUAUAAUCUACUUCAAUAAUCUAUGUUGUUUGUUUGCACGCUUAACUUAUUUAAGCUCGAUUAUAUAUGAUAUAGAGGGUAAACAAACAGUACCUAAAUGGAUAAGAAGACUGUUACCGGUAAAUGGCAGGCUGAUGUUGCACAGAUGCCGAGUAGACGAGCCGCCCUUGGACUCUGAAACCUCAAUCUCGCGGCCAUUCCCUUGCUCGAAGGCUGUCGACCCGAUCCCCAGCAUGUUGAGGAAGCUGUUUGGUCUAGCCAACGGUCUAUCCCCAAGCGAAGCAGCCUCGUUCUGUCUCAUCAUGUGACACAGACAGGUUACAAGUCUCACGACAGCGACAUUUUGCAGUCCUAAUCAGCUGCCACAAGCGUUCGGAAUGUAGCAAGUAGCAACGGCUUUGGUAUCUCGGUACCUUUGACGAGAAUGUGGCGACAUGGCUUGGCAGUCCUACCUCCUGCAGAGAUCGGGACGACGGCUCCAGUUCAGUUCAGGGAAAGGGAAACAGCAGGACAAGAAACGUGACACAGAGGAGUUCCGGUGGUCAAAGUAACCUUGCGGCCGUGCCGGCAGGCUUCGACGCUGUUCACCAGCACCCUGGCAGCCCACCUGAAAACAAGCUCAUACAGUAGUAGAUCAGAAGCAGCAAGAACUGAAAAAAAGCUCAGUCAAGCAAGUCACCACUAUUCAGAGUUCCAUCCAACUGCUGCAUUUCGAAGACGGAGGAAAGUAGGAAACCACGGGCGGCUGUAGGCUGUAGCUGAGCUGCGCAGGGCAGCAAGUUGGCCACGCGGAGCAAGUGCAGCGCACCCGGACACCCCUCCCCAGCCUACGAAUAAUUGAAAGAAGCAAGGCACAGUCCGUGCUGCCAAGUACAAUCAUAUGGGGGAUAAGGCGCUUGUUUAUGGCCGGCUGGCGCAAGCACGAGGGUUUUCGUUUUUUUUCUUUCCCCUUCGCAUACUGCAAGUUGCCCCUGUUCUUUUCUGUUGGGGGGUCCCUGAUCGAGGCCAAUCAGGCAGGAGAAAGCGGCGAAGAAGCCUACAAGGGAUUAAACUAGGCCACAGAAGAUGCGAAUGCAAUGCAGGCAUGAAGCGGAGCGAAGGCGAACUCACGCGCAGGAGGUCGGCGGGUUCCACACAAUGCCGGCGAUCACCACGAGCUGCAGGCGCCAAAAAAAAAGGGUGUCGGUCGGUGGGUCGGCCGGGUCGUCGAACCGAAUCUUGCAGGAACAUUAGAUAGAACCCGCAGCAGCAGCCAAUGGCGGCGGCAGGCGCGGUGCGCGCAGGCAGUAUACCUCGUCGAAUUCGCCGGCAGGGCUGUCGUGGUAGCGCGCCAGGAACAUGCCGCCGAGCGUGUAGCCGAAGGCCUCAACCAGGCGGAGGUCCCGCGGCACGAAGGCCCGCGCCGUCGACGCCUUCACCAAAUGCAGCUGGUACAAUGCGCUGCAGUGCAGCAGGAGGAGGAAGGAGAGCGCGGCGGCGAGAGACCAUCACCCAUCAUCCAUCACGCACUGGCUCGAUCGAACAGGUGGGGGGAAAGAAGAAAAGAAAAAAAAGGAAAGGAGAGCUGCGGGCCUUGCCUGCCUUUGAACACCCAUGGCGGCCCGUGCUUGUACCCCGCGCAGGCCGUCUCCUUCUCCUCGUUCUCCGCCGCCAUGGAUCCCCCUUCCUCCUCACGCUCUCGGCAGCUAGCUAGCUAGCUAGACAGACAGACAGACUCUCCGCGAACGCAAGGGAAGCGGCCCCGCCACUGGACAGGGAAGGAGAGUCAAAGGGCGGCCCUGGGUUUAUAGGCAGGCAGGAGCUGGUGGAGUGGGAGGAGGGCGAAUGGAAGGGGAGGCAGGGGGCGAUGAAUGCUGAUGCACUGACUGAUGCUGGGACGCAGGUCGCGGCUUAAACAAGUGGUUGUCGCCGCGGCUUUGCGGCUCGCGAGCUUUGGUUCGACGGAGGGGACGGGAGGCGAGAGGGGAUGGGAGCCCGGGCGGACCUUAUCCGGUGGACAGGUGGCACCAGCCUAGAGGCCACGGGUGCGGGUGACGUCAUCCGUCGAGAUCCGAGCGGGGCCCACGCUUUGCUGUCUCAUCGUCCGCGUCGGUUCCCUGCCGCUGAUCAGCUCCCGGACCCGGAGUCCGGACCCCGGACAAAGAUGUGGCGGGCUGCUUGUUUGAUUGCGGGGCCGGGGCGCCGCUGUGUUUUCCCUGCUGCUGUUUUCGGGAUCUUGGAUUAGUCAACCAAGGCCACGGCCAUGAAAGCCACAGCGGAGCGGGGGCAGCGUGCGGCAUGCGCUGUGUGCCGGUCAUGGCAACGAGACCUGAACUCCGCGGGAAUUUAUCUAUUAGGACAUGUUCCCAAUAUAAUAACGAGAUUUAGCGUUUUUAUCAGGCGUGUACAAACCAAGUCAUAAAACCAGAUACUCCCUCCUUUCUUUUUAGUUAUCGCUGGAUAGUUCCAUUUUGUACUAUCCAGCGACAACUAAAACGAAACGGAAAGAGUACAUAAUGCUUUUGCUAAAUCUAUUAGCUUCAUUACCAAACAAAAACGUGAGAAAGAGCGUCUACACAACAUCUUUGAUUAUUGAAAGGAAGGCAAGUUCCUAACCCUGUCAUACCGUAGCAAAUGGACUAAUUUGUGGGUAAAGAAGUGGUUUUACAUGAAAAAUAAUUUUAAAAGCGGUGAACAUAUCAAGGGCAUAAUUCAAAUGCUUAUCAAGCCCAAUUUUGGAUUUAAGAGGUCGACUUGUUAUAUGAGUAUGACUGUCUUUAAUAUUGUUUGCACCUAUACAUCGGAACACGAGAUCGGGUUCAAGAGCAUUUAGCUUUGAAUAUCUGGACGCUGAGGACUGAGUGGGUGAAAGUUGUCUAGAGAGGGGGUGAAUAGACGAAACUUGAAAAUUACAAACUUUGAACAUAAACUUCACCCAAGGUUAGCGUUAGAACGAGUAAUGACGAAAUUAGAGUGCAGAAGAUAGUUCUACUGCCAUGGAUUGAUCAAUCAAUUCGCAUAACUUUGGGAGUUAACUCAAAAUGAUCACAAGCAAGAGAACUCAGAGAGAUGGGAGAGGAAGAAUCAAAUCACAAUGCAAGAUUAACAUAAAGACACAGGUGAUUUGUUUCCCGAGCUUCAGUUCCGAAGAACCUACUCUCCAUUGAGGAGGCCACGUAGGUCGGGUCUUUUUCAACCUUUUUCCUCUCUCAAACGGUCACUUAGACCGGUUUAGUGCUUCUUCUUAAUCUCGAGGGUCACUUAGACCCCGCAAGGACCACCACAUAAUUAGGUGUCUCUUGAUACCUUUACAAGUCAAUGAGAAUUUAGAAGAAGAGGAAGAAAGCACGAUCAAGAAACCAAGCAACAAGAGCAACAAUAAAACACAAGGUCACACUCUUUAUAGUGUCUCUAUAAAGCGCUAAUCACUAAAGAUUACAAAUCACAAUUAUGGCACUUGGAGGAGUUUUGAGACUUUUGAGUGUGCUUGAAGUGAAGAGUUGCUCUUGCAAUGAAUGAGAGUUAUGGAAGUUUGGAUGAGUUGAAUGGAGGUGGUUGGGGUUGUAUUUAUAGCCACCAACCUUUUCCUAGUUGUUGCCCUUGUUCUGCCACGUGUGGUUGGUCCGCGCUCCUGGUUCGGACGGUUCGCCCCUGCACAUCAACGAUUGGAUUUUGCAACGGUCAGUUAUAAUGGCUAAAAUCACAUUAAAUGUCUCGUCGAAUGUCAGAUAAAGUCUGACGUGGACGACCCGGUCGUGCCUCCAAAUGGUCCGCGUGUGCGUUAUAAUUCAUUUUACCGAACCAGACACCUUCGGGUUGUUCUGUCUUUCAACGAUCGGAUGGUUCCCUCCUGAGGCCGGACAGUUUUCACAUGACUUCAGACGGUACUAUUCUUUCCUUCGGAUAGUCCGUAGUAGAAAAGUGCAUUUGGCAUAGUAUCUCUCCGAAGUCCAUCGAGGUGUCACAGACAGUCCGCCGAAAGGGCUCAGACGGUCCGAGCACAUGUGAAUUUUCUAAAAAUAGCUCAUGUCCAGAAUAAUCUAUGUAAUUCCGGACAGUCCGCUUUAGAACCUCAGACAACCCACGAAGCGCUGUUUUGAUGGUUAAUCUUUCUUGAAGUAUUUUCUGAGUUCCUGAGAUCAUAACUUGCUAAACUAGUUAGCUAAAUUGGUUGUGAUGGUCGUCAAUUACCAAAAAAUAGUGGAAAUGGUUUUUAGGCCUAUUUCCCUUUCAGUGGGCGACGUUAGAGCCGAAGGAAGGUAGCACGAUGAAGCAAGAGGCAAGUCUUGUUAGGUUGAAAUAUACGUAUAAGUUCAAAAAAUAGUUUGGGAGCCAUGCGACAAAUGGUUGAAAGCUAUCGAGGAUAAAUGCAAUGAAAUCCUUGGAUUUCAAUAAGAAAGGAGACGAUGUUUUUCCCGCUGCCCUCGGAGAAAUGAUGGUUGAACCGCGUGUUCGACACCAUCGGUUUGUUUACCUUGACUACCCGAGCUAACACUAGGUGGGGGAAAUAAAAGGAAGCAGAAAAAAUUAAGAUGAUGACCAAACAUCGCAAAAUCUUUGCUACAGAGGAAGGUGAACAUGCUAGGAAGAAAGUUAAUUUUGAAGAAAGAGCAGCAGAUGUCGAGCUGAGGCUAACUAUUAGGACUUGAGAAAUAUCGAGGGCACAUAAUGACAUUUUGCUCGACUUUUACUAAUGCUUAGAAUUUGUCAUACGAUACCUUUCUUUGAUGGCUUGUUCACAUUUUUAUAGGAAAAUUUUGAGACUAAAGAAGUUAUUGAAUUGUCUAUACUUUGAUGAAACUUCUUUGGCCAAAAUUGAAGCAAAGCCAAAGAAAAGCCUUGACUCCGACACCUGGAGCAAAAACCCUAAGGAAAGAUAGACAUAUAAAUCCUAUGAUGAAUGCCUUUCUUUACGAGGAUACACAUGAGGAGACUACUGAAGCAGAAGCUACUUCUAAGGCUUUGGGAGAUAAGACAGCCACCACAACAAUGGUGGUGGCCAAAGAAAUUGAUGUUUGCAUGGCGAUCACGCCAACAACGGAAGCUAAAGAGAUGCCCAUGGCCGCACCAUUAGUGGUACCAGAAAAGGUCGAAGCCAAGGACAACUCUCCAAAGCAAGAUAUUAUUCCCAAAAAACAAUGAGGGUGAAAAGGCUGUGGAGGCCAAAAGGGCAAAAUAAACGGAGGAAGAGAAAUUCUCCAAACACAGGACUGAAAGGGAAAUGUGCCCUUGGGCCAUUUCUAUAAGUUUUUGGUGAUUAAGUGCCCAACACACAUUAAGGGAAUGAGUAUAUGCCAAAGGGUGGACAAAGUGCAAAUCAAUACAAAGGUAUGAUUCUAUACUUAGUACAUUAGUUUUUGUGUACUAACAUAUUUGUCUAAGUGCUAGAAUCAGAGAAAAGACAAUUGGAAAAGACUUGGCUCGAGCAGCCAAGACUCUGCUCAGUCUGGGUACACCGGACUGUCUGGUAGUGCACCGGACAGUGUCCGGAGGUGCACCGGACAGUGUCCGGUGCGCCAGGCUGGCUCUGGUGAAAAGGCCGCUCUCGGGAAUUCGUCGGCGGCGUACGGCUAAAAUUCACCGGACUGUCCGGUGAGCCAACGGUCGACCGAGCCAACGGUCAGCCGCGCAAUCCGCGCGUGACGCGUGGCCGGGCCAACGGUCUGAAGGGGGCACCGGACUGUCCGGUGUGCACCGGACAGUGUCCGGUGCGCCAACGGCUCCAAAUCGCCAAUGGUCGGCUGCGCCAAAAUAGGAAAGAAAUCUGCACCAGACAGUGUCCGGUGGUGCACCGGACUGUCCGGUGCGCCAGUCGACAGAAGGCAAGAAUUGCCUUCCUAGAAUGCUCUCAACGACUCCUAGCUACCUUGGGGCUAUAAAAGGGACCCCUAGGCGCAUGGAGGAGAACACUAAGCACACUUUGAGCAUUCUUGAUCAUUCACACUUCGUUCUUGCGCACUCGUUUGACAUUCUUAGUGAUUUGAGCUAUGUUCUAGUGAGAACUUUGAGAUACUCAUUUGAACUCAAGUCUUGGCCGUGUGUGUGUGUAUUGCUGUGGACUUGUGUGUGUUGCUCAUCCCAUCCUUACUUCCGUGUUCAUUUGUGAUCAUCUUUUGUAAGGGCGAGAGACUCCAAGUUGUGGAGAUUCCUCGCAAACGGGAUAUAGUGAAAGAAAAAGAAAUACCGUGGUAUUCAAGUGGAUCUUUGGAUCACUUGAGAGGGGUUGAUUGCAACCCUCGUCCGUUGGGACGCCACAACGUGGAGUAGGCAAGUGUUGAACUUGGCCGAACCACGGGAUAAACCACUGUGCCUCUCUGUGUUGAUAUCUUUGUGGUUAUUGUGUUUUGCAAGAACUCCUUUCUAGCCACUUGGCUUUAUUGCUCUAACACUUAAUCAAGUUUGUGGCAUUAAGUUUUAAGUUUUUACAGGAUCACCUAUUCACCCCCCCUCUAGGUGCUCUCAAUUGGUAUCAGAGCCGUUCUCUUCAAGAAAGGGACUAAUCGCCCGAAGAGAUGGAUCCUAAGGGAAAGGGGAUGGUGGUCAACGACAAUGAGAAGGAGUCCAUCUUCAACGAGCCAAGGGACGGCAAAGUCAAUGACUCCGACUCAAGUCAAAAGAAGAAAGAUGGAAAGAAGAAGAGACGCAUCAGGAAGGUUGUCUACUACGACAGCGACAAAUCUUCCUCUUCUCAAAAGGACGACAAAUACGAGGAAAAGAAGAAAACAGUUAACUCUAACUUUUCCUUUGAUUAUUCUCAUAUUCCGCAUAAUUCCAAUGCUCAUUUGCUUUCUAUUCCACUUGGUAAACCUCCUCACUUUGAUGGAGAGGACUACGGAUUUUGGAGUCACAAAAUGCGUAGUCAUUUGUUCUCUCUUCAUCCAAGUAUAUGGGAGAUAGUAGAAAACGAAAUGCAAUUUGAUAGUUCAGAUAAUUCUAUGUUUAUCAAUGAACAGAUCCAUAAGAAUGCACAAGCUACUACUGUUCUUCUAGCAUCCUUGUGCAGGGAAGAAUACAAUAAGGUGAGCGGCUUAGACAAUGCCAAGCAGAUCUGGGACACCCUCAAGAUCUCACAUGAGGGGAACGACGUUACCAUGCUCACCAAGAUGGAGUUGGUGGAAGGCGAACUAGAAAGGUUCGCAAUGAUCAGGGGGGAGGAGCCAACCCAAACGUACAACAGGCUCAAGACCCUCGUCAACAAAAUAAGGAGCUAUGGAAGCACGCGAUGGACGGACCACGACGUCAUCCGACUUAUGCUAACGUCCUUCACCGUCCUUGAUCCUCAUCUUGUUAACUCUAUUCGUGAUGUUAGGACGUUUAUGCCCCCAGGCAUCUGGAUUAUCCCUAGGAUAUUCCCAUAAUGGAGGGUUACAGACUGUCAUUAUAUGAAAGUCAUUACAAAUCGGGCCCGUAACACACAUCGCCGUCGCGGGGCCUAAUACGACGGGCCGCUUCCCACAUGGACCUCCAGGCUAGGUGAGGACGUGGGAUGACGGGACUUCAUCGUGGCCCUUCGUCUUGCGAUGAGAAGGACGAAGGGUAGCCUGCGCCGGUCAUCUAGCUUCCGUAGGUGCGCAGAGUUGACGAGGGCUUCGAGCGAAGGGUAGUGUCUUUGCCUUCGCCCCAACAUUUGCCCUUCGAGGGACCAGUUCGACUAAGUCAUCUGGUGCCGAAGACGUCGCUAGAUGGUGGAGACGCUGCCCUCGCUCGAAGUGGUUCCGUGGGGGUUUUUGAUGUGACCGUUGAUGAACGUAGUACUGUUGGACUGUGGGUUUCCCGAAGCGUCGCGUACUGAGUAUAAAAAGGUGGGGCAGCGCGGGUCAGGUUCUCUUACCUUUCUAUGUGUCGCGAAACCCUAGCCUCCUUUUGAAACCGUGCACCCGCUCGCCUACCCUCCUUGCUCCUUGAGAGCACCUAGAGGGGGGGGGGUGAAUAGGUGAUCCUGUAAAAGUUCAAAACUUAAGCCACAAAAACUUGUUAAGGGUUAACACAAGUAUGACCAAGUGGCUAGAGAGAACUCAAAACAAGAUAACCACAAGAAAGCAAUCACAGAGUUGACACGGUGGUUAUCCCGUGGUUCGGCCAAGUACAAAACUUGCCUACUCCACGUUGUGGCGUCCCAACGGACGAGAGUUGCACUCAACUCCUCUCAAGUGAUCCAAUGAUCAACUUGAAUACCACGGUGUUUUUCUUUCCUUUGAUCUUUUCCCGUUUGCGAGGAAUCUCCACAACUUGGAGUCUCUCGCCCUUACAAUUGAGUUCACAAAGAAAUACGGAGUAAGGUGGGAAUGAGCAACGCACACAAGACUCGAAAAUCAGAGCAACAACACGCACACAAGUCGCAACAAGAGCUCGCAACGCAACACAAAGAGUUCACAACUCCACAAGAGCUCUAUAUGCUAUCACAAUGAAACGAAUGCGUGAGAUUGAUGUCUUGGUGCUUAGAAGAGUUGUAGGAAUGCUUGGUAUUCUCCUCCAUGCGCCAAGGGGUCCCUUUUAUAGCCCCAAGGCAGCUAGGAGCCGUUGGGAACAAAUCUGGAAGGCCAUCUUUGCCUUCUGUCUCGUGGCGCACCGGACAGUCCGGUGCACACCGGACACUGUCCGGUGCCCGAUUUGUUUCCAUAGAAAGCGAAGCCGACCGUUGCCGACCGUUGCAGAUCUGGCGCACCGGACAGUCCGGUGCACACCGGACAGUCCGGUGCUCCCUUCCGACCGUUGGCUCGGCCACGUGUCGCGCGCCGAUCGCGCGGCCGACCGUUGGCCCGGCCGACCGUUGGCUCACCGGACAGUCCGGUGCACACCGGACAGUCCGGUGAAUUUUAGCCGAAGUCGCCGGAGAAAAACCCGAGAGCGGCUGGUUUGCGCUGCGCUGAUCUGGCGCACCGGACACUGUCCGGUGCACACCGGACAGUCCGGUGCCCCAGCCCGAAGCAGCCUUUGGCUGUACACAGCCACUCUCCACUUCUUUUCUUUUCUUCUUUCUCCUGUUUCUAACACUUAGACAAGAUGUUAGUACACAAAACUAAUGUACUAAGGCUUAGAAACAUACCUUUACUUGUGAUUUACACUUUGUUCAUCCAUGAGCAUAUUUUCACAUUUAGGCCCUUGUGUUUGCACUCAAUCACCAAAAUACUUAGAAAUGGCCCAAGGGCACAUUUCCCUUUCAAUCUCCCCCUUUUUGGUGAUUUAUGCCAACACAACAUAAAGCAAGUGGAACAAGUGCAAAAUCACUUCAAAUAAAAACUCAAAUUGGUUUUGAUUCAAUUUUGGCAUAUAUGGAUCAUCCUUUGCCACCACUUGGUUUGUUUUUGCAAAUCAAACUCAAAUCUCUAUCUAUAAGUCAAACACACAUAUUGAAGCAUAAAGAGAGUCAUUUCAAAAGAAUUUGACCACGGAUUUCAAAAACUCCCCCUUUUUCCCAUAAUCAACACUUCUCCCCACAAGAAGCCAACUUUUGAAAAUAGAGACAAUAAGAGACAAUAAAAGCUUUUGACAAAACAAAAACUCUAUUCUACUAUUUUCAAAAUCUCUCAAGUGGUAGCUGAUCCAUUUAUCACUUUGGCCUUUAUUUUCUCCCCCUUUGGCAUCAAGCACCAAAACGGGAUCAAUCUUGGCCUGUUAACCCCAUUGCCUCACCAAAGUCUUCAAGUAAGAGCAAAUGGCAAUAAGAUUUCAUGAGAUGAACUUGGAAUUAGUUACCCUCUCAUCGGAGUGCAGUGGAAGUCUUUCAUGGUCCAAGUCCACCUUUUCCCUUUCAAUCCUCCUUCGAGACUAAAUUAUCAAACUCAAGCACAUGGUUAGUCUCAAAGGGUCAAGUUGUAACACAUCUCCCCCUACACAUGUGCAUCACUUUGCAACGGACUUGUGAGGUCCAGGGAGUGUUUGUACAACUUGAGCACCAUAAUAAGCAACAUAAUGCAAAAAGGAACAUGAUCAAAAGCAUAACUACAUGUAUGCUACAAUUCAAUCCAGGUUCCGCGAAUCUAAGACAUUUAGCUCACUACGCAACCUGCAAAAGGUCUUCUCAUCUAGAGGCUUAGUGAAGAUAUCGGCUAGCUGGUUCUCGGUGCUAACAUGAAACACUUCGAUAUCUCCCUUUUGCUGGUGGUCUCUCAAAAAGUGAUGCCGGAUGUCUAUGUGCUUUGUGCGGCUGUGUUCAACAGGAUUUUCCGCCAUGCGGAUAGCACUCUCAUUAUCACAUAGGAGUGGGACUUUGCUCAGAUUGUAGCCAAAGUCCCUGAGGGUUUGCCUCAUCCAAAGUAGUUGCGCGCAACACUGUCCUGCGGCAACAUACUCGGCCUCAGCGGUGGAUAGGGCAACGGAAGUUUGUUUCUUAGAGUUCCAUGACACCAGGGACCUUCCUAAGAAUUGGCACGUCCCCGAUGUACUCUUCCUAUCGACCUUACAUCCAGCAUAGUCGGAGUCUGAGUAUCCAACUAAGUCAAAGGUUCCCUUUGGAUACCAGAGCCCGAAGCAAGGCGUAGCAACCAAAUAUCUAAGAAUUCGCUUCACCGCCACUAAGUGACACUCCUUAGGAUCGGAUUGAAAUCUAGCACACAUGCAUACGCUAAGCAUAAUAUCCGGUCUACUAGCACAUAAAUAAAGCAAAGAACCUAUCAUUGACCGGUAUGCUUUUUGAUCAACGGACUUACCUCCUUUGUUGAGGUCGGUGUGUCCGUCGGUCCCCAUCGGAGUCUUUGCGGGCUUGGCGUCCUUCAUCCCAAACCGCUUUAGCAGAUCUUGCGUGUACUUCGUUUGGGAGAUGAAGGUGCCGUCCUUGAGUUGCUUCACUUGGAACCCAAGGAAGUAGUUCAACUCGCCCAUCAUCGACAUCUCGAAUUUCUGCGUCAUCACCCUGCUAAACUCUUCACAAGACUUUUGGUUAGUAGAACCAAAUAUUAUGUCAUCAACAUAAAUUUGGCACACAAACAAAUCACCAUCACAUGUCUUAGUGAAAAGAGUUGGAUCGGCCUUCCCAACCUUGAAAGCAUUAGCAAGUAAAAAGUCUCUAAGGCAUUCAUACCAUGCUCUUGGGGCUUGCUUAAGUCCAUAGAGCGCCUUAGAGAGCUUACACACAUGGUCGGGGUACCGUUCAUCCUCGAAGCCAGGGGGUUGCUCCACGUACACCUCCUCCUUGAUUGGCCCGUUGAGGAAAGCGCUCUUCACAUCCAUUUGGAACAACCUGAAAGAAUGGUGAGCGGCAUAUGCUAGCAAGAUUCGAAUUGACUCUAGCCUAGCCACAGGAGCAAAAGUCUCCUCAAAAUCCAAACCUGCGACUUGGGCAUAACCUUUUGCCACAAGUCGAGCCUUGUUUCUCGUCACCACCCCGUGCUCGUCCUGUUUGUUGCGGAACACCCACUUGGUUCCCACAACAUUUUGCUUCGGACGAGGCACCAGUGUCCAAACUUCAUUGCGCUUGAAAUUGUUUAACUCCUCUUGCAUGGCCAACACCCAGUCCGGAUCUAGCAAGGCCUCUUCUACCCUGAAAGGCUCAAUAGAAGAGACAAAGGAGUAAUGCUCACAAAAAUUAACUAAUCGAGAUCGAGUAGUUACUCCCUUGCUAAUGUCACCCAGAAUUUGGUCGACGGGAUGAUCCCUUUGAAUCAUCGCUCGAACUUGGGUUGGAGGUGCCGGUUGCACUUCUUCCUCCAUCACUUGAUUAUCUUGUGCUCCCCCUUGAUCAAGCGCCUCCACUUGAGGUACCUGUUCGUCAUCUUUGGUUGGGGGAUGCACCAUAGUUGAGGAAGAAGGUUGAUCUCGUUCAUCUUGUUCCUGUGGCCGUACUUCUCCAAUCGCCAUGGUCCGUAUAGCGGCCGUCGGAACAUCUUCUUCAUCUACAUCAUCACAAUCAACAACUUGCUCUCUUGGAGAGCCAUUAGUCUCAUCAAAUACAACGUCGCUAGAGACUUCAACCAAACCCGAUGAUUUGUUGAAGACUCUAUACGCCUUUGUAUUUGAGUCAUAACCUAACAAAAACCCUUCUACAGCUUUGGGAGCAAACUUAGAAUUUCUACCUUUCUUCACUAGAAUGUAGCACUUGCUCCCAAAUACACGAAAGUAAGAUACAUUGGGUUUGUUACCGGUUAGAAGCUCAUACGACGUCUUCUUGAGGAGGCGAUGAAGGUAGACCCUGUUGAUGGCAUGGCAAGCAGUGUUCACGGCUUCCGUCCAAAAGCACUCGGGGGUCUUGAAUUCUCCUAGCAUCGUCCUCGCCAUGUCAAUGAGCGUCCUGUUCUUCCUCUCUACCACACCAUUUUGCUGUGGUGUGUAGGGAGCGGAGAACUCGUGCUUGAUCCCUUCUUCUUCAAGGAACUCCUCCACUUGAAGGUUCUUGAAUUCGGACCCGUUGUCGCUCCUUAUCUUCUUCACUUUGAGCUCAAACUCAUUUUGAGCCCUCCUGAGGAAGCGCUUGAGGGUCCCUUGGGUUUCAGACUUAUCCUGCAAAAAGAACACCCAAGUGAAGCGGGAAAAGUCAUCAACAAUAACUAGACCAUACUUACUUCCCCCUAUGCUUAGAUAGGCGACGGGUCCGAAGAGGUCCAUAUGCAGCAGCUCCAGGGGUCUUGAAGUGGUCAUCACAUUCUUGCUGUGAUGCGCUCCUCCCACCUGUUUCCCUGCUUGACAAGCUGCACAAGGUCUAUCUUUUUCGAAUUGAACAUUGGUUAGACCUAUCACGUGUUCUCCCUUUAGAAGCUUGUGAAGGUUCUUCAUCCCCACAUGUGCUAAGCGGCGAUGCCACAGCCAGCCCAUGCAAGUCUUAGCCAUUAAGCAUGCAUCUAGACCGGCCUCUUCUUUUGCAAAAUCAACUAAAUAAAGUUUGCCGUCUAAUACACCCUUAAAAGCUAGUGAACCAUCACUUCUUCUAAAGACAGACACAUCUAUAUUUGUAAACAGACAGUUAUAUCCCAUAUUGCACAAUUGACUAACAGAUAGUAAAUUAUAUCCUAGUGACUCUACUAAAAACACAUUAGAGAUAGAGUGCUCAUUAGAAAUUGCAAUUUUACCUAACCCUUUUACCUUGCCUUGAUUCCCAUCACCGAAUAUGAUUGAAUCUUGGGAAUCCUUAUUCUUGACGUAGGAGGUGAACAUCUUCUUCUCCCCCGUCAUAUGGUUUGUGCAUCCGCUAUCAAUAAUCCAGCUUGAACCCCCGGAUGCAUAAACCUGCAAGGCAAAUUUAGGCUUGGGUCUUAGGUACCCAACUCAUGUUGGGUCCUACAAGGUUAGUGCAAAUAUCCUUAGGGACCCAAAUGCAAGUUUUGUCUCCCUUGCAUUUUGCCCCUAACUUCCUAGCAACAAUUUUCUUAUCCUUUCUACAAAUAGCAAAGGAAGCAUUUAAAGCAUAAUAAAUUGUGGAAGGUUCAUUCACUACUUUCCUAGGAGCAUGAAUAGCAUUCUUUCUAGACACAUGAUGAAUAGUAUUUCUCUUAGGAACAACAUUUCUCCUAGUAACAUUUCUAUCAUACACAUAAGAGGAACUAGGAGCAAACAUGGCAUGAGAGUCAAAAUCAUCAAAAGCAUUAUAACUCCUAUAAGCAUUUCUAGUUUGUCUCCUAUCAUAAUACAUAAAAGCAUGGUUCUUUUGCACAUUACUAGCCAUAGGGGCCUUCCCUUUCUCCUUGGCGGGAAUGGGAGCCUUAUGGCUUGUUAAGUCCUUAGCUUCUCUCUUGAAGCCAAGUCCAUCCUUAAUUGAGGGGUGUCUACCAAUUGUAUAGGCAUCCCUUGCAAAUUUUAGCUUAUCGAAAUCAUUCUUGCUAGUCUUAAGUUGAGCAUUAAGACUAGCCAGUUCAUCAUUAAGCUUGGAAAUUGAAACUAGGUGUUCACUACAAGCAUUAAUGUCAAAAUCUUUACACCUAGUACAAAUUUCAACAUGUUCUACACAAGAAUUGGAUUUAUUUGCUACUUCUAAUUUAGCAUUUAAAUCAUUGUUGACACCUUUCAAAGUAGAAAUGGUUUCAUGACAAGUAGAUAGUUCAAAAGAAAGCAUUUCAUUUCUUUUAACUUCUAAAGUAUAGGAUUUUUGUGCCUCAACAAAUUUAUCAUGCUCUUCAUACAACAAAUCCUCUUGCUUUUCUAAAAGUAUAUUCUUUUCAUUCAAGGCAUCAAUUAAUUCAUUAAUUUUGUCUAUCUUAGAUCUAUCUAAGCCCUUGAACAAACAUGAAUAAUCUACUUCAUCCUCAUCACUAGAUUCGUCCUCACUUGAAGAAGCAUAGGUAGAGUUGCGAGUACAUACCUUCUUCUCCCUUGCCAUAAGGCAUGUGUGACGCUCGUUGGGGAAGAGGGUUGAUUUGUUGAAGGCGGUGGCGGCGAGUCCUUCAUUGUCGGAGUCGGAUGAGGAGCAAUCCGAGUCCCACUCCUUGCCUAGAUGCGCCUCACCCUUUGCCUUCUUAUAAUGCUUCUUCUUUUCCCUCUUGUUUCCCUUUUCCUGGUCACUUUCAUUAUCAGGACAGUUAGCAAUAAAAUGACCAAGCUUACCGCAUUUGAAGCAUGAUCGCUUCCCCUUGGUCUUAGUCUUGCUCGGCUGUCCAUUGCGACCCUUUAGCACCGUCUUGAAGCGCUUAAUGAUGAGAGCCAUUUCUUCAUCAUUAAGCCCGGCCGCCUCAAUUUGCGCCACCUUGCUUGGUAGUGCCUCCUUGCUCCUCGAUGCCUUGAGAGCAAUGGGUUGAGGCUCGUGGAUUGGACCGUUCAACGCGUCAUCGACGUACCUUGCCUCCUUGAUCAUCAUCCGCCCGCUCACGAAUUUUCCAAGUACUUCUUCGGGCGUCAUCAUCGUGUACCUGGGGUUCUCACGAAUAUUGUUCACGAGAUGAGGAUCAAGAACGGUAAAUGACCUGAGCAUUAGGCGGACGACGUCGUGAUCCGUCCAACGCGUGCUUCCGCAGCUCCUUAUCUUGUUGAUAAGGGUCUUGAGCCGGUUGUAAGUUUGAGUUGGCUCUUCUCCCCUUAUCAUGGCGAAUCGUCCAAGCUCGCCCUCCACCAACUCCAUCUUGGUGAGCAUGGUGAUGUCGUUCCCCUCGUGAGAGAUCUUGAGGGUGUCCCAUAUCUGCUUGGCAUUGUCCAAGCCGCUCACCUUAUUGUACUCUUCCCUGCACAAAGAUGCUAAGAGAACAGUAGUAGCUUGUGCAUUUUUAUGAAUUUGUUCAUUGAUAAACAUAGGGCUAUCCGAGCUAUCAAAUUUCAUUCCAUUCUCUACAAUCUCCCAUAUGCUUGGAUGGAGAGAGAAUAAAUGACUACGCAUUUUGUGACUCCAAAAUCCGUAGUCCUCCCCAUCAAAAUGUGGAGGUUUACCAAGAGGAAUGGAAAGCAAAUGCGAAUUCGAACUAUGUGGAAUACGAGAAUAAUCAAAUGAAAAGUUCGAAUUAACCGGUUUCCUUUGUUUGUCGUGGUCGUCGUUCUUUUGAGAAGAAGAGGACUCAUCGCUGUCGUAGUAGACGAUCUCCUUGAUGCGUCUUGUCUUCUUCUUCUUCCCAUCUCUUCGCUUGUGGCCCGAGCCCGAGUCAUUGGACUUGUCAUCCCUUGGCUCGUUGACGAAGGACUCCUUCUCCUUGUCGUUGAUCACAAUUCCCUUCCCCUUAGGAUCCAUCUCUUCGGGCGGUUAGUCCCUUUCUUGAAGAGAACGGCUCCGAUACCAAUUGAGAGCACCUAGAGGGGGGGGGGUGAAUAGGUGAUCCUGUAAAAGUUCAAAACUUAAGCCACAAAAACUUGUUAAGGGUUAACACAAGUAUGACCAAGUGGCUAGAGAGAACUCAAAACAAGAUAACCACAAGAAAGCAAUCACAGAGUUGACACGGUGGUUAUCCCGUGGUUCGGCCAAGUACAAAACUUGCCUACUCCACGUUGUGGCGUCCCAACGGACGAGAGUUGCACUCAACUCCUCUCAAGUGAUCCAAUGAUCAACUUGAAUACCACGGUGUUUUUCUUUCCUUUGAUCUUUUCCCGUUUGCGAGGAAUCUCCACAACUUGGAGUCUCUCGCCCUUACAAUUGAGUUCACAAAGAAAUACGGAGUAAGGUGGGAAUGAGCAACGCACACAAGACUCGAAAAUCAGAGCAACAACACGCACACAAGUCGCAACAAGAGCUCGCAACGCAACACAAAGAGUUCACAACUCCACAAGAGCUCUAUAUGCUAUCACAAUGAAACGAAUGCGUGAGAUUGAUGUCUUGGUGCUUAGAAGAGUUGUAGGAAUGCUUGGUAUUCUCCUCCAUGCGCCAAGGGGUCCCUUUUAUAGCCCCAAGGCAGCUAGGAGCCGUUGGGAACAAAUCUGGAAGGCCAUCUUUGCCUUCUGUCUCGUGGCGCACCGGACAGUCCGGUGCACACCGGACACUGUCCGGUGCCCGAUUUGUUUCCAUAGAAAGCGAAGCCGACCGUUACCGACCGUUGCAGAUCUGGCGCACCGGACAGUCCGGUGCACACCGGACAGUCCGGUGCUCCCUUCCGACCGUUGGCUCGGCCACGUGUCGCGCGCCGAUCGCGCGGCCGACCGUUGGCCCGGCCGACCGUUGGCUCACCGGACAGUCCGGUGCACACCGGACAGUCCGGUGAAUUUUAGCCGAAGUCGCCGGAGAAAAACCCGAGAGCGGCUGGUUUGCGGUGCGCUGAUCUGGCGCACCGGACACUGUCCGGUGCACACCGGACAGUCCGGUGCCCCAGCCCGAAGCAGCCUUUGGCUGUACACAGCCACUCUCCACUUCUUUUCUUUUCUUCUUUCUCCUGUUUCUAACACUUAGACAAGAUGUUAGUACACAAAACUAAUGUACUAAGGCUUAGAAACAUACCUUUACUUGUGAUUUACACUUUGUUCAUCCAUGAGCAUAUUUUCACAUUUAGGCCCUUGUGUUUGCACUCAAUCACCAAAAUACUUAGAAAUGGCCCAAGGGCACAUUUCCCUUUCACUCCUGCUCGUCGGAGAUCUGGCCCGCGUCAAGCAAACCGCGCGCCGCCGCCGAUGGUACGUAGCCAUGUCGUCUUCUUCCUCGUCUGCUGCGAACACGCCGUCGGCCGAUUCAUCUUCCGAGGAAACCUUGAUCAAUGUGGCAGCGACGGAGCUACAACCGGGCGAUACGCUGGAGUUUGGCGUUUCGAGGAUUUCCUCGGUUCGCGUGCAGGAUAUGUAGUAGCUGGGUUAUUUUGGCAGCAGAGUUGGGCAUGUCCCGGGGGCAGAGGAGGUGAAAGGGAAAUGUGCCAUUGGGCCAUUUCUAAGUAUUUUGGUGAUUGAGUGCCAACGCAAGUGCUUUUGUGUUGAUCUAUGCAAUGUGGUGAACAAAGUACAAAUCAAGUAUAAAGGUAUGUUUCUCAGACUUAGUACAUUGUUUUAGUGACUAAUGUAUUGUGUCUAAGUGCUGGAAACAGGAGAAAUCGAAUUGGAGAAGAGAUGGCCUUGUUCAGCCAAAGCCAGCUCUGUCUGGGUGCACCGGACUGUCCGGUGGUGCACCGGACAGUGUCCGAUGUGCCAGGCUGGCUCAGGCGAACUUGCCGCUCUCGGGAAUAAGUUAACGGUGUACGACUAUAAUUCACCGGACUGUCCGGUGAGCCAACGGUUGGCCGGUCCAACGGUCGGCCGCGCGAUCUGCGCGGGACACGUGGCCGAGCCAACGGCUAGAAGGAGGCACCGGACUGUCCGGUGUGCACCGGACAGUGUCCGGUGCGCCAACGGCUCUCUAACCCCAACGGUCGGCUUCGCCAAAUAAGGAAGGAUAUCCGCACCGGACAGUGUCCGGUGGUACACCGGACUGUCCGGUGCGCCAGGCGACAGAAGGCAAGAUCAGCCUUCCUGGAAUGUUCUCAACGGCUCCUAGCUACCUUGGGGCUAUAAAAGGGACCCCUAGGCGCAUGGAGGAGUACCACAAGCAUACUCAAAGCAUUCCUAAGCACCAAGACUUCGAUUCCACGCAUUUGUUUCUUCGUGAUAGCAUCUAGAGCUCUUGUUGAGUUGUGAACUCGUCGGUGUUACACCAUAAUAGCCAUCAAUUAAAAAUAAUGAAUUUAGUUAUUAUUAAUUAGGGUAAUAAUUUUUUUAAGUGUUUAAUUGUUUAUUUGCAUUUUUAUCAUUUUCAUUGCAUGUGCUUGAUUGCUUAUUGGAAUGUUUAUUAUCAACUCUUUUUAAAGAAAAUCCUAGCAAAUAAUAUAAUAAUUAUUAGUCUAAAAACAAGUAUUUUAUUUAUAAAUAAUUUUGGUGAAUUUCUCGGAAUUUUCGAGCUCUUUAAAAAUACAUUUCACAAUAAAAAAAAAACAAAUCCUACACUAAACCGGCCCACUAGGGGCCCAUUACCCCAAACCCUAUCCUCUAACGCGCGCGCGCCAGCAGAAGCCGCCGCCGCCAGCCUCUACUACUCCCUCUCCUAUCUCUCUUCUCUCUCUCCUCCACGUUCUCUCUGCACGCCGCCGCUCCCUGCCACGCUGCAGCACUCGCCCGGCCCUGCACCGGCGCCCUGCGCAAGCCGCGCCGAGCGCGCAGCCGCCUAGGCCGACCGGCCAACCCGCGCGCUGCCCUGGUGCGCGACGCCUGCGCUCCCUGCGCGCGCCUACGCCGCACGCCCAGCAGCGACGCCCGAGCAGACCCGAAGCCGCCGCGCCCGAAGCCGAAUCGCCCGAGCCCCACGCACCGCGACGCCCGACCGACCCUGCGCGAACCCCAACGGUCCCUCUGCACCGCGACCUCGCUGCCUAGAAGUCGAGCAGCCGCGCAGUCCGCGCCCCAUUGAAGUCAUAGCUGCCGUUACUGCCGUUUCUUCUUUCUGUGCCUCAUUCCUUCCUCCAUUAGUGGUGUUUACAACUCCUGUUCGUGUCGUGCAGAAACGGUUCAUCUUGUGGCCAUCACGGAGCUUUAAACAAGAUUUAAACUCUCUUUUCCGUCAGCCUAUAAAGCUAGAGACGUCCUGCUUCCUUCUUCCCCAAUAGCUCGGCUCUGCACUUCGUCUCGCUCAAUCGUCCUUAGGCUAUAGCCACUGCACCUUGUUAUCGUCGGAGCUUCACCCGCUCGGACACGCCGUCGUUUGCUGUCUACGCUCGUCGGAGUUCACCGGAGUCGCAGUUCGUCGCAGGAGCCACGCACUCGCCGUCCGUAGUCGAGCCCCGCACUCCGUCCGGCCGAAACCCGUCGAUCCGUGAAGCGUCCCGAUCCUUUGGGACUCAAAUGUGAAAGAAUUACUAGUCCCAGGAGGCUAGUAAACACAUUCCUUACUUCAAAUAGUACAGAGUUUAGAUAAAGUUAUUACAAUACCGGGGUACAAGCUCGAGAGAGCCAAAUAGAGAAGCGCAGUAGGAAAAUACACUAGCCCAAGCCACAGGCAGAACUGGGUGUAGACACAGCCCUCCUAAUCAAGCAUAGCAGAAAAGAAGUCCUCGGCUGCUGAAAAACAUAAAUAAAUCUGGGUGAAUACACUAGGUAUUCCGCAAGCCCACCCCGCUCCCGUAGAGAGAAAGUGACCUAUGAUGUACAUGCUCAAUUUGGUGGAGUUGUAGUCACUCAUCAUUUUCUUAGAGAGAGGCAGUUGCUUGAAGGUUUUCCCAUGGUAUUACCAGUAACCAAAAACUCAACCACCACGGAGCUUCCCGCUCCCGUGGCUUUAUUUUCUUUUUCAAAACCCAUUUAAACACACCUUUUCCUUGUUAAGAAAUUUAGAGAAAAAGCUCUAAUUGCCAUACCAUACCAGACUCAUCCAUACCAGUGGAUACGGACUAUUCGAAUAGGUUUCAACUCUGCGCAGAGGUGUACACUUUACCCACUAGUCCGGUUUCUGCGAUCUCACCGUCGCGAGACCCCAAUGCCGGAUCUCUUUCCUUACUCGUGCAUCCUAACCUUAACGGUUAUCCCGAAGGAGUCAGGCCACCACCAUGCCCAAACCGGACAAAACUUUCCCCCUCCUUAUCCUCCCGGUGCUCCCCAGCCUACUUAACCCUGAGGUUGGACCGCACGAGUUCGGAUUGAGUGACUGCCCACACAGUCUCGAGUGGUUGUACGUCAAAGGAGUACAGGCAGUGAAAAUGACAAACCGGUCCUUAUAUGAGGGGACAAUCCUUCUGCUCACGCCUAAACCAGCUGAGCCAACACCUUAGGCCCUCCCCUAAACCAGGGAGUCCCUGAUCAUCCCACUCCCAGGGUGAUGAGGGUGAGUACCCUUCAUCGCAAAACUUUUCAAGAAGAGACUUUAUUAGGGGAAAACACAUUGCCAUUCUUUCCAAACCACAUUACGUAUCCAGAAAGUAUAUAUUAAUGCGGGCCAUCUCUCACUCCCAAUGCAAUAUUCCCCCGUGAUUCCCGGCCUAGGCAGUGGUAGAGAGAAUAGGUAAUUUAUGCAUCAAGGGAAGGGUGGACUUGCCUUCGUCGAAGCUUUCCUGGCACAGAAGACCUACUUCCGGAAGUUCGGGCUCUGGUCCCUCUUCCGGGGCUACGGGAUCCGGAUUUGCGGUUCCCUCUUCUUCUAGGAAACAUACAGUAAAACAAUACAUCAACAGUAGUUUAACAAUCAUAGUGUGCCAUUUUCUAACAACAUUAUUUUAUGUGUCCUUGGAAAUCCUUUUUGAUAAUAUUUUGUGCAUAAAAUAUUGAGAAAACUAUUUAAAUGGGAAAAAGGGGUGGAAAAGAAAAAGAGAAGGGAAUUCCUCUUAUCUGGGCUGGGGGCAUGAAUUUUGGCCCAUCCCGGGCGCGAGCGCGCGCUGAGGCGCUUUUGGCCCAGCGGCGGCCCACGAGGGGGGGGGGGGAGAGAACGGCGCGGCCGUGGGGGGGGGGGGUGACGGCGUCGCAUAGGGCCCACUUGCCAGCGAGAGGGGGGGGGGAGAAGGGACGGCGUUACGGUUGACGGGGGGGGGGGGGGGGGGGGGUGAACCGGCCGUCCGCGGGGAGGACUCGGCCGCCGGUGGCCCGGCUCUUGGGCAAUGUGCAGGUGUCUUAGCAUGGGGAGGGGAUGGCGGACCUAGAGGUGGGCUCAACUUGGUCAGAGGAGGUCGGGAGGGGGCUGUCCGCGGGGAGGUGGCGGAGCUUCGCGGCGGGGUUGCCGUCGGUGAGCUCUGGGCGAGCAAUCGGGGUGGGGGAGUGGUGUAUUGCGUUUGCGGCAAGGUGAGGAAGCUGCUAGGCCAACUUAAUCGCUCGCUGGUCCAACAGAGAGGGAGAGAGAAGAGGGGGAGGGACUCACCAGAGAGGGGGAAGACGGCGGGGCUUCAUGAAUUGGGCUCGGGCGAGGGGAGGAGGGUAGUGGUCGAGGCCGGUGCGAGGAAGAAGGAGCUCGGGGCGAGCUUUUUAUAGGCGCGCGGGGGCAAGGGGAGCGGUGAAGCUCCCUGACUCCGGCGAGCUUCCCGGUGCCGCCAUUAAUGGCGCACAGCGCCGCCGAGGGGACGCUACGGCGGGGCGGUACUGGCGAGGACGCUGGUCAAGGGGAGGAGGACGGAGCGGUGCCAAACUUUCCUGUGCGGCGAGGAGACGGCGGUGAAGAGACGGCGGUGAAGGGACGGCGGUGAAGGGAUGGCGGGGCGUCGUAUGCGGGGAGGACGACGAAGCGGCUGACCGGUGGGGCCGGUCUGCCAGUGGGAGUGAGCGCGCGAGAGAGAGCGACUGGCAGGUGGGGUCGGGGAGGCAGGCCGGGAGUGGGCCGAGAGAGGAGCGCGGGCGUGAGAGGGGGGGGGGAGAGUCGCGGGUGUUGGGCCGGGAUUCGGUCCAACAGGGCAGGGAGAGGGUUUUUCCUUUUUCUUUUUACUUUUCAAACCCCAUUUCCCUUUUUGCCUUUUCUUCUUUUGAAUAAAAUAUUUUGUGAAUAUUCUAAGUGUUUAGAAAAUAGAAUCUAAGUGAGGUGCUUUGUGAUCAAACAAAAUGUAUGCAUAUGGUGAAGGAAAAUUUAGUGGAGGACUUUAGAAUUAGAGGAUGGAGGGAGGGGUAAAAGGUGGAUUAGGGUUUCAAACCUAGAUUAGGAUUUUUGGGAUGCUACAAACCUACCCCACUUAAAGGAAUCUCGCCCUUGAGAUUCAGACGGGGCUCGAGAAAAGGUAAGGGUAUUCCUUCCUCAGAGAGUCCUCACUUUCCCAGGUGGCUUCCUCUUCUCCAUCUCUGCUCCACUGAACCUUACAGAGCUUCACUUCUGAAUUGCGGGUCCUUCUGACUGCUGAGUCGAGAAUCUUCACUGGCUUUUCCCGGUACUGGAGAUCCUUUCGAAUCUGAAUUGCUUCUGCCUCGAUACGGGUUUCUGGUACUUUUAGGCAUUUGCGGAGUUGAGACACAUGGAACACAUUGUGAAUAUCUGACAUGGAUUCUGGUAGCUCAAGACGGUAUGCCACAGGUCCUAUUCGGGAAAUGACAGGGUAAGGACCGACGAAACGGGGUGCUAGCUUUCCUUUCAUCUGGAACCUUUUGACACCGUGCAUUGGGGAAACCUUGAGAUAAACAAAAUCUCCUUCCUCAAAUCUGAGUUCCCUUCGCCUAUUGUCUGCGUAACUCUUCUGUCGACUCUGAGCUUCAAGUAACCUUCUGCGGAUCAAAGCAACUUUUUCUUCGGCUUCUUUAACAAAGUCGGGUCCUUCUAGUGUUCUUUCCCCUACAUUGGACCACAUUAGGGGAGUCUGGCAUUUUCUUCCAUACAGUGCUUCGAAUGGUGACAUUUUGAUGCUGGCCUGAUGGCUGUUGUUGUAUGAGAAUUCGGCGUACGGUAUCUAGACUCCCAAUCUCUGUCGAAGGCUAAUACGCAGGCUCUGAGUAAAUCUUCAAGGACCUUGUUGACUCUCUCUGUUUGACCAUCUGACUGGGGGUGAUAAGCAGUGCUGAAAUCUAACUUGGUGCCCAUUGCUUGCUGAAGGCCCUUCCAAAAUUUUGAAGUGAACUGCGUUCCUCUAUCUGAUACUAUCUUCGUGGAAUGCCAUGUAGCCUGACUAUCUCUUUAAGGUAUAAUCGGGCGAGGGCUGCUCCUCCAAAGGUGGUCUUUACUGGAAUGAAAUGGGCCACCUUGGUGAGACGAUCGAUUAUUACCCAUAUGGAAUCAUUUCCCCUUUGGGAUCUGGGUAGUCCGGUGACGAAAUCCAUGCCUAUUUCUUCCCACUUCCAUUCGGGUAUUGGGAGGGGUUGAAGUAGGCCUGCAGGUUUCUGAUGUUCGGCCUUUGUUCGCUGACAGGUGUCACAUCGGGCCACAUACUGUGCUAUUUCCCUCUUCAUUCCUUUCCACCAAUAUCUGGCCUUGAGGUCUAGGUACAUCUUGGUGGUUCCUGGGUGGAUAGAGUAAGCUGAGUUGUGGGCUUCAUCGAGCAGGGUUUCUCGUGCUUCUCCCACUGGCACGCACAGGCGGUCCUUGAACCAGAGGGUUCCUUGCUCAUCUGUCCUGAGGUCUGCUAGUUGCUCCUUUCGUGCUCUUUCCAUAAGCUUGGUUGUUUCUGCGUCCAGGCGUUGGGCCUUGCGUAUGAGAUCGUCUAGAUUUGGCUUGACUUCCAGGCCACCGUUGUCUCCCAGACAUGCAUUUAGCUGAGCUGAUUCUUUCUUCCAAUCUUCCAGAAAGUUUGCUCCCUUAACCCCGAAGGGUUUUCUGCUGAGGGCGUCUGCUACCACGUUGGCCUUUCCGGGGUGGUAGUGGAUUUCAAGGUCAUAAUCUUUGAUCAAUUCGAGCCACCUUCUUUGACGGAGGUUGAGGUCCGGUUGCGUGAAGAUGUACUUUAGACUCUUGUGAUCAGUGAAGAUGUGGCAUUUGUUUCCAAUCAGAUAAUGCCUCCAAAUUUUUAGGGCGUGCACUAUGGCUGCCAAUUCCAGAUCGUGGGUAGGAUAGUUCUGCUCGUGCGGCUUGAGCAAUCGGGAUGCAUAAGCAAUGACUCUCUCAUUUUGCAUUAAGACACACCCUAAGCCUUGCUUGGAAGCAUCACAAAAGACGACGAAAUCCUGGUGUAUGUCUGGUAGGGUCAGGACUGGUGCAGUUGUAAGUUUCUCCUUGAUGAUUUGGAAGCUUCCUUCACAUUUGGGAGUCCAUACAAACUUAUUGUCCUUUUUGAGAAGUUCCGUCAUGGGCUUUGCUAUGCUGGAGAAUCCCUUGAUAAAGCGGCGAUAAUACCCUGCCAUUCCCAGAAAGCUUCGGACUUCACUGACGUUGGAUGGUUGCUUCCAAUUUGAAACAGCUUCUACCUUAGAUGGGUCCACUUCUAUCCCUUCAGCAGUCAAGAUAUGCCCUAGGAAGGCUAUCUUCUCUAACCAGAACUCACACUUGCUGAGCUUAGCAUAAAGUUGAUGUGCCCUGAGUCUUCCGAGGACGGUUCGAAGGUGCUGCUCAUGGUCCUUGCGACUCUUGGAAUAGAUGAGGAUGUCGUCGAUAAAAACCACGACAAACUUAUCCAAUUCUUCCAUAAAUACCUUAUUCAUGAGGUUCAUGAAAAAGGCGGGUGCGUUUGUUAGUCCAAAUGGCAUCACUGUGAAUUCAUAUUGCCCGUAUCUGGUGACGAAUGCAGUUUUCUGAAUGUCUGCUUCCUUAAUCCUGAGUUGGUGAUACCCUGACCUGAGAUCUAUCUUGGAGAAGUACUUGGCUCCUUGCAGUUGGUCGAAUAGGUCAUCGAUCCGGGGAAGAGGGUACUUAUUCUUGAUUGUAACUUCGUUCAAGGAUCGAUAAUCAAUACACAUCCUCAUGCUCCCAUCCUUUUUGGUAACGAAAAGAACGGGUGCUCCCCAGGGAGACGAACUGGGACGGAUGUACCCUUUUUGUUGUAGUUCCGAAAUCUGAAGUUUCAAUUCUGCCAACUCAGUGGGGGCCAUGCGGUAUGGUCUCUUUGCGAUGGGUGCGGUGCCGGGAAUGAGAUCUAUAUAGAACUCUACUUCUCUUUCUGGUGGCAUCCCGGGCAACUCUUCUGGAAAUACAUCUUCAAAUUCCUUGAUUACAGACAUGCUUUCUACUGCCAGAUUAAAUAUCAUUGGGUCAUUUGCGGGCGGUUGGGCUUGACAGGAAACUGCCUUUCCUUGGUGAUCUAUGAGAAGAACAGUCUUGCUUGCGCAGCUGAUAACACCUUUGUGCUUAGCUAGCCAAUCCAUUCCUAGGAUUACAUCAAUUCCUUGGGAUGGCAAGAUGGUUAAGUCUGCCAGGAACACUACCCCACUUAAAAGAAUUCUGACCUGGGAACACCUGAGUUUGCACAGGAGGUCUGAUCCCGGGGUUCGGGUGACCAAGGGGAUAGAUAGAGGUGUAGAUGGUAUGCCAUGCUUUUCCACAAACUUAGCGGCUAUAAAUGAAUGGGAUGCUCUCGAAUCAAAAAGCACAGAAGCGGGAGUAAAUUCAACUAGGAACUCACCGAGCACUACUCCCGGGGCUUGCUGGGCUUCCUGGGCGUCGACGUGGUUGACCCGGGCCCUGCCCUGGUACUUAGCCCUGCUCUGCUGGCUGCUGGAAGGAAACGCCUUGGGGGUAGGUGCUGAUGGAAUCUUGGGGCCAUUCACCGAGUUGGAGUAGGUUGGUCCUGGUGCCUUCAACUGGGGGCAGUUGUUCUUGAAGUGGCUGGGGUCCCCACAGUGCCAACAGGCGUUUGCUGGCGGCUGGUUGCUUGCAACGGAGGGUGCCUGAUGGGAGCUCUGACUCUGCUGACUAUAGCGCGAUGGAGAGGGUCCAGAUUGCUUGUUGAAGCUUGGACCCCUGGGUGGAAGCCCAAAGGGUCGAGCUCUCUGGUGACGCUCUUGCUGUUGAGCCCGGAGAACUUGGAAUUUCCUCUUGAGGUGCCCCUUCUCUUCCUCUUUUGCCCUUUCCACCUGGAUAGCCUUGUUGGAGAGGUGAGAGAAGCUGUGGAAGUCUUGGCUGGCGAGGAUGGUCUUAAGCUCGGGUCUUAACCCUCUCAGAAAACGAGCCAUCUUUCUGGCCUCGGUGCUGACAUCCUCGGGCGCGUAGCGGGCCAACUCUGUGAACUUGUGCACAUAUUCACUGACUGUUCUUCCGCCUUGGGUUAGCUCCCGGAACUCAUCCUCCUUAAGUUGAACUAUCCCCUGGGGUACGUGGUGCUCACGGAAGGCUGCUUCAAAUUCUGCCCAUGUGGCGUCUCUGAUGGCUUCACUGAAAGUGUCCCACCAUGCUAAAGCCAUUCCUGAAAGCUGAUGAGCUGCCAGCUGAAUACGCUGAUUCUCAGGACAAGCGAUGGCUUCCAGCUUCCUCUUGAUUGUGCGAAGCCAGUCAUCUGCAUCGAGGGGAUUGCUGGACCCCGCGAACGUGCGCGGCUUCAGUCUCAGGAAUUCUCCCAUCCUGUCCUGGGGCCUUCCACCGCCUGGGCGCUGGUUCUCCAGACUUCGAGUGAGGACUUCAAUGAGUCUGGUUUGAUUGGCCAGAACUUGGGCUAGAUCUAGUGGUAGUUCUGGAGGUGCGGGGAGGUGGGUCUCACUCCCUUCUCCGCCAGCCUCUCCUUCAGCUCCUAGAGGAAGUCUUGCUCCAAUCCCGGAGGCGGUAGGCGUGGUUCUAUCCGAAGCCAUCUGCCAUGGGAAGAGAGUCGCUAUUAUGCACAUGCCAUUUUUUUAACUAGUUAUUUUAUUCAUUACAUCAAGCCAUUACAUUACAUAGCACACCACUACCACAAGCUUAUUACACACGAGUGCUACCUAGGGUACCCCCGAACUCUUUCUCUAAAGUAUCCCCGAACUCCUUGAGAAGGUCAUCAAGGCUGGCCAGGGACAUGUCCUCGGGGUCGGACUGGUUCCUGGGAGGGUUCUCUUCCUACUGCUCAGUCUGACAUCCUUGGCUUUUGGUCUUCUUGCGAAUUUUCCUUGCGGGGGCGAGCUUCUUCAGUUUGUCGUAGUCCAUUUUGAGGGUGCGGUAAGCUUCACGGGUGUUGGUCUCUUCGCCUUCAGCUAACGAGAGGCUCUCUUGGAGGGACGCUUUUUCUUCUGAAAGUUCCCUGACUUUCUGCUCCAGGCUUUCCACCCGGGAGGUUAGGGAAGUGCAGUGGAGGGCGAGGUCAUCAUAUUGGUUAUCAAGGGUAUGAAGGUAUCCAGCCAUGUAGACAAUGGUGGGAUCAUUCUCAAUAGGAUCUCCUCCUGAUAGGGCCUGAAGUCUUUUCCUCCAGGUGGGGGUAUUCUUGUUGCUGGGUGGAAAGUAGCGAAGGGGGGUUUCAAUGAUUACUUUGUUGUAGUUCUGACAUAGCUGUCAGAGGGCUUUUCGGGUUUGGCAAGCAUCUAGGAAAUGGGCUCCGGUAAAAGUGACUUGGAAGGAACGUUGGUUGGGAUAGCUUUGGCUUUCCCCCAGGUAGACUGCCAUAGAGCAUCUUAUCAUUCCGCCCUCUAAAUGUUCCGUCCAGACGUAUUCCGGCUUCUUGCGGAUUCCCAUGCGGAGCGCACAACUUCGUAAGAGGCGUGGGAACCCUUCCACUUCUGAGCAGUAGGAUGACUUAAUGGCCAGAGAGUCUUCCAUCUGGAAUAGGAAAAGAAGGGUCUUGUUAAAACCGGGGAAGGGAAGAGAAAACUUUUCUUGAGGUAAGAGGUAUUUUCUUUUUAAGGUAGGUUCUAGGGUCAGGGCUGCGACCUACGGCCAGUCCUAUGGGCUCUGAUACCACCUGAAGCGUCCCGAUCCUUUGGGACUCAAAUGUGAAAGAAUUACUAGUCCCAGGAGGCUAGUAAACACAUUCCUUACUUCAAAUAGUACAGAGUUUAGAUAAAGUUAUUACAAUACCGGGGUACAAGCUCGAGAGAGCCAAAUAGAGAAGCGCAGUAGGAAAAUACACUAGCCCAAGCCACAGGCAGAACUGGGUGCAGACACAGCCCUCCUAAUCAAGCAUAGCAGAAAAGAAGUCCUCGGCUGCUGAAAAACAUAAAUAAAUAUGGGUGAAUACACUAGGUAUUCCGCAAGCCCACCCCCCUCCCGUAGAGAGAAAGUGACCUAUGAUGUACAUGCUCAAUUUGGUGGAGUUGUAGUCACUCAUCAUUUUCUUAGAGAGAGGCAGUUGCUUGAAGGUUUUCCCAUGGUAUUACCAGUAACCAAAAACUCAACCACCACGGAGCUUCCCGCUCCUGUGGCUUUAAUUUCUUUUUCAAAACCCAUUUAAACACACCUUUUCCUUGUUAAGAAAUUUAGAGAAAAAGCUCUAAUUGCCAUACCAUACCAGACUCAUCCAUACCAGUGGAUACGGACUAUUCGAAUAGGUUUCAACUCUGCGCAGAGGUGUACACUUUACCCACUAGUCCGGUUUCUGCGAUCUCACCGUCGCGAGACCCGAAUGCCGGAUCUCUUUCCUUACUCGUGCAUCCUAACCUUAACGGUUAUCCGGAAGGAGUCAGGCCACCACCAUGCCCAAACCGGACAAAACUUUCCCCCUCCUUAUCCUCCCGGUGCUCCCCAGCCUACUUAACCCUGGGGUUGGACCGCACGAGUUCGGAUUGAGUGACUGCCCACACAGUCUCGAGUGGUUGUACGUCAAAGGAGUACAGGCAGUGAAAAUGACAAACCGGUCCUUAUAUGAGGGGACAAUCCUUCUGCUCACGCCUAAACCAGCUGAGCCAACACCUUAGGCCCUCCCCUAAACCAGGGAGUCCCUGAUCAUCCCACUCCCAGGGUGAUGAGGGUGAGUACCCUUCAUCGCAAAACUUUUCAAGAAGAGACUUUAUUAGGGGAAAACACAUUGCCAUUCUUUCCAAACCACAUUACGUAUCCAGAAAGUAUAUAUUAAUGCGGGCCAUCUCUCACUCCCAAUGCAAUAUUCCCCCGUGAUUCCCGGCCUAGGCAGUGGUAGAGAGAAUAGGUAAUUUAUGCAUCAAGGGAAGGGUGGACUUGCCUUCGUCGAAGCUUUCCUGGCACAGAAGACCUACUUCCGGAAGUUCGGGCUCUGGUCCCUCUUCCGGGGCUACGGGAUCCGGAUUUGCGGUUCCCUCUUCUUCUAGGAAACAUACAGUAAAACAAUACAUCAACAGUAGUUUAACAAUCAUAGUGUGCCAUUUUCUAACAACAUUAUUUUAUGUGUCCUUGGAAAUCCUUUUUGAUAAUAUUUUGUGCAUAAAAUAUUGAGAAAACUAUUUAAAUGGGAAAAAGGGGUGGAAAAGAAAAAGAGAAGGGAAUUCCUCUUAUCUGGGCUGGGGGCAUGAAUUUUGGCCCAUCCCGGGCGCGAGCGCGCGCUGAGGCGCUUUUGGCCCAGCGGCGGCCCACGAGGGGGGGAGAGAACGGCGCGGCCGUGGGGGGGGGGGUGACGGCGUCGCAUAGGGCCCACUUGCCAGCGAGAGGGGGGGGGGGGAGAAGGGACGGCGUUACGGUUGACGGGGGGGGGGGGGGGGGGUGAACCGGCCGUCCGCGGGGAGGACUCGGCCGCCGGUGGGCUCGGUGGCGGUUCGCCGCCGGUGGCCCGGCUCUUGGGCAAUGUGCAGGUGUCUUAGCAUGGGGAGGGGAUGGCGGACCUAGAGGUGGGCUGAAUUUGGUCAGAGGAGGUCGGGAGGGGGCUGUCCGCGGGGAGGUGGCGGAGCUUCGCGGCGGGGUUGCCGUCGGUGAGCUCUGGGCGAGCAAUCGGGGUGGGGGAGUGGUGUAUUGCGUUUGCGACAAGGUGAGGAAGCUGCUAGGCCAACUUAAUCGCUCGCUGGUCCAACAGAGAGGGAGAGAGAAGAGGGGGAGGGACUCACCGGAGAGGGGGAAGACGGUGGGGCUUCGCGAAUUGGGCUCGGGCGAGGGGAGGAGGGUAGUGGUCGAGGCCGGUGCGAGGAAGAAGGAGCUCGGGGCGAGCUUUUUAUAGGCGCGCGGGGGCAAGGGGAGCGGUGGAGCUCCCUGACUCCGGCGAGCUUCCCGGUGCCGCCAUUAAUGGCGCACAGCGCCGCCGAGGGGACGCUACGGCGGGGCGGUACUGGCGAGGACGCUGGUCAAGGGGAGGAGGACGGAGCGGUGCCAAACUUUCCUGUGCGGCGAGGAGACGACAGUGAAGAGACGGCGGGGAAGGGACGGUGGUGAAGGGAUAGCGGGGCGUCGUAUGCGGGGAGGACGACGAAGCGGCUGACCGGUGGGGCCGGUCUGCCAGUGGGAGUGAGCGCGCGAGAGAGAGCGACUGGCAGGUGGGGUCGGCUUGUCAGCGAGAGAGAGAGGGAGUGCGGAGCGGGCUGGCGCGCGCGCGGAGGCAGGCCGGGAGUGGGCCGAGAGAGGAGCGCGGGCGUGAGAGGGGGGGAGAGUCGCGGGUGUUGGGCCGGGAUUCGGUCCAACAGGGCAGGGAGAGGGUUUUUCCUUUUUCUUUUUACUUUUCAAACCCCAUUUCCCUUUUUGCCUUUUCUUCUUUUGAAUAAAAUAUUUUGUGAAUAUUCUAAGUGUUUAGAAAAUAGAAUCUAAGUGAGGUGCUUUGUGAUCAAACAAAAUGUAUGCAUAUGGUGAAGGAAAAUUUAGUGGAGGACUUUAGAAUUAGAGGAUGGAGGGAGGGGUAAAAGGUGGAUUAGGGUUUCAAACCUAGAUUAGGAUUUUUGGGAUGCUACAAUCCGUCCCCGUCACACGCACGAACCCGAGGUUGUUGGCGACCCAAAUUUAUUUUAUGUAUUUUAUAAAGUGCUUUUGAUUCGAUUCAUGUGUUGUAUAGUUUGUUUGUUGUAUGAACACAUGUGAGUCGCGACAUUAUGUAUGGGUGUAUGAGCGUUAUGGAAUUGUUUGGUAGUUUCAAGCGAUUAUUCGUACACCUUGUUAUUUCAUGUUAAUCGAUGCGCUGAAUUUUGGUUUAGAGAAAUAUGACGUAGAUUUAAUAGUCACACGUCGGUGAUAAAAAUACUAGAUAAGAAUUUAUAGUUAAAAUUGGUCGCGAUAAAUUUUUGAAACUAAUUGGAGAAUUAUAGGUGCAUUUUUGAUGGAUUAGAAAAAUGGUAUAGAACUCAUGUCAUAUGAAUAAAAUAGGAUUGUUAGAUGAUUUAUCCGAUUAUUUAAUUAAUAUCUUCUUUUGGAAAGAAAAGAGAAAAUAUCGUUGGUAGAUGGCAAAAUAGGGUUUUGCUAGUCAAAUAAACAUGUUCACAGAUUUAGAACUUAAAAUUGUUAGAGUACUAGUUUAUGUCAAAUAACCCGCUUGUGUUAGAAAAUGUUCAAUUAGUAGUUUAUGUAGAUUUUAGAAUAUUAAUAUUAUUAGAUUCAUUUUUGGUCAUACUAACUAAUUUGUGUUAAAAGUAAUAAUAGGUAUUAAUUUAUUUAUUAGUAUUAAAAGAUAAUAAGUAUUAUUUAAUUUCAUUAAUGGUGUUAAAGUAGAUUAAUAUUAGUUAAAAUUAUAUUUAUUGCACCCACUCCUAAAUUCACCAUUAGGAUUCGCAUUAAUAGUUAUAAUUAAAUUAAUAAGUAUUUACGCGAUUAGUACGUAAUUAAAAUGUGAUUAGUGCGACGUGUUAAUGUGCAUGUAAUGGUGUAUGAUUAUGUAAUGGUGCAUGUUUACUUAUGGGUGUAUACUUUAUUUUUGUAUGUGCGAUGUGCGACUAUAAUAGAAGCGGACUGUGUGGUAGAGAAUCCGAACUCGUUCGGGGACGACCCGCAAGACGUUGUUGAGCAAGGCAAGUGGAUUCUCCCUCUGCAUACUCUUUUUGUACCCAGUCAUUGCAUUUAAUAAUGUUUACUUUUGAUAUACUGCAUAAUUUGAUGGGUUUCACCUAAUUAAGGAUUUCCUAGAUUUACUACAUGUAUUCCUUGUUUAACCUGGGGAAAUAAUUAAGCCGUGCAAGAAUUUGUGCUACCGCUCAACUUAAUGAUUUCUUAAUGUCACUCAUUAAUUGGUUUUAAUGUUCCAAGGAUUUAGUUGGCAAUUAUGGCAUUAACCCGAUGGUUAAGAUAACAUUAUUACAAAUUUAAUUGGAACAUGGAGUGACCACCCAGGAUAACAGUGCAACCACGAGUGCUAUCAUGGCUCUGGCUUUGGUAAUUAGCUCUAUAUGCUUAGUGCCUAGCAACCUUACCUGAAAGAUGGGCAAGAGGGGGAGCGGUAGGUGCUGGCAGCCCACGUUAACAUGGGGUCGUAUUCUUGGCUAAGGUACUUCACCCAGGGGGCCACCACCAUCGUCUUAGAAACCUUAGCGGGUUGCUUCGUAUUAAGUGUAUUUUGUGAAAACCUCAUGAUGGAUCCCUAGUGAGAGCACCUAGAGGGGGGGGGGUGAAUAGGUGAUCCUGUAAAAACUUAAACUUAUAGCCACAAAACUUGAUUAGGCGUUAGCGCAGUUUAUGCCAAGUGGCUAGAGAGGAGUCAAAACACAAUAACCACAAGAAUCCAAUCACAGAGAUGACACAGUGGUUAUCCCGUGGUUCGGCCAAGUACAAAACUUGCCUACUCCACGUUGUGGCGUCCCAACGGACGAGAGUUGCACUCAACUCCUCUCAAGUGAUCCAAUGAUCAACUUGAAUACCACGGUGUUCUUGCUUUUCUUUUCUCAAUCCCGUUUGCGAGGAAUCUCCACAACUUGGAGCCUCUCGCCCUUACAAAAGAUGUUCACAGAGAAUCACAGAGCAAGGGAGGGAUUAGCAACUCACACACGACACAAAGAUCACAGCGAAUACGCACACACAAGACCCAGACUUGAGCUCAAAAGACUAGCACACUAGAACGGAGCUCAAAUCACUAGAAUGUCGAACAAGUGCGCGAGAUUGAUGUGUGAGUGAUCAAGAGUGCUCAAGGAAUGCUUGUUUUGUUCCUCCAUGCGCCAAGGGGUCCCUUUUAUAGCCCCAAGGCAGCUAGGAGCCGUUGGGAACAAAUCUGGAAGGCCAUCUUUGCCUUCUGUCUCGUGGGGCACCGGACAGUCCGGUGCACACCGGACACUGUCCGGUGCCCGAUUUGUUUCCACAAAAAGCUCAUCCGACCGUUGCUUUCUGAUGCAGAUCUGCGCACAGUUGGCGCACCGGACAUGUCCGGUGCACACCGGACAGUCCGGUGUAUCUUCUCGACCGUUGGCUCGGCCACGUGUCGCGCGCCGAUCGCGCGGCCGACCGUUGGCCCGGCCGACCGUUGGCUCACCGGACAGUCCGGUGCACACCGGACAGUCCGGUGAAUUUUAGCCGAAGUCGCCGGAGAGAAACCCGAGAGCGGCUGGUUUGCUCCGCGCUGGUCUGGCGCACCGGACACUGUCCGGUGCACACCGGACAGUCCGGUGCCCCAGCCCGCUGUACACAGCCACUCUCCACUUCUUUUCUUCUUCUUCCUGUUUCUAACACUUAGACAAGAAUAUUAGUACACAAAACCAAUGUACUAAGGCUUAGAAACAUACCUUUGUUGAAGAUUUGCACUUUGUUCAUCCAUGGGCAUUGAUUUACAUUUAAGCACUUGUGUUGGCACUUAAUCACCAAAAUACUUAGAAAUGGCCCAAAGGCACAUUUCCCUUUCAAUCUCCCCCUUUUUGGUGAUUUAUGCCAACACCACAUAAAGCAACUAGAACAAGUGCAAAAUUACUUCAAAUAAAAACUCAAAUUGGUUUUGAUUCAAUUUUGGCAUAUAUGGAUCAUCCUUUGCCACCACUUGGUUUGUUUUUGCAAAUCAAACUCAAAUCUCUAUUUCUAUGUCAACCACACAUGUUGAGGCAUAAAGAGAGUCAUUCCAAACGAGAUUGAUCAAAGAUUUCAAAAACUCCCCCUAAAUCCCAUAAUCAAUACUUCUCCCCACAAGAAACCAACUUUUGACAAUAGAGACAAUAAGAGACAAAAGCUUUUGACAAAACAAAAACUCUAUUCUACUAUUCUACUAUUUUCAAAAUUUUCAAAAUCUCUCAAGUGGUAGCUGAUCCAUUUUAUCACUUUGGCCUUUAUUUUCUCCCCCUUUGGCAUCAAGCACCAAAACGGGAUCAAUCUUGGCUCUAUAACCCCAUUGCCUCACCAAAAUCUUCAAUUAAGAGCAAAUGGCAAUAAGAGUUCAUGAGAUGGACUUGGAAUAAGUUACCCUCUCAUCGGAGUGCAGUGGAAGUCUUUCAUGGUCCAAGUCCACCUUUUCCCUUUCAAGCCUCCUUUGAGACUAAAUCAUCAAACUCAAACACAUGGUUAGUCUCAAAGGGUCAAGUUGUAACACAUCUCCCCCUUAACAUGUGCAUCACUUUGCAACAGACUUGUGAGGUCCAGGGAGUGUUUGUACAACUUGAGCACCACAAUAAGCAACAAAAUGCAAAAAGGAACAUGAUCAAAAGCAUAAAUACAUGUAUGCUACAAUUCAAUCCAGGUUCCGCGAAUCUAAGAUAUUUAGCUCACUACGCAACCUGCAAAAGGUCUUCUCAUCUAGAGGUUUAGUGAAGAUAUCGGCUAGCUGGUUCUCGGUGCUGACAUGAAACACUUCGAUAUCUCCCUUUUGCUGGUGGUCUCUCAAAAAGUGAUGCCGGAUGUCUAUGUGCUUUGUGCGGCUGUGCUCGACAGGAUUUUCCGCCAUGCGGAUAGCACUCUCAUUAUCACAUAGGAGUGGGACUUUGCUCAGAUUGUAGCCAAAGUCCCGGAGGGUUUGCCUCAUCCAAAGUAGUUGCGCGCAACACUGUCCUGCGGCAACAUACUCGGCCUCAGCGGUGGAUAGGGCAACGGAAGUUUGUUUCUUAGAAUUCCAUGACACCAGGGACCUUCCUAAGAACUGGCACGUCCCCGAUGUACUCUUCCUAUCGACCUUACAUCCAGCAUAGUCGGAGUCUGAGUAUCCAACUAAGUCAAAGGUAGACCCCUUUGGAUACCAGAGCCCGAAGCAAGGCGUAGCAACCAAAUAUCUAAGAAUUCGCUUCACCGCCACUAAGUGACACUCCUUAGGAUCGGAUUGAAAUCUAGCACACAUGCAUACGCUAAGCAUAAUAUCCGGUCUACUAGCACAUAAAUAAAGCAAAGAACCUAUCAUGGACCGGUAUGCUUUUUGAUCAACGGACUUACCUCCUUUGUUGAGGUCAGUGUGUCCGUCGGUUCCCAUCGGAGUCUUUGCAGGCUUGGCGUCCUUCAUCCCAAACCGCUUCAGCAGAUCUUGCGUGUACUUUGUUUGAGAGAUGAAGGUGCCGUCCUUGAGUUGCUUUACUUGGAACCCAAGGAAGUAGUUCAACUCGCCCAUCAUCGACAUCUCGAAUUUCUGCGUCAUCACCCUGCUAAACUCUUCACAAGACUUUUGGUUAGUAGAACCAAAUAUUAUGUCAUCGACAUAAAUUUGGCACACGAACAAAUCACCAUCACAUGUCUUAGUGAAAAGAGUUGGAUCGGCUUUCCCAACCUUGAAAGCAUUAGCAAUUAAGAAAUCUCUAAGGCAUUCAUACCAUGCUCUUGGGGCUUGCUUAAGUCCAUAGAGCGCCUUAGAGAGCUUACACACGUGGUCGGGGUACCGUUCAUCCUCGAAGCCAGGGGGUUGCUCCACAUACACCUCCUCCUUGAUUGGCCCGUUGAGGAAAGCGCUCUUCACAUCCAUUUGGUACAACCUGAAAGAAUGGUGAGCGGCAUAUGCUAGCAAGAUUCGAAUUGACUCUAGCCUAGCCACAGGAGCAAAAGUCUCCUCAAAAUCCAAACCUGCUACUUGGGCAUAACCUUUUGCCACAAGUCGAGCCUUGUUUCUCGUCACCACCCCGUGCUCGUCCUGUUUGUUGCGGAACACCCACUUGGUUCCCACAACAUUUUGCUUCGGACGAGGCACCAGCGUCCAAACUUCAUUUCUCUUGAAGUUGUUGAGCUCCUCCUGCAUGGCCAACACCCAGUCCGGAUCUAGCAAGGCCUCCUCUACCCUGAAAGGCUCAAUAGAAGAGACAAAAGAGUAAUGCUCACAAAAAUUAACUAAUCGAGAACGAGUAGUUACUCCCUUGCUGAUGUCACCCAGAAUUUGGUCGACGGGAUGAUCCCUUUGAAUCAUUGCUCGAACUUGGGUUGGAGGUGCCGGUUGCGCUUCUUCCUCCAUCACUUGAUCACCUUGUGCUCCCCCUUGAUCAAUCGCCUCCACUUGAGGUACCUGUACGACACCUUCGGUUGGGGAAUGCACCAUAGUUGAGGAAGAAGGUUGAUCUCGUUCAUCUUGUUCCUGUGGCCGCACUUCUCCAAUCGCCAUGGUUCGUAUAGCGGCCGUCGGAACAUCUUCUUCAUCUACAUCAUCACAAUCAACAACUUGCUCUCUUGGAGAGCCAUUAGUCUCAUCAAAUACAAUGUCGCUAGAGACUUCAACCAAACCUGAUGAUUUGUUGAAGACUCUAUACGCCUUUGUAUUUGAGUCAUAACCUAAUAAAAACCCUUCUACAGCUUUGGGAGCAAACUUAGAAUUUCUACCCUUCUUCACUAGAAUGUAGCAUUUACUCCCAAAUACACGAAAGUAUGAUACAUUGGGUUUGUUACCGGUUAGUAGCUCAUACGACGUCUUCUUGAGGAGACGAUGAAGGUAGACCCUGUUGAUGGCGUGGCAAGCAGUGUUAACGGCUUCCGUCCAAAAGCACUCGGGGGUCUUGUACUCUCCUAGCAUCGUCCUUGCCAUGUCGAUGAGCGUCCUGUUCUUUCUCUCUACCACACCAUUUUGCUGUGGUGUGUAGGGAGCGGAGAACUCGUGCUUGAUCCCUUCUUCUUCAAGGAACUCCUCCACUUGAAGGUUCUUGAACUCGGACCCGUUGUCGCUCCUUAUCUUUUUCACUUUGAGCUCAAACUCAUUUUGAGCCCUCCUGAGGAAGCGCUUGAGGGUCCCUUGGGUUUCAGACUUAUCCUGCAAAAAGAACACCCAAGUGAAGCGGGAAAAGUCAUCAACAAUAACUAAACCAUACUUACUUCCUCCUAUGCUCAGAUAGGCGACGGGUCCAAAAAGGUCCAUAUGCAGCAUCUCCAAGGGUCUUGAUGUCGUCAUCACAUUUUUGGUGUGAUGAGAGCCUCCCACCUGUUUCCCUGCUUGACAAGCUGCACAAGGUCUAUCUUUUUCGAAUUGAACAUUAGUUAGACCUAUCACGUGUUCUCCCUUUAGAAUCUUGUGAAGGUUCUUCAUCCCCACAUGUGCUAAGCGGCGAUGCCACAGCUAGCCCAUGCUAGUCUUAGCUAUUAAGCAUGCAUCUAGACCGGCCUCUUCUUUUGCAAAAUCAACUAAAUAAAGUUUGCCAUCUAAUACACCCUUAAAAGCUAGUGAACCAUCACUUCUUCUAAAGACAGACACAUCUACAUUUGUAAAUAGACAGUUAUACCCCAUGUUGCAUAAUUGACUAACAGAUAGCAGAUUAUAACCAAGAGACUCUACUAAAAACACAUUAGAUAUAGAGUGCUCAUUAGAAAUUGCAAUUUUACCUAGCCCUUUUACCUUGCCUUGAUUCCCAUCACCGAAUAUAAUUGAAUCUUGGGAAUCCUUAUUCUUGACGUAGGAGGUGAACAUCUUCUUCUCCCCCGUCAUAUGGUUUAUGCAUCCGCUGUCUAUAAUCCAGCUUGAACCCCCGGAUGCAUAAACCUGCAAGGCAAAUUUAGGCUUGGGACUUAGGUACCCAACUCAUGUUGGGUCCUACAAGGUUAGUGCAAAUAUCCUUAGGGACCCAAAUGCAAGUUUUGUCUCCCUUGCAUUUUGCCCCUAUCUUCCUAGCAACAAUUUUCUUAUCCUUUCUAUAAAUAGCAAAGGAAGCAUUUAAAGCACAAUAAAUUGUAGAAGAUUCAUUUACUACUUUCCUAGGAGCAUUAUGAGCAUCAUUUCUCCUAGGCAUUUGAUGAACAACAUUUCUUCUAAGCACAUUUCUACCAGGCAUAACAUGAGAACUAGAAGCAGUCAUAGCAUAAGAGUCAUACGCAUGUGAACCAAAAACAUCAUGACCUUUAAAAGCAUUUCUAGAAUAUCUCCUAUCAUGAUAUAAAAAGGCAUGGUUCUUUUUAGUAGCCAUAGGAGCCUUCCCUUUCUCCUUAGUGGGAAUGGGAGUCUUAUGGCUUGUUAAGUUCUUGACUUCCCUCUUGAAGCCAAGUCCAUCCUUAAUUGAGGGGUGUCUACCAAUAGUGUAGGCAUCCCUUGCAAAUUUUAGUUUAUCAAAUUCACUUUUGCUAGUCUUAAGUUGGGCAUUAAGACUAGCCACUUCAUUAUUUAACUUUGCAAUAGAAGCUAUGUGUUCACUACAAGCAUCAAUAUCAAAGUCUUUACAUCUAUUGCAAAUAACAACAGUUUCACCACAAGAGUUGGAUUUAUUUGCUUCUACUAGUUUAGCAUUUAAAUCAUCAUUUAUGCUCUUUAAGUUAGAAAUAGAAUCAUGGCAUGAUGACACUUCACAAGCAAGCAUUUCAUUCCUCUUAAUUUCUAAUGCAAGGGAUUUUUGAGCCUCUACAAACUUAUCAUGUUCUUCAUACAACAAAUCCUCUUGCUUUUCUAAAAGUAUAUUCUUUUCAUUCAAGGCAUCAAUUAAUUCAUUAAUUUUGUCUAUCUUAGAUCUAUCUAAGCCCUUGAAUAAACAUGAAUAAUCUACUUCAUCCUCACUAGAUUCAUCAUCACUAGAAGAAUCAUAAGUAUUAGCAUUACGAGUGAUUACCUUCUUUUCCCUUGCCAUGAGGCAAGUGUGAUGUUCGUUGGGAAAGAGGGAUGACUUGUUGAAGGCGGUGGCGGCGAGUCCUUCGUUGUCGGAGUCGGACGAGGAGCAAUCCGAAUCCCACUCUUUUCCAAUAUGAGCCUCGCCCUUUGCCUUCUUGUAAUUCUUCUUCUUUUCCCAUUUUCCACUCUUCUUUUCCUGGUCACUAUCAUUAUCGGGACAAUUAGCGAUAAAGUGACCAAUCUUACCACACUUGAAGCAUGAGCGCUUCCCCUUCGUCUUGGUCUUGUUGGGAUGCUCCUUGCGACCCCUUAACGCCGUCUUGAAGCGCUUAAUGAUGAGAGCCAUUUCUUCAUCAUUAAGCCCGGCCGCCUCAAUUUGCGCCACCUUGCUUGGUAGUGCCUCCUUGCUUCUCGAUGCCUUGAGAGCAAUGGGUUGAGGCUCGUGGAUUGGACCGUUCAACGCGUCAUCGACGUACCUUGCCUCCUUGAUCAUCAUUCGCCCGCUCACGAAUUUUCCAAGUACUUCCUCGGGCGUCAUCAUCGUGUACCUGGGAUUCUCACGAAUAUUGUUCACGAGAUGAGGAUCAAGAACGGUAAAGGACCUGAGUAGUAGGCGGACGACGUCGUGGUCCGUCCAACGCGUGCUUCCGUAGCUCCUUAUUUUGUUGAUAAGGGUCUUGAGCCGGUUGUAAGUUUGAGUUGGCUCCUCUCCCCUUAUCAUGGCGAAUCGUCCAAGCUCGCCCUCCACCAACUCCAUCUUGGUGAGCAUGGUGAUGUCGUUCCCCUCGUGAGAGAUCUUGAGGGUGUCCCAUAUCUGCUUGGCAUUGUCCAAGCCGCUCACCUUAUUGUACUCUUCCCUGCACAAAGAUGCUAAGAGAACAGUAGUAGCUUGUGCAUUUCUAUGAAUUUGUUCAUUUAUAAGCAUAGGACUAUCCGAGCUAUCAAAUUUCAUUCCAUUCUCCACAAUCUCCCAUAUGCUUGGAUGGAGAGAGAAUAAGUGACUACGCAUUUUGUGACUCCAAAAUCCGUAGUCCUCCCCAUCAAAGUGUGGGGGUUUGCCAAGAGGAAUGGAAAGCAAAUGCGAAUUCGAACUAUGUUGAAUACGAGAAUAAUCAAAUGAAAAGUUCGAAUUGACCGUCUUUUUGUAGUCGUUGUCACCAUCCUUUUGGGAAGAAGUAGAUUCAUCACUAUCGUCGUAGUAGAUGAUCUCCUUGAUGCGCCUUGUCUUCUUCUUCUUCCCAUCUUUGCGCCUGUGGCCCGAGCCCGAGUCGUUGAACUUGUCAUCCCUUGGCUCGUUGACGAAGGACUCCUUCUCCUUGUCGUUGAUCACAAUUCCCUUCCCCUUAGGAUCCAUCUCUUCAGGCGGUUAGUCCCUUUCUUGAAGAGAACGGCUCUGAUACCAAUUGAGAGCACCUAGAGGGGGGGGGGUGAAUAGGUGAUCCUGUAAAAACUUAAACUUAUAGCCACAAAACUUGAUUAGGCGUUAGCGCAGUUUAUGCCAAGUGGCUAGAGAGGAGUCAAAACACAAUAACCACAAGAAUCCAAUCACAGAGAUGACACAGUGGUUAUCCCGUGGUUCGGCCAAGUACAAAACUUGCCUACUCCACGUUGUGGCGUCCCAACGGACGAGAGUUGCACUCAACUCCUCUCAAGUGAUCCAAUGAUCAACUUGAAUACCACGAUGUUCUUGCUUUUUCUUUUCUCAAUCCCGUUUGCGAGGAAUCUCCACAACUUGGAGCCUCUCGCCCUUACAAAAGAUGUUCACAGAGAAUCACAGAGCAAGGGAGGGAUUAGCAACUCACACACGACACAAAGAUCACAGCGAAUACGCACACACAAGACCCAGACUUGAGCUCAAAAGACUAGCACACUAGAACGGAGCUCAAAUCACUAGAAUGUCGAACAAGUGCGCGAGAUUGAUGUGUGAGUGAUCAAGAGUGCUCAAGGAAUGCUUGUUUUGUUCCUCCAUGCGCCAAGGGGUCCCUUUUAUAGCCCCAAGGCAGCUAGGAGCCGUUGGGAACAAAUCUGGAAGGCCAUCUUUGCCUUCUGUCUCGUGGGGCACCGGACAGUCCGGUGCACACCGGACACUGUCCGGUGCCCGAUUUGUUUCCACAAAAAGCUCAUCCGACCGUUGCUUUCUGAUGCAGAUCUGCGCACAGUUGGCGCACCGGACAUGUCCGGUGCACACCGGACAGUCCGGUGUAUCUUCUCGACCGUUGGCUCGGCCACGUGUCGCGCGCCGAUCGCGCGGCCGACCGUUGGCCCGGCCGACCGUUGGCUCACCGGACAGUCCGGUGCACACCGGACAGUCCGGUGAAUUUUAGCCGAAGUCGCCGGAGAGAAACCCGAGAGCGGCUGGUUUGCUCCGCGCUGGUCUGGCGCACCGGACACUGUCCGGUGCACACCGGACAGUCCGGUGCCCCAGCCCGCUGUACACAGCCACUCUCCACUUCUUUUCUUCUUCUUCCUGUUUCUAACACUUAGACAAGAAUAUUAGUACACAAAACCAAUGUACUAAGGCUUAGAAACAUACCUUUGUUGAAGAUUUGCACUUUGUUCAUCCAUGGGCAUUGAUUUACAUUUAAGCACUUGUGUUGGCACUUAAUCACCAAAAUACUUAGAAAUGGCCCAAAGGCACAUUUCCCUUUCACCUAGCCAUUCACCUCGGCAGUGUCUAAGGGUCCGAUCAACCCGGGCUAGAUGGGAUACAUGGCUUAUGGGUAAAGUUGUACCACCUCUGCAGAGUGUAAAACUGAUAUAUCAGCCGUGCUCCCGGUUAUGAGCGACCUGGACUCCUCACAUGAUAAUUGAACUUGAAGAUGGAAUUAAUUUGAGAUCCGAUGAUCUGCCAAUAAUUUGCUUAAGUGGUUUCACUUAAGUGUUUUUGUUAUAUUCAUAUUCCUUUGUUUAAUUUGGAUAUUUGGGAUUCACUCUUAUUAGUAAGACAGGUGUUGAUAAUAAAAUGUUGACCAACUAAAAUGCUUACUGCUCAACCUUAGCCUCCCCUUGUUAUACCUGCAUUAAUUUUUCCCCCACUUGCUGAGCCCCGACCAUAAGUGAGCUCACCCUUGCUAAUAUUUUGAUCAGAGGGUGAUGCUGGAGACUUUGAUGGAGAAUUUGUCGACGAGGAAUUCUAAGUCUAACGAUGCGCCGGUCAACUUCCUGUGGAAGAUUGCCCAGUUGUUUAUUCCCGCUUAACUUUGAUGUGAUACUUGUUUAAGACGCAAUGUUUCAGAUGAUGUAAUAAAGUUUUAUACUCUCUUUACGCCUUUAUUGCAUUGUCUUUUGAUAUAUUACACUUGUGACGUCAACAUAUGUGUGGAAAUGGAUCCUGGCACACAUAUGGUAUGCACUUGGUUCUACCCCCUGGAACCGGGUGUGACAGAAGUGGUAUCAAAGCUAUGCUGACCCUAGGUCGUUAGAUUAGUUAGAAAUGGAAAGCCUAGUUGUUCAAUAUUUGCUAAUUUCAUUCCUAUAAAUUCCUUUAUCAGUCUUACCUCUUUGAAAUUCAACUAAGUUGACUCUUCUCUUGUAGAUGGUUCGCACUCUCCAAACCACCCGCGUCAACACCAGCUACGCCCCUCAGCCCCGGCAGAUCCCGGUCUACCCAGUGGUAGUCGAGGAUGCUCCAGCGAAUCUCCCUCCCGUCCGAGUGGAGAACGUGAUCAACCUGGAGGACAGCUCGGAGGAGCAGCUGCCGACCCCCACCCCGUUGGCCGAGUCCCUGGCCUUCGCAGUAGGGUCAUCGACGUCAGCAUCGUCGGCACCAGCCUUCCAAGCACCUGCACCUGGAGGCGACGACCCCGACGACUCCGGAGACGGCGAUGACGAGGGUGACGACGACGACAACGACGAUGGAGAGGAUGAGCACGUCCACGAGGAAGCUGACUACGCCCAGCAGGACCACUUCAUGGGGAUUGGUCCAGUUGUCGAACAUUACACAUCAAUGUUCGAAACAGGGCACUUCCCCAGCCUGCUGCAGGAGGUGCUGCACGAGCUAGGAGCCUACGUCCGCCCCCUGUACGAGACGAGGCGGGUGAGCGAGCCUCCCCGGGCUUGCUAUUACAUCACCCGCAUCCAUGUCAGGGUAAUGGAUGCAGGUGACAGGGGAUUCAGGACUCUGUUUGCUCACGAGUCCCUGAUACCGCUGUCCACCUACGCUGCCUCUGUCAGCGACGCUGCCCGUCGGACCCUGUGGUCGCUUAGCCACACCUACCGGCAGCAGCUGCAGAACACAAGGUUCAGGCAUCUUCCUCAGUGCCUGCGUGGAGAGAACCAGACCAACAUUGUCCCAGGUGAGCCUGGUGAGGACCGCCUCAACACCCUAGCUGGUGUAGUGGCCGGUCUCAACACCGACCUGGACAGUGCCACUCUGGACCUCUACAGUGUGCACUUGGAGCUGGAGAAUGCCCACGCCAGGAUUGCAGCCCUGGAAGCCCAACUGCAGGGACUGAAUCCGCCAGAAGCUCAGGUUCCCGCCGUGGCGUUGUCUCCUCCCCGCAAGAGGCUGCGCUAUGGAGAGCCCGGAUCCGUCACUAGGCUGCUUUAGGAGUGUUGAUCAUGAUGUAAUAAGUUACGCUUCGCGUUAGACGAUGAAACUAUCUUUAAAUUUUUAUAUUAAUAAAUAUCAACCAUGUGAUGGUGAUUGGUUGAAAUGCUUGAUUUGAAUCUUUGUUUGAGUGCUAUGGUCUUAUGGAAUGAUGGCCAUAAGAACAUAUAAAAUUUGUAAAACUUAAGCUAUUUUCCCUCUAGAAUCUUUUCUACUCCUCACUUUUCUAAGGACUUCACUUCCUAACAAAACAGAUGGUGAACCAACGUCAAGGACCUAACAACCGGAACCAGCGUGGACAACAAGCACCACCACCACCGCCACCACCAAAUCCCAAUAUGGAGUAGUUCAUCGCCGCCCAAAUGCAGAUUCUGCAAGGACUUACUGCUGUGGUUCAGCAAUUACAACAGAACCAACAGAAUCAGCAACCCCAGCAGCAGCAGUAUGCACCCCCGGCCAGAGAUAAAUACCGGGAUUUCAUGAGUCAUCACCCGCCGACAUUUUCUCAUGCGGUUGAUCCUCUUGAUGCCGAUGACUGGCUCAAAGUCAUUGGGAAGAAGCUGGACAUCACUCAGUGCAACGACCGAGAGAAGGUCUUGUACGCCUCGGGAAGACUCGAGGGAGCUGCGUCCGAUUGGUGGGAUGCCUUCACAGCGGCACAUCCCAACGCUGAUACCAUAACCUGGCAGGAGUUUCAGGAGAACUUCCGCGCUCACCACAUCCCCUCUGGAAUCAUGAAGCUGAAGAAGAAGGAGUUCCUUUCCCUUACUCAAGGGAAUAUGUCUGUCAGUGAGUAUCGUGAUCGCUUCACUCAACUUUCAUGUUAUGCCCCUGAGGAAGUGGACACUGAUGAGAAGCGCCAAGAGCGUUUCCUAGAAGGAUUGAUUGGACCUCUGAACUAUCAACUUCAGAGUCACACUUUUCCCAACUUCCAGACACUGCUGAACAAGGCAAUUGGCCUUGAAAGCAAAAGGAAGGAGCUAUCUGACCAUAAGAGAAAAUUCCAAGGUCAGUCCAGCAGGAACACCCGGCCAAACAAUCCUCAAGGUUCGCAGUUCCGCUCUGGAAAUCAGGGUGGAAAUAAUUAUCAAGUGCAACGCUCUGGACAGCAAGGCCAGAGAAAUAAUCAGAACCAGAAUCAACAAAGGAGCAACCCCCAGACCAAUCAGAGGUCUAGUGGAAAUUCACAGAACCGUCAAGGUGGCACCAACAACACGCAGGCCAGGAACAACGCACCUGUCCAACCCAACGGCUGUUUCAAGUGCGGUGAACUAGGCCACUAUGCCAACAAUUGCCCAAGGCGCAACCAGCAGACACCUCAAAAAGGCAAUACUCAGAGGAAUGACCAGAGCACCCCCGCUCGUGGAUCUGCUCAGAACAAGACUCCGCAGAACCAGAGCCGAGGAAGGGUCAAUCACGUCACUGCGGAAUCAGUGCCUGAGGAUGCCGACAUAGUGUAUGGUAUGUUCCUUGUUAACUCCAUACCUGCAUCAGUUUUAUUUGACUCUGGAGCAUCGCAUUCAUUUAUAACUGAGUCAUUCGUGGAAAAACAUAACAUACCUAAGUACCCAUUGAAGAGGAUAUUACACAUUAGUUCACCGGGAGGUGACAUGAAGGCCACACACUCAUGCCCUCACGUUAAUAUCUAGAUUCAAGGAAUAGAUUUUACAGUCGACCCAGUGGUCCUAGGAUCCAACGGUAUUGAUGUGAUUCUUGGAUACAACUGGUUGAGAAGUUGUGAUGGAGUGAUACAGUGUGCCAAUGGAACAAUUAUGUUGACAAGUCCUCGAGGUGAAAGAAUCCAAGUCAACAUAGACAAGUCAACAGAUGAAAAAGGGAAGACAAUGAUCAAUCACUUGGAAGAAAAGCCCUUGGAAAAUAUCAAAGUAGUGUGCGAAUACCCAGACGUAUUUCCGGAAGAAUUACCAGGUAUGCCACCUGACCGUGAUAUAGAGUUUUCUAUUGAAUUAGUACCCGGAACCGCACCUAUCUCGAAAAGACCUUAUAGAAUGGAUGUCAAAGAUUUAGUAGAACUGAAGAAACAAAUAGAAGAAUUACUAGAAAAAGGUUUUAUUCGCCCAAGUUCAUCCCCUUGGGGAGCCCCAGUGCUAUUUGUGAACAAGAAGGAUGGUUCGAGGAGAAUGUGUGUGGAUUAUAGAAGUUUGAAUGAAGUAACCAUCAAGAAUAAAUACCCACUACCUCGGAUUGAAGAUUUAUUCGAUCAAAUGAAGGGAGCUAAAAUAUUCUCGAAGAUAGAUCUGAGAUCGGGAUAUCAUCAGUUAAAGAUUCGAGCAGAAGAUGUACCGAAGACAGCCUUCACGACGAGAUAUGGAUUAUAUGAGUUUUUGGUCAUGUCGUUUGGACCGACUAAUGCACCAGCAUACUUUAUGAACUUGAUGAAUAAAGUAUUCAUGGAAUAUCUGGAUCAGUUUGUGGUCGUAUUCAUUGACGACAUACUGAUAUAUUCUCCGAAUGAAGAAACACACGAAGAUCAUCUAAGGCUAGUCCUACGAAAGCUUCGUGACAACCAACUGUACGCAAAAUUCUUGAAGUGUGAUUUUUGGCUUAAGGAAGUUGCUUUCUUAGGGCAUAUUGUUACCGAUGGUGGAAUUAAAGUGGACCCAGGAAAGAUAAGUGAGAUACUAAAUUGGAAGCAACCCACAGAUGCGUCCAAGAUCAAAAGUUUUCUUGGAUUAGCAGGAUACUAUAGAAUAUUUAUUGAAGGUUUUUCCAAGUUAGUGAAGCCUCUUACCUCUCUACUGGAGAAAGGCAAAGAGUUCAAAUGGGAUGAAGCUUGUCAGAAUUGUUUUGAGGAACUCAAGAAGAGGUUAACCACUGCACCAAUACUGGUAAUGCCAGACAUCCACAAGGGAUUUGAUGUGUAUUGCGAUGCAUCACACCUUGGACUUGGAUGUGUGCUAAUGCAAGAAGGAAAGGUGAUUGCUUAUGCUUCAAGACAGUUGAGGAAACAUGAGAAGAAUUAUCCUACACAUGAUUUGGAACUAGCGGCCGUAGUGCAUGCUUUGAAGAUUUGGAGGCACUAUAUGAUUGGAAACAAGUGCAAAAUCUUCAUGGAUCACAAAAGCCUGAAAUAUAUAUUCACUCAGAAGGAACUCAACCUCAGACAGAGAAGAUGGCUUGAGUUGAUUAAAGAUUAUGAUUUGGAAAUACAAUAUCACCCCGGAAAAGCAAAUGUAGUAGCUGAUGCUUUGAGCCGUAAGGGUCAAGUGAACAACAUCACUACUCGUUUGAUGUCACAAGAAUUGUGCUGGGAAAUGGAACGACUCAACCUUGGAUUUCUCAAUAAUGUAGAAGCAACGGUGAUGGAAGUCGAAUCUACUUUGGAAGAAGAGAUUCGUAAUGGACAAGAGUCCGAUGAGAAGAUUAAGGAAAUUAAAACUUUUAUUAGUUUGGGUAAAGCCCCAGAUUUCACGGAAGAUGAACAAGGCACAGUAUGGUUUAAAAAGAGAAUCUGUGUACCCGAAAUGGAACACCUGCGCCAACUUAUUUUGAGAGAAGCUCAUGAUUCAGCUUACUCUAUUCACCCUGGAAGCACAAAGAUGUACCAGGAUCUUAAGGAAAAGUAUUGGUGGUACGGUUUGAAAAGAGAUGUUGCUACUCAUGUUGCAUUAUGUGACGUGUGUCAGCGAGUUAAAGCCGAACACCAAAGACCAGCAGGAUUGCUACAACCUCUCAAGGUACCUGAAUGGAAAUGGGAAGAAAUCAGUAUGGAUUUCAUAGUUGGGCUACCCCGUACUCGAGAUGGCUAUGAUUCAAUAUGGGUCAUAGUAGACAGGUUAACUAAAGUAGCACACUUUAUACCUGUGAAGACAACCUACUCAGGAGCCCAGUUAGCAGAGUUGUACAUGUCGAGGAUUGUUUGUCUGCAUGGAGUACCCAAGAAGAUCGUAUCAGAUCGAGGAACCCAGUUUACCUCGCGCUUUUGGAAAAGACUACAUGAGUCCAUGGAUACCAAGCUAAACUUUAGUUCAGCUUAUCAUCCACAAACGGAUGGGCAAACAUAAAGAACAAACCAAGUGUUGGAAGAUAUGCUAAGAGCUUGCGCUCUAACGCAUGGUAGAAGCUGGGAUAAAAGUUUGCCUUAUGCAGAAUUUUCGUAUAACAACAGUUAUCAAGCAAGUCUCAAAAUGGCACCAUUUGAAGCACUCUAUGGACGAAAGUGUAGAACACCGCUUUAUUGGAAUCAAACUGGAGAAAGUCAAGUAUUUGGUCCAGAGAUUCUCCAAGAGGCGGAAAAGCAAGUGCAGAUUAUCAGAGAAAAUUUGAAGACAGCACAGUCAAGACAGAAGAGCUAUGCUGAUAAUAGUAGAAGAGAAUUGAUGUUUGAAGUAGGAGACUUUGUCUACCUUAAAGUUUCACCGAUGAGAGGAAUGAAAAGGUUUAAGGUUAAAGGAAAAUUAUCACCUCGCUAUAUUGGCCCAUUCAAGAUUUUGGAAAGAAAAGGCGAAGUAGCCUACCAGUUAGAGCUACCUGAUAGAUUAUCAGAUGUGCAUGACGUAUUUCACGUAUCACAACUCAAGAAGUGCUUAAGAGUACCAGAAGAACAGUUACCCAUGGAAGAACUGAAUGUUAAUGAAGAUUUGACUUAUUCGGAGUACCCAAUCAGAAUUCUGGAAACAUCUCGCAGAAUUACACGGAGUAAAGUCAUUAACAUGUGCAAAGUUCAGUGGAGUCAUCAUUCGGAAGAUGAAGCCACUUGGGAAAGAGAAGAUGAACUCAGAGCAGAAUUCCCUCAGCUAUUCUCGAAAGUUUCUUAAUCUCGAGGACGAGAUUCUUUUUAAGAGGGGUAGGUUUGUAACACCAUAAUAGCCAUCAAUUAAAAAUAAUGAAUUUAGUUAUUAUUAAUUAGGGUAAUAAAUUUUUUUAAGUGUUUAAUUGUUUAUUUGCAUUUUUAUCAUUUUCAUUGCAUGUGCUUGAUUGCUUAUUGGAAUGUUUAUUAUCAACUCUUUUUAAAGAAAAUCCUAGCAAAUAAUAUAAUAAUUAUUAGUCUAAAAACAAGUAUUUUAUUUAUAAAUAAUUUUGGUGAAUUUCUCGGAAUUUUCGAGCUCUUUAAAAAUACAUUUCACAAUUAAAAAAAACAAAUCCUACACUAAACCAGCCCACUAGGGGCCCAUUACCCCAAACCCUAUCCUCUAACGCGCGCGCGCCAGCAGAAGCCGCCGCCGCCAGCCUCUACUACUCCCUCUCCUAUCUCUCUUCUCUCUCUCCUCCAUGUUCUCUCUGCACGCCGCCGCUCCCUGCCACGCUGCAGCACUCGCCCGGCCCUGCACCGGCGCCCUGCGCAAGCCGCGCCGAGCGCGCAGCCGCCCAGGCCGACCGGCCAACCCGCGCCCUGCCCUGGUGCGCGACGCCUGCGCUCCCUGCGCGCGCCUACGCCGCACGCCCAGCAGCGACGCCCGAGCAGACCCGAAGCCGCCGCGCCCGAAGCCGAAUCGCCCGAGCCCCACGCACCGCGACGCCCGACCGACCCUGCGCGAACCCCAACGGUCCCUCUGCACCGCGACCUCGCUGCCUAGAAGUCGAGCAGCCGCGCAGUCCGCGCCCCAUUGAAGUCAUAGCUGCCGUUACUGCCGUUUCUUCUUUCUGUGCCUCAUUCCUUCCUCCAUUAGUGGUGUUUACAACUCCUGUUCGUGUUGUGCAGAAACAGUUCAUCAUAUGGCCAUCACGGAGCUUUAAACAGGAUUUAAACUCUCUUUUCCGUCAGCCUAUAAAGCUAGAGACGUCCUGCUUCCUUCCUCCCCAAUAGCUCGGCUCUGCACUUCGUCUCGCUCAAUCGUCCUUAGGCUAUAGCCACUGCACCUUGUUAUCGUCGGAGCUUCACCCGCUCGGACACGCCGUCGUUUGCUGUCUACGCUCGUCGGAGUUCACCGGAGUCGCAGUUCGUCGCAGGAGCCACGCACUCGCCGUCCGUAGUCGUGCCCCGCACUCCGUCCGGCCGAAACCCGUCGAUCCGUCCCCGUCACACGCACGAACCCGAGGUUGUUGGCGACCCAAAUUUAUUUUAUGUAUUUUAUAAAGUGCUUUCGAUUCGAUUCAUGUGUUGUAUAGUUUGUUUGUUGUAUGAACACAUGUGAGUCGCGACAUUAUGUAUGGGUGUAUGAGCGUUAUGGAAUUGUUUGGUAGUUUCAAGCGAUUAUUCGUACACCUUGUUAUUUCAUGUUAAUCGAUGCGCUGAAUUUUGGUUUAGAGAAAUAUGACGUAGAUUUAAUAGUCACACGUCGGUGAUAAAAAUACUAGAUAAGAAUUUAUAGUUAAAAUUGGUCGCGAUAAAUUUUUGAAACUAAUUGGAGAAUUAUAGGUGCAUUUUUGAUGGAUUAGAAAAAUGGUAUAGAACUCAUGUCAUAUGAAUAAAAUAGGAUUGUUAGAUGAUUUAUUCGAUUAUUUAAUUAAUAUCUUCUUUUGGAAAGAAAAGAGAAAAUAUCGUUGGUAGAUGGCAAAAUAGGGUUUUGCUAGUCAAAUAAACAUGUUCACAGAUUUAGAACUUAAAAUUGUUAGAGUACUAGUUUAUGUCAAAUAACCCCGCUUGUGUUAGAAAAUGUUCAAUUAGUAGUUUAUGUAGAUUUUAGAAUAUUAAUAUUAUUAGAUUCAUUUUUGGUCAUACUAACUAAUUUGUGUUAAAAGUAAUAAUAGGUAUUAAUUUAUUUAUUAGUAUUAAAAGAUAAUAAGUAUUAUUUAAUUUCAUUGAUGGUGUUAAAGUAGAUUAAUAUUAGUUAAAAUUAUAUUUAUUACACCCACUCCUAAAUUCACCAUUAGGAUGCGCAUUAAUAGUUAUAAUUAAAUUAAUAAGUAUUUACGCGAUUAGUACGUAAUUAAAAUGUGAUUAGUGCGACGUGUUAAUGUGCAUGUAAUGGUGUAUGAUUAUGUAAUGGUGCAUGUUUACUUAUGGGUGUAUACUUUAUUUUUGUAUGUGCGAUGUGCGACUAUAAUAGAAGCGGACUGUGUGGUAGAGAAUCCGAACUCGUUCGGGGACGACCCGCAAGACGUUGUUGAGCAAGGCAAGUGGAUUCUCCCUCUGCAUACUCUUUUUGUACCCAGUCAUUGCAUUUAAUAAUGUUUACUUUUGAUAUACUGCAUAAUUUGAUGGGUUUCACCUAAUUAAGGAUUUCCUAGAUUUACUACCUGUAUUCCUUGUUUAACCUGGGGAAAUAAUUAAGCCGUGCAAGAAUUUGUGCUACCGCUCAACUUAAUGAUUUCUUAAUGUCACUCAUUAAUUGGUUUUAAUGUUCCAAGGAUUUAGUUGGCAAUUAUGGCAUUAACCCGAUGGUUAAGAUAACAUUAUUACAAAUUUAAUUGGAACAUGGAGUGACCACCCAGGAUAACAGUGCAACCACGAGUGCUAUCAUGGCUCUGGCUUUGGUAAUUAGCUCUAUAUGCUUAGUGCCUAGCAACCUUACCUGAAAGAUGGGCAAGAGGAGGAGCGGUAGGUGCUGGUAGCCCACGUUAACAUGGGGUCGUAUUCUUGGCUAAGGUACUUCACCCAGGGGGCCACCACCAUCGUCUUAGAAACCUUAGCGGGUUGCUUCGUAUUAAGUGUAUUUUGUGAAAACCUCAUAAUGGAUCCCUAGCCAUUCACCUCGGCAGUGUCUAAGGGUCCGAUCAACCCGGGCUAGAUGGGAUACAUGGCUUGUGGGUAAAGUUGUACCACCUCUGCAGAGUGUAAAACUGAUAUAUCAGCCGUGCUCCCGGUUAUGAGCGACCUGGACUCCUCACAUGAUAAUUGAACUUGAAGAUGGAAUUAAUUUGAGAUCCGAUGAUCUGCCAAUAAUUUGCUUAAGUGGUUUCACUUAAGUGUUUUUGUUAUAUUCAUAUUCCUUUGUUUAAUUUGGAUAUUUGGGAUUCACUCUUAUUAGUAAGACAGGUGUUGAUAAUAAAAUGUUGACCAACUAAAAUGCUUACGGCUCAACCUUAGCCUCCCCUUGUUAUACCUGCAUUAAUUUUUCCCCCACUUGCUGAGCCCCGACCAUAAGUGAGCUCACCCUUGCUAAUAUUUUGAUCAGAGGGUGAUGCUGGAGACUUUGAUGGAGAAUUUGUCGACGAGGAAUUCUAAGUCUAACGAUGCGCCGGUCAACUUCCUGUGGAAGAUUGCCCAGUUGUUUAUUCCCGCUUAACUUUGAUGUGAUACUUGUUUAAGACGCAAUGUUUCAGAUGAUGUAAUAAAGUUUUAUACUCUCUUUACGCCUUUAUUGCAUUGUCUUUUGAUAUAUUACACUUGUGACGUCAACAUAUGUGUGGAAAUGGAUCCUGGCACACAUAUGGUAUGCACUUGGUUCUACCCCCUGGAACCGGGUGUGACAGUCGGGUUGUGUUGCGAGCUCUUGUUGUGACUUGUGUGUGUGUUGAUAUUCUGAUUUCGUGUCUUGUGUGCGUUGCUCAUCCCUCCCUUACUCCGUGCUUCUUUGUGAACAUCUUUUGUAAGGGCGAGAGACUCCAAGUUGUGGAGAUUCCUCGCGAACGGGAUAUAGAAAAGAAAAGCAAACACCGUGGUAUUCAAGUGGGUCUUUGGACCGCUUGAGAGGGGUUGAGUGCAACCCUCGUCCGUUGGGACGCCACAACGUGGAAGUUGGCAAGUGUUGUACUUGGCCGAACCACGGGAUAAACCACUGUGUCUAUCUGUGUUGAUUCUCUUGGGGUUAUUGUGUUUAGCUAAGGCUCUUCUCUAGCCACUUGGCAAUACUUGCUAACUCUUAACCAAAUCUCUGUGGCAUUAAGUGUAAGUUUUACAGGAUCACCUAUUCACCCCCUCUCUAGGUGCUCUCAAUUGGUAUCAGAGUCGUUCUCUUCACAAAGGGACUAAUCGCCCGAAGAGAUGGAUCCUAAGGGGAAGGGAAUCAUGAUCAACAACAAGGAGAAGGAGUCCUUCGUCAACGAGCCGAAGGAUGACAAGCCUACCGACUCGGGCUCGGGCCACAGAUGCAAAGAUGGGAAGAAGAAGACGAGACACAUCAAGGAGAUCGUCUACUACGACGACAGCGAUGAGUCCACUUCUUCCCAAAAGGACAACGACGACAACGACUACGACAAACGAAAGACGGUUAACUCAAACUUUUCUUUUGAUUAUUCGCGUAUCCCACAUAGCUCAAAUGCACAUUUGCUUUCCAUCCCUCUUGGCAAACCUCCACACUUUGAUGGGGAGGACUACAGAUUUUGGAGUCACAAAAUGCGUAGUCACUUGUUCUCUCUCCAUCCAAGCAUAUGGGAGAUUGUUGAGAAUGGAAUGAAAUUUGAUAGCUCGGAUAGUCCUAUAUUUAUUAAUGAACAGAUUCAUAAAAAUGCACAAGCUACUACUGUGUUGUUAGCCUCUUUGUGCAGGGACGAGUACCAUAAGGUGAGCGGCUUGGACAAUGCCAAGCAAAUCUGGGACACCCUCAAGAUUUCUCAUGAGGGGAACGACAUCACCUUACUCACCAAGAUGGAGUUGGUGGAGGGCGAGCUUGGAAGAUUCGCGAUGAUAAGGGGCGAGGAGCCAACCCAAACAUACAACCGGCUCAAGACCCUUAUCAACAAAAUAAGGAGCUACGGAAGCACGCGAUGGACGGACCACGACGUCGUCCGCCUAAUGCUAAGGUCCUUUACUGUACUUGAUCCACAUUUGGUGAACAAUAUUCGUGAAAAUCCUAGGUACACCAAGAUGUCGCCCGAAGAAGUCCUUGGAAAGUUCGUAAGCGGGCGAAUGAUGAUCAAGGAGGCAAGGUACGUGGACGACGCGUUGAAUGGUCCAAUCCAUGAGCCUCAACCCAUUGCUCUCAAGGCAACGAGAAGCAAGGAGGCGCUACCUAGCAAGGUGGCGCAAGUUGAGGCGGCCGGGCUCAAUGAUGAAGAGAUGGCCCUCAUCAUCAAGCGCUUCAAGACGGCGCUAAAGGGUCGCAAGGGACAGCCAAGCAAGACCAAGACAAAGGGGAAGCGCUCAUGCUUCAAAUGUGGUAAGAUUGGUCAUUUUAUUGCUAACUGUCCCGAUAAUGAUAGUGAACAAGAACAAGAGGGCAAGAGGGAGAAGAAGAAGGCAUACAAGAAGGCUAAGGGCGAGGCACACCUUGGCAAGGAGUGGGACUCGGAUUGUUCGUCAUCCGACUCCGAAAAUGAAGGACUCACUGCCACCGCCUUCAACAAGUCAUCCCUCUUCCCCAACGAGCGUCACACAUGCCUCAUGGCGAAGGAGAAGAAGGUAUGUACUCGAGACAAUACUACUUAUGAUUCUUCUAGUGAUGAUGAGUCUAGUGAUGAAGAAAUAGAUUACUCUAGUUUGUUCAAGGGAUUGGAUAGAACUAAAAUAGAUAAGAUCAAUGAACUGAUUGAUGCCUUGAAUGAAAAGGAUAGACUCUUAGAGAAACAAGAAGACCUUUUAUAUGAAGAGCAUGAUAAAUUUGUUAGUGCACAAAAUUCACUUGCUCUAGAAGUUAAAAGAAAUGAAAUGCUUUCUAGUGAAUUGUCUACCUGUCAUGACUCUAUCUCUAGCUUAAAGAGAAUUAACAAUGAUUUAAAUGCUAAACUAGAAGUAGUAAAUAAAUCUAACUCUUGUGUAGAACAUGUUAUGAUUUGCACUAGGUGUAAAGAUUUUGACAUUGAUGCUUGUAGUGAACACCUAGUUUGCAUUUCUAAAUUAAAUGAUGAAGUGACUAGUCUUAAUGCCCAACUUAAGACUAGCAAGAGUGAAUUUGACAAGCUAAAAUUUGCAAGGGAUGCCUACACGAUUGGUAGACACCCCUCAAUUAAGGAUGGUCUUGGCUUCAAGAGAGAAGCCAAGAACUUAACAAGCCAUAAGGCUCCCAUCUCCACCAAGGAGAAAGGGAAGGCCCCUAUGGCUAGUAGUGUGCAAAAGAACCAUGCUUUCAUGUAUCAUGGUAGGAGACAUCCUAAGAAUGCCUUUAGAAGUUAUGACGCUUUUUGAUUUUCAUGCUAUGACUGCUUCUAGUUCCCAUGUUAUGCAUGAUAGAAAUGUUGCUAGGAGAAAUGUUGUUCAUAAUAUGCCUAGGAGAAAUGUUGUUAAUGUUCCUAGGAAAGUUAAUGAACCUUGUACAAUAUAUCAUGCUUGCAAUGCUUCAUUUGCUAUUUGUAGAAAGGAUAAGAAGGUGAUUGCUAGGAAGUUAGGGGCAAGAUGCAAGGGAGAUAAAACUUGCAUUUGGGUCCCUAAGACAAUUGUGACUAACCUUGUAGGACCCAACAAGAGUUGGGUACCUAAGACCCAAGCCUAAAUUUGCCUUGCAGGUUUAUGCAUCCGGGGGUUCAAGCUGGAUUAUCGACAGCGGAUGCACAAACCACAUGACGGGGGAAAAGAGGAUGUUCUCUUCCUACGUCAAGAACAAGGAUCCCCAAGAUUCAAUAAUAUUCGGUGAUGGGAACCAAGGCAAGGUAAAAGGGUUAGGUAAAAUUGCUAUUUCAUCUGAGCACUCUAUAUCUAAUGUGUUUUUAGUUGAGUCGCUUGGAUAUAAUUUGUUAUCUGUUAGUCAAUUAUGCAAUAUGGGAUAUAAUCAAUUAUGCAAUAUGGGAUAUAAUUGUCUAUUCACAAAUGUAGAUGUGUCUGUCUUUAGACGAAGUGAUGGUUCACUAGCUUUUAAGGGUGUAUUAGACGACAAACUUUACUUAGUUGAUUUUGCAAAAGAGGAGGCCGGUCUAGAUGCAUGCUUAAUUGCUAAGACUAGCAUGGGCUGGCUGUGGCAUCGCCGCUUAGCACAUGUGGGGAUGAAGAACCUUCACAAGCUUCUAAAAGGAGAACACGUGAUAGGUUUAACUAAUGUGCAAUUCGAAAAAGAUAGACCUUGUGCAGCUUGUCAAGCAGGCAAACAGGUGGGAAGCUCUCAUCACACCAAAAAUGUGAUGACCACAUCAAGACCCUUGGAGAUGCUUCAUAUGGACCUCUUCGGACCCGUCGCCUAUCUAAGUAUAGGAGGAAGUAAGUAUGGUCUUGUUAUAGUUGAUGAUUUUUCCCGCUUCACUUGGGUAUUCUUUUUGCAGGAUAAAUCUGAAACCCAGGGGACCCUCAAGCGCUUCCUCAGAAGAGCUCAAAAUGAGUUUGAGCUCAAGGUGAAGAAGAUAAGGAGCGACAAUGGGUCCGAAUUCAAGAACCUUCAAGUGGAGGAGUACCUUGAGGAGGAAGGGAUCAAGCACGAGUUCUCCGCUCCCUACACACCACAGCAAAAUGGUGUGGUAGAGAGGAAGAACAUGACACUUAUAGACAUGGCGAGGACGAUGCUUGGAGAGUUCAAGACACCCGAGCGUUUUUGGUCGGAAGCAGUGAACACAGCUUGCCACGCCAUCAACAGGGUCUACCUUCACCGCCUCCUCAAGAAGACUUCGUACGAGCUUCUAACCGGUAACAAACCCAAUGUAUCCUACUUUCGUGUAUUUGGGAGCAAAUGCUACAUUCUAGUGAAGAAAGGUAGAAAUUCUAAGUUUGCUCCCAAAGCUGUAGAAGGGUUUUUAUUAGGUUAUGACUCAAAUACAAAGGCGUAUAGAGUCUUCAACAAAUCAUCGGGUUUGGUUGAAGUCUCUAGCGACGUUGUAUUUGAUGAGACUAAUGGCUCUCCAAGAGAGCAAGUUGUUGAUUUUGAUGAUGUAGAUGAAGAAGAAGUUCCAACGGCCGCAAUACGCACCAUGACGACUGGAGAUGUGCGGCCACAGGAACAAGAUGAGCAAGAUCAACCUUCUUCCUCAACAAUGGUGCAUCCCCCAACUCAAGACGAUGAACAGGUUCAUCAAGAGGAGGCGUGUGAUCUAGGGGAGCACAAGAUGAUCAUGUGAUGGAGGAAGAAGCACAACCGGCACCUCCAACCCAAGUUCGAGCGACGAUUCAAAGGGAUCAUCCCGUCGACCAAAUUUUGGGUGACAUUAGCAAGGGAGUAACAACUCGGUCUCGAUUAGUUAAUUUUUGUGAGCAUUACUCCUUUGUCUCUUCUAUUGAGCCUUUCAGGGUAGAGGAGGCCUUGCUAGAUCCGGACUGGGUGUUGGCCAUGCAGGAGGAGCUCAACAACUUCAAGAGGAAUGAAGUUUGGACACUGGUGCCUCGUCCCAAGAAAAAUGUUGUGGGAACCAAGUGGGUGUUCCGCAACAAACAAGACGAGCACGGGGUGGUGACAAGGAACAAUGCACGGCUUGUGGCAAAAGGUUAUGCCCAAGUCGCAGGUUUGGACUUUGAGGAGACUUUUGCUCCUGUGGCUAGGCUAGAGUCCAUUCGUAUUUUGCUAGCAUAUGCCGCUCACCAUUCCUUCAGGUUGUUCCAAAUGGAUGUGAAGAGCGCGUUCCUCAACGGGCCAAUCAAGGAGGAGGUGUACGUGGAGCAACCCCCUGGCUUCGAGGAUGAACGGCACACCGACCACGUGUGUAAGCUCUCUAAGGCGCUCUAUGGACUUAAGCAAGCCCCAAGAGCAUGGUAUGAAUGCCUUAGAGACUUUUUGAUUGCUAAUGCUUUCAAGGUUGGGAAAGCCGAUCCAACUCUAUUUACUAAGACUUGUGAUGGUGAUCUUUUUGUGUGCCAAAUUUAUGUCGAUGACAUAAUAUUUGGUUCAACUAACCAAAAGUCUUGUGAAGAGUUUAGCAGGGUGAUGACUCAGAAAUUCGAGAUGUCGAUGAUGGGCGAGUUAAGCUACUUCCUUGGGUUCCAAGUGAAGCAACUCAAGGAUGGAACCUUCAUCUCUCAAACCAAGUACACGCAAGACUUGAUCAAGCGGUUUGGGAUGAAGGACGCCAAGCCCGCAAAGACUCCAAUGGGAACCGAUGGACACACCGACCUCAACAAAGAAGGUAAGUCCGUUGAUCAAAAAGCAUACCGGUCUAUGAUAGGAUCUUUACUUUAUCUAUGUGCUAGUAGACCGGAUAUCAUGCUUAGCGUAUGCAUGUGUGCUAGAUUUCAAUCCGAUCCUAAGGAGUGUCACUUAGUGGCUGUGAAGCGAAUUCUUAGAUAUUAGUCGCUACGCCUUGUUUCGGGAUCUGGUAUCCAAAAGGGUCUACCUUUGACUUGGUGCGUAUUGCAGCCGUUGGAACGUCUUCUUCAUCUACAUCAUCAAGAUCAACAACUUGCUCUCUUGGAGAGCCAUUAGUCUCAUCAAAUACAAUGUCGCUAGAGACUUCAACCAAACCUGAUGAUUUGUUGAAGACUCUAUAUGCCUUUGUAUUUGAGUCAUAACCUAAUAAAAACCCUUCUACAGCUUUGGGAGCAAACUUAGAAUUCCUACCUUUCUUCACUAGAAUGUAACAUUUGCUCCCAAAUACACGAAAGUAAGAUACAUUGGGUUUGUUACCGGUUAGAAGCUCAUAUGAAGUCUUCUUGAGGAGGCGAUGAAGAUAGACCCGGUUUAUGGCGUGGCAAGCCGUGCUCACGGCUUCCGUCCAAAACCGUUCGGGCGUCUUGAAUUCACCAAGCAUCGUCCUCGCCAUGUCUAGUAGUGUCCUGUUCUUCCUCUCUACCACACCAUUUUGUUGUGGUGUGUAGGGAGCGGAGAACUCGUGCUUGAUUCCUUCCUCCUCAAGAUACUCCUCCACUUGAAGAUUCUUGAACUCGGACCCAUUGUCGCUCCUUAUCUUCUUCACCUUGAGCUCAAACUCGUUUUGGGCUCUCCUUAGGAAGCGCUUGAGGGUCCCUUGGGUUUCAGAUUUAUCCUGGAAAAAGAAUACCCAAGUGAAGCGGGAAAAAUCAUCAACUAUAACAAGACCAUACUUACUUCCUCCUAUACUUAGAUAGGCGACGGGUCCGAAGAGGUCCAUAUGAAGUAACUCCAGGGGUCUUGAUGUUGUCAUCACAUUUUUGGCAUGAUGAGAGCUUCCCACCUGUUUACCUGCUUGACAAGCUGCACAAGGUCUAUCUUUUUCGAAAGUUACAUUAGUUAGACCUAUCACGUGUUCUCCCUUUAGAAGCUUGUGAAGGUUCUUCAUCCCCACAUGUGCUAAACGAUGAUGCCACAGCCAGCCCAUGCUAGUCUUAGCAAUUAAGCAUGCAUCUAGACUGGCCUCCUCUUUUGCAAAAUCGACUAAAUAAAGUUUGCCGUCUAGUACACCCUUCAAAGCUAAUGAACCAUCACUUCUUCUAAAGACAGACACAUCUACAUUUGUGAAUAAACAGUUAUAUCCCAUAUUACACAGUUGACUCACAGACAACAAGUUAUAUCCAAGCGACUCAACUAAGAACACAUUAGAAAUAGAGUGCUCGGAUGAAAUAGCAUUUUUACCUAACUCUUUCACCUUGCCUUGGUUCCCAUCACCGAAUAUGAUUGAAUCUUGGGGAUCCUUGUUCUUGACGUAGGAAGAGAACAUCCUCUUCUCCCCCGUCAUGUGGUUUGUGCAUCCGCUGUCGAUAAUCCAGCUUGAGCCCCCGGAUGCAUAAACCUGCAAGGCAAUUUAGGCUUGGGUCUUAGGUACCCAACUCUUGUUGGGUCCUACAAGGUUAGUACAAAUAGCCUUAAGGACCCAAAUGCAAGUUUUAUCUCCCUUGCAUUUUGCCCCUAAUUUUCUAGCAACCACCUUCUUAUCCUUUCUACAAAUAGCAAAGGAAGCAUUUAAAGCAUGAUAAAUUGUAGAAGGUUCAUUACUUGUUUUCCUAGGCACAUGAGUAUUUCUCCUAGGUACAUGAUGAAUGACAUUUUUCCUAGCCACACUUCUAUCAUACAUCAUAGAAGAACUUGAAGCAAACAUUGCAUUUGAAUCAUAAGCAUGUGAAACAAUAUCAUUGCAACUUCUAUCAUGAUGAACAUUCCUAGAAUAUCUCCUAUCAUGGUAUAAGAAAGCAUGGUUCUUUUGCACACUAUUUGCCAUAGGGGCCUUCCCUUUCUCCUUGAUGGAGAUGGGAGCCUUAUGACUUGUCAAGUUCUUGGCUUCCCUCUUGAAGCCAAGCCCAUCCUUAAUUGAGGGGUGUCUACCAACCGUGUAGGCAUCCCUCGCAAAUUUUAGUUUAUCAAAAUCAUUUUUGCUAGUCUUAAGUUGAGCAUUAAGACUAGCCACUUCAUCAUUUAGUUUAGAAAUGCAAACUAGGUGUUCACUACAAGCAUCAACAUUAAAAUCUUUGCACCUAUUGCAAAUCAUAACAUGUUCUUCACGAGAGUUUGUUUUACUAGCUAUUUCUAACUUAGCAUUCAAAUCAUCAUUUAUGCUCUUUAAACUAGAAAUAGAGUCAUGGCAUGUAGACAAUUCACAAGAAAGCAUCUUAUUCCUUUUAAUUUCUAAAGCAAGGGAUUUUUGUGCCUCUACAAACUUAUCAUGUUCUUCAUACAGAAGAUCCUCUUGCUUUUCUAAUAGCCUAUUUUUAUCAUUCAAGGCAUCAAUUAAUUCAUUAAUCUUAUCAACCUUAGUUCUAUCUAGGCCCUUGAAUAAACAUGAAUAGUCUAUUUCAUCAUCACUAGAUUCUUCAUCACUUGAGGAAGUGUAAGUACUAGUAUUAUGAGUGCUUACCUUCUUUUACCUUGCCAUGAGGCAGGUGUGAUGCUUGUUGGGGAAGAGGGCCGACUUGUUGAAGGCGGUGGCGGCGAGUCCUUCGUUGUCGGAGUCGGACGACAAACAAUCCGAGUCCCACUCCUUUCCAAGGUGUGCCUCGCCCUUAGCUUUCUUGUAAGCCUUCUUCUUUUCCCUCUUGUUCCCUUGUUCCUGGUCACUAUCAUUUUUGGGACAAUUAGCGAUAAAAUGACCAAUCUUACCACAUUUGAAGCAUGAGCGCUUCCCCUUUGUCUUGGUCUUGUUGGGAUGCUCCUUGCGACCCCUUAGCGCCGUCUUGAAGCGCUUGAUGAUGAGGGCCAUUUCUUCAUCAUUAAGUCUGGCCGCCUCAACCUGUGCCACCUUGCUAGGUAGCGCCUCCUUGCUCCUUGUUGCUUUGAGAGCAACGGUUUGAGGCUCGUGGAUUGGACCGUUCAACACAUCGUCAAUGUAUCUUGCCUCCUUGAUCAUCAUCCGCCCGCUUACAAACUUUCCAAGUAUCUCCUCGGGCGUCAUCUUGGUGUACCUAGGAUUCUCACGAAUAUUGUUCACAAGAUGUGGAUCAAGGAUAGUAAAAGACCUUAGCAUUAGGCGGACGACGUCGUGGUCCGUCCAUCGCGUGCUUCCAUAGCUCCUUAUUUUGUUGACGAGGGUCUUGAGCCGGUUGUAUGUUUGGGUUGGCUCCUCGCCCCUGAUCAUUGCGAAUCUCCCAAGUUUGCCUUUUAAUGACUCCAUCUUGGUGAGCAUGGUGACGUCAUUUCCCUCAUGAGAGAUCUUGAGGGUGUCCCAAAUCUUCUUGGCGUUAUCCAAGCCGCUCACCUUAUGGUAUUCAUCCCUGCACAAAGAUGCUAGAAGAACAGUAGUAGCUUGUGCAUUUUUGUGAAUUUGCUUAUUGAUAAAUGUGGGACUAUCAGUACUAUCAAAUUGCAUUCCACUCUCUACUAUCUCCCAUAUGCUUGGAUGGAGAGAGAACAAGUGACUACGCAUUUUGUGACUCCAAAAUCCGUAGUCCUCUCCAUCAAAGUGAGGAGGUUUACCAAGUGGAAUGGAGAGUAAAUGAGCAUUUGUAUUUUGCGGAAUACGAGAAUAAUCAAAAGAGAAGUUUGAAUUGACCCUUUUCUUUUUCUCGUAGUUGUCGUCUUCCUUUUGGGAAGAAGAAGACUCAUCGCUGUCGUCGUAGUAGACGAUCUCCUUGAUGCGCCUUAUUUUCUUCUUCUUCCCGUCUUUUCUUUUGUGGCUUGAGCCCGAGUCAGUAGGCUUGUCAUCUUUUGGAUCAUUGACGAAGGACUCCUUCUCCUUAUCAUUGACCACCAUACCCUUGCCCCUAGGAUCCAUCUCUUCGGGCGAUUAGUCCCUUUCUUGAAGAGAACGGCUUUGAUACCAAUUGAGAGCACCUAGAGGAGGGGUGAAUAGGUGAUCCUGUAAAACUUAAAACUUAACACCACAAACUUGAUUAAGAGUUAGAACAGUGAAAUCAAGUGAGUAGAGAGGAGAGCUCUUGUGAAGCACAAUAGACAUAAUAAGGACAAGCACAAGAGACACGAGGAAUUAUCCCGUGGUUCGGGUAAGUACAAAACUUGCCUACUCCACGUUGUGGCGUCCCAACGGACGAGAGUUGCACUCAACUCCUCUCAAGUGAUCCAAUGAUCAACUUGAAUACCACGGUGUUCUUCUUUACUUUGCUCUUUUCUCGUUUGCGAGGAAUCUCCACAACUUGGAGUCUCUCGCCCUUACAAUAAGAAUCAAUAUGAAGCACAAGAGUAAGGGAGGGAAGCAACACACUCAAAUCCACAGCAAAUAUGCGUACACAAGAUCAAGACUUGAGCUCAAAAGAGUAUCACAAGGUUCUCACUAGAACGAAGCUCAAAUCACUAAGAAUGUCGAACAAGUGCGCAAGAAUGAAGUGUGAGUGAUCAACAAUGCUCAAGUAAUGCUUGGUAUCCUCCUCCAUGCGCCUAGGGGUCCCUUUUAUAGCCCCAAGGCAGCUAGGAGCCGUUGAGAGCAUUUGAAGAAGGCAAUUCUUGCCUUCUAUCGCCUGGCGCACCGGACAGUCUGGUGCACCACCGGACACUGUCCGGUGCAGAUUUCUUUCCUUCUUUGGCGAAGCCGACUGUUGGCGCUUAGGAGCCGUUGGCGCACCGGACACUGUCCGGUGCACACCGGACAGUCCGGUGCCCCUUCUGACCGUUGGCUCUUGCCACGCAUCGCGCGCGGAUUAUGCGGCCGACCGUUGGCCCGGCCGACUGUUGGCUCACCGGAUAGUCCGGUGCACCACCGGACAGUCCAGUGAUUUAUAGCCGUACGCCGUUAAUUGCUUCCCGAGAGCAGCCAGUUGACAGUCGCCGGCCUGGCGCACCGGACACUGUCCGGUGCACCACCGGACAGUCCGGUGCACCCAAACUGAGCUGUCUUUGGCUGAACAAAGCCAUCUCUUUUCCAACUUGAUUUCUCCUGUUUCCAGCACUUAGACACAAUACAUUAGUUUCCAAAACAAUGUACUAAGUCUUAGAAACAUACCUUUUUACUUGAUUUGCACUUUAUCCAUCACUUUGCAUAGAUUAACAUGAGUCCACUUGUGUUGGCACUCAAUCACCAAAAUACUUAGAAAUGGCCCAAGGGCACAUUUCCCUUUCACUAACGCUAACCCGGCUUGUAGUUGUGCUUAAGUUGUUAAAUUUCAGAUUCACCCUAUUCACCCCCCUCUAGGCGACUUUCAAUUGGUAUCAGAGCCCGAUGCUUCAUUAGAGCCUAACCGCUCGAAGUGAUGUCGGGAGAUCACGCCAAGAAGGAGAUGGAGACCGGCGACAAGCCCGCUACAAGCCACGAGAAAGCUUCAUCGGAAGAGUCCCGCAACAAAGGGAAGGGGAAGGAGAAGAAAUCCCCUUCACACAAGUCGCGUCGGAGCGACGACAAGAAGAAGAAGAUGAGGAAGGUGGUCUACUACGAGACCGACUCCUCGUCGCCAUCCACCUCCGGCUCCGACACGCCGUCCGUAACUUCUAAGCGCCAUGAGCGCAAGAAGUAUAGUAAGAUUCCCCUACGCUACCCCCGUAUUUCAAAGCGUACUCCUUUACUCUCCGUUCCAUUAGGCAAACCACCGGUUUUUGACGGUGAAGAUUAUAAUAUGUGGAGUGACAAAAUGAGGCAUCAUCUAACCUCACUCCACACAGGCAUUUGGAAUGUUGUUGAGUUUGGUGUACAGAUACCAUCCGUAGGGGAUGAAGACUACGCCUCAGACGAAGUGGCCCAAAUCCACCACUUUAACUCCCAAGCCACCACUAUACUCCUCGCCUCUCUAAGUCGAGAGGAGUAUAAUAAGGUGCAAGGGUUAAAGAGUGCGAAGGAAAUUUGGGACGUACUCAAGACCGCGCACGAAAGAGACGAGGUGACAAAGAUCACCAAGCGGGAGACGAUCGAGGGGGAGCUCGGUCGCUUCAUGCUUCACCAAGGGGAGGAUCCGCAAGCCAUGUACAACCGCUUGAAGACCUUGGUGAACCAAGUGCGCAACCUCGGGAGCGAAAAAUGGGAUGACCAUGAGAUGGUCAAGGUUAUUCUUAGAUCCCUCAUUUUUCUUAACCCUACACAAGUUCAAUUAAUUCGAGAUGAUCCUAGAUACAAGCUAAUGUCUCCCGAGGAGGUUAUAGGAAAAUUUGUGAGCUUUGAGCUAAUGAUUAAAGGCUCAAAGAAAAUCAUCGAGCAAGGCACACCCUCCAUGCCCAAGGCACAACCCGUCGCAUUCAAGGCAACGAAGGAGAAGAAGGAAGAGUCUACAUCAAGUAGACAACCAAUCGACGCCUCUAAGCUCGACAAUGAGGAGAUGGCGCUCAUCAUCAAGAGCUUCCGCCAAAUCCUCAAGCAAAGGAGGGGGAAGGACUACAAGCCCCGCUCCAAGAAAGUGUGCUACAAAUGUGGUAAGCCCGGUCAUUUUAUAGCAAAAUGUCCACUAUCUAGUGACAGUGACAGGGGCGACGACAAGAAGGGCAAGAGAAGAGAAAAGAAGAGGUACCACAAGAAGAGGGGCGGCGAUGCCCAUGUGUGCCGCGAGUGGGACUCCGAGGAGAGCUCCUCCGACUUCUCCUCUAACGAGGACGCCGCCAACAUCGCCGUCACUAAGGGACUUCUCUUCCCCAACGUCGGCCACAAGUGCCUCAUGGCAAAGGACGGCAAAAAGAAGAAGGUUAAAUCCAAAUCCUCCACUAAAUAUGAGUCCUCUAGUGAUGAUAAUGCUAGUGAUGAGGAGGAUAAUUUGCGUACCCUUUUUGCCAACCUAAACAUGCCACAAAAAGAAAAAUUAAAUGAAUUAAUUAGUGCCAUCCAUGAAAAGGAUGAACUCUUGGACACCCAAGAGGACUUCCUAAUCAAGGAAACAAAAAGCAUGUUAAGGUUAAAAAUGCUUACGCUCUAGAAGUUGAAAAAUGUGAAAAAUUGUCUAGUGAGCUAAGCACUUGCCAUGAUACUAUUGCCAACCUUAGAAAUGAAAAUGCUAAACUUAUUGCUAAGGUUGAUUCUAAUGUUUGUAAUGUUUCAAUUCCCAAUCUUAGAGAUGAUAAUGUUGAUUUACUUGCUAAGAUUGAAGAAUUGAAUGAUUCUCUUGCUAGCCUUAGAAAUGAAAAUGAAAAAUUGACUGCUAAGGCUAAAGAUUUUGAUGAUUGCAAUGUUACUAUUUCUAACCUUAGAAGUUAAAAUGAUAUAUUACAUGCUAAGGUUGUAGAAUUAAAAUCUUGCAAACCCUCUACAUCUAUCGUUGAGCAUACUUCCAUUUGCACUAGAUGUAGAUACAUUAAUGUUGAUGCUAUCCAUGACCAUCUAGCUUUAAUUAAGAAACAAAAUGAUCACAUAGCUCAACUUAAUGCUAAAAUAAAUGAGCAUGACUUAGAAAAUGAAAAGUUUAAAUUUGCUAGAAGCAUGCUCUAUAGUGGGAGACGCCCUGGCAUCAAGGAUGGCAUUGGCUUCCAAAAGGGAGACAAUGUCAAACUUAAUGCCCUCCUAAGAAAUUAUCCAACUUUGUUAAGGGCAAGGCUCCCAUGCCUCAGGAUAACGAGGGUUACAUUUUGUACCCUGCCGGUUAUCCCGAGCAUAAAAUUAGGAGAAUUCAUUCUAGGAAGUCUCACUCUGGCCCUAAUCAUGCUUUCAUGUAUAAGGGUGAGACAUCUAGCUCUAGGCAACCAACCCGUGCUAAGUUGCCUAAGAAGAAAACUCCUACUACAUCAAAUGAUCAUAGCAUUUCAUUUAAAACUUUUGAUGCUUCUUAUGUGCUAACCAACAAAUCAGGCAAGGUAGUUGCCAAGUAUAUUGGGGGGCAAACACAAGAGCUCCAAAACUUGUGUUUGGGUACCCAAAGUUCUUGUCUCUAAUGCUAAAGGACCCAAAACUAUUUGGGUACCUAAAAUCAAGAACUAAACUUGUUUUGUAGGUUUAUGCAUCCGGGGGCUCAAGUUGGAUCAUCGAUAGCGGGUGCACAAACCACAUGACAGGGGAGAAGAAGAUGUUCUCCUCCUAUGAGAAAAAUCAAGAUCCCCAACGAGCUAUCACAUUCGGGGAUGGAAAUCAAGGUUUGGUCAAAGGUUUGGGUAAAAUUGCUAUUUCACCUGACCAUUCCAUUUCCAAUGUUUUUCUUGUAGAUUCUUUAGAUUAUAACUUGCUUUCCGUUUCCCAAUUAUGUCAAAUGGGCUACAACUGUCUAUUUACUGAUGUAGGUGUCACUGUCUUUAGAAGGAGUGAUGAUUCAAUAGCAUUUAAGGGAGUGUUAGAGGGUCAACUAUACUUGGUAGAUUUUGAUAGAGCUGAACUCGACACUUGCUUAAUUGCUAAGACUAACAUGGGUUGGCUCUGGCACCGCCGACUAGCCCAUGUUGGAAUGAAGAAUCUUCAUAAGCUUCUAAAGGGAGAGCACAUUUUAGGAUUAACAAAUGUUCAUUUUGAGAAAGACAGGAUUUGUAGCGCAUGACAAGCAGGGAAGCAAGUUGGUGUUCAUCAUCCGCAUAAGAAUAUCAUGACGACUGACAGGCCACUGGAGCUCCUACACAUGGAUCUAUUCGGCCCGAUUGCUUACAUAAGCAUCGGCGGGAGUAAGUACUGUCUAGUUAUUAUGGAUGAUUAUUCUCGCUUCACUUGGGUAUUCUUUUCGUAGGAAAAAUCUCAAACCCAAGAGACCUUAAAGGGAUUCUUGAGACGGGCUCAAAAUGAGUUCGGCUUAAGGAUCAAGAAAAUAAGAAGCGACAACGGAACAGAGUUCAAGAACUCUCAAAUUGAAGGCUUCCUUGAGGAGGAGGGCAUCAAGCAUGAGUUCUCUUCUCCCUACACCCACAACAAAAUGGUGUAGUGGAGAGGAAGAAUCGAACUCUAUUGGACAUGGCAAGGACCAUGCUUGAUGAAUACAAGACUUCAGAUCGGUUUUGGGCCGAUGCGGUUAACACCGCCUGCUACGCCAUCAACCGGUUGUAUCUACACUGAAUCCUCAAGAAGACAUCAUACGAACUCCUAACCGGUAAAAAGCCCAAUAUUUCCUAUUUUAGAGUCUUUGGUAGCAAAUGCUUUAUUCUUGUUAAAAGAGGUAGAAAAUCUAAAUUUGCUCCUAAGACAGUAGAAGGCUUUUUACUAGGAUAUGAUUCAAACACAAGGGCAUAUAGAGUCUUUAACAAGUCCUCAGGACUAGUUGAAGUUUCUUGUGACGUUGUGUUUGAUGAGACUAACGACUCUCAAGUAGAGCAAGUUGAUCUUGAUGAGAUAGGUGAUGAAGAGGCUUCGUGCAUCGCGCUAAGGAACAUGUCCAUUGGGGAUGUGUGUCCUAAGGAAUCCGAAGAGCCUCCAAAUGCACAAGAUCAACCAUCCUCCUCCACGCAAGCAUCUCCACGAACUCAAAAUAAGGAUGAGGCUCAAGAUGAUGAAGAAGAAAGUCAAGAAAAUGAGCCACCUCAAGAUGACGACAAUGAUCAAGGGGGAGAUGCAAAUGAUCAAGACAAGGAGGAUGAAGAACCAAGACCGCCACACCCAAGAGUCCACCAAGCAAUCCAACGAGAUCACCCCGUCGACACCAUCCUCGGCGAUAUUCAUAAGGGGGUAACCACUAGAUCUCGUGUUGCACAUUUUUGUGAGCAUUACUCUUUUGUUUCCUCUAUUGAGCCACACAGGGUAGAGGAAGCACUUCAAGAUUCGGAUUGGGUGGUGGCAAUGCAAGAGGAGCUCAACAACUUCACUAGGAACAAGGUAUGGCAUUUAGUUCCACGUCCUAAUCAAAAUGUUGUAGGAACCGAAUGGGUCUUCCGCAACAAGCAAGAUGAGCAUGGUGUGGUAACAAGGAACAAAGCCCGACUUGUGGCCAAGGGAUAAUCCCAAGUCGAAGGUUUGGAUUUUGGUGAAACCUAUGCACCCGUAGCUAGGCUUGAGUCAAUUUGUAUAUUAUUAGCCUAUGCUACUUACCAUGGCUUCAAGCUCUACCAAAUGGACGUGAAGAGUGCCUUCCUCAAUGGACCAAUCAAGGAAGAGGUCUAUGUUGAGCAACCUCCCGUCUUUGAAGACAGUGAGUACCCUAACUAUGUUUAUAAGCUCUCUAAGGCGCUUUAUGGGCUCAAGCAAGCCCCAAGAGCAUGGUAUGAAUGCCUAAGAGAUUUCAUUAUAGCUAAUGGCUUCAAAGUCGGAAAGGUCGAUCCUACUUUAUUUACUAAAACUCUUGACAAUGAUUUGUUUGUAUGCCAAAUUUAUGUUGAUGAUAUCAUAUUUGGGUCUACUAACGAAUCUACAUGUGAGGAAUUUAGUAGAAUCAUGACACAGAAAUUCGAGAUGUCAAUGAUGGGGGAGUUGAAGUAUUUCUUAGGAUUUCAAGUGAAGCAACUCCAAGAGGGCACCUUCAUUAGCCAAACGAAGUAUACUCAAGACAUUCUAAACAAGUUUGGGAUGAAGGAUGCCAAGCCCAUCAAGACACCCAUGGGAGCCAAUGGGCAUCUCGACCUCGACACAGAAGGUAAAUCCGUAGAUCAAAAGGUAUACUGGUCGAUGAUAGGAUCUUUACUCUAUUUAUGUGCAUCUCGAUCGGAUAUUAUGCUUUCCGUAUGCAUGUGUGCAAGAUUCCAAGCCGACCCUAAGGAAGCUCACCUUACGGCCGUAAAACGAAUCUUGAGAUAUUUGGCUUAUACUCCUAAGUUUGGGCUUUGGUACUGUCGGUGUUUUGGGUCCGACCGCACACCUGGGGUUACCCCUCAAGGUGUUUUUAGGAGUAGGACGGUGUCAACGACUGUAGCAAAAUGGUUCGUGCCGAUCGCACGAGGGACAGUGGACAAGAUUUGCAGGUUCGGGCCGCUUAGAGAUGCGUAACACCCUACGUCCUGAUGAGUAUUUGAGUGCGGUUACAAGAGGGCUCUCUGGAACUGAGGCACAGAGAGUUUACGUGAGUGGCUAAGUAAAGUAGGGUCGAUCGUUCUGAAGGGGUGCCCCCUAGGCCUUAUAUACUCGACCGUGGGGCAGUACACGUGGAUAUGAUAGCUACAAGUAGCUGAAAGAUAGUAAACCUCUUGAGUUUAUCCCUACGUAACCCUUGCCGACUUAUCCUCGAAUGGCUCUGUUGCAUGGGGGCUUCAGCGCGGGAAAGUCGGGUCUCUGUUGCGAUUUACUCGUUUGACGUUGUGGGCCGUCCGGGUUUGCUCCAAUCCAGUCUUACGUCUUCUCCGCUUCGUUGAUUGUCUUUCCCCAGGCCCACGAAAGAACGACCUUACGAUUUAUUGGGCCUUUGGGCCUUUCGUGAGGUCUUUUAUCUCUUUAGUGGACCCAGGGGAUAUCUAUCCCCCACAAGCCCCCGAUCUUUGGGUUGAUUUAGAGGUAAUCAACUCAAAGAUCCAAGGUCCGAAAAAUGACUUCCUGCUGUCUUCUCUUGCUCCGAUCACUCGUUCGACCAAAGUUUAGUUUUGUGCUUGUGCCUUAGAGGUCGGCAUUUUGAAUUGUAGGAUUCUGGACUUCAUUGGGUGCACCGGAGGUGCACCCAAUGGGUGUAGCCCCCGACCUUUGAGUAGAUUUUAGAAGAUAAUCUACUCGAAGGUCUUCCCCAAAGAUUAUCUCCAUUCGCGCUCCUGCAUCUCGGUUGAGAAUUGGUCUUUUCAAUCUUGUCCCACGCCUUAGAAGUCAGCGCUAUAUCGGUUUAGAAUGAUAAUCCAUGGGGUGCACCGGAGGUGCACCCAAUGGGUGUAGCCCCCGACCUUCAAAUGGAUUUUUUAAGGAUAAUCCAUUCGAAGGUCUUCCUUUUGCUUGUAAAAAUUGGCAUGAAGCUAAUCGCAUUAUGCUUUGGAGGUCAGCAUUAUGUCAUCAAAAUUUUGCUGCAGAGGUCAGCAUAUAUUUUGUCUUUUAGCAGCCGAGUUUGCAAUCCAUCCAUAUCUUGCUAGGUAAUGCAAUUUAUUUGCUUCUGCGACUUGAUUGAACGUUUGAUGGACGUUCUCUGUCUAGUCCUCACAUCGCUUCUGUCGGUCAUAUCUUGUACUUUGCUGGCUAUAUUUGGCUUUCCUCUGAUCCUUACUGAUGUCUCAUUUUUGUCUUGAGGUAUUUACUGCGUGCCCUGCACGGAUGUGACCGUUUUGAAAAAUAUACUGAUAAUUCCUGGGCGUCCUCCCCCAAUGGGUGUGGGCAAGGGACGGCUUGGUACGCUAAGUGUUUUAGCCGGCUGCUUCUGAGUAGUAAUGUGAUGGGACGGCUAGUGUAAUCAUAUCCUUUGCGCUGUUGACUGGAGUCCCAAUGGGUGUAGUGCUGCAUGAAACGGCGUCUGCCGUCUGACGUGUCUUCAGAUGGGUGGGAGUGCUUAUUGAAUGCUUUGCGACUGUUCAGUGACCGCGGUUGGAAGUGAGCGGUUGCCUUUCCUUUCUAUAAAUAACGCCCUUGCUCCUCUGGUUUUUUCACAUCUCUUCGCUGUUCUUUACUGCGUCCUUCUUCUCCCCUCUGUCUGCUUACACCAUGGGCAAGGGUACCAAGCGCAAGCGUGAGCCGACUCCUCCGUCGGAUGAUUUCUGUGACUCGGAAUACUCGGAGGAGGAGUUCUCCUCCGAGUCCGAGGGAUCUCCGACUCCCGUCUCUCCCCCGGCGUCGUCUGAUGAUUCAGACGACUCCCAGGGGAUUGCCGCGGAGGUCUGGACGUACAUCCGGGCCGUCGAGCGCUCCGGGCUCGAGGGCUUGGAUGAGUCUGAGUUCUCCUCGGACGAGGAGGACUCGGACGGCGGCGAGGACGAAGAUGACGACAACGACGACGGCGACGACGACGACGGUGGCGACGGCGAUGGUGACGGCAGCAACGGCGGCGGGGGCGGCGGCGGCAAGGGCAGCACCAGAGGCGGUAGCAGUACGGGCAGCACCAGAGGCGGCAGCAGCAAGGGCAGCACCAGGGGCGGCGGCGGCAAGGGCAGCAGCAGCAAGGCCAGUGGCUAAACGCCACUGGUCUUUAGAUAUUAGUAUAGCGUAGUUAGAAUAAUGUAGUAGUAAUGUAGAGUAGUAUAGUGUAGUUUAGUAGUAGUAGUAAUGUAGAGUAGAAGUAGGGAAGCACCAACUCGAGAAGAGUUGGUUUGUAAACUUAUUAACUUCCCCUUAAUGAAGAACUGUCGUUGGUCCCUUCUUGAUGACUCGCUUUCUCUGAUUGUCGAACUGAUUCUUUUGAUAUAGUAGAUGAAUAACUUGCGCAUCACAUUGACGCUUCCAGAAGUAGCUGCCGAGUAAUCUUAUAGUCUAUGUCGACGUUUUAGAAAUAAUACCGAGCGAUUGAAGGUUGACAUCAGUGUUUUAGAAGUAACACCGAGCAAUCGAACACGAGACCAGCGUUUUAGAGGCGAUGCCGAGUUAGUGAAGGUCGACAUCGGUAUUUUAGAAGCGACGCCGAGCGAUUGAACAUGCGAUCGGCGUUUUAGAGGCCAUGCCGAGUGACUGAAGGUCGGCGUCGGCAUUUUAGAAGUAAUGCCAAGCGAUAGAAUACGAGUUCAGCGUUUUGGAGGCAACGCCGAGUGAUAGAAGGUCAGCGUCGGCAUUUUAGAAGUAAUGCCGAGCGAUUGAAUACGAGGUCAGCGUUUUAGAGGCGACGCUGAGUGAUUGAAGGUUGGCGUCGGCUUUUUAGAAGUAAUGCCGAGCGAUAGAAUACGAGUUCAGCGUUUUAGAGGCAACGCCGAGUGAUAGAAGGUCAGCGCCGGCAUUUUAGAAGUAAUGCCGAGCGAUUGAAUACGAGGUCAGCGUUUUAGAGGCGACGCUGAGUGAUUGAAGGUCGGCGUCGGCAUUUUAGAAGUAAUGCCGAGCGAUAGAAUACGAGUUCAGCGUUUUAGAGGCAACGCCGAGUAAUUGAAGGUCGCCGUCGGCAUUUUAGAAGUAAUGCCGUGCGAUUGAACACGAGAUCAGCGUUUUAGAGGCAACGCCGAGUGACUGGAGGUCGCCGUCGGCAUUUUAGAAGUAAUGCCGAGCGAUUGAAUAUGAAAUCAGCGUUUUAGAGUCAACGUCGAGUGAUGAGGUGGCGCAUCGGCUUUUUGGAAAUAACUGCCGGAUGACCAUGUGGCCUGCUGGGGUUUUGGAAAUAACCGCCGGGUGAUGAUUGGACACUUUUUGAAACGGUAUCUGGCUCGAGAAUAUCCCAUGAGAACUGCGCUUUUAGCCGCCUUUGCUUUCCGUGCCCUAGUUCUUGCAUUCCCGCAUCUGAAUCUUCUCUGUCACUCGCCCCCUACUCUGUUCGCCAGUGAGAAGCAAGAUGGCGCCCAAGAGAAAAACUGCGAACUCGUCUGCUGCGGUGAUCCCCGCAAUCGACCCCAAUAGUCAGUUACCCUUCGCAGGUAACCACAUGUCUGUUAUUUCCGAAGCUGAGCUUCUCCGCUUCGUCUCCAUCGGGGUUCUUCCUCCGCGGGAACUCUGUUCUUGGCGGAUUUGCCACGGGACUACUGUCCCAACCGAAGAUACCCACGAGUCAGUAGUUUACGCUCCUUUUCUUCUCCGCGGCCUCGGCCUUCCCAUCUCUCCUUUUUUCCGUGGCCUCCUUGAUUUCUAUCAUAUCAACUUGACUCAUUUGAACCCUAAUUCCAUUCUCCAAAUUUCCAUUUUCGUUCACCUGUGCGAAGCCUACCUCGGUGUGAUGCCGCAUUUCGGUUUAUGGAAGUAUCUGUAUCAUUGUCGUCCUGGGAUGGCCGGGGGGCAACAUCAGCUGGUCGGAGGUGCCAGUUUGGAGAUGCGCCGUGGGCGGAAGACCGAGUAUCUUGAGAUUCCCCUCAAAGAUAGCAUUAAAGGGUGGCGUCUGGAGUGGUUUAUAGUUGAUAAUUAUGGAAAUUCUCUCCCCUCCCGGUCAGGAAGACAGCCAGACGUUCGCACUCCGAGUUGGACUGAGUCUCCUACAGAUCAGGAAGUGGCCGAGGCAGGUGUGUUGCUUACUGAAGUCGGAUUACUAAAAGAGAGAGGUCUGACUGCCGAAGCUGUGGUCACUGAUUUUGUUUUCAAGAACAUUCAGCCACUGAAAGACAGGGCCUAUCCGGCAUAUCUGUAUCGAGGGCUGGCCGACUCAACCCGGGUUACCAAUAGGAGAAUUCCUUCUGUUGACUUGGUAAGCCGACUUGAAAUGAUCCUUAGGGGUAAAGUUUCAAAUGUUGGUGCUCCAGUGGCAUACUCGGCUUGGAACCUACCUCCUCCCAAAGCUUUCACCCUUUUUGUGUCAAAUCCGCCUGUGACUGAUAGCAAUUUGGGCCUUAGAGUGCGACCUUCUGCUGAAGAAGUCAGUACUUUGGUUGCUUCGCUCGAGGCGAUUCCUGAUGAUGAACGACAUGUUUAUUUUGAAGUGCCUCUGAACCCUAGUGAUGCAGACAUAAAUGACAUGCUUGAUCUGUUAGCUGAGGAUUCGUCCGAUGCUGCUCCUGAUGGCACGUUGGCAGUAGUGCCCCUUCCAGAGGUUGAUACAACUUUGGAUGUCCCGAAACCUGUCAGUACUCGCCCGAGACGCCCUAGCCGAACCAGUCAGCCCGAGCCUUCUGCUGAUGAGCAAAAGAAGAAGAGAAGAUGCCUCCGGCGAGUAUCCAGUUUUGAUGAGGACGCCGGUACCUUAGCUCCUGCUGCUGAAGAAGUGCCUGCAACUGGUCUUACUGACACUGAUCCCAAUGGGUGUGCCCAAACUGUUGUUGAUCCCAAUGGGAGUGCUGCUUGCGUUGCCGCUGUGGAGGAUGAAGAGGAAGAAGAUGAAGCUCCUUUAACUCGGAAAAACAGUCGGCAGUUCGUCGCCAGCGGUGGAAGUAGUGGAGUUCCUUCUCCUGCUUUGUCUGCCCUUAUUGGUCUGCAAGAACUGUCCAUGGCCAACUUUGAUCAAACUCUAGAGGAUAUGGUUCCAGAAGAUUUGCUAUCAGAGCCUGUGGAUGUUGAUGCAACAGAGACUUGUGCCGUCGUGCCCGAUGCUGGGUUGAGGUCAUCCCGUGCCUCGUCGACCUUAGAGCAUGAUCUCGAGGGUCGGGAUGCUGAAUUGGAUUGUUCCGGUCCCAUGGAAGUAGCUGAAGGCCCGUCAACCUUAGAGGUGGUUACGGCAGAGAGCUUGGACCCCUUGAAUAGUGCUGACAUGUGCCCAGCCCCCGAGGAUGUCGCCGGGGAAGACUUAGCUCGGGUGAAGAGUACAAGCCGCUGCCCAGCCCCCGAGGGUGUUGCCGGGGAUGAUCCGGCUCAAGUGGGCAGUGCCAACUGUGACCCCGCCCCCGAGGGUGUCCGAGCAAGGUCUCCUUCCUGCACUUCCAUGGAUGUUCAUGCGGGUUCACCUCCACACUCUGGCGGUAUAGUGGUGGCCCAAACUCUGGAUCAGGGGGUCGCUUUAGAGGGCAGCAUCCCCACUGGUCUGGCGUUAGGCUCUGUUGAAUGUAUUGAGCUCGUUCCUGCUGGUCUGUUGCAAGCUGCUUCGGGUGGUGGCCUGGCACCUGAUUAUCAGCUGAUUUCUCCUGAUUUGGGGAUCCCUUCGUUCUUUUCCAACCUCCAGGUACUGUGCUGUAUUUUAGCUUGACCUUUUCGUUGCAUGAAUUUUUGUCAUUAUGUUCAUCCGCUCUUCUCAUCAGACUUUGGUGGAUGGGAUGGCCAGCCAGCUGAGAUCGCAGGGUGCUUCCAUCCCAGAAGUGGCUUCAUCUCUUGAGCGUUGGAAUCCAAUGUCGCUUCAUCGUCGUGUAUCCGAGUUGGAGGCAACUAAUGCUGGUUAGUGCUCUUCUUCUUCUUCCUUGCCUUUAUUCGUGGAUUGUUUUACCUUCUAACCUCAUUUCGUUUGAUUACCUCUUGAUAGGAAUGACUCGGCAGAUUGCAGUUCUUGAGGAAAAACAUUCCCGAGAUCAAGCUGAAAUGGCUCAACGGUGUGCUGACUUCGAGGAGAAGUAUUCUCAAAGCCAGACUGAACUGAAUCAGGUCUCCGCUGCUUUGGAUGACGCCAACGCUCUGAGUUCUUCUCUUCAUGCUCGGCUUGACUCUGAAAAGGUAACUUACAAUACCGUGCUUCGCCUUAUUACAUGCUUGGAUUCUGAAUGAGUUGAUUUUUGUUUGUAGGAAGAAAAACGUAUCCUUGCUGCUUCUCGCGACAAUCUGGACAGAUUGUAUCGAGACUCUAGCAACUCGCUAACCAUCUUGGAGAGGAGCCACCGUUUUACGAUGGAAGAACUGGACAAUCAGCGUCGUAGGCUGCAAGAAUCUGCAUACGAAGUGACCCGCCUCACGCAAUUGAUAUCAGCAAAAGAUGCCACCAUCAAGGGACUCCGAACUUCUAAGAAAUCCAUUGCUCAGGAGUUAGAAACUGCUCAGCUGGCUGCUAAAGUUGCCGAGGAAACUGCUAUUACUCUCAAAGCUCAGCGUGAUAAAGCCUUGGACAAGGCUAUUCGGGCGGGACAAAUCUUGAUGAGAAGACCCGGCGUGGUUGUCCCUGAAGACAUAAAAGCCGAUGUGAACGCUGCCCCCGAUUCUUCGAAUCGCCCUUCUUCGUCAGUCGCUCCUGAGAGAGACAUUGGAAAAUAGAGAAACGUUUCGCGUGCUAUGAGCGCGCGGUUAGCAUGAUCAAGUACUCGUUAGGGGCUAUCAGCUUAUCAUUCGAAUGAUAUGAUCACUCUCUUAUUGUAUCAGAAUUUAUUAAUUCGCAAGUUUGUGGUAACGCUGCAUGAUGAUUAUGAAGUCUGUUUUCGGGAUAUGGAAGUCAUCCCCUGAAUCGCAUAAGCGCGAGUAUAUUGCACUGGCUUAAGCCAUCGCUGACUUUUAGCCGAUAGCUCCGUUGGUAGGGCAUAGUGGUCGCCCUGGGUUAAGUAGGCGUGAGCAUGUUGCGCCGGCUUAAGUCGUUGCCGACUUAAGUCGAUUGCUCCGUUUGUGGGGCAUAGUGAUCACCCCGAAUUAAGUAAGCGUGAGCAUGUUGCACCGCCUUAAGUCGUUGCCGACUUAAGUCGAUUGCUCCGUUUGUAGGGCAUAGUGGUCACCCCGAAUUAAGUAAGCGUGAGCAUGUUGCACCGCCUUAAGUCGUCGCCGACUUAAGUCGAUUGCUCCGUUUGUAGGGCAUAGUGGUCACCCCAAAUUAAGUAAGAAUGCAAGUCAAUCGUAAACGAGCCGAGUAUCUUUGAAAUCUCUCUUUAUUGAUGACGUAUUUCCAUUUUACAGAAUACAUGGUCGCCCCAGCUGUUUUGAAAUGCAACUAGGGGUAAAACUUUCUGAGGUGCUCUAUGUUCCAGGAGUUCCCAACUUCUGUGCCAUCCAUCUGGGUGAGGCGAUACGAUCCGGGCCGAGUGACCUCUGCUACUAUGAAAGGCCCUUCCCAUAAGGGUGAUAACUUGUGCCGUCCCUCCCCCGUUAGAAUUCGGCGGAGGACGAGGUCUCCUAUCGAAAAGAAACAUUGCCGCACAGCCUUGUCGUGAUAGCGCCUUAGAGUCUGCUGGUACCGUGCUGAUUGGAUUACUGCAUUCAGUCGUUCUUCCUCAAGUACAUCAAUAUCCUCCAGCCUGGUGGCCUCGGCUUCUGCUAUGCUUUCGAAAAUCAAUCUUGGCGCCCCAAACUUGAGAUCAGCAGGUAGCACUGCCUCCGACCCAUAGACCAUGAAGAAAGGAGUGUUUCCAUGCAGGGCUUGGCUAGGUUGGGUUCUCAGGCUCCAAACAACAUAAGGCAGUUCUCUUAUCCAUUUUCCUGCGAAUUUUUCAUUCUUAUCGAAGACCCUUUUCCUGAGUGCCUCCAAUAUCAUUCCGUUGGCUCGCUCAACCUGCCCGUUGGCUCUUGGAUGUGCUACAGAUGCGUACUUGAUCUGAAUGCUCUUUUGCUCGCAGAAGUCAAAGAAUUCUGAACUGGUGAAGUUGGGUCCCAAGUCAGUGAUGAUACUGUUUGGUAUCCCGAAUCUGAAUAUUAUGCUUUGUAUGAAUUCCACGGCUUUAGCAGAGGUUAAAGAAGCAAUGGGCUGGAACUCUAUCCAUUUAGUGAAUUUGUCAAUUGCCACCAAUACAUGGGUAUAUCCUCCUUGAGCUUUCUUGAAAGGUCCAAUCAUAUCCAGUUCCCAGCAUGCGAAAGGCCAAGUUACUGGUAUGGUCUGUAGCUGCUGCGCUGGCAUGUGCUGUUGCUUUGACAGGUAUUGGCAAGCUUCGCAUCUCUGAACUAACUUGGCUGCAUCGUUCUUCGCCGUCGGCCAAUAGAAUCCUGACCUGAAAACCUUCCCGACUAGUGUUCUGGAUGCUGCAUGUACUCCACACUGCCCUGCAUGGACCUCCUCCAGAAGUUGCUUCCCGGUGGACGGGAGAACGCACUUCAUGAAGACGCCUGACGCGCCCUUCCUGUACAAUACCUCCCCAAUGAGUGUAUAGUGAGCUGAUUGUCUGGCAAUGCGCUCUGCCGAGUUCUUGUCAUCUGGUUCUUCUUCAUUCUUUAUAUACUUAAUAAUCGGCCGUCUCUAGUCAUCAGAGUCUGACUCGGGUUGAUCUAUGAUGUUGCACUCUUCUGUUUGAUCCAUUGAGAUACUCGGCUGGAGAAUUUCUUGCACGAAGACUCCGGGCGGGACCUGAGUCCGACCGGAUCCGAGCUUGGACAGUACAUCGGCCGCCGUGUUCCGAUCUCUUUCUAUAUGAUGAAACUCCAGACCCUCGAAUUUAUCUUCCAGCUUUCGGACGGCAGCGCAGUAUUUUCCCAUUGAAUCACUUGAACAAUCCCAUUCCUUGUUUAUCUGGCUGAUGACUACCAGAGAAUCUCCAUAUACCAUCAAUCUCUUGACGCCCAAUGACAUGGCGAUGUUUAAUCCGUGUAUCAAAGCUUCAUACUCGGCUGCAUUGUUAGAGGCCGGGAAUAGCAACUGGAGAGCAUACUUGAGGUGUUCGCCUCCCGGUGCAGUGAAGAGAAUCCCUGCUCCUGCUCCCUGCAGCUUCAGCGAGCCAUCAAAAUACAUUCGCCAUACUUUUGCCGUUUCUGGAUUGUCUGGUACUUGUUGUUUUGUCCAUUCUGAUACGAAAUCAACCAGUGCUUGAGUUUUGAUGGCGGUGCGAGGUCGGAACUCGAUAUCGUGGGAUCCCAGCUCGUAAGCCCACUUGGCUAUUCGGCCAAUGGCUUCCUUGUUGUGAAGAAUGUCCCCUAUCGGAAAACCAGUGACUACUAUGACUUUGUGGUCAUCAAAGUAGUGACGCAGCUUGCGGGCAGUUAGAAGUACUGCAUAUAAUAGCUUCUGAACCUGAGGAUACUUUUUCUUCGAGGGGCCUAGAACUUCACUGAUGAAGUAAACAAGAUGUUGCACUGGGUAGGCAUGCCCUUCUUCUACUCGCUCGACUACCAACGCAGUGCUUACCACGUGAGUCGUGCAAGAGACAUAUAGCAACAAAUCUUCAGCCGGUUGAGUCGGCGUAGCUCGCCGGGGUGGUUUCAGUACUGGUGGUGUUGUCAAGAAUUUCUUCAGUGCGUCUAGAGCGUCUUGUGCUUCUGAAGUCCAUUGAAACUUAUCCACCUUCUUGAGUAGCUUGUAAAAUGGCAAACCUUUUUCUCCCAGCCUGGAUAUAAAUCUGCUCAGAGCUGCCAUGCAUCCGGUGAGUCGUUGAACCUUCUUUUGUGACCGAGGAGCUUCCAUCUUCAUGAUAGCUUCAAUUUUAUCUGGAUUAGCUUCAAUUCCCCGGUGGCUGACGAUAAACUUGAGCAACUUUCCUGCUGGUACCCCGAAAACACAUUUUUCAGGAUUGAGCUUCCAUCUAUAUCUUCUCAGGCUGUUGAAAACCAGUUGUAAAUCUUCGAUGAAGUCUUCCGAAUUCUCUGUUUUGAUCACCACAUCAUCUACGUAAGCCUCCACACGCUUGCCCCAGUGAUCGGCUAAGCAUGUUUGAAUGGCUCUCUGAUAAGUCGCUCCAGCGUUUUUGAGGCCGAACGGCAUGGAGGUAUAACAGAAAGCACCAAACGGAGUGAUGAACGCCGUUUUUUCCUCGUCUUCCUUUGCCAAACUAAUCUGAUGAUACCCGGAGUAGCAAUCUAAGAAAGACAGCACAGAACACCCAGCGGUGGAAUCCACCACCUGAUCUAUCCUCGGGAGCCCGAAGGGAUCCUUCGGACAGUGUUUGUUGAGAUCAGUAUAGUCGACACACAUGCGCCAAUCCACUUUAUUCUUUUUGAGUACAAGAAUAGGGUUGGCUAACCACUCGGGGUGUAAUACCUCUCUAAUAAAUCCAGCCGCGACCAAGCGAGCUAACUCGGCACGAAUGGCCUCUCUCUUGUCGGGCGUGAAACGACGUAGCUUUUGCCGGAUCGGCCUCGCCUGGGGAUAGACCUUCAAUUUGUGCUCGGCCAGUUCUCUUGGAACUCCCGGCAUAUCCGCAGGUUGCCAUGCGAAUACGUCUCGGUUAUCUUGCAGGAACUGGACGAGCGCGCUUUCCUAUUUGUCGUUCAAGCUGGAGCUGAUGAUGGCCGUCUUGCGCUCAUCAGCGAACCCCAGGUUGAUUCGCUUGGUUUCUUCAGUCGGCCGCAUAGAGGCCACGGCCUGGGCUUCGUUCGCCGGCACUGCGAGGUUCUCCUCAGGCUUAGAGUUCGCCAGCGUAGGAGGAACCGUUGACGACUUGGUGGUGAGGGCUGCUUGGAUGGCCACUCGGAAACAUUCUGCGGCGCCUUGGAAGUCGGCGCGCACAGUUUUGAUUCCUUGCGGUCCUGACAUCUUCAGUAUCAUGUAUGUAUAGUGCGGAAUGGCCAUGAAUUUAGCCAGCCCCGGCCUCCCGAUGAUGGCGUUGUACCCGCAGUCGAAGUUCGCCACCUCGAACCUCAGGAACUCGGUUCGGUAAUUCUCCGGAGUUCCGAAGGUGACCGGCAUGUAGAUGUGGCCCAGCGGGUAUUCCCCUUCCGUCGGCACGAUGCCAAAGAAAGGAGUGUCCGACUCAUGGAGCUCUUUAAGGUGAACCCCCAAGCCUUGAAGUGUCCGGGGGAAAGUGACGUUGAUGCUGCUCCCCCCGUCCACUAGCACCUUCUUUACCUGGCUUUCUCGGAUCACCGGAUCGACGAGAAGCGGGUAUUUGCCUGGAUGGUCGAAGUUGAGCCAUUGAUCCUCCCGAGUGAAAGUGAUCGGGUGCUCCGACCACCGGUAUGGGGCGGGAGGACCGGUGGUCGCCACCAGUAUCUGGCGGUCGUUGAGCUUUUGUUGCCUUUUGUUCUCCUGCGACCCAUGUCCGCCGAAGAUGACGUUGACCUCCCUAUCAACGCGCGGGAAAGCUCCUCCUCUCCCCUCCUCCGGCUGAUGGGGCUGUCGCGGUUCAUCUGGUCCUCCCCUCGGCGGAGGAGGCGGUAGAGGUUGGAAGGGUCGGCCGUGCCCGACGGAGUGCUUGAAGUCUCGACAGUUACGAAGAGUGUGGCGCAUGUCCUUGUGGUACGGGCACUGGUGAGAGCACCUAGAGGGGGGGUGAAUAGGUGAUCCUGCGAAACUUUAAACUUAUAGCCACAAAAACUUGUUAAGGGUUAGCACAAUAAUUGCCAAGUGGCUAGAGAGGAGAUCUUGUACAAUAUGACAACCACAAAGAAUUCAACACAGAGAAGACACGGUGAUUUAUCCCGUGGUUCGGCCAAGUACAAAACUUGCCUACUCCACGUUGUGGCGUCCCAACGGACGAGGGUUGCAAUCAACCCCUCUCAAGCGGUCCAAAGACCCACUUGAAUACCACGGUGUUUUGCCUUGCUUAUCUUUAUCCCACUUGCGAGGAAUCUCCACAAAUUGGAGUCUCUCGCCCUUACACUUAAGAUUCACAAAGAAGCACGGAGUAAGAGAGGGAAGCAACACACACAAAUCCACAGCGAAAUGCGCACGCACACGACCAAGAAUCGAGCUCAAAGACUAUCUCAAAGUUCUCACAAGAACGGAGCUCGAAUCACUUAGAAUAACAAACGGAUGCGCAAGAACUGAGUGUGGAUGAUCAAGAAUGCUCAAAGGUUGCUUGGUGUCUCCCUCCAUGCGCCUAGGGGUCCCUUUUAUAGCCCCAAGGCAGCUAGGAGCCGUUGAGAACAAAUCUGGAAGGCCAUCUUUGCCUUCUGUCGUCGGGCGCACCGGACAGUCCGGUGCACACCGGACACUGUCCGGUGCCCGAUUUCCUUCCUUAAACUGCGCAGUCGACUGUUGCAUAUGCAGGAGCCGUUGGCGCACCGGACAUGUCCGGUGCACACCGGACAGUCCGGUGCCCCCUUCCGACCGUUGGCUCGGCCACGUGUCCCGCGCAGAUCGCGCGGCCGACCGUUGGCUCACCGGACAGUCCGGUGCACACCGGACAGUCCGGUGAAUUUUAGCCGUACGCCGUCAGCAAAUUCCCAAGAGCGGCCUCUUCGGCCGAGGCAGCCUGGCGCACCGGACACUGUCCGGUGCACCACCGGACAGUCCGGUGCUCCAGACCGAAGCCUCCUGACUGUACACAGCCAACUCUUUUUCUUCCUGUUUCCAAUACUUAGACAAGUAUAUUAGUACACAAAACCAAUGUACUAAGACUUAGAAACAUACCUUAGCUCUUGAUUUGUACUUUGUUCAUCCAUGGGCAAAGAUUCACAUUUAAGUACUUGUGUUGGCACUCAAUCACCAAAAUACUUAGAAAUGGCCCAAGGGCACAUUUCCCUUUCAAUCUCCCCCUUUUUGGUGAUUUAUGCCAACACAACAUAAAACAACUAGAACAAGUGCAAUAUCACUCAAAUAAAACUCAAAUUUAUUUUGAUUCAAUUUUGGCAUAUAUGGAUCAUCCUUUGCCACCACUUGGUUUGUUUUUUGCAAAUCAAACUCAAAUCUCUAUCUCUAUGUCAAACACACAUAUUGAAGCAUAAGGAGAGUCAUUCCAAAAGAGAUUGAUCAAAGAUUUCAAAAACUCCCCCUAUUUCCCAUAAUCAACACUUCUCCCCACAAGAAGCCAACUUUUGACAAGAGAGACAAUAAUAGACAAUAAAAGCGUUUGACAAAACAAAAACUCUAUUCUACUAUUUUCAAAAUUUCUCAAGUGGUAGCUGAUCCAUUUAUCGCUUUGGCCUUUAUUUUCUCCCCCUUUGGCAUCAAGCACCAAAACGGGAUCAAUCUUGGCCCUUUUAACCCCAUUGCCUCACCAAAAUCUUCAACUAAGAGCAAAUAGGCAAUAAGAGUUUAAAGAUGAACUUGGAAUAAGUUACCCUCUCAUCGGAGUGCAGUGGAAGUCUUUCAUGGUCCAAGUCCACCUUUUCCCUUUCAAUCCUCCUUCGAGACUAAAUCAUCAAACUCAAGUACAUGGUUAGUCUCAAAGGGUCAAGUUGUAACACAUCUCCCCCUAAACAUGUGCAUCACUUUGCAACGGACUUGUGAGGUCCAGGGAGUGUUUGUACAACUUGAGCACCAUAAUAAGCAACAAAAUGCAAAAGGAACAUGAUCAAAAGCAUAAAUACAUGUAUGCUACAAUUCAAUCCAGGUUCCGCGAAUCUAAGACAUUUAGCUCACUACGCAACCUGCAAAAGGUCUUCUCAUCUAGAGGCUUGGUGAAGAUAUCGGCUAGCUGGUUCUCGGUGCUAACAUGAAACACUUCGAUAUCCCCCUUUUGCUGGUGGUCUCUCAAAAAGUGAUGCCGGAUGUCUAUGUGCUUUGUGCGGCUGUGCUCAACAGGAUUCUCCGCCAUGCGGAUAGCACUCUCAUUAUCACAUAGGAGUGGGACUUUGCUCAGAUUGUAGCCAAAGUCCUGGAGGGUUUGCCUCAUCCAAAGCAGUUGCGCGCAACACUGACCUGCGGCAACGUACUCGGCCUCAGCGGUGGAUAGGGCAACAGAGGUUUGUUUCUUAGAGUUCCAUGACACCAGGGACCUUCCUAAGAAUUGGCACGUCCCCGAUGUACUCUUCCUAUCGACCUUACAUCCAGCAUAGUCGGAGUCUGAGUAUCCAACUAAGUCAAAGGUAGACCCCUUUGGAUACCAGAGCCCGAAGCAAGGCGUAGCAACCAAAUAUCUAAGAAUUCGCUUCACCGCCACUAAGUGACACUCCUUAGGAUCGGAUUGAAAUCUAGCACACAUGCAUACGCUAAGCAUAAUAUCCGGUCUACUAGCACAUAAGUAAAGCAAAGAACCUAUCAUUGACCGGUAUGCUUUUUGAUCAACGGACUUACCUCCUUUGUUGAGGUCAGUGUGUCCGUCGGUCCCCAUUGGAGUCUUUGCGGGCUUGGCGUCCUUCAUCCCAAACCGCUUUAGCAGAUCUUGCGUGUACUUUGUUUGGGAGAUGAAGGUGCCAUCCUUGAGUUGCUUCACUUGGAACCCAAGGAAGUAGUUCAACUCGCCCAUCAUCGACAUCUCGAAUUUCUGCGUCAUCACCCUGCUAAACUCUUCACAAGACUUUUGGUUAGUAGAACCAAAUAUUAUGUCAUCGACAUAAAUUUGGCACACAAACAAAUCACCAUCACAUGUCUUAGUGAACAGAGUUGGAUCGGCUUUCCCAACCUUGAAAGCAUUAGCAAGUAAAAAGUCUCUAAGGCAUUCAUACCAUGCUCUUGGGGCUUGCUUAAGUCCAUAGAGCGCCUUAGAGAGCUUACACACGUGGUCGGGGUACCGUUCAUCCUCAAAGCCAGGGGGUUGCUCUACGUACACCUCCUCCUUGAUUGGCCCGUUGAGGAAAGCGCUCUUCACAUCCAUUUGGUACAACCUGAAAGAAUGGUGAGCGGCAUAUGCUAGCAAGAUACGAAUUGAUUCUAGCCUAGCCACAGGAGCAAAAGUCUCCUCGAAAUCCAAACCUGCGACUUGGGCAUAACCUUUUGCCACAAGUCGAGCCUUGUUCCUCGUCACCACCCUGUGCUCGUCCUGUUUGUUGCGGAACACCCACUUGGUUCCCACAACAUUUUGCUUGGGACGAGGCACCAGUGUCCAAACUUCAUUGCGCUUGAAGUUGUUGAGUUCCUCCUGCAUGGCCAAUACCCAGUCCGGAUCUAGCAAGGCCUCCUCUACCCUGAAAGGCUCAAUAGAAGAGACAAAGGAGUAAUGCUCACAAAAAUUAACUAAUCGAGAUCGAGUAGUUACUCCCUUGCUAAUAUCACCCAGAAUUUGGUCGACGGGGUGAUCCCUUUGAAUCAUCGCUCGAACUUGGGUUGGAGGUGCCGGUUGCGCUUCUUCCUCCAUCACAUGAUCAUCUUGUGCUCCCCCUUGAUCACACAUCUCCUUUUGAUGAACCUGUUCAUCGUCUUGAGUUGGGGGAUGCACCGUUGUUGAGGAAGAAGGUUGAUCUCGUUCAUUUUGUUCCUGUGGCCGCACUUCUCCAAUCGCCAUGGUACGUAUAGCGGCCGUCAGAACAUCUUCUUCAUCUACAUCAUCAUAAUCAACAACUUGCUCUCUUGGAGAGCCAUUAGUCUCAUCAAAUACAACGUCGCUAGAGACUUCAACCAAACCCGAUGAUUUGUUGAAGACUCUAUACGCCUUUGUAUUUGAGUCAUAACCUAACAAAAACCCUUCUACAGCUUUGGGAGCAAACUUAGAAUUUCUACCUUUCUUCACUAGAAUGUAGCACUUGCUCCCAAAUACACGAAAGUAAGAUACAUUGGGUUUGUUACCGGUUAGUAGCUCAUACGAAGUCUUCUUGAGGAGGCGAUGAAGGUAGACCCUGUUGAUGGCGUGGCAAGCCGUGUUCACGGCUUCCGACCAGAAACACUCGAGGGUCUUGAAUUCUCCAAGCAUUGUCCUCGCCAUAUCGGUUAGCGUCCUGUUCUUCCUCUCUACCACACCAUUUUGCUGUGGUGUGUAGGGAGCGGAGAACUCGUGCUUGAUUCCUUCCUCCUCAAGGAAUUCCUCCACUUGAAGGUUCUUGAAUUCGGACCCGUUGUCGCUCCUUAUCUUCUUCACCUUGAGCUCAAACUCAUUUUGAGCUCUCCUGAGGAAGCGCUUGAGGGUCCCUUGGGUUUCAGACUUAUCCUGCAAAAAGAACACCCAAGUGAAGCGGGAAAAGUCAUCAACAAUAACUAAACCAUACUUACUCCCUCCUAUGCUCAGAUAGGCGACAGGUCCGAAGAGGUCCAUAUGCAGCAGCUCCAGGGGUCUUGAAGUGGUCAUCACAUUCUUGUCGUGAUGCGCUCCUCCCACUUGUUUACCUGCUUGACAAGCUGCACAAGGUCUAUCUUUUUCGAAUUGCACGUUAGUUAAACCUAUCACAUGUUCUCCCUUUAGAAGCUUGUGAAGGUUCUUCAUCCCCACAUGUGCUAAGCGGCGAUGCCACAGCCAGCCCAUGCUAGUCUUAGCUAUUAAGCAUGCAUCUAGACCGGCCUCUUCUUUUGCAAAAUCAACUAAAUAAAGUUUGCCGUCUAAUACACCCUUAAAAGCUAGUGAACCAUCACUUCUUCUAAAGACAGUCACAUCUACAUUUGUAAAUAGACAGUUAUAUCCCAUAUGACAUAAUUGACUAACAGAUAGCAAAUUAUAUCCAAGACUCUCUACUAAAAAUACAUUAGAGAUAGAAUGCUCAUUAGAAAUUGCAAUUUUACCUAACCCUUUUACCUUGCCUUGAUUCCCAUCACCGAAUAUAAUUGUAUCUUAGGAAUCCUUAUUCUUGACGUAGGAAGUGAACAUCUUCUUCUCCCCCGUCAUAUGGUUUGUGCAUCCGCUGUCGAUAAUCCAGCUUGAACCCCCGGAUGCAUAAACCUGCAAGGCAAAUUUAGGCUUGGGACUUAGGUACCCAACUCUUGUUGGGUCCUACAAGGUUAGUGCAAAUUUCCUUAGGGAUCCAAAUGCAAGUUUUGUCUCCCUUGCAUUUUGCCCCUAACUUCCUAGCAACUAUUUUCCUAUCCUUUCUACAAAUAGCAAAGGAAGCAUUUAGGGCAUGAUAAAUUGUAGAAGGUCCAUGAACUUCCCUAUGAGCAUUAACAACAUUUCUCCUAGGCAUAUUGUGAAUAACAUUUCUUCUACCAACCUUUCUAUCAUGCACAACAUGAGAACUAGAAGCAGUCAUAGCAUAAGAAACAUAAGCAUGUGAAUCAAAGGCAUCAUAGCUUCUAAAAGCAUUUCUAGAAUUUUUCCUAUCAUGAUACAAAAAGGCAUGGUUCUUUUUAGCACUAGUAGCCAUAGGGGCCUUCCCUUUCUCCUUAGCGGGAAUGGGAGCCUUAUGGUUUGUUAAGUUCUUGGCUUCCCUUUUGAAGUCAAGUCCAUCCUUAAUUGAGGGGUGUCUACCAAUCGUGUAGGCAUCCCUUGCAAAUUUUAGCUUAUCAAAAUCACUUUUGCUAGUCUCAAGUUGAGCCUUGAGACUAGCUACCUCUUCAUUUAAUUUAGAAAUGCAAGCUAGGUGUUCACUAUAAGCAUUAAUGUUAAUAUCUUUACACCUAGUGCACGUUACAGCAUUUUCUACACAAGAGAUAGAUUUACUAGCAAUCUCUAACUUAGCAUUCAAUUCAUCACUAAUGCUCCUUAGUUUUGAAAUUGUCUCAUGGCAAGAAGAUAAUUCACAAGAAAGCAUUUCAUUUCUUUUAACUUCUAGAGCAUGAGAUCUUUGUGCUUCUACAAAUUUAUCAUGUUCUUCAUACAAUAAAUCCUCUUGUUUCUCUAAGAGUCUAUCCUUCUCAUUCAAGGCAUCAAUUAAUUCAUUGAUUUUAUCAAUUUUAUUUCUAUCCAAUCCCUUGAACAAACUAGAAUAAUCUAUUUCAUCAUCACUAGUCUCAUCGUCACUAGAAGAAUCAUAAGUGACAUCAUUACAAGUGAUUACCUUUUUCUCUCUUGCCAUGAGGCAAGUGUGACGCUCGUUGGGGAAGAGGGAUGACUUGUUGAAUGCAGUGGCGGCGAGUCCCUCAUUGUCGGAGUCAGACGAGGAGCAGUCUGAAUCCCACUCCUUGCCAAGAUGAGCCUCACCCUUUGCCUUCUUAUAAUUCUUCUUCUUCUCCCUCUUGUUCCCUUGGUCCUGAUCACUAUCAUUGUCGGGACAGUUAGCAAUAAAAUGACCAAGCUUACCGCAUUUGAAGCACGAACGCUUUCCCUUGGCUUUGGUCUUGCUUGACUGUCCCUUGCGACCUUUAAGCGCCGUCUUGAAUCUUUUGAUGAUGAGAGCCAUCUCUUCAUCAUUCAGUCCGGCCGCCUCAAUUUGUGCCACCCUGCUAGGUAGCGCCUCCUUGCUUCUUGUUGCCUUGAGAGCAAGGGGUUGAGGCUCGUUGAUUUGUCCAUUCAAGGCGUCGUCCACGUAUCUUGCCUCCUUGAUCAUCAUCCGCCCGCUUACGAAUUUUCCGAGAACCUCCUCGGGCGUCAUCUUCGUGUACCUGGGAUUCUCACGAAUAUUGUUCACGAGAUGAGGAUCAAGAACGGUAAAUGACCUUAGCAUGAGGCGGACGACGUCGUGAUCCGUCCAUCGCGUGCUUCCGUAGCUCCUUAUUUUGUUGAUAAGGAUCUUGAGCCGGUUGUAUGUUUGCGUCGGCUCCUCGCCCCUUAUCAUCGCGAAUCGUCCGAGCUCGCCCUCCACCAACUCCAUCUUGGUGAGUAAGGUGACAUCAUUCCCCUCAUGAGAGAUCUUGAGGGUGUCCCAAAUCUGCUUGGCAUUGUCCAAGCCGCUCACCUUGUGAUACUCGUCCCUGCACAAAGAGGCUAGCAACACAGUAGUAGCUUGUGCAUUUUUAUGGAUCUGUUCAUUAAUAAAUGAAGGACUAUCCGAGCUAUCAAAUUUCAUUCCACUUUCUACAAUCUCCCAAAUGCUUGGAUGGAGAGAAAAUAGGUGUGUACGCAUUUUGUGACUCCAAAAUCCGUAGUCCUCUCCAUCAAAGUGAGGAGGCUUGCCAAGUGGAAUGGGGAGCAAAUGAGCAUUUGAGCUGUGCGGAAUGCGCGAAUAAUCAAAAGAGAAGUUUGAGUUAACCGUCUUUUGUUUGUCGUAGUCGUCAUCCUUGUGGGACGAAGUAGACUCGUCGCUGUCGUAGUAGACGAUCUCCUUGAUUCGUCUUGUCUUUUUCUUCUUCCCAUCUUUACGUCUGUGGCCCGAGCCAGAGUCGUUGGAUUUGUCAUCUUUUGGCUCGUUGACGAAGAACUCCUUUUCCUUGUCGUUGAUCACGAUUCCCUUCCCCUUAGGAUCCAUCUCUUCGGGCGGUUAGUCCCUUUCUUGAAGAGAACGGCUCUGAUACCAAUUGAGAGCACCUAGAGGGGGGGUGAAUAGGUGAUCCUGCGAAACUUUAAACUUAUAGCCACAAAAACUUGUUAAGGGUUAGCACAAUAAUUGCCAAGUGGCUAGAGAGGAGAUCUUGCACAAUAUGACAACCACAAAGAAUUCAACACAGAGAAGACACGGUGAUUUAUCCCGUGGUUCGGCCAAGUACAAAACUUGCCUACUCCACAUUGUGGCGUCCCAACGGACGAGGGUUGCAAUCAACCCCUCUCAAGCGGUCCAAAGACCCACUUGAAUACCACGGUGUUUUGCCUUGCUUAUCUUUAUCCCACUUGCGAGGAAUCUCCACAAAUUGGAGUCUCUCGCCCUUACACUUAAGAUUCACAAAGAAGCACGGAGUAAGAGAGGGAAGCAACACACACAAAUCCAUAGCGAAAUGCGCACGCACACGGCCAAGAAUCAAGCUCAAAGACUAUCUCAAAGUUCUCACAAGAACGGAGCUCGAAUCACUUAGAAUAACAAACGGAUGCGCAAGAACUGAGUGUGGAUGAUCAAGAAUGCUCAAAGGUUGCUUGGUGUCUCCCUCCAUGCGCCUAGGGGUCCCUUUUAUAGCCCCAAGGCAGCUAGGAGCCGUUGAGAACAAAUCUGGAAGGCCAUCUUUGCCUUCUGUCGUCGGGCGCACCGGACAGUCCGGUGCACACCGGACACUGUCCGGUGCCCGAUUUCCUUCCUUAAACUGCGCAGUCGACCGUUGCAUAUGCAGGAGCCGUUGGCGCACCGGACAUGUCCGGUGCACACCGGACAGUCCGGUGCCCCCUUCCGACCGUUGGCUCGGCCACGUGUCCCGCACAGAUCGCGCGGCCGACCGUUGGCCCGGCCGACCGUUGGCUCACCGGACAGUCCGGUGCACACCGGACAGUCCGGUGAAUUUUAGCCGUACGCCGUCAGCAAAUUCCCGAGAGCGGCCUCUUCGGCCGAGGCAGCCUGGCGCACCGGACACUGUCCGGUGCACCACCGGACAGUCCGGUGCUCCAGACCGAAGCCUCCUGACUGUACACAGCCAACUCUUUUUCUUCCUGUUUCCAAUACUUAGACAAGUAUAUUAGUACACAAAACCAAUGUACUAAGACUUAGAAACAUACCUUAGCUCUUGAUUUGUACUUUGUUCAUCCAUGGGCAAAGAUUCACAUUUAAGUACUUGUGUUGGCACUCAAUCACCAAAAUACUUAGAAAUGGCCCAAGGGCACAUUUCCCUUACAACUGGGCGUCGAGGAUGUCGUCCAGCGUGCGCUCGCCUCCACGAGGUCCUCCUCGGGCGCGAGAGGCGGGUGGUCCGGCGGCGUGUACUUCUUCACGAGGCCUCUUCUCCCAACGUUUGUCGGGUGGUUGGUUCGCGUCACGUCGUGGUGCUGCCGAUGCAGGCUUUGCUCCUCCAAUGAGAUCCUGGGCCCGCUCGUCGGCGGUGAUGUAGAGGUCGGCUUCCCGGAACAGCUCCUCGGAGGUAGUCGGUGCUUUUUGUAGUAUGGCUCGGACGAAAGUCGAGUCAUUGGAUCCUUUGUAGAAGUCCUCGAUCACGGCCGCCUCCGUGACCUCGGGGAUACGGUUUCUCAUGGUCUGGAACCUUUUGAGGUAUGACCGGAGAGUCUCGUCUCCCCGGCGCUUGAUGGAUUUGAGGUCCCAUGGUUGCGCUGGUUUGUCGGAGAGGGACUGGAAGUUGGCGGUGAAACAUCGACUGAAGUCUCCCCAGUCGUCGAUGCAGUGUCGGGGUAGAUGUCGUAGCCACUGCAGCGCGUCUUGCCCAAGGACAAUGGGCAGAUACGCGGUCAUGACGUCUUCAGAUGCCCCGGCAGACCGAGCAGCGGUGGUGUAGACGGCUAGCCAACCCCCUGGAUCCUGCUUAGGUUCAUAUUUGUCGACAUUGGAUACCUUGAAGUUGGGAGGCCAUUGGAUGGCCCUAAGGCGCGGAGUAAGAGCGGAUACUCCGCACGUGUCCUCCUGCCGUCGGGAACGAUGUCUGUCCCGGGGAGGGGAGUGGUGGUGGUGGUUCCUCGACCGUCCCCGGGUGGUACCGCCAGUUGAGGCUAUUGCCGACUCAGUCCUGGUGGGCUGGCUUUGAGUCGGGAAGCCGUGAUCUCGGUCAUACUCCUCCCAACGACGAAUUUCGUUUUCAUGCCGCCGUUCGCGCGAAGCAUUGAUAGAGCUUCGCGCGUCUCGACGACUGUUGAUGGUGUGUCGCAAAUCGUUCGGUGGGUGAGCGAGCGGUAGAAGAUGGUUGGCCGCCUGAGUGAACAGGCGUCGGUAUCCCUCGGCGUCGGGAGUCCGAGGAAGUCCGUCAGCUAUCCGAGCUAGAACGCCUCCGACUUCGCUCGGCGUGUUCAUAGCUCGGGCGAAGUCGGGGUUCAGGUUGCGCCCGAAGAGCGGGUUCUCCCGGCGUUGCCUCGCAUCUUGCUCGGCUUGCUCCUGAGUCCGUCGGCGAUCGCGUCGUCGGGAGUUCCUUCGUUCCCUGAAGACGCGUUCUUCCGGGGUUUCUCCUAUCUCCGAGACCUCGUCUCGCGAGACAGGCUGCUCCGGAUCCCGUUCUCCGGCCGCGUGAUGUCGUCGAACGUUCCUGCGUCGGUUCCUCCGUCGGCGGGAUUCUCGUUGAGGUGGUUCUUCUCCAGGCGCGGUCGGUUCGUCGUCAGAGACGGCGGGUGACUCCACUCUCCCGAUGAAGAGGACGUCGGGGUAGAAUGGUGCUGCUGUCGCGGCGACUUUCUUUCCGUUCUCCUUUGAGGCCGGAGGAACGGAAAGAACGACUUGCCUUUCCCUGGUCUCCUUCUUCCUCGCGAUCCGUGUCCAUUCCUUCGUCGGGGAAGUAGACAGCGGAGUCUUCCGGGUCAGCGAGCUUCCAGCUCCAGCCUUCCCGGAGAUAAUCUUUUUCCGAAGAGCUGGAGGUAGCGUCUUUCCAGCAUUUUCGGAGUUUGUUGGAAGAGACUUCUUUUCCGGCAGAUCUGCUGUCACACCCGGUUUUUAGAAGGCAAACCGAAUGCGAACCAUGUACGUGCCAGGAUCAGUUAUUCACGUACACAGCAGUUACAUAAUAUGGACAUCAUCACACAGUGCUCAAAAUAAUAUUAAAAGGGGAAAUAAUAGUCGAUUACAUCAUACGUCUGAGACGUCCAUAUAGUUCUUACAAUAAAUCAAAGUGCGGAAAAGAAACGUAGAUAACGCGGCCUUCACAGGCAGCCGACUGGGGGUUGCCGCUAACCCACACCUAGAACUCGUCGUAAUCUUGGAACUCCUGGAAGUCUCCUUCCACAGCUUCAUCUUCGCCUGAGCAGUGGUUGCAAUGCUGACAACCUGGGGGGGGGGGUUUGGUGUGUAGAGCAAGGGUGAGUACACAUCAACAUACUCAGCAAGUAUCCUGUUUGGCUGUAGUGGACUAGCUUUAUGUGGGGAUAAGUCAAGCAGUUGCUUUUAGUUGGUCAGGUUAUUACUUACUAGUAGAAAGCCAGGUUUUAACAUUAACCCAAGUUAUUAGCCCAAUGUAUCCUUUCCAAACGGAAAGAAUACCACUUACCAGCACCAUAAUCAUAACCAGAUUCAACAGUCUCAUAACCACCUGUACCACAAUAUCUCUGAUCAAGUACCACUAAUCAUUGGAGCUCCCUUGGCCGCUCAUAACCGCGAGCACGGCUGAUAUAUCAGUUUCAUAACACUCUGCAGAGGUUGUGCACUUUACCCACAAGCCGUGAUUCCCAUUCUGCCCGGAGAUCAUGACUCUCCAUUGAUCACUACCAAGGUGAUCCAGCAGGGCAUCACUACGAAGCCUUUACAAAGAUUCCCCGGGGCUGUAGCCACCCGUUAGGUUUCCUAAAUGCACCGCACUCCUCCCCAAGGGGCGAACCCAAACUUGGCAGAGCGAGCCGCAUACACCGAGCCCCAUUGACGGCACGACGGCUAAGUGAACUACACCCCGGAUCCUCUAAUUAUUCAGCUAAGGGCACCCCAUUCCACCCUCAUGGUUGCACUGUUUUCCCGGGCGGUCAUCCAUAGAACAGGUCCUUACGGAGAGGCACUCGAGAAACCGCUCGAGUCCCCUUGAAAACCACAAGUAUAAUCAUAAAGAAGAGCGGGAAAACAGCGUAUCAUAGAUAAUCACAUCAUGUUCAUUGAUUAGAGUUGAGCAAUAGCAUCAGACUAAGUAGUAAUAAUCCGACCCAAAUAGGUAAACAAGGACAUGGAUAACAAAAGCUAGUCAAUCCUUAGGUAUAAAUGUGUAAAGCGGGAGGUGAAUUAAAGAAUGAAUAGGACAUAGAUAGGUCAAAGGACACUUGCCUCCACCAAACGACUGCUGCUCAGGGGCUUCUCCUGCGAAUUCCUCGGGCUCUUCGACCGGAUCGUUCUCUAUGCGAGCGCAAACAUACAUACAUACAUCCACAUAUUUAAUACAAAAGAACAGUACACCAUACAAGAUAACAAAUAAAGCGAAUAUGCAUCAAGUAUGACAUUCGAUAACGCAUUUGUUAUGGUUAGAAAGAAACGGGAAAGGUCUCGCAGGGGGGGUUAAAUCUUAUGCACUAAUGACACAAUUGGUUUUUAACAAAAGAAUUCUGUUACAUAUACACUAAUGGAAACCUAAUCACUUUUAGUUGAUCAACAUUGCACAGGGUAAACAAUUAACUACGUGCAUCAAUAGCAUAACGGAAUUUUAAAUUAAACUUCCUAUUUUCCCAUAGCAUGAACAGUGAUUAGCCUACUUAAAAUACAGUAAUCAUGAUUACAGAAAGUAAAUAAAAUAAAAUAAAAAAAUAAAAAAAAAACAGAAGGGGGGGGGCGGUUGAACCGGCCCUAGGGCGGUUGAACCGGCCCUAGGCGGGGCGCGGGCGCGGGCGGCUGAACCGGCGGGGCAGGGGGCGGCGCAGGGGGCGGCCGAGCCGGGGGGGGGGGGCGGCCGAACCGGCGGGCAGGGAGGCGGCGCAGGGGGCGGCCGAGCCGGGGGGCGGGGCGGCCGAACCGGCGGGCAGGGAGGCGGCGCAGGGGGCGGCCGAGCCGGGGGGCGGGGCGGCCGAACCGGCGGGCAGGGAGGCGGCGCAGGGGGCGGCCGAGCCGGGGGGCGGGGCGGCCGAACCGGCGGGCAGGGAGGCGGCCGAACCGGCCAUGGGGAAAGGGGAGAGGGGAUGGGGGAGGGAGGAGAGGGGGAGGGGGAGCUCACCGGGGAGGGGCGCGACGGCGAGGGGCGGCCGAGGGCGGCGGUUGGGCAGGGGGCGGCGGCGGCUUAGGGCAGGGGUAGGGGCGGCGGCUUAGGGAGAGGGAGAGAAAAUGAGAGAAAAUGAGAGGGAGAGGGAGAGGGUUUGGGGAAAAAGGGGAGGUGGGGGGGGGCGGUUGGGCCUAUUGGGCCCAGGGGGGGGGCGCGCAGGGGCGGCUGGGCCGGCCGGGGUCGGCCCACGGCGCGGGAGAGAGAAAAAAAAGGAAGAGAGAGAGAAAAGAGAAAGAAAAGAGAAAGAAAACAUUUUCGAAAUCCGAUUCUUCUACAUGAAUGCAUUUGCACUUUCAAAGCAAUCAAAGGAAAUGCAAGGUUCGGCAUGGUGCAUCGAGCAACAUAAAGCAUUUAGGGUUUUUCUUACACGGGAAAUCCAAACCGAAUCCCGCUAGAACUUUGGAAAAGGUCAAGGUUUAGCGAGGGAAAAAGAAAAGGAAAGGUAACGCCCGAAUUUUGGCGAGUAAAGAAAAGAAAAAAAUUCAACUGCAAAAUUCGGGGCGUUACAAACCUAUCCCCCUUAAAAGAAUCUCGCCCUCGAGAUUCAGGGCUGGCUAGCAAAGAGCUCCGGGUACUUGGCCAUCAGAUCAUCUUCACGCUCCCAGGUUGCUUCUUCCUCAGAGUGGUGACUCCAUCUGACUUUGCACAUCCUGACGGUCUUCCUUCGGGUGACUCCAUCUGCAACCUCAAGGAUCUGAGCUGGCUUCUCAACGUAGGUCAAGUCCUCCUGGACUUCAAGACCUUCCACUGGCAACUGCUCUUCUGGCAUACGCAAGCACUUCUUCAACUGAGACACAUGAAAGACAUCAUGCACAGCAGACAAAUUCUCUGGCAAACUGAGCUGAUAAGCCACUUCUCCACGUCUUGCAAGAAUCUGAUACGGACCAAUGUAGCGGGGUGCUAGCUUGCCUUUCACUCCGAAUCUUCUGACUCCUCUGAUCGGUGACACCUUCAGAUAGACAAAGUCUCCGACUUCGAAACUCAGCUCUCUUCUUCUUGUGUCUGCAUAGCUUCGCUGCCUUGAUUGCGCUAUCUUCAGAUUCUCUCGGACCAUCUUGAUGUUCUCUUCGGCUUCAAGCAAAAUGUCUGGCCCAAACACUUGCUUCUCUCCAGGCUGAUCCCAUUGCAACGGAGUUCUACAACUCCUUCCAUAGAGCGCCUGAAAUGGUGACAUCUUCAAACUGGCCUGAUAACUGUUGUUAUAGGAAAACUCUGCAUAAGGCAAUCGCUUGUCCCAUCCGGACUGAUCUUGCAACGCACAGGCUCUCAACAUAUCUUCAAGAAUUUGAUUGGUUCUUUCAGUCUGACCAUCUGUCUGCGGGUGAUAAGCUGAACUGAAAUUCAGAUGCGUGCCCAAGGCUUCAUGCAACUGCUGCCAGAAAUGAGAGGUGAACUGCGUUCCUCUGUCUGACACUAUCUUCUUUGGCACACCAUGAAGACAAACGAUCCGAGACAUAUACAAUUCUGCCAAUACUGCACUGUUGUAGUUGGUCUUGACAGGUAUGAAGUGGGCUGACUUGGUCAAGCGGUCCACUACUACCCAAAUGGAAUCGUAGCCGGCUCGAGUGCGAGGCAAUCCGACUAUGAAAUCCAUGCCAAUUUCAUCCCAUUUCCACUGAGGGAUCUGCAACGGUUGCAACAAUCCAGCUGGUCUCUGGUGUUCUGCCUUAAUUCUUCGACAACUAUCGCACAUAGCCACAUGCUCUGCGAUUUCCCUUUUCAUUCCGUACCACCAGAAUUUCUUCUUCAGAUCCUGAUACAUCUUCUCACUGCCAGGGUGAAUCGAAUAGGCUGUCUCAUGAGCUUCCUUAAGAAUCAACUCCCGAAUAGACUGGACAUUGGGAACACACAAGCGGUCUUUGAACCAUAUCACGCUUUCUGCAUCUUCUCGAAAGUCUUUGCCUUUGCCAUCUAGAAUCAAUCGCCGAAUCUCACUGAUCUUCUCAUCAUUUUUCUGCGCUUCUUUGAUUUCGCGCUCCAAGGUAGGUUCCAAUUCAACUGUGACUCCUCGCGAAUUGUUCAGAAAUCCGAGACUCAACCUGUCAAACUCCUUGGCCAACUCAUAAGGCAUCGGGCGAGCAACCAUCAGAUUGACUUGACUCUUUCUGCUCAGAGCAUCUGCCACUACGUUUGCUUUGCCUGGAUGGUAAUGAAUCUCCAACUCAUAGUCUUUGAUCAAUUCUAACCAUCUUCGUUGCCUCAUGUUCAAUUCUGACUGAGUGAAUAUGUACUUCAGACUCUUGUGGUCUGUGUAAACAUCGCAUUUCUGUCCAUACAGAUAGUGCCUCCAUGUCUUCAGUGCGUGAACCACUGCUGCCAACUCUAGAUCAUGGAUUGGGUAGUUCUUCUCAUGAACCUUCAGCUGUCGGGACGAGUAAGCCACAACUCUUCCCUCUUGCAUCAACACACAUCCCAAACCUGUGUAACAAGCAUCACAAUACACCGAGAAGGGCUUGUGCACAUCAGGCAAGACUAGGACAGGCGCUGUUGUCAACUUCUCUUUCAGCGCUUCAAAGGCCUCUUGGCAUUUCUGGGUCCACUUGAACUCAACCUUGUUGCCUAGCAACGCUGUCAUUGGCUUCGCAAUCUUCGAAAACCCUUCAAUGAAUCGCCGAUAAUAUCCGGCCAUUCCAAUGAAGCUCUUGAUUCCUCUAGCAUCUGUUGGUGCUUUCCAGUUCAGAAUGUCUGCCACUUUCUUCGGAUCCACAGCCAAUCCUUCUUUGUUGAUUAUGUGACCCAAGAACAGGACUUCACUGAUCCAGAACUCACACUUGCUCAACUUUGCAUACAACUGGUGCUCUCGCAAUCUCUGCAACACCAUCCUCAAAUGAUCUGCAUGCUCUUCUUCACUUUGAGAAUAAACCAGAAUGUCAUCAAUGAAUACCACCACGAACUUAUCAAGAUAAUCCAUGAAUACACUGUUCAUCAAGUUCAUAAAGAAUGCUGGCGCAUUGGUCAAACCAAAAGACAUCACUGUGAACUCAUAUAAACCAUACUUGGUAAUGAAUGCCGUCUUCGGAAUGUCCGAAGGUCGGAUCCUGAGCUGAUGAUAACCUGACCUCAGAUCGAUCUUGGAGAACACACUGGCUCCUCUCAACUGGUCGAACAGAUCUUCUAUUCUGGGCAAGGGAUACUUGUUCUUAAUCGUGACUUCAUUCAAAGCUCGAUAAUCGAUACACAUCCUCUUAGUACCAUCUUUCUUCUCCACAAACAAGACAGGGGCGGCCCAAGGCGAGGUGCUUGGCCGGAUGUAACCUUUCUCUGACAGCUCAUCAAUUUGCUUCUUAAGUUCAUCCAACUCUGGUCCAGAUAUUCUGUAAGCUCUCUUAGAGAUGGGGGCGGUUCCAGGAAGAAGCUCUAUAGCAAAUUCAACUUUCCGCUCUGGUGGCAUACCCGGUAAAUCCUUUGGAAACACAUCUGGGAAUUCAGACACAACCUUGAUACUCUCAAUUGGGUCUGCUUCACUGCUAUCAACAGCCAUCUGAUAACAACUUCCUUUCUUUGGCUCAGGCGGGACUAACUCGGUCACCACUUCCUCUCCUAGUGGGGACACUAACUUGAUGGUCCUUUUAUCACAACUGAUAACUGCCUGAUACUUAUCUAGCCAAUUCAUCCCUAGGAUGACAUCUAUUCCCUGAGUACCCAUUACUAUAAGGUUGGCGGGAAACGCUAUCCCCCUUAUUUCCACACUUACAUUUAAACAAAUGCUAUCAGCUCGAAUUCUACCACCGGCUGAGUCAAUUUGAAUGGGGGUUAACAUGGUAGUAGUUGGAAGAUUAUGUGCUUCUACCCAUGAUGCAGUAAUGAAAGAAUGUGUUGCUCCAGUAUCAAAUAACACUUCUGCAAUAUGGGAAUCGACUGGGAACAUACCUACUGUCAUGCCGGGGGUCUCCUGAACUGCUUCAGCUUCCAAGUGAUUCAAUCUUCCAUGAUUAUAGCGCUGCUGAGAGCGAUUGCCUGCUCCAGGCUGAGGCACAUUCUGCUUUGCUGGGGCAUUGGGGCCUGACUGCUGCUGGGCUGCCUUCUUCGGACAUUGCAUCACCCAGUGGCCUUGCUCUCCACAGUGGAAACAUGCCCUGUUUCCAACUUGAGCUGGUGCUGCCUGACUGUUCUGCUGAUUUGCUGGGGCAGGAAGACGAGGUGCUUGCUGAUUCUGCUUCUGAAACUGACCUCCUGACUGAUUGCUCUGACGGUUCUGGUACUGAUGCUGAGGAUACUGCCUUUGAAACUGCUGAUACUGCUGACGCUGCUGAUGCUGCUGAGGUGGACGCUGGUUCUGCCUGAACUGCUGAGGUUGAUUGCCUGAGAAACGGGGACGGCUGCUGCUUCCAGGCUGGGGUCCACUGAUCUUGCGCUUACGAUCUUCCAUCUCCUUGCGCUUCCUUUCUGUCAUGAUUGCUCUGUCAAUCAGGUGCUGGAAUGUCGGGAAGGUGUGAUUCAUCAGCUGAUACUGCAGAGGGUCAACCAAGCCUCUCAGGAAACGGUACUGUCGCUUGGCGUCGGUAUUGACAUCUUCGGGAGCGUAGCGAGACAAUUGCAGAAACCUGUCCCGAUACUCACUGACAGACGAUGACCCUUGCUUAAGGGCCAGGAACUCCUCCUUCUUCACUGUCAUCAGACCUGCAGGAACAUGGUACUGACGAAAGCUACCCCUGAAUUCUUCCCAGGUGAUGGUGUCGGGGUUGGCAUGGGUGGCGAGGUAAGACUCCCACCAUGACUGGGCUGCUCCUCUCAACAGACGGGGACCAUACAGAACUUUCUCCCUGUCAUCGCACUGAGCGGUAUGCAACUCCCGCUCCACAGUGCGCAGCCAAUCUUCAGCAUCCAUGGGGUCAGAAGAGUGAGCGAACGUUGGUGGAUGACCUCUCAUGAAUUCAGCACGCUUAUCUCUAGGCAUCUGAGGCAUCUGAGGCUGGGGUGGUGCUUGUUGCUGCUGCUGCUGCUGCUGCUGAAUGGCGGCCAGAGUCUGACCGAUAGCUUGAACUGCCUGAGUCUGCAUCAGAAACAUCUGCUCAAUCGACAUCGGGGGCGGGGGCGGCAGGUGCUGCUGCUGGGGCACCUCAUCCUGCGGAGCGGCUCGCUCCUGCUGAGCACGCCUUCCUCCUCUACGCCUGUUCUCUGACAUCUGCAGAACGCAACCACACAUCAGAACUGAUCUGGCAAAGCUUGCAGCAUAAGAAAAGAGUAUAGAAUUCUCCAACAGCACUGAACAGAUGAGCAUCUUCACUGAUCUCCAACACAGACCACACAGCUUCUCAGAUAAAGAGGAAAGGAGAAUAAUGGGUUUCCCAACUAUAUAACUAACUUUAUUGACAUAGUAUGUAAACCAAAAUGCAGGGGAUACCCACACUCUGGUGACAAUCAUUACAAAGAUCCAAACCAAACAUAGUUCAUCAUGACAAACAUAGAUGCACAGGAUAUAGCAAACUACCCUGUCUAACUAAAACUAACUAAGAUCGAGGCUAACGCUAAGACUGAAGCUUCCAUGUAUAUAUUUCGUAUUAAUUACAAGAUCCAACUCUAACGAUCUAUGGUUCUAGGUUGAUCUUGGUCUUGCAGGCGGGAUUGCCAUAAGACUGGUGUCCACGCUGAGGUGAGCGGUACGGGUGCUGAGUCCCAACGGGAGCGGGGGAUCCACCGUCCAGAAAACGACGUUCCGCGCGCUCAGCCCGCAGCAGGGCGAUCUCAGCACGAGCCCUACUCAGCUCGUCUAAUGCAUGGUCCAGCUCCGUGUUUAGCACGGCGGCUAGGUUGACUGUGCUGCUCAACCUAGGAUUGCCCUCACCGACGGGUGAGACAAUCACGCCUCCUGUGCUGCCAGAUGAACGGCGGGGGUAAUACUUCAGGUCAAGACCGUCAGCUGCCCCACCGAAAACCGAGCAGUAGUGCGAAAGCGCACGCCGUGCAGCAUCUUGCAUGGCUGCCUCAGCUGAGUCCCGCUCAGAGAUAGAAUAGUGCUCUGAACAGGCCUCUGCACCCUGGAGACUGUCCUCCGGGCAGCGCACCAAGCAAGUCGCCUCCCAGCGGUCCGGGUAGACCCCGCGACUAUGCUGGUAGACCACACAGCGAUACUCGACGGACCAAGUAUGCCGGUCAAAUGCCCGACGUAGCAGGGUGUCGAGCGCAUCAUGGAAGUGACACCCGCGAGCAGCGUCGCGAGUGAUGGGUCGAGCAACCCAUCCUUCCGGCUCAGGAUUAGCAGAGAAGUCGGUGUCGUGGCUCAAGCUGUCGUCGCCUCCUCCGUCGUCUGGGUCUCCCCCAGCAGCUACUCCAGAAGCUGGGGCGCCCAGUGGUGGUGCAGGGGGCGGCUCCAGAGAAAGCACAGGGGAGCAGCUCCUCACAGACUCUAUCUCCUGGUGGAGCGAGAGGGAAGAGCUCCGCUGCUCCUGUCGUCGACGUUCCUGCUCCUCACGCAGGCGGUGGUGCAGUCUCUCCAAGUGGCUGGACUGUCCGGCCACGGGACGGCGAAGCGGACGCUCAGCAAGACGGGAGGGUAAGAAGGGGAUGACUGACUUUCGUGCAGUGUGUCUAAGUCGAGCCAUCUACAAAAGACAUCGCAAGCAAAAGGGUGAGAACAGAAUUAAUAUGACCAGCAAGUAAUGAAUCAUAAGUAAAUGAAGGAUUGGAAUAAAACAUGAUUUUUAGCAAGGUAUAGUAUAUAGUAGAACAUAGGUUUGGUCAGUAGGACCAACUUUUGAAGGGAUAUCAAAGUCAAGGAAGAGACAGAGGUCUAUAAUCCUUAGAACGACCAUUCUACUCUAGGUUAGCGGUCCUACAGUCAGCACGGCUUUGAUACCACUUAUGUCACACCCGGUUUUUAGAAGGCAAACCGAAUGCGAACCAUGUACGUGCCAGGAUCAGUUAUUCACGUACACAGCAGUUACAUAAUAUGGACAUCAUCACACAGUGCUCAAAAUAAUAUUAAAAGGGGAAAUAAUAGUCGAUUACAUCAUACGUCUGAGACGUCCAUAUAGUUCUUACAAUAAAUCAAAGUGCGGAAAAGAAACGUAGAUAACGCGGCCUUCACAGGCAGCCGACUGGGGGUUGCCGCUAACCCACACCUAGAACUCGUCGUAAUCUUGGAACUCCUGGAAGUCUCCUUCCACAGCUUCAUCUUCGCCUGAGCAGUGGUUGCAAUGCUGACAACCUGGGGGGGGGGUUUGGUGUGUAGAGCAAGGGUGAGUACACAUCAACAUACUCAGCAAGUAUCCUGUUUGGCUGUAGUGGACUAGCUUUAUGUGGGGAUAAGUCAAGCAGUUGCUUUUAGUUGGUCAGGUUAUUACUUACUAGUAGAAAGCCAGGUUUUAACAUUAACCCAAGUUAUUAGCCCAAUGUAUCCUUUCCAAACGGAAAGAAUACCACUUACCAGCACCAUAAUCAUAACCAGAUUCAACAGUCUCAUAACCACCUGUACCACAAUAUCUCUGAUCAAGUACCACUAAUCAUUGGAGCUCCCUUGGCCGCUCAUAACCGCGAGCACGGCUGAUAUAUCAGUUUCAUAACACUCUGCAGAGGUUGUGCACUUUACCCACAAGCCGUGAUUCCCAUUCUGCCCGGAGAUCAUGACUCUCCAUUGAUCACUACCAAGGUGAUCCAGCAGGGCAUCACUACGAAGCCUUUACAAGAUUCCCCGGGGCUGUAGCCACCCGUUAGGUUUCCUAAAUGCACCGCACUCCUCCCCAAGGGGCGAACCCAAACUUGGCAGAGCGAGCCGCAUACACCGAGCCCCAUUGACGGCACGACGGCUAAGUGAACUACACCCCGGAUCCUCUAAUUAUUCAGCUAAGGGCACCCCAUUCCACCCUCAUGGUUGCACUGUUUUCCCGGGCGGUCAUCCAUAGAACAGGUCCUUACGGAGAGGCACUCGAGAAACCGCUCGAGUCCCCUUGAAAACCACAAGUAUAAUCAUAAAGAAGAGCGGGAAAACAGCGUAUCAUAGAUAAUCACAUCAUGUUCAUUGAUUAGAGUUGAGCAAUAGCAUCAGACUAAGUAGUAAUAAUCCGACCCAAAUAGGUAAACAAGGACAUGGAUAACAAAAGCUAGUCAAUCCUUAGGUAUAAAUGUGUAAAGCGGGAGGUGAAUUAAAGAAUGAAUAGGACAUAGAUAGGUCAAAGGACACUUGCCUCCACCAAACGACUGCUGCUCAGGGGCUUCUCCUGCGAAUUCCUCGGGCUCUUCGACCGGAUCGUUCUCUAUGCGAGCGCAAACAUACAUACAUACAUCCACAUAUUUAAUACAAAAGAACAGUACACCAUACAAGAUAACAAAUAAAGCGAAUAUGCAUCAAGUAUGACAUUCGAUAACGCAUUUGUUAUGGUUAGAAAGAAACGGGAAAGGUCUCGCAGGGGGGUUAAAUCUUAUGCACUAAUGACACAAUUGGUUUUUAACAAAAGAAUUCUGUUACAUAUACACUAAUGGAAACCUAAUCACUUUUAGUUGAUCAACAUUGCACAGGGUAAACAAUUAACUACGUGCAUCAAUAGCAUAACGGAAUUUUAAAUUAAACUUCCUAUUUUCCCAUAGCAUGAACAGUGAUUAGCCUACUUAAAAUACAGUAAUCAUGAUUACAGAAAGUAAAUAAAAUAAAAUAAAAAAAUAAAAAAAAAACAGAAGGGGGGGGGGCGGUUGAACCGGCCCUAGGGCGGUUGAACCGGCCCUAGGCGGGGCGCGGGCGCGGGCGGCUGAACCGGCGGGGCAGGGGGCGGCGCAGGGGCGGCCGAGCCGGGGGGGGGCGGCCGAACCGGCGGGCAGGGAGGCGGCGCAGGGGGCGGCCGAGCCGGGGGGCGGGGCGGCCGAACCGGCGGGCAGGGAGGCGGCGCAGGGGCGGCCGAGCCGGGGGGCGGGCGGCCGAACCGGCGGGCAGGGAGGCGGCGCAGGGGGCGGCCGAGCCGGGGGGCGGGGCGGCCGAACCGGCGGGCAGGGAGGCGGCCGAACCGGCCAUGGGGAAAGGGGAGAGGGGAUGGGGGAGGGAGGAGAGGGGGAGGGGGAGCUCACCGGGGAGGGGCGCGACGGCGAGGGGCGGCCGAGGGCGGCGGUUGGGCAGGGGCGGCGGCGGCUUAGGGCAGGGGUAGGGGCGGCGGCUUAGGGAGAGGGAGAGAAAAUGAGAGAAAAUGAGAGGGAGAGGGAGAGGGUUUGGGGAAAAAGGGGAGGUGGGGGGGGCGGUUGGGCCUAUUGGGCCCAGGGGGGGGGCGCGCAGGGGCGGCUGGGCCGGCGGGGUCGGCCCACGGCGCGGGAGAGAGAAAAAAAAGGAAGAGAGAGAGAAAAGAGAAAGAAAAGAGAAAGAAAACAUUUUCGAAAUCCGAUUCUUCUACAUGAAUGCAUUUGCACUUUCAAAGCAAUCAAAGGAAAUGCAAGGUUCGGCAUGGUGCAUCGAGCAACAUAAAGCAUUUAGGGUUUUUCUUACACGGGAAAUCCAAACCGAAUCCCGCUAGAACUUUGGAAAAGGUCAAGGUUUAGCGAGGGAAAAAGAAAAGGAAAGGUAACGCCCGAAUUUUGGCGAGUAAAGAAAAGAAAAAAAUUCAACUGCAAAAUUCGGGGCGUUACAUCUGCGAGGCGGUGUAGAAUUCCCCCUUCAUUCGCUACAGAUGAGAUUGUCCCGAAGCAGAAUACAGAUCCGGGACGCACGGUGAUCUUGCUGUGGAAGGUGACGGCCAUUGAGCUAGCUUGGAUCGUCGACACACCCCCUACCUGGCGCGCCAGCUAUCGGUGUUUUGGGUCCGACCGCACACCUGGGGUUACCCCUCAAGGUGUUUUUAGGAGUAGGACGGUGUCAACGACUGUAGCAAAAUGGUUCGUGCCGAUCGCACGAGGGACAGUGGACAAGAUUUGCAGGUUCGGGCCGCUUAGAGAUGCGUAACACCCUACGUCCUGAUGAGUAUUUGAGUGCGGUUACAAGAGGGCUCUCUGGAACUGAGGCACAGAGAGUUUACGUGAGUGGCUAAGUAAAGUAGGGUCGAUCGUUCUGAAGGGGUGCCCCCUAGGCCUUAUAUACUCGACCGUGGGGCAGUACACGUGGAUAUGAUAGCUACAAGUAGCUGAAAGAUAGUAAACCUCUUGAGUUUAUCCCUACGUAACCCUUCCCGACUUAUCCUCGCAUGGCUCUGUUGCAUGGGGGCUUCAGCGCGGGAAAGUCGGGUCUCUGUUGCGAUUUACUCGUUCGACGUUGUGGGCCGUCCGGGUUUGCUCCAAUCCAGUCUUAUGUCUUCUCCGCUUCGUUGAUUGUCUUUCCCCAGGCCCACGAAAGACGACUUNNNNNNNNNNNNNNNNNNNNNNNNNNNNNNNNNNNNNNNNNNNNNNNNNNNNNNNNNNNNNNNNNNNNNNNNNNNNNNNNNNNNNNNNNNNNNNNNNNNNNNNNNNNNNNNNNNNNNNNNNNNNNNNNNNNNNNNNNNNNNNNNNNNNNNNNNNNNNNNNNNNNNNNNNNNNNNNNNNNNNNNNNNNNNNNNNNNNNNNNNNNNNNNNNNNNNNNNNNNNNNNNNNNNNNNNNNNNNNNNNNNNNNNNNNNNNNNNNNNNNNNNNNNNNNNNNNNNNNNNNNNNNNNNNNNNNNNNNNNNNNNNNNNNNNNNNNNNNNNNNNNNNNNNNNNNNNNNNNNNNNNNNNNNNNNNNNNNNNNNNNNNNNNNNNNNNNNNNNNNNNNNNNNNNNNNNNNNNNNNNNNNNNNNNNNNNNNNNNNNNNNNNNNNNNNNNNNNNNNNNNNNNNNNNNNNNNNNNNNNNNNNNNNNNNNNNNNNNNNNNNNNNNNNNNNNNNNNNNNNNNNNNNNNNNNNNNNNNNNNNNNNNNNNNNNNNNNNNNNNNNNNNNNNNNNNNNNNNNNNNNNNNNNNNNNNNNNNNNNNNNNNNNNNNNNNNNNNNNNNNNNNNNNNNNNNNNNNNNNNNNNNNNNNNNNNNNNNNNNNNNNNNNNNNNNNNNNNNNNNNNNNNNNNNNNNNNNNNNNNNNNNNNNNNNNNNNNNNNNNNNNNNNNNNNNNNNNNNNNNNNNNNNNNNNNNNNNNNNNNNNNNNNNNNNNNNNNNNNNNNNNNNNNNNNNNNNNNNNNNNNNNNNNNNNNNNNNNNNNNNNNNNNNNNNNNNNNNNNNNNNNNNNNNNNNNNNNNNNNNNNNNNNNNNNNNNNNNNNNNNNNNNNNNNNNNNNNNNNNNNNNNNNNNNNNNNNNNNNNNNNNNNNNNNNNNNNNNNNNNNNNNNNNNNNNNNNNNNNNNNNNNNNNNNNNNNNNNNNNNNNNNNNNNNNNNNNNNNNNNNNNNNNNNNNNNNNNNNNNNNNNNNNNNNNNNNNNNNNNNNNNNNNNNNNNNNNNNNNNNNNNNNNNNNNNNNNNNNNNNNNNNNNNNNNNNNNNNNNNNNNNNNNNNNNNNNNNNNNNNNNNNNNNNNNNNNNNNNNNNNNNNNNNNNNNNNNNNNNNNNNNNNNNNNNNNNNNNNNNNNNNNNNNNNNNNNNNNNNNNNNNNNNNNNNNNNNNNNNNNNNNNNNNNNNNNNNNNNNNNNNNNNNNNNNNNNNNNNNNNNNNNNNNNNNNNNNNNNNNNNNNNNNNNNNNNNNNNNNNNNNNNNNNNNNNNNNNNNNNNNNNNNNNNNNNNNNNNNNNNNNNNNNNNNNNNNNNNNNNNNNNNNNNNNNNNNNNNNNNNNNNNNNNNNNNNNNNNNNNNNNNNNNNNNNNNNNNNNNNNNNNNNNNNNNNNNNNNNNNNNNNNNNNNNNNNNNNNNNNNNNNNNNNNNNNNNNNNNNNNNNNNNNNNNNNNNNNNNNNNNNNNNNNNNNNNNNNNNNNNNNNNNNNNNNNNNNNNNNNNNNNNNNNNNNNNNNNNNNNNNNNNNNNNNNNNNNNNNNNNNNNNNNNNNNNNNNNNNNNNNNNNNNNNNNNNNNNCUUGCACUUACAAAUUAUGCAAACUAGUUCAAUUAUGCACUUCUAUACUUGCUUUGGUUUGUGUUGGCAUCAAUCACCAAAAAGGGGGAGAUUGAAAGGGAAUUAGGCUUACACCUAUUUCCUAAUUGAUUUUGGUUGUUGAAUUGCCCAACACAAAUAAUUGGACUAACUAGUUUGCUCUAGUCUAUAAGUUCUACAGGUGCCAAAGGUUCACAAUAAGUCAAUAAAAAGACCAAGGAUGGGUUCGAACAAAGAGAGCAAGGGAUAACCGAAGUGUGCCCUGGUCUGGCGCACCGGACUGUCCGGUGUGCCAUCGGACAGUGUCCGGUGCACCAGGGGACUCCAAGCUGAACUCCUCACCUUCGAGAAUUCUCAGAGGCGCUCCGCUAAAAUUCACCGGACUGUCCGGUGCAUCACCGAAUAGUGUCCGGUGCCCCAGAGGAGAGCGACUCUGAACUCGCCAGCUUCGGGAAUCUGCUCCGCUAAAAUUCACCGGACUGUCCGGUGAGCCAGCGGAGCAACGACUACUUCACGCUCAACGGUCGACUGCAACGCAUUAAAUGCGCGCCAGCGCGCGCAGAGGACAGAGCACACGCGGGUGGCACACCAGACAGUCUACAGGACUUGUCCGGUGCACCACCGGACAGCUAGGCGGGCCCACAAGUCAGAGCUCUAACGGUCGGAACCCAACGGCCAGGUGACAUGGCUGGCGCACCGGACAGUGUCCGGUGGCGCACCUGACUGUCCGGUGCACCAUGCGACAGAAGCUUUCACCAAACGACUAGUUUGGUGGUUGGGGUUAUAAAUACCCCCAACCACCCCACAUUCAAGUCAUCCAAGUUUUCCACCUUCCAACUACUUACAAGAGCUCUAGCAUUCAAUUCUAGACACACCAAAGAGAUCAAAUCCUCUCCAAAUUCCACACAAAGCCUUAGUGCUUAGAGAGAGUGAUUGUUGUGUUCAUUUGAGCUCUUGCGCUUGGAUUGCUUCUUUUUCUCAUUCUUUCUUGUGAUCAACUCAAUUGUAACCAAGGCAAGAGACACCAAUUGUGUGGUGGUCCUUGCGGGGAAGUUUGUUCCCGUUUGAUUGAGAAGAGAAGCUCAGUCGGUCCGAGGGACCGUUUGAGAGAGGGAAAGGGUUGAAAGAGACCCAGUCUUAGUGACCACCUCAACGGGGAGUAGGUUUGCGAGAACCGAACCUCGGUAAAACAAAUCCUUGUGUCUCACUUCUUAUUCGCUUGCGAUUUGUUUUUUGCGCCCUCGCUCGGACCCGAUUAUAUUUCUAACGCUAACCCGGCUUGUAGUUGUGCUUAAGUUGUUAAAUUUCAGAUUCGCCCUAUUCACCCCCCCUCUAGGCGACUUUCACAUGCACAGUUCGUGGACGCGUACCGGGAGCUGGGUGCGCGGACCGCUGCCUUCGAAGUGCCCGGUCAAGAAGCGGGCCUUCGCUUUCUGGAAUGGUUGUAGGAGGAGCUGGGGGUGCUCCCGACCAUCGUGACGAGUUUCAUGUCCUUCGCCUCCCUCGUCACCUGCGAGGGGGCCGUGAAUGCUUUGUCCCGUGAGGGGUGCAGGCAUUACGAGGUCUUCGACCAAGCGGACGAGAACUUUGAACGUGAAAUCUUCAAGGUCGAAGACCUUGUGCUGAAGCAAUCGGCGGGGGCGCUGUUCGAUAGGAUGUGGGGCCCGCACGGCCGAGAGGCGGUUAGGGAGCGGUCCGACCGGGCAAUAGAUCAGGUAAAGGCUAUUUUUGGUGUGGUUGUGUGUGUAGAUGUGUGUGGUUUUGCUGAAGGAGUGUGCUGUUGUUACAGAUGGCGCACGCCGAAGACAUCGAGGACCUUGGGGGUCUGGACGGCGCGCCGCCUGAGGCCGCGGAGGCCGAUCCGGUGCCGCCAUCUGCAGCCAACAAGGGCCCCUCGGCGACCCCUGCACCGACUGCAACCAGCGAAGACCCCGCACCAGCCCUUGGGCCGACGUGUGAGGACGCCUCCAAGACGGUGGCCGAGCCGGCUGCCGAAGACUCCACGACCUUGGUCGGGUCGUCGCAGGUGGCUGAAUAGGUGUUGGGGAGUUUGUAAAUUUUAUCUGUGUGAUAGUGAAACUCGGUUGUUGCGCAGGUUCUGAGGUUUGGGCCUGCGCACGCAACCGCUACUGACAAUACUAUUUUUGUGGCGGCUUCGACCAUGACUGCCGAUGAUGAUUCGUUUGGCUCUGUGUCUAAGUGUUUUGAGUCUGAUGAUUCUGGGAGUUCGACUGCAUGGACGGAGGAGUCUUCGGAUGAGGGCUUAGAUUAUUUUGUUGCGAUGGAUGUGGCUGCGGCGGAGACUUCGCCGCGUGUGGAGGGUGCUGGGGAUCUUCCUGGUACAAGUACUGGGUAUAGGCAGCGAAGGGCGGUGGCGAAACAGAGAGUGAGUGAAUUGCCGCGAAGUGGUAGGCGUCAUCGUAGUGAGAUGGAGAGUGGUCGUCUUCGCGUGGACGGGGCUGUUAAACGAGAGUUGUUAUCCUCACCAACUGGGGCGAGUAUAGGUGAGGGGGAGAUGCAAAAUCUGUUUGAAGGUGAAGAAUUGAGGAUAAUGUUGUUUAAUUACAGGGAGAUGGGUAUCAUCCCGAAGGUUGAGCCGAUGUAAUAUACGAUGUCCUCGCUGUGUGUAUGUAACCAAAAUUUGUAUGAUAAGGCUGCGCGCCUUCGUUGAUUCGGCUGCACCCGUAGGCUACUUCUGCACGGAGUCUUUUGUAAAGGACUUCGAUCUUUGUGUAUUUAUUGUGCUGUUCCAGCUGCACCCUUAGGCGACUUUUUGCACGGAGAGUCUUUUGGAAAUGACUUCGAUUUUGCAGUAUUCUGUUGUUCCGGCUGCACCCUUAGGCGACUUUUGCACGAAGAGUCUUUGGGAAAAGACUUCGUUUGUCACACUUGUGCUAUUGCGGCUGCACCCUUAGGCAACUUUUGUGUGGAGAGUCUUUUACAAAGACUUCGAUUGUCGCACUUGUUGUGCUAUUCCGGCUGCACCCUUAGGCGACUUUUGCACGGAGAGUCUUUUACAAAGACUUCUAUUGUCGCACUUGUUGUGCUAUUCCGGCUGCACCCUUAGGCGACUUUUUGCUCGGAGUGUCGCACGCGAGGGUAGUCUACGCUGCCUCUCGCGGUGACUUUGGAGUGGUCGAAUGCCGAAGACCGUUGAUGCGGUCUUUUUCGACAUGUAUCUUAAUUUUUGUGGGGGAUUUUUGCAGAUAUAUUACAUGGCUCCGCCUCGUUAAAAACAUCACCCCCUGGGAGGAAAAGAGUGCGAGCCGGAAUGAUACUGUUUGGUGAAUUACAAGGGCAAGUUGGCCCUGAGGAUUCAAACAAAAAAUUUGUGAAGAUUAUCAAUGUUCCAGGAAUGAUCUAGGUCUUCGCCGGAUGACGUUGUUAGCCUGUACACACUAGGGGACGCCUUUGACUUGACGAUGAAUGGACCCUCCCACUUCGGCUCCAGCUUGCCUCGUGACUCUGUCCGGGUUGUGCGGACGAGUACGAGGUCCCCUUCGCUGAAUUCUCUUGGGACGACUGCGUGGUCGCGCCAGGCCUUCGUUUGAGCUUGGUAUUUGUUAAGGGCCUGUAGGGCGAAGACGCGGUCUCCGUCAAUGAGGUCCUUGGAGGUUGGUCCAUCUAUGUUGGGGACGGCUGAAGUGCUUGUUUGUGGUGACCCAUGCUUUAUCUCCUGCGGGGUCAUAGCCUCCGAUCCGUAUAGUAGGCGAAAGGGAGUGAACCCAGUCGCCCGACAUUCGGUCGUGUUUAGCGCCCAGACUGCUUCGGGUAGCAGGUCGGCCCAUUUUCCCUUCUUGUCGUCGAGAAGCAUUUUUUUGAUGGCAGAGAAAAUCUUGUCGUUGGCGCGCUCGAUGACGCCGUUAGUUUGUGGGUGAUAUACUGAGGCGAAGGCAAGCUUGGUGCUGAUGGAGUAGCAGAAGUCCCUGAAGUCCUGGCCGUCAAACUGUUUGCCAUUGUCGACUGUUAGCUCGGACGGGACUCCGAAUCGGCAAACAAUGUUCUGCCAGAAGAAUUUCUGGGCGGUCUUCGACAUUAUUGUUGAUACUGCCCUUGCCUCGAUCCACUUGGUAAAAUACUCGACGGCAACGAAGGUAAACUUGAGGUUCCCCUGGGCCGUGGGCAGUGGCCUGACAAUGUCUAGCCCCCAGUGUUGAAGUGGCCAUGUGUGAGCAAUCAGCUUUGUGAAUUGCGAAGGGUUGCCCAAACAAGGAGAGAACUUCUGGCAGGCUUCGCACGACCGCGUAACUCGAUUCGCGGCGCAGAUUAUAGCGGGCCAGUAGAACCCUUGGCGGAUCACCUUGGCAGCGAGGGCCCUAGGCCCUGAGUGAGAACCACAAGUUCCACUGUGGACUUCGCGCAGGAUCUGGGUGCCUUCGGUUUCGGUGACACAUUUGAGCAUGGGUUGACUGACCCCCUUCUUGUAUAGCUGGCCCUCAAUAAGUGCGAAGUCCUGGCUUCGGUGCUUGAGGCGCUUGGCCUCGUUGAUGUCACUGGGAUGGUAGUAUCCUUGCAGGAACAGGAUUAUUGGGGCCCGCUAGUCUUUGGUCAUGAUGAGGUUAACUAUACGAUGGCCCUCAGCGUCAUUUGUUAUUUGGAGACCCUCUGGAUUGCGGACGGCUGGCGUGCCGAUGACGUGGUAGAACACGUCAAAGGGCAAGGCUUCGCCUCUGGCCGCUGCUUUGGCCAAUGCGUCGGCCUCUUCGUUCCUGGCGCGGUCCACAUGCUACAAGGUGAAACCCUUGAAUUGUUUCUCAAGGCUGUGAACAGCCGUAAGAUAUUGCAUGAGUGCGGGGUCCUUUGCUGAAUAUUCUUUCUCAACCUGGCCAGCGACAACUUUGGAGUCUGUCUUGACAAUGCAGGUGGCAACGCCGAGUGCUUUCAGCAUGCGAAGGCCCAGAAUGACGGUUUCAUACUCUGCUAUGUUGUUGGUGCAUCUGUCGGAUUCCAGAGCAAAGCUAAGGCGUGCUACGUAUCUGUGCUUGACGCCGGUAGGUGAUGUGAUAAUUGCAGCCGCACCUGCCCCCGCAUGUCACCAUGCGCGUCACAGUGGAUGGUCCACACCUUCUCUGAGGGCUCUUCUUGCUGCCGUGCCGGCCCUGUCCAGUCGACGAUGAAAUCUGCGAGGACUUGCGACUUGAUUGUUGUCCUGGGCUCGAAGGUGAUGUGGUAUUCGGAGAGUUUGACCGCCAAUUUGGCGAUACGGACGGACGCCUCCGGAUUUCUGAAUAAUUCGCCGAGUCCCCUGUCCGAGGUGACUCGCACCUUGAACGCUUCGAAGUAGUGGCGCAACUUGCGCGAUGCCAUGACGACUGCGUAGGCAAUUUUUUCCAACUCUGUCAUGUUGCAUUUGGAAGUCGUGAGGACUUCGGAGACGUAAUAAACCGGACACUGCCGAGUUGUGCCCUCUCUAUCCUGCUCUUGGACCAAUGCUGCGCUGACUGCGUGUGGCGAAGCUGCAAUGUAAAGCAACAGAGGUAGCGAGGGGUCGGAGCUUGUAAGGGUUGCUAUCUCUGAUAGGUGCUGCUUGAGUGAUGCGAAGGCUGUCGCUUGCUCUGGUCCCCAUGCAAAGUCUUUUGCGCCGCGUAGCGUUUUGAGGAAAGGUAGGCUUCGCUCUGCGGACUUGGAAAUGAAUCUAUUGAGGGCAGCCAAUCUGCCUGUUAGACGCUGGACAUCUCUGGCUGACUACGGAGGCGUCAUGUUGAUGAUGGCCUGGAUCUUGGUCGGGUUGGCCUCGAUCCCGCGGUGUGACACCAGGUAGCCCAGUAUCUUCCCGUGGCGAACUCCAAAGACGCACUUCUCGGGGUUCAGGCGAAGUCGUGCGUCCCUGAAAGGGAAAUGUGCCCUUGGGCCAUUUCUAAGUAUUUUGGUGAUUGAGUGCCAACACAAGUGCUUAAAUGUGAAUCUAUACCCAUGGAUGGACAAAGUGCAAAUCAAGAGUAAAGGUAUGUUUCUAAGCCUUAGUACAUUGUUUUGAAGACUAAUGUAUUGUGUCUAAGUGCUUGAAAUAGGAGAAAUCGAGUCAGAGAAUAAGUUGGCUGUGUACAGCCAAAAGGCUGUUCGGUCUAGAGCACCGGACUGUCCGGUGGUGCACCGGACAGUGUCCGGUGCGCCAGGCUGUCUCGAGCGAAGUGGCCGCUCUCGGGAAUUCGCCGACGGCGUACGGCUAUAAUUCACCGGACUGUCCGGUGUGCACCGGACUGUCCGGUGAGCCAACGGUCGGCCGGGCCAACGGUCGACCACGGAAUCUGCGCGCGACACGUGGCCGGGCCAACGGUCGGAAGGGGGCACCGGACUGUCCGGUGUGCACCGGACUGUCCGGUGCGCCAACGGCUCCCAGAUCUGCAACGGUCGGCUGCGCCAUUUAAGGAAAGAAAUCGGGCACCGGACAGUGUCCGGUGUGCACCGGACUGUCCGGUGCGCCCGAUGACAGAAGGCAAGAUCAGCCUUCCAGAAUUGCUCUCAACGGCUCCUAGCUGCCUUGGGGCUAUAAAAGGGACCCCUAGGCGCAUGGAGGAGAACACCAAGCAACCUUAGAGCAUUCUUGAUCAUCCACACUCAGUCUUUGCGCAUUCGUUUGUCAUUUGCAGUGAUUCGAGCUCCGUUCUAGUGAGAACUUUGAGAUAGUCUUUUGAGCUCGAUUCUUGGCCGUGCAUGUGCGCAUUUUGCUGUGGAUUUGUGUGUGUUGCUUCCCUCCCUUACUCCGUAUUUCUUUGUGAAUCUCAAGUGUAAGGGCGAGAGACUCCAAGUUGUGGAGAUUCCUCGCAAACGGGAUAUUGAAAGGAAAAGCAUAACACUGUGGUAUUCAAGUUGAUCAUUGGAUCACUUGAGAGGAGUUGAGUGCAACUCUCGUCCGUUGGGACGCCACAACGUGGAGUAGGCAAGUUUUGUACUUGGCCGAACCACGGGAUAAACCACUGUGUCUUCUCUGUGUUGAUCUUUUGUGGUAUUGUGUUUUGUUGAGACUCAUCUCUAGCCACUUGGCGAUUAUUGUGCUAACACUUAACAAGUUUUUGUGGCUAUAAGUUUAAGUUUCACAGGAUCACCUAUUCACCCCCCCCCCCCUCUAGGUGCUCUCAAUUGGUAUCGGAGCUGUUCUCUUCAAGAAGGGACUAAUCGCCCGAAGAGAUGGAUCCUAAGGGGAAGGGAAUCGUGAUCAACGACAAGGAGAAGGAGUCCUUCGUCAACGAGCCGAAGGAUGACAAGCCUACUGACUCGGGCUCGGGCCACAAGCGUAAAGAUGGGAAGAAGAAGAAGAUAAGGCGCAUCAAGGAGAUCGUCUACUACGACGAUAGCGAUGAGUCUACUUCUUCCCAAAAGGACGACGACAACGACUACAGGAAGACGGUCAAUUCGAACUUUUCAUUUGAUUAUUCUCGUAUUCCACAUAGUUCGAAUUCGCAUUUGCUUUCCAUUCCUCUUGGCAAACCUCCACACUUCGAUGGGGAAGACUACGGAUUUUGGAGUCACAAAAUGCGUAGUCACUUAUUCUCUCUCCAUCCAAGCAUAUGGGAGAUUGUAGAGAAUGGAAUGAAAUUUGAUAGCUCGGAUAGCCCUAUGCUUAUAAAUGAACAAAUCCAUAGAAAUGCACAAGCUACUACUGUUCUAUUAGCAUCUUUGUGCAGGGAAGAGUACAAUAAGGUGAGCGGCUUGGACAAUGCCAAGCAGAUCUGGGACACCCUCAAGAUCUCUCAUGAGGGGAACGAUGUCACCUUACUCACCAAGAUGGAGUUGGUGGAGGGCGAGCUUGGACGGUUCGCAAUGAUAAGGGGAGAGGAGCCAACUCAAACAUACAACCGGCUCAAGACCCUUAUCAACAAAAUAAGGAGCUACGGAAGCACGCGAUGGACGGAUCACGACGUCGUCCGCCUAAUGCUAAGGUCCUUUACCGUUCUUGAUCCUCAUUUGGUGAACAAUAUUCGUGAAAAUCCUAGGUACACCAAGAUGUCGCCCAAAGAAGUACUUGGGAAAUUCGUUAGCGGGUGAAUGAUGAUCAAGGAGGCAAGAUACGUGGACGACGCCUUGAAUGGUCCGAUCAACGAGCCGCAACCCCUUGCUCUCAAGGCAACAAGGAGCAAGGAGGCGCUACCAAGCAAGGUGGCGCAAGUUGAGGCGGCCGGGCUAAAUAAUGAGGAGAUGACCCUCAUCAUUAAGCGCUUCAAGACGGCGCUUAAAGGUCGCAAGGGACAGCCAAGCAAGACCAAAGCCAAGGGGAAGCGCUCGUGCUUCAAAUGCGGUAAGAUUGGUCAUUUUAUUGCUAACUGUCCCGACAAUGAUAGUGACCAGGAACACGGGAGCAAGAGGGAAAGGAAGAAGCAUUACAAGAAGGCCAAGGGAGAGGCACAUAUCGGAAAGGAGUGGGAUUCGGAUUGCUCCUCCUCCGACUCCGACAAUGAAGGACUCGCCGCCACUGCCUUCAACAAGUCAUCCCUCUUCCCAAACGAGCGUCACACUUGCCUCAUGGCAAGGGAGAAGAAAGUAAGCACUCAUAAUACUAGUACUUAUGCUUCUUCAAGUGAGGAUGAGUCUAGUGACGAUGACGAGAUAGAUUACUCAUGCUUAUUCAAGGGAUUAGAUAGAACCAAGGUAGACAAAAUUAAUGAAUUGAUUGAUGCCUUGAAUGAUAGGAAUAUACUUUUAGAAAAGCAAGAGAAUUUGUUGUAUGAAGAACAUGAUAAAUUUGUAGAAGCUCAGAAAUCUCUUGCUCUAGAAAUUAAGAGGAAUGAAAUGCUCUCUAGUGAAUUAUCUUCUUGUCAUGAAACCAUUGCUACUUUAAAGAGUGUUAAUGAUGACUUAAAUGCUAAACUAGAAGUAGCUAGUAAAUCUAAUUCUUGUGUAGAACAUGUUGAGAUUUGCACUAGGUGUAAAGAUUUCGAUGUUGAUGCUUGUAGUGAUCAUUUAGUUUCAAUUUCCAAAUUAACUGAGGAAUUGGCUAGUCUUAAUGCCCAACUUAAGACUAGCAAGAAUGAAUUUGAUAAACUAAAAUUUGCAAGGGAUGCCUACACGAUCGGUAGACACCCCUCAAUUAAGGAUGGACUUGGCUUCAAGAGGGAAGCCAAGAACUUAACAAGCCAUAAGGCUCCCAUUCCCGCUAAGGAGAAAGGGAAGGACCCUAUGGCUACUAGUGCUAAAAAGAACCAUGCCUUUUUGUAUCAUGAUAGGAGACAAACUAGAAAUGCUUAUAGGAGUUAUAAUGCUUACGAUGAUUUUUCUCAUGCUAUGUUUGCUUCUAGUUCUUCAUAUGUGCAUGAUAGAAAUGUUGGUAGAAGGAAUGUUGUUCAUAAUAUGCCUAGAAGAGAUGUUGUUAAUAUUCCUAGGAAAGUUAAUGAGCCUUCUACAAUAUAUCAUGCUUUGAAUGCUUCCUUUGCAAUUUGUAGAAAGGAUAGAAAGGUAAUUGCUAGAAAGUUAGGGGCAAAAUGCAAGGGUGAUAAAACUUGCAUUUGGGUCCCUAAGGAAAUUGUGACUAACCUAGUAGGACCCAACAAGAGUUGGGUACCUAAGUCCCAAGCCUAAAUUUGCCUUGCAGGUUUAUGCAUCCGGGGGUUCAAGCUGGAUUAUUGAUAGCGGAUGCACAAACCAUAUGACGGGGGAGAAGAAGAUGUUCACCUCCUACGUCAAGAAUAAGGAUUCCCAAGAUUCAAUUAUAUUCGGUGAUGGGAAUCAAGGCAAGGUAAAAGGGUUAGGUAAAAUUGCAAUUUCUAAUGAGCACUCCAUAUCUAAUGUGUUUUUAGUAGAGUCUCUUGGAUAUAAUUUGCUAUCUGUUAGUCAAUUAUGCAACAUGGGGUAUAACUGUCUAUUUACAAAUGUAGAUGUGUCUGUCUUUAGAAGAAGUGAUGGUUCACUAGCUUUUAAGGGUGUAUUAGACGGCAAACUUUAUUUAGUUGAUUUUGCAAAAGAAGAGGCCGGUCUAGAUGCAUGCUUAAUAGCUAAGACUAGCAUGGGCUGGCUGUGGCAUCGCCGCUUAGCACAUGUGGGGAUGAAGAACCUUCACAAGCUUCUAAAGGGAGAACACGUGAUAGGUUUGACUAACGUGCAAUUCGAAAAAGAUAGACCUUGUGCAGCUUGUCAAGCAGGUAAACAAGUGGGAGGAGCGCAUCACAGCAAGAAUGUGAUGACCACUUCAAGACCCCUAGAGCUGCUGCAUAUGGACCUCUUCGGACCUGUCGCCUAUCUGAGCAUAGGAGGGAGUAAGUAUGGUCUAGUUAUUGUUGAUGACUUUUCCCGCUUCACUUGGGUGUUCUUUUUGCAGGAUAAGUCUGAAACCCAAGGGACCCUCAAGCGCUUCCUCAGGAGAGCUCAAAAUGAGUUUGAGCUCAAGGUGAAGAAGAUAAGGAGCGACAACGGGUCCGAGUUCAAGAACCUUCAAGUGGAGGAGUUCCUUGAGGAGGAAGGGAUCAAGCACGAGUUCUCCGCUCCCUACACACCACAGCAAAAUGGUGUGGUAGAGAGAAAGAACAGGACGCUAAUCGAUAUGGCGAGGACGAUGCUUGGAGAAUUCAAGACCCCCGAGUGUUUCUGGUCGGAAGCCGUGAACACGGCUUGCCACGCCAUCAACAGGGUCUACCUUCAUCGCCUCCUCAAGAAGACUUCGUAUGAGCUACUAACCGGUAACAAACCCAAUGUAUCUUACUUUCGUGUAUUUGGGAGCAAGUGCUACAUUCUAGUAAAGAAGGGUAGAAAUUCUAAGUUUGCUCCUAAAGCUGUAGAAGGGUUUUUGUUAGGUUAUGACUCAAAUACAAAGGCGUAUAGAGUCUUCAACAAAUCAUUGGGUUUGGUUGAAGUCUCUAGCGACGUUGUAUUUGAUGAGACUAAUGGCUCUCCAAGAGAGCAAGUUGUUGAUCUUGAUGAUGUAGAUGAAGAAGAUGUUCCGACGGCAGCUAUACGAACCAUGGCGAUUGGAGAAGUGCGGCCACAGGAACAAGAUGAACGAGAUCAACCUUCUUCCUCAACAAUGAUGCAUCCCCCAACUCAAAACGAUGAAUAGGUUCAUCAAGAGGAGUGUGAUCAAGGGGGAGCACAGGAUGAUCAUGUGAUGGAGGAAGAAACACAACCGGCACCUCCAACCCAAGUUCGAGCGAUGAUUCAAAGGGAUCAUCCCGUCGACCAAAUUCUGGGUGAUAUUAGCAAGGGAGUAACUACUCGAUCUUGAUUAGUUAAUUUUUGUGAGCAUUACUCCUUUGUCUCUUCUAUUGAGCCUUUCAGGGUAGAAGAGGCCUUGCUAGAUCCGGACUGGGUGUUAGCCAUGCAGGAGGAACUCAACAACUUCAAGCGCAAUGAAGUUUGGACACUGGUGCCUCGUCCCAAGCAAAAUGUUGUGGGAACCAAGCGGGUGUUCCGCAACAAACAGGACGAGCACGGGGUGGUGACAAGGAACAAGGCUCGACUUGUGGCAAAAGGUUAUGCCCAAGUCGCAGGUUUGGACUUUGAGGAGACGUUUGCUCCUGUGGCUAGGCUAGAGUCAAUUCGCAUCUUGCUAGCAUAUGUCGCUCACCAUUCUUUCAGGUUGUACCAAAUGGAUGUGAAGAGCGCUUUCCUCAAUGGGCCGAUCAAGGAGGAGGUGUACGUGGAGCAACCCCCUGGCUUCGAGGAUGAACGGUACCCCGACCACGUGUGUAAGCUCUCUAAGGCGCUCUAUGGACUUAAGCAAGCCCCAAGAGCAUGGUAUGAAUGCCUUAUAGACUUUCUAAUUGUUAAUGCUUUCAAGGUUGGGAAAGCCGAUCCAACUCUCUUUACUAAGACAUGUGAUGGUGAUUUGUUUGUGUGCCAAAUUUAUGUCGAUGAUAUAAUAUUUGGUUCUACUAACCAAAAGUCUUGUGAAGAGUUUAGCAGGGUGAUGACGCAGAAAUUCGAGAUGUCGAUGAUGGGCGAGUUGAACUACUUCCUUGGGUUCCAAGUGAAGCAACUCAAGGACGGCACCUUCAUCUCCCAAACGAAGUACACGCAAGAUCUGCUAAAGCGGUUUGGGAUGAAGGAUGCCAAGCCCGCAAAGACUCCGAUGGGAACCGACGGACACACCGACCUCAACAAAGGAGGUAAGUCCGUUGAUCAAAAAGCAUACCGGUCAAUGAUAGGGUCUUUACUUUAUUUAUGUGCUAGUAGACCGGAUAUUAUGCUUAGCGUAUGCAUGUGUGCUAGAUUUCAAUCCGAUCCUAAGGGGUGUCACUUAGUGGUGGUGAAGCGAAUUCUAAGAUAUUUGGUUGCUACGCCUUGUUUCGGGCUCUGGUAUCCAAAAGGGUCUACCUUUGACUUGGUUGGAUACUCAGAUUCCGACUAUGCUGGAUGUAAGGUCGAUAGGAAGAGUACAUCAGGGACGUGCCAAUUCUUAGGAAGGUCCCUGGUGUCGUGGAACUCUAAGAAACAAACCUCCGUUGCCCUAUCCACCGCUGAGGCCGAGUAUGUUGCCGCAGGACAGUGUUGCGCGCAACUACUUUGGAUGAGGCAAACCCUCCGGGACUUUGGCUACAAUCUGAGCAAAGUCCCACUCCUAUGUGAUAAUGAGAGUGCUAUCCGCAUGGCGGAAAAUCCUGUUGAACACAGCCGCACAAAGCACAUAGACAUCCGGCAUCACUUUUUGAGAGACCACCAGCAAAAGGGAGAUAUCGAAGUGUUUCAUGUUAGCACCGAGAACCAGCUAGCCGAUAUCUUUACCAAGCCUCUAGAUGAGAAGACCUUUUGCAGGUUGCGUAGUGAGCUAAAUGUCUUAGAUUCGCGGAACCUGGAUUGAUUUGUAGCAUACAUGUGUUUAUGCCUUUGAUCAUGUUCAUUCUGCAUUUUGUUGCUUAUUGUGGUGCUCAAGUUGUACAAACAUUCCCUGGACCUCACAAGUCCUUGUGUAAGUGAUGCACAUAUUUAGGGGGAGUUGUGUUACAACUUGACCCUUUGAGACUAACCAUAUGCUUGAGUUUACUUGAUUUAGUCUCGAAGGAGAAUUGAAAGGGAAAAGGUGGACUUGGACCAUGAAAGACUUCCACUGCACUCCGAUGAGAGGGUAACUUAUUCCAAGUUCAUCUUAUGAACUCUUAUUGCCAUUUGCUCUUAAUUGAAGAUUUUGGUGAGGCAAUGGGGUUAUAGGGCCAAGAUUGAUCCCGUUUUGGUGCUUGAUGCCAAAGGGGGAGAAAAUAAAGGCCAAAGCGAUAAAUGGAUCAGCUACCACUUGAGAGAUUUUGAAAACAGUAGAAUAGAGCUUUUGUUUUGUCAAAACUCUUUUGUUGUCUCUCUUGUCAAAAGUUGGCUUCUUGUGGGGAGAAGUGUUGAUUAUGGGAAAAAGGGGGAGUUUUUGAAAUCUUUAAUCAAUCUCUUUUGGAAUGACUCUCUUUAUGCUUCAACAUGUGUGUUUGACUUAGAGCUAGAGAUUUGAGUUUGAUUUGCAAAAACAAACCAAGUGGUGGCAAAGGAUGAUCCAUAUAUGCCAAAAUUGAAUCAAAAUAAAUUUGAGUUUUAUUUGAAGUGAUAUUGCACUUGUUCUAGUUGCUUUAUGUUGUGUUGGCAUAAAUCACCAAAAAGGGGGAGAUUGAAAGGGAAAUGUGCCCUUGGGCCAUUUCUAAGUAUUUUGGUGAUUGAGUGCCAACACAAGUGCUUAAAUGUGAAUCUAUACCCAUGGAUGGACAAAGUGCAAAUCAAGAGUAAAGGUAUGUUUCUAAGCCUUAGUACAUUGUUUUGAAGACUAAUGUAUUGUGUCUAAGUGCUUGAAACAGGAGAAAUCGAGUCAGAGAAUAAGUUGGCUGUGUACAGCCAAAAGGCUGUUCGGUCUGGAGCACCGGACUGUCCGGUGGUGCACCGGACAGUGUCCGGUGCGCCAGGCUGCCUCGAGCGAAGUGGCCGCUCUCGGGAAUUCGCCGACGGCGUACGACUAUAAUUCACCGGACUGUCCGGUGUGCACCGGACUGUCCGGUGAGCCAACGGUCGGCCGGGCCAACGGUCGGCCACGGAAUCUGCGCGCGACACGUGGCCGGGCCAACGGUCGGAAGGGGGCACCGGACUGUCCGGUGUGCACCGGACUGUCCGGUGCGCCAACGGCUCCCAGAUCUGCAACGGUCGGCUGCGCCAUUUAAGGAAAGAAAUCGGGCACCGGACAGUGUCCGGUGUGCACCGGACUGUCCGGUGCGCCCGAUGACAGAAGGCAAGAUCAGCCUUCCAGAAUUGCUCUCAACGGCUCCUAGCUGCCUUGGGGCUAUAAAAGGGACCCCUAGGCGCAUGGAGGAGAACACCAAGCAACCUUAGAGCAUUCUUGAUCAUCCACACUCAGUCUUUGCGCAUUCGUUUGUCAUUUGCAGUGAUUCGAGCUCCGUUCUAGUGAGAACUUUGAGAUAGUCUUUUGAGCUCGAUUCUUGGCCGUGCGUGUGCGCAUUUUGCUGUGGAUUUGUGUGUGUUGCUUCCCUCCCUUACUCCGUAUUUCUUUGUGAAUCUCAAGUGUAAGGGCGAGAGACUCCAAGUUGUGGAGAUUCCUCGCAAAUGGGAUAUUGAAAGGAAAAGCAUAACACUGUGGUAUUCAAGUUGAUCAUUGGAUCACUUGAGAGGAGUUGAGUGCAACUCUCGUCCGUUGGGACGCCACAACAUGGAGUAGGCAAGUUUUGUACUUGGCCGAACCACGGGAUAAACCACUGUGUCUUCUCUGUGUUGAUCUUUUGUGGUAUUGUGUUUUGUUGAGACUCAUCUCUAGCCACUUGGCGAUUAUUGUGCUAACACUUAACAAGUUUUUGUGGCUAUAAGUUUAAGUUUCACAGGAUCACCUAUUCACCCCCCCCCCUCUAGGUGCUCUCAGUCCCGCAUGUUCGCGAAUGUCUCUGCAAGGUCGGCUAGAUGAUCCUCUUUGUUUUUGCUGGCAACGGCGAUGUCGUCCACAUACGUGAAAAUGUUCCAGCCUACUUGACUCUCGAGCACCGUCUUGGUGAGGCGAAAGAAGGUGGACCCAACGUUCUUUAGUCCCUCCGGCAUUCUAACGAAGCAAUACGUGCCGAAGGACGUGAUGAAACUGGUACUGGCCUUGUCUUCCUCCUUCAUAUAUAUUUGGUGAUAGCUAGAGAAGCAGUCGAGGAGUGACAUGACUUCGCAUCCGGUCGCACUAUCGACGAUUUUGUCGAUCCGAGGCAGCGGGAAAUUAUCAUUGGGGCAGGCCUUGUUGAGGCUGGUGAAAUCGAUGCACAUCCGCCACUUGCCGCUUUUCUUUUGCACCAUAACUACGUUGGCGAGCCACGUAGGGUAGGUGAUUGGCUCGAUGAAAUUGGCCUCCAGCAGGCGGUGUACUUCGGUUUUGGUGGCUUCUGUCUUUUCAUCGGACAUUUUGCACAACCGCUGCUUCUUUGGGCGCACAGAAGGGUCGAUGCCCAGGCUGUGCUCGAUGAUAGUGCGACUGACUCCGACCAGGUCGAGGGCGGACCAGGCGAAGACGUCCUUAUUUCUGGAGAGACAGGAGAGGAGUUUCUCCUCAUCUUGCGAAGUCAGGUCUUCGCUUAUGAUGACCAUUUGUUUUGGUGUUGCCUGGUCAAGGGGGACUGUCUUUGUCCCAUCGUUGCUCUGCAGCUGUGCCUUUUCAUGUUCGUUGGCGGCUGGGCGGGUAGCCUCGGGGACUUCGCGCUGCGUCGUGAGGUAGUGUACGUUCUGUUGCCCUAGAACGAAGUCUCUUUCAAUGUUACGCGCAGUCUGCUGGUUGCCAUAGACUGUGAUCACGCCUUGCGGACCCGGGAUUUUCAUGCACAGGUAAAGUCCGUGAAUGGCUGCUUCAAACUUGUUGAUGGAGCCCCAUCCCAUUAUGGCAUUGUACGGGUAUACCAUAUCGACGAUGUCGAAGGUGAUCUGCUCACUUCGUGCAUUGGGUGCUACGCCGAAGGACAAGGGUAGCUCUAUCUUGCCCACAGGGAAGGUGCCCUUGCCACCGAAGCCAUAUAGUGGGUUGUCCGAAGGCUUAAGUAGACUGUGGCUGAUGCCCAUGCGGUCGAAGGCAUGGAGGAAGAUGAUGUCCGCUUGGCUACCGUUGUCAACUAAGACUUUGUGCAGGUCCCAGCUAGCCACACUGCAGUUGAUAACCAUGGCGUCCAUGUGGGGUGCGCUGCGCAAAUCAACAUCUCUAGCGUCGAAGGUCAGUGGCACAUGUGACCACUUUGUUUGCACGACUGGGCCAGUGAUGGUGACGUGGUUGAUGCUUCGAUAGUGAUCCCUCUUCUGUCGCUUCGUGUCGAAGUCGACGCUGGACCCCCCAGUGAUCAUGUGAAUGACUCCACGAUACGGUUGAUCAGCGAAGUCUUCCUGUUUUGGUGCUUGGGGUGAUUUGGGUGGUGGAUGUUUGGCUGAUGUGGGUGCAGAGGCGGGAGUGGGGGUGGUACGACUUGUACCUCCUGGUGGUGCUGGUAUGCGUGGUUAGGUGGAUGCUGAGCGGGGCCGUGGUUGUAUGGUUGUGGGAGUUGGUGUUGAUAUGUGUGCGCGACAACUCUUGGGUUGUCAGCGGGUUGUGCCCGAGACAUCCUAUCCCUGGUGGCCUUCGUUUCUAGGAAAUCCCUCGUCGGGUGCGCACAGUCUUCGCCGUGAAAUAGGCAGUAAAAUCUGCGCGGCUGCUGUGCCCGUCCUCGGCCCCGACCACGAGUGCCAUUGAUGUGGCCCUGGGGGGAUAAUCUUGACGGCAAGGGGCGUCGCCGGCGGGGUGCUGGUUGGCGAUGUUGUGCACCUGCUGCUGACUGCGGCCGUCCCGACCGGAGUCUGACUGCGAAGGUCUUAUCCACGUUCGGCUGGACUGCGGAGGGUCCUUGGGUUUCCUCUAGGACUCGACCUUGCGCUGGUGGAGCUCCUCUAAUCUGGCAUACUUUUCGAACAGCUGAUAGAGCUCUUGGAGGUUCUUGGGUGGGUCCUUGAUGCAGUGACUGUAAAGGACGCCAGCCCAAAGGCCACUGAUGGCGUAGUGGAUGGCAAUUUGGUCGUCGACCGAGGGCAGCUGUGACUUGAGAGUCAGGAACUUGCGGUAAUACUCCCGCAGGGUUUCUUUCUCUAGCUGCUUGCAGAGUGACAGUUCGGCCAAGGCGUCAGUGUCUAGGCGGUACCCUUGGAAGUUGAGCAGAAAUUUGUCCCAGAGACUUCUCCAGGAGUCGAUGGACAGUGGGGGCAACCUAGUGUACCAGGUCAGGGCUGGACCCUCGAGGGCGAUGAUGAAAGACUUGGCCAUCGUGGCGUCGUCCCCUCCGGAUGAUGUGACAACGACUUAAUAACUCAUGAUGUACUAUGUUGGGUCGGUGCUGCCGUUAUACUUGGGGUAGGUCCCUGCCCUGAAGUUGGCGGGCCAUGGUGACACUUGUAGUUGCGGCGCCUGGGGGCUCCGCUCGUCAAGGUAGUUGAUGCCUUGGAAUGCUGCGACGUGCGGGACGAAGGGUUCGCGCUGAGGGAUGAAUAGGUCUCCGUCCGGCGCGCGCUGUUGGAGGGGCGGACCGUGUUGCAUAUCAUGUUGGCCUUCGCAUUGCAUGAGUGCAAUCUCUUGCUCGAGUUGCUAAGCCCUCAGUUCCUCGUCUCGUAUCAUCUGGCGCACCUUGGCUUGCGCGGAGACACGUUGGCGCUUGGCCUCGAGGAUUUCUUUCUGCCUCUGGAGGUUGCGGUUCUUCAUGCGCAGGGCCCGCAGCUGUAGUUGUUCCUCUACUGGAAUGCCGAUGAUUUUGCCGUCUUCGGUGGCGUCCUCGCCCUCUAGUGGAGCGAAGCCUGGUGGUGGUUCUUGUGGCUGUCCUCCGGAGCUGCAGGUGCGGAGGGUGCCUUCGGAAGUUGGUUGAUUGUUGCGUUGUCUCUUGCUGAGUGCGUCGUCCUCGCAGACUUCUUAGUGGGUGGUGUUUGCAAGGGCCUUGCUCUUUUUCUCGGCUAGCAGCGCUGCCUUCACUGCUUCGUCGACGGAUGGGAUUGCCUUCGAGUUAGCUCUCUUGGGUGCCAUCGCGGGUGAUUUGUUCGUAGCACGAACGGUGGACGGCAAAUGUUGGAGCUUGCUCUUCCGGGCAAGAUGAUCCAACGAGAGAGUGAAAGAACGCAAGCAAGGUUUUUCUCGAGAUGGCAAUAGCUCUGUUAAUCUAGCCUCUCGAGGGCACUGUACGGGGGUAUUUAUAGGUGCCCGGGUGCCCAACGUCCUGAUGUUAGGACGUUUAUGCCCCCAGGCAUCUGGAUUAUCCCUAGGAUAUUCCCAUAAUGGAGGGUUACAGACUGUCAUUACAGGAAAGUCAUUACAAAUCGGGCCCGUAACUCAUAUCGCCGUCGCGGGGCCUGAUACGACGGGCCGCUUCCCACGUGGGCCUCCAGGUUGGGUGAGGAUAGGGAUGGCAGCGGGUCGGGUUGUGUUCGGGUCUGAUAAUACCCGACCCGAUAUCAUACCCGACCCUUAUACAAAUAUCCAUACCCACCAAGUCAAUCGGGUAAAAAAAUGGACCCAUACCCGUACCCACCGGGUAUCCGUCGGGUAUCGGGUAUCCGGUGGAUAUGGUACUGUAAAAUAUAAAUCUGCAUGCAAAUUGAUGAGCAACACAGUUUAUGACAGAUGGGAGUUAAAAAACAACAUCACAACAUGUGAAAUAUAUAAGCAACAUCACCAGUUUACAAACCAUAGAUUCAUAGUACAAUUCAUGACUAGUACACGUCCAAUUCACAUAUCAUAGUACAGUUCACAAAUCAUAGUACACGUUCAGUUCACAAAUCAUAGACUCAUAGUACACGUCCAGUUCACAAAUCAUAGUUCACACAACACAAAUAUAAGCAACAACACAAUGACAGGAAGUCCAUGAUGUUCAUGUAGUAGCAGGCAGGCAACAACGUCGUAGUAGCAGCCAAUAAGUUCAUGGAUCAAUGAUUUCAGAUUGCAUGCCAUCCUAACAAAGUGACAAAUCAUAUAGUUAUUCAAAUAGAAAUUUAGUAAAAUAUAGAAUGGCUAAAUUUCAAUAUAUCGUUGCUUCAUCUUCAUCAUCAAGGCAAGUCAUGAGUGCAUUGAGUACAUGAGAUCCAUGACCUAAUCAAAGAGAAGUUUGAAACAUUAGUGCUAUCACAGUGAAAGGAAUGAAAAUAAAACAACAUUAUAGUUCCACUAGUAUUCAUACCAAGCAUGUCAGCGCGAGCCCAAGCUUGCAUACACAUCAAGGCUUCAACCAUUUUUGGGGCUAGUCUACUACGACUUGGGCUAAUGACCCUUCCACCAGUACUAAAGACAGACUCAGAAGCCACGGUUGUCACAGGAAUAGACAUGAUAUCUCUAGCAAUCUUUCUCAAAGUGGGAUACUUCACCCCUGCCACAUUCCACCAACCAAUGAUGUCUAAGUUUGUAGUUCUAGCCAACAUUUCCUCUUCCAAAUACAGAUCCAAUUCUGUGCUAACAAAAGCGGGUGGGGCAGCAGGUUCAGCAGAUAAAUAUUGAUCAAAAAUGUCAAAAACAGCUGCAUCCCCUUCAUUUUGGAUAGUAGUACUGCUGCAAGGCCCAGCAACACCAUCUGUUGUGCCAAAACCCUCCAUGGAACCUUGGUAUUCCUUCACUAAAUCAACCAACAAAUCCUUAACUUUCGUAGUUUCUCUACCCACAUUCUCAUGUCCAUAAAUUUCAGUAAACAUAGCAUACAAGAACUUCAUUUCAAACCGAGGAUCAAGAACCGUGGCAACAGCCAUAAGACCAUGAACAUCUGUCCAAUAUUUCAAAAAUUUAUCUUUCAUGGCUGUUGACAUGUCUUCUAUGGUUGGGUUAUCACUAGAUCGCCAUUUCUUAAUUGUUAAAUAAAUUCCACAGAUUUUUGGGAAAAAAAGGUUGGCUGUCACAUAAGAAGUCCCAGACAACAGUUCUGUAAUAUCAUAAAACAACCCCAACCUAUCACAAAGAUGCCUAGAAAAAUUCCAAUCUUCUUCUGUUGGUUGAAAAGGGGCACACAAUUUUUCCUUUUUUGCAAGGCGAUUAAAAACUGGAACAUAAAGCAUUGCAGUGCUAAGCAUUAGAUAUGUGGAAUUCCAUCUAGUUUUAACAUCAAGUGCUAUUCUUUUGUCAUACUUAAUGCCCUCUUGACCAACAGCCUUUUCAAAUCGUUCAUGCCUUUUUGGUGUAGAUGACCAAAACCCAACAGUGUCCCGAAUCCUACCAAUUCCCACUUCCAUGACUUUUACUCCUAAUGCAUCGUUUAUACCCAUACCAUCUUUGACAAUAAGAUUAAUGAUGUGAGCAGCACAACGCAUAUGCAACAAUUUGCCAUGCAACAUGAGGAAGUAAAGAGGCAUCUUAUCUUGCAUUUCCUUCAUAACAUUGUCAUUGGUGCUACAAUUGUCAAGAGUUACAGUGGAAACCUUCUUGUCAAUCCCCCAAUCCAUGAGUACAUCAUGAAGUACAUCACUUAUGACUUCGGCUGUAUGUGGGUGUGGCACAUACAUAAACCUACAAAAUGGAGUAACAAGAAAGUGUAACUCUUGACAAGAAAGUGUAACUAGUAUAUAUGCAUGGCAGCAAAAAUAAAGAGCAGCAGAAAUAUUACCUUAAAAGAUAGCUUUUUAGACUCCAAUUUUCAUCAAUAUAGUGUACAGUCACUGCCAUGUAACCCUUCUUUUGAUGAUUUGCUGUCCACAUAUCUGUGGUGACCGCAAUACGAGAUUUUUGUUGUUGGAACAUUGUCACCAUAGAGAGCUUUUGAACUUCAUACAUAUCCAGAAUAUCAUUUCUAAUGGUAUUUCUUGACACUAAUUUAAACAACGGUUGCAGGGAAGCACAAAACUUUCUAAAGCCUACAUGGUCAACCAUAGACAGCGGGUACUCAUGCACACAUAUCAUUAAUGCAAGUUCUUUCCUAGCAACAUCUUGAUCAAAUACAUACUUCUCUAAACAAACACUGCCAUCUGGAUUUUGUGAAAAUUUCAAGGAGGAUUGUUUUAGGCCUUUUCUAGCUUGUCGUGACUCACAUGUAUUUAUGUGGCUUUGUAAAUGGCUGGUACCACUUUUACCUUCAGCUGUCAAUAGUUUGCUACACCAAUUGCACUUAGCUUUCCGUUUACCAGAUACAGUAACUCUAACAAAAUCCUCCCAUACUUUAGACUUCAACUUCCUCUUACACCCAACCUGUGCAGCAUCAUCUAUUUCAACAUCAUUCCUUGUCCCUUGGGUUGCUGCAUCAGAUGGAGUGGGAUCUCUAGAGCUACCAACAUCAGCAGGAGCUGCUCCUAUGCCACUGCGACGACUGCUACUGUCUUGUGGAGUUGACAUUGGAUUUGGGCUUCUAACUGAGUGAGCUACUGAGUACCUGAGGGCCCGACGGCGGACGGCGCAGGCGCGCAGGCACAGCUCGGGGACGCCGGUCGGGCCUAGGGCUCGGGGACGCCGCAGGUUGGGGACGGUCGCCGGCCAUAGUCGCAGUCGUAGCUUGGGGCCGGUCGCCGGUCGCAGCUUGUCAGUCGCAGCUUGGACACCGCUCGGGGCUCGGGGCUCGUCGCAGGCCGCAGGCGUAGCUCGCGCGGGGCUCGUCGCAGGUCGCAGCCGCGCAGGCCGUAGGCGUAGCUCGCGCGGGGAUGUGGCCUGGCCGCCGCCGGGGACUGGCUGCUGGGCGGGGGCGCGGGGAUGUGGCGUGGGGCGUUGGGGUCCUGCCGUCCUGGCCUCCUGGGAUGGGAGUGGCGACUGGGAAUCUGGGAUGGGUGGACGGGACGAGAGCUCGGGAAGGGAAGGCCGGAAGGGAGUUAGGGAAUUUAGGGUUAGCUUAGCCGGUUGCUGAUUUAGCCUUUGGGCAGUUGGGCUUCUUUUCUUUGCUUCAUGGGCCACAAAUCACAAUUCGGGUAUCCAGUGGAUAUCCAUGGGUAAAACAUACUAUCCGUACCCUACCCGACGUAUUUCGGGUACCCGACCCGAUACUAUCCACGGGUAAGAUUUCAAACUCGUAUCCAUGUCCACCGGGUACGAAACCCGUGGAUAUCCAUACCCACGGGUCCAAUUGCCAUCCCUAGGUGAGGACGUGGGAUGGCGGGACUUUGUCGUGGCCAUUUGUCUUGCGAUGAGAAGGACGAAGGGUAGCCUGCGCCGGUCAUCUAGCUUCCGUAGGUGCGCAGAGUUGAUAAGGGCUUCGAGGGAAGGGUAGUGCCUUUGCCUUCGCCCCAACAAUGAUGAUGAUGAUCCUACGAAUGUCUAAAUGAAUGUAUAUGAAUGCAAUGAAUGAUGUGAUGUAAUGUGCAAAUGAAUGUCCAAACACACGCGUACGAAGCCACAUCCAGACCCUACAUUCUCUUAGGAAUGACCAAAAUCUCUUUGUCGUUUAUUUUUCGGCUUCAUCGCUUAUUUUUCGGUGUAAGUUCUACAUUCCCUUAGGAACGUCUUUUAAACUUCUUCGUCUUCUAUUUCGGUGGUAUCACCAUUGACUUUUCGGUGUAAGUUCUGCAUCCCUUAGGAACGUCUUUUGAACUUCUUCGCCUUCUAUUUCGGCGGUAUUUAGCUCUGCAUUCCCUUAGAAACGACUUUUGAGCAGAAAACUUACGCUGCGCUCCCUUGGGAACGGCUUUUUUAGCUUCGUCGUGCUCUGCAUCCCCUUAGGGACGACUUUCGAGCUUCUUCCUGUUUUUUUCUUUUUCUGCACUCGAUGAUGUAUGCUCAGAUUUUAUAUUUUACAUUCUUUUGGGGAUUCUACUCUUGUAUAGCUAAAUAAGAAAGGAAAAUUACAAGCUAGGGUCCCAUUAAAAACCUUUCUCUGCUUUUGUAUAAAUGACGCGACGGGUUCAGCGCAGAGACAGCCACCGCAGAAGGCAGGGGUAUCCGGGUGAUCAGGGGAGUGGAGGUACAAGAACAGAAGCCUGAAUUCUCGCUGCGCUCGCUUCAGCGCAUCAGCGAACCCCUCGGCCACGAAGCGCGGGCCGCGGCCAGCGCCGAACUCGCGCUCGAACUCAGCGACGAAGUCGGCCGCCUCGGCAGCUGACGGCGGCAACUCUAGCAGGCGGUCACCGCUGCCGGCUUGCCCCGCGAGGCCGAGGAGGGAGAGGGAGCGGGACAGCACGCCCCCGGCUACCCAGGCGCCAAGGCGGAACGUGCCGGCGACGAGGCCGACCCCACCCGAGACCACGUGGAAGGGGAGCGUCACCAGCUUCCACGCGAUCCCCGGCUGCUGCUGGGGCGGCAGCGGCAUCGGCGGCGGGGGCGCGACGAACUCUGCAUCUACCGCCAGCGGAGCGGAAGGGGCCGGGUCACGCGAGGAGGUGGAGGCCGAAGCGGAGGGCGAGGAGGGGUUGGCGGUGAUGGUGGACACCGCGAGCUGCAGGUCCCAAUUGUGCGCGGCGAGGAUCUCCGUGCAGAGGUCCGUGUUGGAGAUGCCGGUGACGGCCUGGAAGUAGCUGACCUUGUCGUCGACGGUCUCGGCCAUGGCCGCCGGCGACGAGGGCUAGGGUUUGCAGAUUGAGGCCAGUGGUAGUGGUGGCGGUGGUAGUUAGGAACUAGGAAGAGGCCAGAAGCCGAGAGAGAUGCGGUUGCGAGCCGGGAGGGCGACGGCCGACGGGUCAGUGCUGAACUGCUGAGUGCUGACGUCUUCUAUUCUCCGUCUCGCCGUCCCGGUAGAUUGAACGGCGUGCCGUAUUACUGCACUCCGCGACAACGCGUCAGUUUCUACGAGAUUUUAUUUUACGACUGUGGGGCAAAGAAAACGGGCGAAGAAUUCUGAGAACCACAUGAUCAAAUUUUCAAAAAAUAAAAAUAAAAACACUCCGUUUUGGACCAAAGCUUCGUUUCACAGACUUCGCUCACAUAGUCACAUGUUCUGCCGACAUUUGGCUGACGGCAACCCUCUGAAGCUUGGCUCAUCAGCCCAACAGACACCGCAACUGUUGAUCAUGAACUUGUUUCCAUAAAGCUGAAAAACUAGCCCUGCAAAUAAAGGACGGCGCAAUAGGCUAAUGCAACAAUUAGUUUCACGAUGAUGGACAAGACGGAGACACACACUGGAAAUACCCGCACAAACUUGCAAUCAUAAGAAUAUCUGAACCGCAUAAGCUCCAACGCAUGGAUUAAAUCAGCCCGCAAUUUAACAAGCAAAGUAAAGCAGGAUCGCUUCAACUAGGAUUUCAAACUCGUAUACAAAUACAAUUUUUUUCAAAAAAAAGUGUACACAAAAGCAACUAACUGCAUUACAAGGACAAGGUCUCUCGUUGGAUUCAUCCUGAGCGAUACACAAGGGUACAGAGCCUCGCGAUCCAGUUUCCAGUGGUACAUCCAUAUGCCUACAGCUCCUCGAUAAGAACCGCGGAUUGUGGUUUGCUCUUUCUAUCCGCCUUCCAAUUCCCGGUCUCCAACUCCUCCAUAGAUGCUUUCUGCACCUGGACGAUGUGAGCUAAAGAUGGCCACGCCUCAUCUGGCUGCUCAUGGACCCAACAAGUCAUGAAGAAUAGCUUCCUAGCUGCACUACGAAGCUUCGGAGAGUUCUGUGCCCUCUCCGUCUUGCCCACUUUCUCCACCUUGAGCAUGCUCUUACCAACUUCAAUGAGUCGAUGGAAGUCGCAUAAGGCACAAAUAAGUGCGUUCUGUCCCAAGGAGAGAAUGGCGAUGAUAUCGUCCACGAGUCCAAUAGCAAACCUGAAACCACCAGUAUGCCUGUAAGCUGGUGAGCAUGUCUCCUCGAUGCAGGCUGCGAGUGCUUCAGGUACAGUCUCAGGUUUAGCAUCCUGGCCCAUGACUUUCGACAUCGACAGGGCGACAGUGCAAGCACCCAAAGGAUCUGAGUGCCAAUCACCGUUGUAGAGCCGAAGUGUGAAGCAGUAACUGUACAGAAUGUCAACCAAGUGGACAGCAAGCAAAGGAGAUGGCUCUGUCCUUGUUAACUGUUUCAAUGACGGGAGAGGAGAUUCUGGCCCUUCAGGGAUUUCGUUGAUGCUAGCCUCUUGGUCAGUAUUUGGAUCUGGAUAUGGUACAGCAGUGUCUUCUGCGUUUACUUGUCUGAUAAGCUGACUUCCAUCCAGGCCAAGGGAAAUAGAUCUGGCUGAGGGUUUUUUCCACCAAGGUGUCCACGGUUCAAUCAUCUUACUGAGCUCACCUGAGGCCAGAGCUUGACGGAAUCGUUUGAUUUCACAAUCAGAGAGGUCUUCCAGCUUUAUCUCUUCCCCUGUACGAUAGAAAGAGUAGAUCAAUAUGUGUCUGGUGAGAUACUUGAUAUGCAUAUCAACAUUUACUGAUUCCAACGAACUUGCAGUCUAAAAGGGUAAGGACAUAAAUAUCACCCAACGUUUGUAGAUGGACGAAUGAGUAAAAUGGACAAGUAUAGACAGUUAGACACUGCUUUAUUGCAUUGCUCAUCUCAAAACAUAAACCAUGAAAACAAUUGAUAAAAAAGAAAUAUCAGAACAAAAUAAUUGGAGUUGCCACUGAUCACCAGCAUAGGUAAUUGCUAGGAGUUCAGGCCACAGAAAGCCAGGUUAAAUAUGAGAACAAUUGGGCAGAAGGAAAUACUAGAACAAAAUAAUUGGAUGUCAGUCCCACCUGGGGGAGGGUGCUGUGGCUACUGCUGCUCCAACUAGUGGGGGCGGCUAGGGCAGGGAGAGGACUGGGUGGCUGCUGUAGAUGGCGCAAGGGGAGGCAGAGGCGGCGCAGAGAGAGAUGAGGCACAGGGAGAGAUGGAGAGGAGACCGAGGCACAGAAGGGGGAGAGCUUUCGCUCUAUUUCUGCUUAAGAUCUGAAAGGUUAAAUGACCCCUCUUAUUUAUAGUCCUGGGGGACUUUGACUUCCAAGCAAUCUAUAAAGUCCUUAUAGAUGUGGACUCUCUUUUCCUAAUUAAAAGUCAGGCAGGACUAUAUAAAAAACUAGAGUCGUGGCGGGAGAUUUUAGAGUCAAAAGGUUUUAGACUCAAUAGAACUAAAACCGAAUACAUGAGAUGUGACUUCGGCACUACUGAACAUGAGGAAAGAGAUUAGUUUGAAAGGUCAAGAAGUGCCCCAAAAGGACACUUUUUGGUAUUUAGAAUCAAUGCUACAGAGAGAUGGAUGUUGAUGAUGAUGUUAGCCAUAAAAUCAAAAUAGAGUGGAUGAAGUGACAUCAAACAUCUAGUGUUCUAUGUAACAAGAGGGUAACACAAAAGCUAAAAGUUAAUUUUUAUAGGACGUCGAUUAGACGAGAUAUGGUGCAGAAUGUUGGCUAAAAAAGACAUGUUCAAUAGGUAAAAAUACGUAUGUUAUGUUAGAUUUGUGGACAUAUAAAAAGAAAUCAAGUUCGGAGCGAUGAUAUACGUAAUAAGAUAGGGGUAGCACCAAUUGAAGAAAAACUUGUCCAACACCAGUUGAGAUGGUUUGAACGUAUCCAACAAGACCUCUAGAGACACCAGUGCGUAAUGGAAUCCUAAGAUGUGGUAGCGAUUGAAAGGGAGACAGAAGAAGGGCGAAGUUGACAUAAAAAGAGACAGUAAAAUGAGACUUGAAAGGAUAGAACAUACCCAAAGAUUAGCCUUGAAUAGAAGUGCAUGGAAAACAUCUAUCCAUGUGUCAUAACCUUGACUUAUGGUUUCUAUUGGGUCUUAACUCUAGCCGCCCCACCUUGCUUGGGACCAAAAGACUCAAGUUUUUGUUGCAAUCUAGACUAUCCCGAUUGGGAGGCGCGCUACAGUACCGUGCUACAGUCAUGGUGGAUGUCUGUUUUGGGGCCCAGUCGGAUGUCUAAGCUUGGCAGCUUGGCUGACCAGGGCCCUUCUCUAGGCUUUGCAGGGCUUAGCCAGGGGCCCAUAUUUAGGCCCGUGACAUUGGAGUUGACACCGAUCACCAGCAUUUGACAGCUUAAUUAAUUCCUAGAAGAUCAGGUCACAGAAAGACAGGUUAACCAAAAGGGAGUAAUGAACAUAAUUCUCACACAAAGAGUUAAUCAAGAAAUUCAACUGUGAAAGCUCUUCCCAGACAAGUGCAAUUCAAGUCGACAUAAGGUAUUAUGAUUUCUAAGACUAAGAGAUAAGAGUGUUUAAAAGACACACAAAAUUUCAUAAACAAUAAAUAACCUAUUAUAGUACUAGGAAAAGCUACUGUGCUGUCACAUUUAGAAUGGCAUGAAAGUAAUCAUAACGUACCAGACAUAACUUUUUGAAUAAGCUCCUCUGAUAACAUGGACUCUGCAGGACAAAAAGGUACAUGUCAAAAAUAAAAUCUUCAGCAGUCUACUAAAGCAAUAUUGAAGGGCAGGCCUGGUACAGUGGUGAGAGCUGUCGCACAAAGUCACCAGGUCACAGUUUAUCCCUUCCCGGACCCACUCAUGUGGAGACCUCCGGCACUGGGUUUGCCGUUUCUCAGUCUACUAUAUAAAUAUGUACAACCAAUUAUCUACAAGAUGACAUAUAAUUUAUCUGUAAUACCGAAAGGAAAUACAUUCAUAACAGACAAGCCACCAUAACUCGAUAACUACCUAUAAACAGGAAAACUUAAUGUACCAAACAGUAAAAUCGUAAGUGUAGCAUACUGCGCAUGGAGCAGGGGCAGCCCUAGAGCCCAAGCGGUAGGGGGGCUCAUCCCGGGGUGAGCCCAAGAAAAAUGAGAAUACCCCCUGUAAUUUUCACCUCAGCAGCCCAGGGAAAUUCCAGGUUUGAAGGCCCAGCCCCACCCGACCUAACAACGACACAGCCAGCCUCUCCCUCUCUCGCAGCUGAAAAAUAUUUUACAUGUUGCUUGAACAAUGUUAGUUUACAUAGUUAUUCUUUAUUAUAUAAAUUAUAGCUUUUAGUUUACGGUUCAAUUAUAUUUAGCUCCUCUCUUGUCUCAUGUCUGAAUCCACCACUGGCAUGGAGGUAUCUGUAGUUUUGUCCUCAUUAGCAGUUAUCACAAUAUAAAAAAAUGAAAUUAUGUGCACCUCUAGUGUUAUUAUUAAAGAAAGUAAGAUAGAUCAAUGGCAUAGGAACAUGUAGCACGCAGAACAUACCAUCUUCACCAUCUGAUGCCAUCUCUUCUUCCAAGUGGAGCCGCUUGAGGAUAUCUAGCAUCUUUUUCUUUGAUUCAUCCUCAGGUUGCAUCUGCUUAAGCUCGUCCAUAACAUUCUCACGCAUGAAGGAUUCAGUGCAUUGAACACUAUGACCCUAUGAAACAAGAAUUGAGAAAAACAUUUAAAGCAAUAUCAAGAAAAUAAAGCACUCUAGUGCAAAAUUAGCAAACAACAAUGUUCCUUUGCAUCUGUGUGCAUAGAAAAGAAGACACACGAACUUGUCAGCUUCAAUCUCUCAGUUUUAAAUAAGACGUUAUAACAACACAAACUGUUAGAGCUGUAAUGCCUAAUGUAAUGGGUUGUGAUUGUGUAAUGGGCUUAUGUAAGGAUCUGGUACGCCUAGAGGGGGGUGAAUAGGCUACCUGUAGAUUUUCAGUUCAAGAAACUAUUAAAUUCCAGAGCGGCAGUUCCGCUCUCAGCCCGGCACUGGCGCACUGCCAUGCAGAAGUCCGGCACUGCCGGACAAUAGUAAAUGCUCCAAACACGGUCAAAUUUUUACAGAAUCUGAUAGAUAUGAUUUAUUACUUCUAUGUAGAAUAUGAGAAUGAAAUGAGCAAUGCGCAGUAAGCAGACAGAAUAGGGUAGAGAAGUAUUCAAAUGUAAACCACUAAAACCCUAACUAUUCAAAUCACCAUCAGAUCAGCACACUUGGACACAACAUGUAUCCGGUGGUUUAGCUCGCCACAAAGGUUUGCCUACCUCCACGUUGUUGAGGAGAGUCACAAAGGCCAAUGGUCACACACCCUUCCUCGAUCUCAAGCCAAGAGCUCUUGCUCUUAGUAUGAGAGGGUUUUCAUUAUGAAUGAGGGAAACUUACAGCAAUCCAAGAGGGGGGAUGUCACACGCCGGCUAGGAGCAAGCUCCAAGAAUCAAUGUGUCAAGCGCCUCAGCACCUAACAACGCCGGACCGCGACUACGCAGUCCGUAGUCGCGCUCCAGACCUUCAGGGCUGAUUUGGUGACCCGGGAUCCCGGGAGGAUCGGAGGGGAUUGAAGGGGAAAUUAGUUUAUUUCCCCCUCAAUCCCCUCCAAUCCUCUCGGGAUCCCCUUGUCACCAAAUCAACUCUCACCGUGAAGGAAAUCCCCACCGGCGGCUUGAGAGUAGCGAGAGAGAGAGAGAGAGAGAGAGAGAGAGAGCAGGUUCAGGAUAACUGAUUGCUUGAUUCCUUUCCUCCAAGUUUGGUUACAAUAUAUAUGCCAAUGCCCCAACUAAUCACUCCUAGAUUUAAGGCAUGGAAAGGAAACUGAUCUCAACUAAUCACUCCUAGAUUUAAGGCAUGGAAAGGAAACUAAUCUUUUAUUUCUAAAUCUGGCCACUAACGGUGGCACCUUCCUGUGUCGCGCGAGCAGCCCGCUCUGCCGCGCGCCUGAUGUCACGACGGCGCCUAUACGUUUGCCCGUACAUGACACAAUGAGUGAAUGUCGGCCUUAAGUUGCUCCAAUGCUCAAUGAGAAACUGGGGAAAACCUAGGGUUCUUGUUGUUCUUGGGGUUUUCUCUCAGUUUUGGAGGAGAAGCCACAGAAAUUUGAGCCAAGGUGGAGCAAGUGAGGGAGAGGGAGAUUCAAAUGGGACAAAGGGGUACUUGUAACCUGUCUGUUGUAUCCCUAUGUCAGGAUACGCAACAGGUAACUGUUGGAAACCAAGGAAUUAAACAAAUCAAGAAAAUUCAGAUUCCAACGGUCAAUAAAUGUCCAUCAGUGCCGGAGUUAAGGCUGGCAGUGUCGAGGCACCGCAGUGACGCACAACCCACACUGGUUAGAUUGAUCUGAAAUUUUGGCACUAGCUAACUGGGUUUAGGUAUGAUAGGAAAGUAAUCCUUGAUUGGUGGUAGUUCUGUUUUAGGAAAUAGCUAAUAUGGUAGUAGUUCAGUCCUAUAUGGACAGAUCUGGUCGACAGGAUCAGGACUGGUAACAGUCCGGUUUAUUUCCUUGUAAUGGUUAGUUUGUUUCCAUGUAAUGGUCUAUAAAUAUAUGGCCUUAGAGGCUAAGAAAAGGCAGUCAAUAGGGCGCCACCAAAACACAUGUGUUCUGUCUCCGAGUUUCCUGUGUUCUGUCUCCGAGUUUCCUGUGUUCGCAUGUGUAUGUGAGACUGACCUGGGAGGUAGGAGUUCGCCGGCAACCUGCUGAAGGUUGUCUCUCCGGCGUGGUUCCUGACAAGUGGUAUCAGCGCCAGGGGGUGCCAAGAUGUCGUUAGGGAAGACUGUUGACACCCGUGCGACAUUACCAUAUCCUACCUGCUGCAAGCCUACAACAAAUAGAACAUGUUGUAAAAUGUAGUUUCACAUUAGCUCACAAUUAACAGGAUCAAAUCCGCUAGAACAAUUAGAACAUGCUAUACAAAAACCAAACACCGAUCAAAUAACCACAUACAUUGCAAGAUUCCUCCGAUGUUGGUGUUGUUCUUCUGUUGGCUUCACCACAAGCGACAACGAUUCAACGUCAGGCACCAGGGCGUGGGCGUCGUGCUUCGGCAAGGCAAUUCGGUCUUCGGUGUGCUGCCGCGUGUUGCCAUGUUGGGUUGUCGGUCAGCCGGCCGCACGCACGGGCAGACCGGCGAGAAGUCAGAGGCGGACUAGAGGACAGCCGGAGACGAACUAGAGCCCUGGAGGUGUGGCCACGUGGAGCAAGUAGGCGGACAGCAAGUUGGGUGUGGCGGGCUAGCGGCGGACAGCAACUUGGUGCUUGGGCGGCCAGCGACUGGUGACCUGGUGGCUGGUACUGGAGCGGCCGACAACCAACGACCUGAUGGCUGGUACUUGUGCGACCGACGACCGGCGGCCGACGAACGGCGGCUAGCCGGCUGCUACAGUUGCAAAACUCUUGGUCGUCUUGGACUCUUGGCCGGCUACAAGACUCUUGAUGUUGUGGCCCGUGAACGUGACUCUGUGGUGGUCGUGGUCUAGCCCAUUAGGAUGAGGUCGUCAAGGACUGAAGGUGAACGUGACGUGAAGCGUUGGUGUGUAGUGGAAGUUCGGGUAGUAUGUCUAUUCGGGUACUGAUACAACUGACCCAAAAUUUGCUAAAAACUUUGGGUACCGGAAGUUCGUACCCAAAAUGUUUCUCAAGUUUUUCGGGUUCGGGUUAUUUGGGUUUGGGUUUGGUUUUGGGUUCGGGCUUCUAGUAUCGGGUUUUCUGCCCACUCCUACAUGGCGGCACGGGAGACUCCUUGACAGCACAUCGCACACAGGGGUGUGGGAAGCAAGGGAGCAAGAGGGGGAACCACAGAGUGCCUCAAGGAGGUUGUCGUACUCAAAGGAGGAGGCAGCGGAAGGGGAGACGGAGAAGGGAAAGUCGGAGACGAGGACUCUGUAGGUGGAGAGGUCAAGGCACCGGUACCCCUUAUGAGCAGGAGAGUACCCAAGGAAGACGCUACGAGUGGAGCGAGAUGCAAGCUUAUGAGAGCAGUGGCAUAGAGAUUAGGAUAGCAAGCGCACCCGAACACGCGAAGGUGAUCAUAGGAGGGAGAGGUACCAAAGAGAGCAAAGUAGGGGGUGGGGUGAUGAACCGCCUUGGUGGGGAGGCGAUUGAGCAGAUAGGUAGCAGUGGCCAGUCCAGUAGCGAGCGGGAAGGGAGGCCUGGAACAACAAGGAGCGCAUGACGUUGUUUGUGGUGCGAAUCAUGCGCUCAAUCCUGCUGUUCUGAGAAGAAGUGUAGGGGCACAACAUCCUCCACUGAACGUCGUGUGAAAGGAAGAAGUCACAGGACGCGGAGUUAUCAAACUCUCGCCCAGUGUCACACUGGACAGCCCGGAUGGUGAGUCCAAACUGAGUGGAAACCCAAGCGAAGUUAGAGAGUGUGGGAAACAUAUCAGACUUCAAGCGUAACGGAAAAGUCCACAAGAAAUGAGAGUAAUCAUCCAGAAUGAGCAAGUAAUAUUUAUUGCCAGAAAUGAUGAGAACGGGGGAUGUCCAAACAUCACAAUGAACCAGAUCAAAAUUGCUCGUUGCUCUGGAAGAGGAGGGAAAAGGGAGCCUAACAUGUCGACCUAACUGAAAGGCGUGACACAAAUGCUCAAAAGAACCCCGACUACAUGAGAUGAUAGAACUGCUAGACAACUUAGACAUCACAUCAGGCCUGGGGUGGCCAAGGCGGUGGCGCCAAGUGAUAGAUGAGGUAGCAGCGGUCAAGGCAUGCAGCGUGGAGGUCGGGGAAUUGGAGGCAAGCAGGCGAAUAGUGUACAGCGGCUCGGAGCUGUCACACCGCGUGUGAAGGAUCCUGGUAGCAAGAUCCUUCACAGACAAGCCAAAGGGGUCACCGGGAAAUGGAUCUUCAACAGAAGCUGAAGGUGGAUGGCUCCUUGGAUCGGCACAAGGCUCGUUGGGUCCUGUGGGCUUCACCUAGCGUCCCAGGGUGGACUAUGACAAGACCUUCAUCCCCGUGGUGAAGCCUGGUACCAUCAAGAGUGUUCUGACUCCGGCUCUCUCACAGGCUUGGCCAGUGCAUCAGCUCGACGUCAAGAAUGUCUUCAUGGCACUCCGACAGAGACGGUGUAUUACACUCAAUUGGUCAGCUCUGUGGACCCGGCUCACCCAACAUCAGGGAUGAAAGUGGCAAUCCGAACUAUUAGAACAAAUUUAUUAUUUUAAAAUAGAUCUGUAUAAAAUUUGAUGUUGAUGUUUUAUUAUGUUAUGAAGCACAUUAUUAGAAAUAAGAAUAAAAUAUUGCAUAAAUUGUUUUAUGCAUUAUUUGCUCUCUACAACAAAAAGUGAAACAUUACCGAAUUUGUUUCUGAAUCCAUACCGAAUUUUACAUCUAUCAUUUAAGAAAAUAUAGGAUGAAUUUGUGGUUUACCUUUUAUGAAUAUCUAAAAGCUCAAUGUUAAAAACAAGAAUACAAAUUUGUAUAGUAGAUUAUAUAUCCUAUUUAUUCGCAACCAAAGAAAAAUGACCAAAAAUUGAUAACUGAAUAAAUAUCGUUCCGACCAUUUUCAUCCCUACCCGACAUGGUUUGCAAGCUCAACUGGUCCCUCUACGGCCUCAAGCAGGUGCCCCGAGCUUGGUGUAGUCGCUUUGUCGCCUUAUUGCUCUCACGAGGCUUCUUCGAGACCAAGGCAGACACCUCCCUAUUUGUCUUCUAUCGUGGCCUGGACACGACGUACAGCCUCCUCUAUGUCGAUAACAUCGUCCCCACGGCCUCCUCGCACGAACUCCUGUGGCGUAUCAUCUCCUCCCUCUAGCAGGAGUUCGCGAUGAAGGACCUGAGUGAGUUGCACCACUUCCUGGGGAUCACCAUGGAGAGCCGGUCCCAGGGCUUGUUUCUCCACCAGCACCAGUACAUCGUCGACAUCCUCGAUCGCGCUAGCAUGGCUGACUGUAAGCCUUGCACGACUCCGGUGGACACUCAGGGCAAGGCCUCCUCCAACGACGGCCCCCGGUGGCUGAUCCCACCAGCUACCAGAGUCUUGUUGGGGCACUGCAGUACCUCAUCUUCAUCCGGCCCGACAUCGCAUACGUCGUCCAACAUGUGUGCCACCAUAUGCACGCCCCGCAGGAGCCACAUCUCACUGCUAUGAAGCGGAUCCUGCGGUACCUCCAAGGCACUUCCGACUUCGGGCUCCUUCGAUGAUCUGCGACCAACGACCUCGCCAUCUACAUCGACGCCGACCGGGCCGGCUAUCCUGACACACGUCGAUCCACCUCCAGUUUCACCAUGUUCCUCGGCGACAGUCUUGUCUCGUGGUCGUUGAAGAGGCAGCCAGUCGUCUCCCGCUCCAACGCCGAGGCCGAGUACCGUGUUGUGGCUAACGGCAUAGCCAAGGCAACAUGGCUUUGUCAGCUACUUCAGGAGCUGCAAAGUCCGCUAAUGUGCAGUACUCUUGUCUACUGCGACAACGCCAGCGCCACGUACCUCUCCACCAAGCUCGUACAGCACCAACGCACGAAGCAUGUCGAGCUUGACCUCCAGUUUGUCCGCAAGUGUGUCGUCGUUGGGGAUGUGCGUGUUCUUCAUGUCAUGUCUCCACGACUUCUCAGAUCACCGACAUCUUCACCAAGGGCCUCCCUACGUCAGUGUUUUAGGAGUUUUGGUCCAAUCUCAACAUCUGUUGUGGCUAGAGUUUCGACUACGGGGUGUUAGAGUUGUAAUGCCUAAUGUGAUGGGUUCUGAUUGUGUAAUGGGCUUAGGCCCAAGUACUCCUAUUAUAAAUACAUCUCCCAACCCUGGUUAGGGUUAGGGUUUCCAACACAAAGCAGUUUACUUCCAGAAGCUUGUUUCGUGCAUGAAUAAACAAGCAGUUUCUUUCAAGAACUGAUUGAAAGUGUCAUACAGACAUACUGAUCCUCUCAGACCAGCAACUAGAGGUGAAUUACAGCAUAUAAGUAAAAAAAAUCAUGUUACCUAGAGUCUAGCUUUGACGAAUUUUUACAACUUACUGUCACUUCAGAUGUCAGCUGAUUCAAAUUAUGCUGGGUUAGGUCAGCAAAGAACCCAACUAUUAAACUAUUAGGAGAGAUUCACUAAAGGGGAGAACAUGGAAACUAUGACAUAUAAAUUUCUUUGAACUUUUUUGGAUUGCUCCUUUAAUCUAAAUGUAUAUUUGUUAAACCCAGCACAGCAAAACAAAAUGCAUUAUUCCACGCAGAUCACCAAAUAUAGAGGCCAAAGUGAACAAUUGGCAUGUGGUUUGUAUGAUUCAGAGGUAAGUCGUAGUUUAUAUCAUGGAUAAUUACACAUUUUGAGCAGGAAUCAGAGGAUUUCUUGUCCAAAAGCUUCAAAAGUCAGUGAGCGAUUCGGCAAACACCUUGUGGGCGUCAGCAGAGGGCAGCCCGGGCAUGAGAGUAACAAAGUGAAUGAAAUACCCGAACGGUAUUCUACAAGCCCUAAGACAGGACGAGCGCGCAACGAGAUCACACACACACGAAGCGAGAGGAGGCCGCACCUUGUAGCACGAGAGUGAGCAGUACCGGGCGUUGCAGCGGGGGCAAGUGUACUGCGCGAACUGCUUCUGACACCUGCAAGCAAGCGGCGCAUAGAAUAACGCAUUAGCACGAGCAGGUAGGAACCAAGAUCCGCUAGGGCCCGAUGCUUUGCGCCAGCAGGAGAGGAGAAGCCGUAUGUCAGAGCCAAGCCUUACACGCGGCAGAUGACCCUGGUCUCGGCGAAGGAGGAGUACGACGAGGAGGCGGGGGAGGACGAGGACCCAGCGGCCUCGGGUGCGGAGAGCACGACGUCCCUCUCCAUCGCCGGCACGCGCGGCGCCUGCUCUUGCGCUUCCAGUCUCUGUCCUUCUCGGCGGUGUUGGCUUUGGGAAUUUGGGGAUGGGGGGACUUCCUUUCCUCCGGCGUGCGGCGGGCGCGGAGGCUUCUCGAUGCUCGGCGAAGGCCCAUUGGUGGUCAUGGCCCAAGCAUAGGAUUUCCAAGUGUCAUGGCCCAUUGGUGGUCCUGAUCCUGAUUGGCGGUGAAGGCGGCUGGAGUUGAAGAGGAGGGUGCGGAAGAGACGAGGACUCGAGUGUUUGCGAGGGUUGCGGCCUGGGGUUUUCCUUUGCUUUGCGCCGCCUCAAUCGGUCGGAAGGGCGGAGCAGCAGCAGGAGCACAACGAGGCUGCCUCCUCGGCUUUUCUGGGAGUUCGGACCCGUGCGGCGCGACGGGCGACGGCGACUGAACAUUCCAGAAGGGGGCGCGUGGGAAAGCGACGGGCCGGCGGACGGAGGCCGGGUGGGCGGCGGGAUCGGCACAACAACUCAACAAACUUGGCCUAUUUCUUGCUGGGCUUUGUGCGGGUCGAACCGCCCUGUGACUGUGAUUCUGUAUGGUUGUGGCCCGCUCUGUCGGGCGCAUUUUUGGGUAGACGUGUGGUCUGGUGACGGCGCCGGCCUGGCCAAAAAGUGGCGUCGUGCGCUGGGCGGCGGUGGGGUCUAGCCGCCGUCUGGGCGCUCCGCUGCCGGGUCGAAGGACCUAUAAAACGGAGGGGUCGAGGAAGCUAGUGAGUGCCAUCGUUGGGCCGGCGCAAACCCUAGUCGCCACAUCACUGCCUCCUCACACCAUCUGCCUGUGGUUCCCAUGUCAUCCUCCCCCGUUUGAGGUCUUCCUGCUCCUUCAGAUCCGUCUAUGUGUGUGUUUGUCGUGCCUGAUACUGGCUCGGAAGGUAUUCCGAUCUGUUUCUUCGGUGCCGUAUAUUUCGUUGCGAUUUUGGUUCGGUUCUUUCUUGCUCUUCGUGGGUCGUUGCUGGAUAACACGGAUCGAUGAUGCUGUUCAAGAAGUACUGCGUUAUCUUCCUGAUGCAAGUGUUAGGCCCUCGUUACGAAGGCUUCCUGACGACACAAAUAUCUUGCUGAGAUCCAAGUGCGCAACUUCUCUCUUUUUUCUCUUUCUUUUCCGUAUUUCUCGCCGUGUGCUUUUUCUCCUCUGGAUUGAAUUUUGCGUACAGUUUAGUUUUCACCAAAUGCAAUCGUAACUUACGGGCAGGAUGUUUCAGCAACGAAGUAAAGGAGGAGAUUAUUCCGUCAACCGUAAGGUUCCGCUAAGAGCUUUAGAAUAUGAAAGGCAUUAGUGGUAACAAGAUUUGAUUUGGUUAGGUGUUAGUACAAAAAUGAGAUUCCAUUCCAAUGCUGUUGGGGGUACUGCUAGUGAAUAUGGCCGGGCAUCUAUCACGGUGUUGUAUGUGUACGAAAUAAUGUCUGCUUUCGAUACGGUAAGUUUUGCUUUAAGUUACAUAAUCAUCUCCAGUGUGACCUAUAAAAAUACCCUGUAAUUUUAAAAUUUGAAAAUAGUAAAUUUUGUAUAGUUUAAGACACUAAUAAAAUAUUCUUCAAAUCUAGGUUAUAGAAUAGCAGUAUAUCUAAUGCACUUGAUAGGAUGUUCUAUAAUUUUAACAAAUUUUAGAAAAUAAGAUAUUAUUAAAGUAGUUUUUCUAUCUCCAGCUCUAUAUUUCAAUUUGAGUUCAAUUUGAAAAUAAGACAUUGUUGAAAAUGCUCAAACAUUUUACAUUUACGGUAUAACAAACCACACACGGAAAGGACAUGAAUGUGUUUAACAUACUACGGUUGGCGCAACUACGGUUUCAAAAUAAUAGCAAACCACGUAGCGCAAGACGUCUGGACGGCGGGCACAUCCAGAAGCGUGGCAUUAGUAAUCAGAAACAAUGAAACUGGAAGUUGUAAGCAGCAAACCCAACCCAACGAAAUGGACUGCGUACAUGUUUAGUGAAUCCAGCGAAAAACAAUAGUUCAGCCAGUUGCCAGUUUAAAUGUCUUAGUUAUCAUCUGGCGGACACAGGUUAACUGAGAUAAUGCACGUAGGUGAGCAUCUAACAACACUGUUCCACAACUGUCAAGCGAGCUUAUUUACAUCAACAACUGCAGCAUCCUCCAGUAGCUGCCAUCAACUAUCUUUCUACCCAUCAGCGGCAUAGAAGGGAAGUGACUUGAGUGGCAUCACCUUCUCCUGCAAAGGGAAAUGGAGACUGGUGUGAGUGGAUUUAUACCUGUGUUAACAGAACAUUGCGAACAGUGUGCCUCUGAUUCCACCUCAGGGUUCUCCACAUGUUCUGAGGGGAAAUGAAGCCCAGUGGAACAGUUUUCAAGCACUUCAGGUCUCUUCAGCCAUGCUUUGUGAGCUUCGAUUGCUUUCAUCUUGAAGCGAAACAUCUGCAAGUGCCAUAUCCAACCAAUUCAGGUGCAAGGCUGCUAUAGAAGUAAUUUGCAAGAAGUUGCCUGAAUGAAAAAUCAGGGACUGACAGCAGAAGAGUGAAUAUGUGCUCCAGACCUCUGAUAAAGAAAUGCUUGGCUUCUCAAGUUCAUCUCCGUUGACGUGAAUUCCAGUACCCUGACAUUCUGGGCAAACUAUGGACGUUAUUUUGCUUCUCUUAGGUGCAUUCUUUGCCUUCCUUCCUCGGUUGCUCUUCCCCUUCCUAGCUAUUUCAUCGUUCAGCAUCUCGUAUUGGCACAGAAUAGUCCAGUGUAAAAGGCAGGAAGUGUGAAAUAGAUGGUAAGCCUGCAUAAAUCAAGUGUAGAGAAGUCAUUACAGAACAUUUGGAAUUUGGUGGAAACAUAACUGCUAUGUUUUCAGGUAAAAAAUGUACAAAAAGGUAAACAGGUCCAUGCUCUCUAAUCUAUAAGAGCAAUUAUUAUGAAACAGGAAUACAGUAGCAAAGAAUGCUCAAAGAUGCUCACCCCACUUGAAUUUCUACUGCUGCAAGCUAGUUUUCCUGUAUUGCAGUUCAGCAAGGUGGCAACAUCCUUUCCAGAGAGCAUUGGUCUGCCGCAAAGAUCACACACUUUCUCAGCUGCUAUUCGCUUCUGCUUCCUCAACUCUCUCCUUGCUGCCUUGCUUGAUAAGAGACCAACUUGAAGAUCAUUUGAGGUACCUACCGGUGAACAAGUCACAAUAGCUUGCCUACUGCCCUGUAAAGAGCUGUUCUGACCGUUUGACUCUUCUGAAGAUGCUUCUUGAUCAGAGAAUGAUUUUCUCAUUCGCUUUCCACGGUGUCCAGCAUCAUCAAUUACAAAGAAAGAUCCAGCAGAGACAGACAGGUCUUGUUCCUCAGAAGACCACUUCCUGCCUAAAUCAUAGGUAUAAGAGAAGUUGACUAUGGCAAAUCCAGAUUGCUCAUAAGUGUUACAACUCUCAAAACCAUGGGAGCCUUGUCCUACCCAAGCACACCAGAUCUUGCUUAUCUUCCUGCAGUUCUUGCUAGCUUCACAGAUCCUGUAUGAAAUAUUCCCAUAGCCCAAAAGAUGCACAGGCAAAUCUGAAACAACAUCCUUUAGCAAUACACCAGGAAUAACAACAGGACCAUCAGUUCCAUGGUUUGAAAGCAUGUGAUCUUCAGAUACAGCAGCAGUUCUACCAUUAGCACGGCCUUUUGCACCAUAGCGUGCACCUUUCACACCAUUAGAGGAGGUUGAACCAUCUCUCAGCCUUGAUGUCACCUCAGUAUCAUUCCCUGAAACCUCAGGCUCUGGAACCAGGGCAAGCUCUCUGGUGCUCUGUGAGCUUGAGUCCAGCAGGAGCGGAUCCUUCUCGCGUGAGUUGUUGAAGAAGAGCACACCAUCAUUAAACGGCCAUGGCAUGGGCCCAAACAGCGUAACCUUGGCCUCAGAAUACCGCCGUGAAUGCAGGUUUCCCUUGAGGUGGUCAAACAGCACAUUGUCGCUGAAGCACUCGGUGAGGCAGAUGGUGCAGAAGAAGAUGACACGCUUCCCGACACGCCGUAGUUCGACGUAGGUGUGCCCGCUCUGCCGCACCUCCCGAAGCGUGGCCUUUGCAGCAAUCUCACGUAUGUCAACAGGGCCAUUCCUUUGCACCACCAGCUCCUUACCCACCAUCGUGGAUCAACAGGCUACCACCAACCUCAAAUUUCUGCUGCUGUGCUCACAGAUCCCUCCAGAAACAACCUCCACGCCCUUGUCUCCUUGAAAUUCUCAGGAAAUUACCACCAAAUUUCACCCCUCUUGAGAUCUAUGCUUCCCUCCAGACCCUAGAAUUACAAACUUAACAACAUACUAAACCUAACGAAGUACAUAGGGGCGGCGGCGGACCCAGUAAAGGACUUGGGUGUAUACAUGCAGAGCUGAUAAUUCAAAAACAAUCGAGGUUAGUAGACAUAAUACAUGUAAGCACGCGUAAUUAGACCAGAUCCGAAUACAAAUAGCGUAGUUUAGGGUUUGGCUGCUCGGUUUCGCACAGAAAAUUGAAGAGGAGGGGUGGAGGGGGAAGGGGGAGGAGCGUACCUGGCAGUGCACGUCGCCGGUGAAGAGCCCGAAGAAGACAUGGCACCUGAUGGAGACUAGGCACCUGUCGCGGGAGGCCGCAGUAGCGGCGCGGUAGCCCAGGCGUCGCCUCGAGAGGAAGAGACAGAUAGAGCUCGAAGGGGGGUUGGGGGGACGGGAGAACAAAAGGAAGGGCCGCACGGAUAAAGCGGCGGUCGCCCAGCCGUCGCCCGGAGCGAGAGCGAGAGAGAGAGAGAAAGGGGCGGAGGUGAGGGAGAGAACGCGCGCGCAGGCCGCGGGGAACGGGAGAAGAAAGGCAGGGCUGCACAGAUAAACGCGAGAACGAAGAAGAAUAUUCGGACCAGACGUUCGAUGAAGGGAGGGUUGUCGCCGGCGAGCAAAAAAAUUGAUCAAACUUAUUAGAAAAAAACUAACUGUGUUUAUAUUUAUUAGAUUCACUGAAAUAUAUUUUUAUAGUAUUUGGCACUCUUUUUCAUAAAUUUGAUCAGAUUUUUGAAUAUUUUGAUUUUCGACAAAACUAUUAUUGUAAUCGUUUGUUGGAUAGUCCCAUAUCGUGUUUAUCAAGAGGUGUCCAAUCAGAAUAACUUACGGUGCGUUUGGUGACGAAGAGUGGAGAAAAAUAGAACUCUAUUUUUAUUUUCUAAAUGUUUGGUUUAUAAUAAAAUAGAGUCGAGCGGCUUCUAAGUUUCUAUUUCUAUUAUAUACUUAAGACUAGUAAAUGACUUAAGACUAGUAAAUGACGCGCGCUCUGCGCGUGAUAUUAAAACUGUCUUUAUAACUUUUUGCAUGUUUGUAGUAGUGGACAGAAAAUAAGAUCAUACGAAAAUGUGAUAGCAGUGUUUGAUCAUAAGAUAUGAGUUAGUAACAUGUUAACUAACAUCAUAGACAUAAUAUUAAUGUUCUGCCCCUAGAUAAAUGAGCAACCAAAAGUGGAGGAAUUUUAGAGGAUUAAAAUCCAAUAAAAAAAUUUCCUACGUGGUACAUUGAAACAAAGGAUUGAGCUCCUCCAAAUUCUAUAAAAUUCUUAUGGGAUGGCAUAUUAUAGUGAGAUUUUAAAAGAUUUCUAACAUAAGAUCCAAUCUCUUGAAAAACUUCCCUUUGUAUAUAUCCCUCCCCUCUAAUUCCUAUGUUCUUACUGUGUUGCAUAUAAACAUUGUAUUAGAAGCUUUCCUGCACUUUUAAAUCAUGUAAGAUUGCAAGUAUCAUGCAACUGCAUUUCUACAAAAAAAAAAUUUAUUCAUGCAUUUUGUCAAUCUUGCGUUCCAAAGGGUGCAUUUCUAGGAUUUUUAGGAGUCUAGACCAAAAUUCAAUAUUGGAGAUCUAAAAUUAAAGAAUUUCAACUUAUUUAUUUCUAAUAUGACUAAACAAUAAUUUAAGAUUUAUGUGCGUUUUUCGUUCCUUUCUGGUGGGUUAGAUCUGGUUUGUGCAGUCAAGAGGACGCAGUCGAAGCAACAUGAAAUUGAGGGCUUGAGGCAUCGGACAUGAAUUAAAUUGUGAGGGGAUGCUAAUCAUUCCAACAUCUAAUCAUAUCCGAAUCUAGUAGAAUAAUAGCAACAAACCGAGAAAGAAAUAAAAUAAAUAAAUCAAACAGAAACGCAAAGGUAAGGAUGAGAGCGGAUGUACUAAUUCAGUGUACUAAUUUGCUCUGAAAAAGAAAUAGCACGUGAGAACUAACAAAAUUGGGACAAUAAACAGAAGCACAAUUCAGUGUGUAAGAGCCUACACGAUUGACAAUCUGUAUCUUUACCGAUAGCCUAGAUUUAUUACUCUCAGAGAUGAGAGACUGUGUUCCAGAGAACGCACAUUUGGUAUAUCUAAUUGAAACCCACUGGCAGCCCAAAUAUUGGAAUCAAUGACAUAGUGUGGUUUGAUAAGUCACCUGAUCACAUUCACAGCAAAGUGCAAACGGGGAAGGAAGCAUGGAUGUGAUUUGGGGAAACUAAUAGCUAGACACGUAUUAUAAUAUCAAACUAAAGAACUGGGAUUCUUAUCCUCUCGCACAGAUCAGAAGCCCUAUCCGUAACGAAAAAGAUCAUUCUGGCCGAAAAAUACCGAGGAUCUGUUUGCGCCAACAAAUGGAAGAUCCAAGAGAACAAAAAAAAAGAGGAGACAGGAUGACCGCGCCUUUAAGAAAUUAGAUUAAACAGAACAAUCAAGUCACAUGGCUAACGCCUACGUAGCGUUUGAACUUCGGACAUGUUUUGGAGCUCGGAGAUGAUUGAUUAAUCACCUCUUCCUACAGUCAGAUGCGACGUUGGGGCUCCGGCAGAUGGAGGCGGACGAUGGCGUUCGAGCAAGGCGCACGAUGAAGCUCCAGGUGGGCGCCCGCGACAUGUAGAAGGUGAGCAAGACGCCAUCGUUGAUGCUGUGGAAGCUGCCCCCACCAACUACCUCCGCCCGGGACUCCUCGCUAUCGACGUUAGCUGCUGCUGGCUGUGCGGCGCUCCGGUCCUUUCCCUCUGUCUUGGGUGCGGGGCGUAGCUUCGGCUCCGCCGCCCCCGCCCGCGGCCUUCUCGACGAGGUUGGUGAGCGAGAGCUCGUACUCGAAUUCGGUGAGGACGUGCAACAUCUCCUUAGCAUCCCCUCCCGCUGUUGCGCGAUAUCCUGCGCCCUCUUCGAUGACCCCUCGUCCAUCGGCGGCGAGCUCUGCUGCUGCAAUGGAGAGGAGUAGAGGAUAGGCGGGGGUGCAGGGCAGAUGAGUUUUGCGCUUUCCACGUGAGCUUUCUCGAUGGCUCUGGAGCCCCAUGUCUGGAAUAGAUAAAAUUCCUAUAAAUAUAAAAAGGUGCUGACGUGGAGAUAUCGAGAUGACAGUUUGGCAGCUGUUGGAUUGCGAUCGGACGUCUAAAAAUAAAAGUACCAACGUGGAUACCCUCAGCGCACGUCUAGCUGCAUGGCUUUAAUAUAAAGGAAUGUCUUUGUUUCAUCAAUAUGAUCGGACACGAGCGUUUUGUUCGCUCUCUUGUCCUCUAUAUUUAUAUGGCUUUCUAACUAAACAAAGAACGAAAUGACUUCGUUCUAUUGUAUCUUUAAACUAAACAAAAAAUUAGAAUGACUUCGUUUUACCUAACAAAUACGGAGGAGAAUGGUUUUAUUCUCGUAAUCUCCCGACCAAACUACAAAAACCCAAACAGGACACGCACCUUCCGUGAACUUCUCGUGUCGCAGAUUCGUGAAGCAGUAGUAAACCACAUCCACAUGACUGACGCGGGGGUUGCAUGAUUCUAUCAGGCAGAUAAAAAAGGCAGCAUCACACUUCACACGCCUUGUUUUCUCGAAGGGAAUGGCUAGAAUAUGACGGACACAUUCAUCUCUUUUCCCUGCCAGCCGUUCGUUUUUUUAUUGGCCAGGUCGAGUUUUUAGAUGCAAUUUUGCCGAUGUCGACAGGUUUUAGCUCCACGAAGCGAGAAUCGUUUCCGUGCCUACACAUUCUAUUCUGGCACCGGUUCCCGAAUUGACACUUCGCAUCUUUGCCUGCACACCAAACAACACCGACGUGACACGCAACCACACAGAAGGAGACACUAUUGUAGCGUGAUGUAUUUCCUAAUUUAUUAUAUUUCGUGAAUAGCAGUUCGGUUUGUUUUCUAAAAAAAGAAGUAAGUUUCUGUGUGGCUGUCAACGUGAGGCCACAUAGAAUAGACUAGACCCAUGAGGCCACGAGCAUCUCUAGAGCAUAAUCCUUUUUUAGGCCACAAAGAUGCCAAGGGAUAUCUUACGUUCUUUACAGAGACAUGUACACUAUUUUCUUUCAGAGGUAACCAAACAAAAUCCUCCGAGGGCAAUAGAAAAACGAAGCUAUCAACAACCAGCAGAUGAAUUCAUGAUCUGUCGGUGCCAUCACCCAUCAGCCAAAAGAAAUCGGCACACCUACCUCAAGUUUCAUGGUGCGCAAGAACAGCAAUGACGGAUCUAGAAAACUUCGAGAGGCUAGACAAAAUAAGUACAUAUACUAUAAAUAAACAGCUUUAUCUAUAUGUUACAUAUAUUUAACUAUAUUUUAAUGCUUCGUGCACGUUUACAAAUUCAUUGGCACUAAUGUAAGAGCCUGAGUAAGACCCUAGCCUUGUCUGCACCUGGGUCCGCCCUGCGCUGAGCCAUUGAUACCCUGUUCCAUUUCAUAUUGCGUUGGUCUCCAACGACGAGGAUAUCAAGGAUAUUUUUUUCUAAAUAAUACUACAAAAACAACAAGAAAGUUAUUUAUCCAAAAUAAGUUGGUGUCGGAAAUGACCUCCGGACUAUGGGAUCCGACGGUCAGUGAGCAUGCUGAGAAAAAAUUCCCUGAUCGCCGGUGGCUGUUAGUUAGUUGGAAGAGACAGGUACGUCGGCCCCGAAAGGACCUGACCCCGGUCGAACCAUGUGGCACCGAGCCCAGGGUCAAGUGUGGCGGAGCCUGACAAGAAAGGAUGGGCGUGUCAGAAGGGAACCACUCAAAUGGAUCAUGCGUUCGGCCUUGGACUGAUUCGUCAUAAAUGACCGGUUGCAUUAACCACGCCUCACACCGAGCCACAGCGUGGGCGCCGGUCCGUUUCCUACCCAUCACCUAUGGACCCCUCGGGCAACAUUGCGCUCAUGACCUACGAGCCCCCGGACUGCGACGCAUUAAUGGCAUGUCGUCCCUCGGCCUGCGGCACACUUAUGUCCUAUUGAACUAGGCCUGUGUGUGCAGACCUCUCGUAUGGCACUAAACAACGGGCUACGGCGAGCCCAAGCGAAGCCUGGGGUUGGCGUAGCCGGAAUGAUGGCACCUGGGACCAUCAUCGCCCCCACGUCAUCCACCACGAUAAAUACACGACAGCUAGGCAACCCCGGGUCCACAAGUACGCAUGGCCUCACUCUUAGUAAAACAUUGGUUUUACCCUUUCCUUAUGGGCAUGGCCUCACUCUUAGUAAAACAUUGGUUUUACCCUUUCGUUAUGGCUCCUUCCUGGGGAAGCCAUCGCUAGCUGAUCCCUACUCCGGCCUAUAAAAAGGAGAUCUCGACCUCCGAGAAAGUGAGGGGAAAACAAGGACAGGUCGAAUAGAGAGCUCUUGGAGACAACCUGACGGCUUUAGACAGAGACGAACCCACAAGGACGAAUGAGCCGAGGAGCACCGACGAGGACCAGGAGGCCGAAGCCCCGCCAAGCCAAGACUUAGCUAGGACUCCACCUUGCAACUUCUAAGCUCCGCUUCCACCACAAUAAGAUAUCUGGGAGCCUCUCCUCCCUCUCUCGACUGCUUGUAACCCCUACUACAAGUUUAAUCAUCAAUGGUGCCGGUAGCGCAAGCCAUCGAUGACUGGAAGUAGGGACAUUCUGUCUGAGCCAGUAUAAAUCUUGCGCCCUCCACACACACCCUCCGGAGCCCGAAACCAUUGAUCUAAGCUCCGGAGCAUGGUACGAAAUACCGACAGUUGAUGUGCUAGGUAGCGGACUUGUGCAUUCCGCGAUGAGAUCAUCCGAGCUCCGGAUGGCUACCAACGACAGUACCGCGAUCUAGACUCCCGGGACAACCAUUCGCUUUGGGGGUCUGGAUUUCAUCGUCAACAAAGGAGAGAUGACGAGGGCCUCGCAAGCCCUGUCUCCCUUGGCAAACGACUUGCCCAAUGUAGCCAUAAGUCUCGGCGACCUCCGACUGGACCCACCUCAGGUGUACCAUGGGUCGCAGGGCUCGCCACCAGUCGAUUGUACCGAGGUUGUGGGAGUAUUGGACCGUGUCUGGGACUCAUUCAUGAAUAUCCUCUUGUAAGGGUCGAAAGACGGACUCACGUCCAUGCCUAUCUAGGCAAGUUGCGACCCUAGUCAGGAAUGCUUUGCAGCAAAUACCACGGGAGAUCACUUACCCGUGUGGGGAGCCUAGGCAAGAACUCGCCCAUCAUCAUGGAGUGCACUAUGGUGUCUGCCCUGCCUUAGCUCAACCCUCCUCCCCAGGAGGUGUCGUUGGGCCCGAGCCUCUCACGGAGCGAGCAGCACCCUGCGGCGAAAAGACAAGGAAGCUUACAAGGGUACGGGGCGAACACGCUAAGCAGUGGGGCGACAACACGCCAUGACGACAAAAGCCCGCCGUUGCCUGGUUUAUGGCAAGGGCGCAACGUCGUGUUUUCCCUGGACAAGCCAUAACAUCGUUGCUGUUGCGACGCUUCUAGACAAGCUCCCUAAGGCGAAAACACCAAGUGAAUGGAAGACCCACCAAUAGAUCGAAGACCUCCUCGGACUUGCUGUGCAGCAACAAGCCGAAAGUUCCAUGUCUCGACGUUGCGAGCCGGAGACCAACCGCUAUGCCGCGUUGAAAGGGAAAUUGGGUUAACCGUUUCCCACAAAUAAUUUCGGUGGUUGAAUGCCCAACACAAAUAAAUGGACUAACUAGUUUGCUCUAGAAUACAUGUUCUACAGGUGCACAAAGGUUCAACACAAACCAAUAAAUGUUCAAGUUAGGGAUCCAAUUCAAAGGAGCAAAAGAAGCCAAGUGUGUUGUGGCCUGGCACACCGGACUGUCCGGUGUGCCACCGGACAGUGUCCGGUGCACCAGGACCGUACUGAGUCCAACCAGCCACUCUCGGGUUUCCACAGGCGCACUCUGCUAUAAUUCACCGGACUGUCCGGUGUACCGCCGGACUGUCCGGUGCACCAGCGGAGCAAUGGCUAACUCGCGCAAUGGUCGACUGUAAAGGAGCUGACAGAGGAACAGUGCGCGCAGAGUCAAAGCCGUAGAGUCAGAGGCGCACCGGACAGUGAACAGGACCUGUCCGGUGUGGCACCAGACUGUCCGGUGCCACAAGAUGACAACGGCGCCAACAAUCGACUGCUCUCGAAUCCUAACGGUUGGGUGAUGUGGCGGCGCACUGGACAGUGAACAGGACCUGUCUGGUGGCACACCGGACUGUCCGGUGCCACAAGAAGACAACGGCGCCAACAGUCGACUGCUCCUAAACCCUAACGGUUGGGUGACGUGGCGGCGCACCGAACAGUGAACAGGACCUGUCUGGUGCCGCACCAGACUGUCCGGUGCGCCCAUCGCCAGCAGACUUCCCCAACAACUACUUGGUGGUUGAGGGCUAUAAAUAUCCCCCAACCACCACAACUCCAAGCAUCCAAGUUUUCUAAAGAUUUCAUUCAAUACAAGAGCUAGUGCAUUCACUACUAGACACAAAUCAAAAGAUCAAAGCCUCUCCAAGUCCCAAAUUCAUUCCAACCACCUAGCGACUUGAGAGAGUGUGUGUUCGUGUUCAUUUGCGCUCUUGUUGCUUGGAUCGCUUUAUUCCUUCCUCAUUCUUGUUCCAAAGUGACUUGUAAUCAAAUCAAGAGACACCUAAGUGUGUGGUGGUCCUUGCGGGGUCUAAGUGACCCGUUUGAUUAAGGAGAAAGCGCACUCGGUCUAAGUGACCGUUUGAGAGAGGGAAAGGGUUGAAAGAGACCCGGUCUUUGUGACCACCUAAAUGGGGACUAGGUUCUUUAGAACCGAACCUCGGUAAAAUAAAUCACCGUGUUCAUUCGCUUGUUUUCCAUUUGAUUUGUUUUCCCCCUCUCUUCCGGACUUUAUUUAAGUUCUAACGUUAACCUCGGCUUGUAGUGUGUAUUUAAAGUUGUAAAUUUCAGAUUACGCCUAUUCACCCCCCCUCUAGGCGACUUUCACGCGUCUACGUCGAUGACAAAUGAUGCCACAUCAUGGCAACCUCUGGAGCUCGAAGGAAGCGUGGCACAAGUCCCACCUCGUUGGCCCCAAAAGCUAGGUCGAUGUGCCUGGCCAUGGGACUGGGGAGGAGGGACGUGAAAGGUCAGGGUGACUCCUGAAAGGGAAAUAGGGUUAACUGUUUCCCACAAUUAAUUUUGGUGGUUGAAUGCCCAACACAAAUAAAUGGACUAACUAGUUUGCUCUAGAAUUGUCGACGUUUCGACCCCGGGGGUCCCUAGACCAACGAGUAAAUUGUCGCUGCGUGCCCCAACCCAGAUGGGUUGGCGCGAGACGGAACACAAAGAGGGGAAAACCGCGGCUUCGUGUUGUCCUGCGCCAGAGUGGAUGCGCUUGCAGUAGGGGGUUACAAGCGUUCGCGAGGGAGAGAGAGAGAGUCCCGCGCGACCACCCUCUCAUAUGAGGGCCCUGGACCUUCCUUUUUUAGAUGUAAGGAGAGGGUCCAGGUGUACAAUGGGGGUGUAGCAAUAUGCUAACGUGUCCGACAGAGAGGAGCCAGAGCCCUAUGUACAUGCCAACGUGGCUGUCGGAGAGGUGCUAGAGCCCUGUGCAUGCGAUGUCGUGGCCGUCGGAGGAGCGCUUGAGCCCUGUAGAAGCACAGCUGUCGGGGCUGUCGGGACCUUGCUGACGUCUCCUUGCUUUCGUAAGGGGCUGAGAGCUGCCGUCGUCAUGGGUGGACGUGGGGUGCCACCAUUACUUGUUCACCGGGGCGAGCCAGAUGGGACGCUGGUCUUGUUCCCCGUAGCCUGAGCUAGCUAGGGGUAGAGUAAUGAUGAUCCCCCCUGUGGCGUGGUCGGUCCGAGCCCAAGGUCGGGCGAGGCGGAAACUCCUUCGAGGCCGAGGUCGAGGCCGAGCCCUAGGGUCGGGCGAGGCGGAGUCCAUCUUCUGAGGCCGAGGCCGAGCCCUGGGGUCGGGCGAGGCGGAGACUUCUCCCGAGGCCGAGGCCCAAGGUCGGGCGAGGCGGAGCUUCCUGUGGCGCCUGGGGCUGGACUUGACUGUUGUCAGCCUCACCCUGGCGGGUGGCACAGCAGUCGGAGCAGGGCAGGCGGCGCUGUUUUCUUGUCCGGUCAGUCAGUGGAGGGGCGAAGUGACUGCGGUCACUUUGGCCCUGUCGACUGAGGAACGCACGUCAGGAUAAGGUGUCAGGCGAUCCUUGUAUUGAAUGCUUCUGCGAUACGGUCGGUUGGCGAGGCGAUCUGGCCAAGGUUGCUUCACUGCGAAGCCUGCCCGAGCUGGGCCUCGGGCGAGUCGAGGGUGCGCAUGUUGCUUGAGGAGGCCCUCGGGCGAGGCGUGAAUCCGCCUGGGUCUACUGUUCCUGCCCAAGGCUGGGCUCGAGUGAGGCGAGAUCGCGUCCCUUGAGUGGACGGAGCCUCGACCUGAAUUGCGCCCAUCAGGCUCUACAGCUUGUGCUGAUGGUGAUUACCAGCUGAGUUUAAGAGUAUUGGGGGUACCCCUAAUUAUGGUCCCCGACAGUAGCCCCCGAGACUCAAAGGGAGUGUUGGUACUCGCUUGGAGGCUUUGUCCCACUUUUUUGCAAGGGGACCGGCCUUUCUCGGUUACAUUUUGUUCCGGUGGGUGCGCGCGAGCGCACCCGCCGGGUGUAGCCCCUGAGGCCUCGGAGGAGUGGUUUGACUCCUCUGAUGUCUUAAUGCCAUUCGUGAUGCCUCGGCCGGUCUGGUUGUUCCCUCAUGCGAUCUGAUCGUAGCCCGGGUGCAUGGUCAGGUUCCAAGUUCUCGGGCUGGUUUGUUGACGCUGUCAACGGUUUGGCUGGAGCCGGGUUUGCGAGAGCAGCCCCCGAGCCUCUGCACAGAGCGAGAGGACGAUCAAGGACUGACUCGGCUUUUAUCAUAUGCCCCUUCGUCGUCUUUCCGCAAGGAGGAGGGGGGAAGCGCCAUGUUGCCAUCGGAGGGCACCGAACAUGGUGUUUCCAGUGAGUUGCUAAUGGGUGAUCCGAGUGGACGCCCGUGCCCCGUUCGAUAAGGGUCGGCUAGUGGCCCAGAGGCGCGCUCCAAAAGUACCUGCAGGUGAUUUGCCGGACCCGGUCCCGUUUGAUAGGGUCCGAGGGCUCGAUGCCUCCCUCUGAUGGGAUUCCGUUACAGAAUCGCUCCCGCUGGUCUCGGAAAUGUCCUAGGGUACCUCGGGAGCGUAGCCCGAGCCUCGGCCAUGUAUCGGACGUACCCAGAGUCAUCCCUCGCUCUGCGCGUUCUAGGGCGGCUGUCGAACCCUUCGGGGGGGGCAGCCUUCGAACCCCUGAUCAGUAGUGGGCGCGGAGCCCGAGUGCUCUGAGGCGGCUGUCGAACCCUUCUGAGGGGCCAGCCUUCGAACCUCUGAUCAGUAAUGAGCCUGAAGCCCGAGUGCUCUGGGGCGGCUGUCGAACCCUUCCGAGGGGCCAGCCUUCGAACCCCUGAUCAGUAGGAGGGCUUGGGGCCCGCUUCCUUCGCGGAGAAGGAUCCCUUUCGAAAUAUCCCCUUUCCGGUCCCUGUAGCAAGAGAGAGAAAGGGGAAGAGGAAAAGGAUACGAAAUUAAACGAUGUGGCGCACCUUUUUUGACGUGGUCAUCAUGGCGGAGGUGAAACGUCGCCCGCUUCGCCUGCCAAAGGUGUCGCCUGCCCUGCCGCGAAGUUAAUGCGACGGGACGGGUGGUUCGCGGGGCAGCCGUUGUGCGUGUGCGAGUCGUUCGAGGAACGGGUGUUUCGCCUUCGAGUUUGAAUUUCGCGGUGGGUUCGAGCGAAGUGUUGAACGGGUCUUGCCCGGGCUUUUAUAUACCCAGAAGAGGGACCGGUGGUGGUUCUUUACUCUGUUGCUCGCCUCCUGCUUUGGUUUCCGCGACCCAAGGGAAUAGCCAGAGAAAGAAAACCACGCACCUUGUCCGCUCCGCCGUCGCCCCCUUCGUUUGGCGAUGGCCGACCGGGUAACCGUCGUUCCACCGUGCGACCCGUGGCCUUUCUCCACCGUCACAGUGGACGAUCUGGAGGCCCUUGUCGCUGAUGGUUUGCUCCGUCUCCUCUCCGGUGACCCGCAGCCGGAGUGGAUGGUCCCUCUGAGCGGGGCCGACCCGACCCCACCGCCGGGGUACGUGCUGAGUUUCGUCUCCUUCCAUGAGCGGGGGUUCGGAGUGCCAGCAAGUCGUUUCAUGCGGGCGCUCCUGCAUUACUACGGGGUGGAGCUGCACAAUCUCAACCCCAACUCCAUUGCGCAAGCGGCCAUCUUCGUGGCGGUUUGCGAGGGUUUUUUGGGGAUUGACCCCCACUGGGAUCUGUGGACCCAUCUCUUCACCGUGGAGCCUUUUGCCUUGACGACGGGGGAAAAGAAGGUCCGCAUGGCGGUGCGGGCCGGUGGCUGCAUCCUCCAGUUGAGGCAGGCGCGCGUGCAACAGUACAUCCCCGCCAUCCUUGUGUCUUCGAACAAGGGGUGGCAGCGCCGGUGGUUUUACCUCCGGAAUGACGACGGGAGGCUCCCGUCGUUUUCUCAACGAGUGGUGACUGCCGCCGGCAGCAACUGGCGCUAUGGGGCCACGCGCGAGAAACAGGAGAAACUCCAGCCCCUUCUGGAGGCCUUGCAGGAGCUACGAGACGGGGGGGGCUUACCGUCGUGGGGGUGGUUCCGCCAUCCAUCGUCUGAGGGUGCUUCCCUUGGCAGAGCGGCAGUUGCCGCUUUCGAAGAUGACGUUGGGGGUCGACUUGGAGGGUUCACAGGUGUCCUCGGUCCCCCUCUCCGCUGAUGACCUCCGCAGGCGGGUAGCGGGCACGGUAGGGAGGCUGGACGCCGGCGCCCUUACCCAGCCCUUGAUGCGUCCCGAGCGUGGGUGCGUGUCUCUGGUGAGUGUCUGCUCCUUCUCCUUUCUUGUGUCAGGUUGCCCUUGAUUCUCACGGUCGGGAUUUCCGUUCGUUUCCAGGAGUUGGGGUGUUACAAGCCUUCCCUGCCACCAGUCUUGGAGGACACGGUGGACCGAGCCGCGCGGAGGGUCGCCGCGGAGAAGAAGAAGGAGAAGAAGGACGUGAAAAAGGCUCGGGCUCGCGAGCGGAUGCGGGCUCGGGACGCCUUGGAGAGGCACCGUUGGAGGCAGGAGAGGAACGGGCUCCCGAGGGAGCCGUCGCCGGAGACGCCUGACAACGACGAUGACGACGAUGAUGACGAGGACGGCGACAUGGCGGCCCGCCUUGGCCUCAGCCCGGAUCUGAGGCUAGGCCAGGGGUCGUCGAGCCAGCCCCUGAGCGGGCUGGUGCCGUCGGUAUCUGAGGCCGGGACAUCGGGGUCCCAGUCCGAAGAGCAGGGCAGGCUGAGGGGGUACUUGACCCCUUGGCCGAGGUAGUUGAGGUGACCCCGGGGGGUCAGGCCGACCCGCCUAUCCCCCAAGAGCAGCUGCUCGUGCCGGCCGUAAAGGAGGUUGAUCCUCAGGCCGUCGUGACGUCGCAUGGGCAGGCUGUCCCUUCGACGCCCCGGGCGCCCGAAGUGGGAACGGCGCUGAAGCCGGAAGCGGGGCGAACCUCGGCGGCGCCUGCGGGGACCGAGGCCCGAGGGGCCUCCCCGCAGGCACGAUUGGCCUUGGUCCGGAGCGGGUAAGUAUCUGAGGAUACCUAUGUCCUGGCUCUUUCUUCGUGUGUCCUGAUCCUGCUUUACUUUUUCCUCCCAGCAAAUGGAGGCACGGUUCGGCCGAUCUGGCUCCCAGGAAGGCCCUUAAGACGGUGCCGGCUUCUACAGCCAGUGCCGCACUAUGCCAUGCCGGUUGGCUGGCCUCCGCACAAGAUGCCCCCAAGCGGGGGGCCCAGGCGGCGCGAGUUGCCAUGGGGCGAGCUCCCCAGGCUGACCCCUCCGUCGAGGCAGCCGUCGUGUCGGGGGAGACUGCUGGCGCGGCUGCGGCCUUGAGCCCACCUGACGUACUGCCGGCGCCGGCACCAGCUUCUGUCGAGGCUGUUGCCGUUCUGCCCGUGGAGCCACCCGUCACUGCUGAUGCUGAGAUGGCUGAGGUGCCGCUGCUCGAGGUCGGUGAUUGGAAGCCCACCUCCUUAGCCGAGGGGGUACCCGAUGCGUCGACUGCAGGGGGUCCCGACGCCUUGGAGGAGGGGACACAGAACCGCUUCUCGUCUUGGGGAGCGGCGACCUCAUCCUCGCGCGACGCGAUCCCAAUGAGCGGCGUGGACAGGCGCUCCGGUUCUGGACCCGUGGCGCCUCGAAACCCCUCUUCGUCCUUGACGAUGAGCGGGAGGAGCAGUCUCGGGAUGAGCUCCGUGAGUACGCCGAGGCAGCGAUGGGGUCGCUUCGAUCGACCAUGGAGAUCCUUUCUAGGGACGUUCUCAGGAUCCUCCAGGUAAGGAUUUCAGGCAUACCUUUCGCGUGACCAGGGCAUUCUUUGUGACGCCCUGCUUCCCUUCCUCAGGAUCUAACGGAUCUGAGCGCCGCCAAGUCGUCGUUCAUCCGCCGCGAGACCGACGUCUGGGGUUCGCUGUGGUUCCUGAGGGCCACGCUUACCGAGGCUACCGAACGCCUUGCCCAAUGGAGCACCGAGGCGGCGGACCUUCGGUUGCUCUGUGAUGGGCUGGGGGUGGAGGCAGCGACGGCACGCGUAGAGGCGCAGCGGCGGCAGCUGGAGCUUGGCCAGGUCAUCGGCAAGCGGGACCAAUCUCGGAACCAGGCUGCCGAGGCUAAAAGCUGGGCUGAGGCCCUUGGGGGCCAGCUAGCUGAGGUGUCUGGUCGGGCCGGAGCCCUUGCGGAGGACCUGGCCGUGGCCGUCGGGUCUGCCCAGUCUACCCAAGCCGCAGCUUUGGAGCAGCGUGCCCGGGCUGAAGGUAUGUUUUGGCCGCUUUGUGACUUCGAUUCAGCUUCAUUCUUCAACUCGUGUCUGAAGAAUUCUAUUUGGCCGUUUGCAGAGUUCGAGUCAGCCUUCAACGAGUCCGUCAAGGCACUUGCCCAGGCAGUUGAGCAGAAGGAGGCCGACCGCGUGGCCAUGUCUGAAGCUAUCUCGACCUUUUGCCAGGUCUCUGGUCUUGACGAUGUCCCCUCGGAAAGCUCCCCCAGAGUCGCCUGCAGGCCUUGGGCGGCCAUGUGCGCAACAGACUCCGCGAGGCGCUGCAUCACGGCGUUAGGCGGGCCUUCGCCGUGCUCGCUUCCCACUACGACGUGGACCUGGAGCGGGUCAGCGAGGGUACUGUCUACCCGACGAAGAUGAAGCUACCUUAGCCGAGGUUCAGAGGCUCGACGCGGCCGUUGCGGGCCCAAGUGCGAUGCUAGCGUCCUCCUUCGAGGUGGAGAUCCUUCCGCAUGCGUUGCCGUCCAGGGCCGGGGCGGACCUCGCCGAGGGUGGAGACGACGCUGAGGAUGGAGACGAAGCCGAGGGUGCCGCUCCUCCCCCGGGCGAUGCCUGAUUCUGCCGGAGCAGUUUGUUUGGAGCAUGCAUGUGUCUUUCGCGGCCGCCGAGGCCUGAACACUUUGUCGUCGUGCUAUAAAGCUGUGUUUCUCUUCCUCUUGUUUCGAGUAUCCGGACUUGUUCAUUAGUAGCAGAAUCGCUUAUCCGAGUAAGAGUUGUUUUUCGCGGAAGGUGAUGAGUGAGGUAUCCGUAUCCCGGAGGCGUAGGAGUCCCUCGGCUCGGUCGGCCUUGCUGCUUACAUGCGCUCUUAUUCGUUUUGCGGGGUUCUGUUACUGAUAUAGUCGGGAAACACGAAAGUCGUUUGGUAGAAAAACUUUUCCGAGGAAAAUUUUUGACGCAGAGGGGGUUCCCCCCUUCUAGCCCCCGAGGGAGGGUCGGGCUUUGCCGAGGCAAGGCUGACCCUUCCUUGACGGUUAGACUUUAUUUGUGUAUGUAAAGAGAACGAGGUAUAUGAACAACUUGAAAACAUCUUAAGGGUAAAAGCGACGUAGCUGUCGGAUGUUCCAAGCGUUGUUGUAGACCUCGCCUUGACUGUUGGCCAGCUUGUAUGUUCCGGGCUUCAAAAUCUUGGCGAUGAUGAACGACCCUUCCCAGGGAGGAGUGAGCUUGUGGUGCCCUCGGGUGUCUUGUCAUAGCCGAAGUACCAAGUCCCCCACCUGGUGGUCUCGGGACCGAACCCCUCGGGCGUGGUAGCGUCGCAGAGACCGCUGAUACCGUGCCGAGUGUAGUAAGGCCAUGUUCCGAGCCUCUUCCAGCUGGUGCAGUGAGUCUUCUCGGCUGGUCUGGUUGCUUCGGUCGUCGUACGCCUUCGUCCUCGGGGAACCGUAUUCUAAGUCUGUGGGCAAGAUAGCCUCGGCCCCAUAGACUAGAAAGAACGGUGAGAAGCCCGUGGCUCGGCUUGGCGUCGUCCUCAGACUCCAGACCACCGAGGGUAGUUCCUUCAUCCAUCGCUUGCCAAACUUGUUGAGGUCGUUGUAGAUCCUCGGCUUUAGUCCUUGCAGGAGCAUACCAUUGGCACGCUCUACCUGCUCAUUCGUCAUGGGGUGAGUUACGGCGGCCCAGUCCACACGAAUGUGGUGGUCCUCACAGAAGUCCAGGAACUUCCUGCCAGUGAACUGGGUGCCGUUGUCGGUGAUGAUGGAGUUCGGGACCCCAAAGCGAUGGAUGAUGUUGGUGAAGAACGCCACCGCCUGCUCGGACCUGAUGCUGUUUAGGGGUCGGACCUCGAUCCACUUGGAGAAUUUGUCGAUAGCGACUAGAAGGUGCGUGAAGCCCCCGGGUGCCUUCUGCAAGGGACCGACGAGGUCCAGACCCCACACAGCAAACGACCAGGUGAUGGGUAUUGUUUGCAGGGCCUGAGCGGGCAGGUGUGUCUACCUUGCGUAGAAUUGACACCCUUGGCAGGUGCGUACAAUCCUAGUGGCGUCAGCCACCGCGGUUGGCCAGUAGAAACCUUGUCGGAAGGCGUUUCCAACGAGGGCUCGAGGUGCUGCGUGGUGACCGCAAGCCCUCGAGUGUAUUUCUUGCAAUAGCUCCUGACCUUCGGCGAUGGAUAUGCAUCGUUGGAGGAUGCCUAAGGGGCUGCGGUGGUAGAGCUCCUUCUCGUCACCCAGUAAGACGAACGACUUGGCGCGCCGCGCCAGUCGCCGAGCUUCGGCUCUGUCGAGGGGUAGCUCUCCUCGAUGGAGAUAUUGCAGGUACGGGGUCUGCCAGUUUCGAUUAGGUGUGACCCCAUUUCGCUCUUCCUUGACGCGCAGUGCCUCACCCUCGGCGGCCGAGGGUGCCUCGGGCUGGGCCGAGGCCUCCUUAGGCUCGGGCGCGUCGUCGGUCUUGACGGAGGGUUGAUGUAGGUCUCGGGAGAAGACGUCCGGGGGAACCGUUGUCCGCCCUGAGGCUAUUUUAGCCAGCUCAUCCGCAGUCUCGUUGUACCGUUGAGCGACGUGGCUGAGCUCUAGCCCGUAGAACUUGUCUUCCAGGCGCCGAACCUCGUCACAGUAGGCCUCCAUCUUCGGGUCGCUGCAGUGGGAGUUCUUCAUGACUUUGUCGAUGACAAGCUGCGAGUCGCCACGAGCAUCGAGGCGCCGAACCCCUAGCUCGAUGGCGAUGCACAACCCGUUAACCAGAGCCUCGUACUCGGCCACGUUGUUUGACGCCAGGAAAUGGAGGCGUAGCACGUAGCGGAGGUGCUUUCCGAGGGGUGAGAUGAAGAGCAGGCCCGCACCUUCUGCUGUUUUCAUCAGCGACCCAUCGAAAAACUUGGUCCAGAGUUCCGGCUGGAACGGAGCUGUCGGAAGCUGGGUGUCGACCCAUUCAGCCACAAAGUCCACCAAGACUUGGGACUUGAUGGUCUUCCGAGGAGCGAACGAGAUUGUCUCGCCCAUGAUCUCCACCGCCCACUUUGCAAUCCUACCCGAGGCCUCUUGGCACUGGAUGAUCUCCCCCAGGGGGAAGGACGACACCACAGUCACCGGAUGAGACUCGAAGUAGUGUCGCAACUUUCGUUGCGCCACGAUUACCGCGUACAGUAGCUUCUGAAUUUGUGGGUAGCGGAUUUUGGUCUCGGAUAGUACUUCACUGAUGAAGUAAACCAGCCUCUGGACGAGCAGUGCAUGCCCUUCUUCUCGUCUCUCGACUACGAUCGCGGCGCUGACCACCUAAGUGGUUGCGGCUACGUAGAUCAAGAGGGCUUCUCCUGCAGCGGGGGGCACCAAGAUGGGCGCGCUUGUAAGGAGCGCCUUUAAGUUCCCGAGGGCUUCCUCGGCCUCGGGGGUCCAAGUGAAGCGCUCGGUCUUCCUUAAGAGGCGGUACAGGGGUAGGCCUCUUUCGCAGAGGCGCGAGAUGAAGCGGCUCAGAACCGCAAGGCAUCCCAUGACCCUCUGUACUCCUUUCAAGUCUUUGAUAGGCCCCAUGUUGGUGACGGCCGCGAUUUUCUCCGGGUUGGCCUCGAUGCCCUGCUCGGAGACGAUGAACCCCAAGAGCAUGCCUCGGGGGACUCCGAAGACACACUUCUCGGGAUUAAGUUUUAUGCCUUUCGCUCUCAGACACUUGAAUGUCGUUUCAAGGUCGGUGAGGAGGUCAGAGGCUUUCCUCGUCUUGACUACGAUGUCAUCGACGUAAGCCUGGACCGUUCGACCGAUGUGCUCUCCGAACACGUGGUUCAUGCACCUUUGGUAUGUCGCGCCUGCAUUCCUCAAACCAAAUGGCAUAGUAAUAUAGCAGUACAUGCCAAAGGGUGUGAUGAAAGAGGUCGCGAGCUGGUCGGACUCUUUCAUCCUGAUUUGGUGAUACCCUGAGUAGGCAUCGAGGAAUGACAGGGUUUCGCACCCGGCAGUGGAAUCCACGAUUUGAUCGAUGCGAGGCAGAGGGUAGGGAACCUUCGGACAUACUUUGUUUAGACCAUUGUAGUCUACACACAUCCUCCAUUUCCCACCUUUCUUUUUCACAAGCACAGGGUUGGCUAACCAUUCGGGAUGGAAUACCUCUUUGAUGAACCCUGUGGCCAUCAGCUUGUGGAUCUCCUCGCCUAUGGCUCUGCGCUUUUCUUCGUCGAAUCGGCAGAGAGGCUGCUUCACGGGUCGGGCUCCAGCUCGAAUAUCCAGCGAGUGCUCGGCGACAUCCAUCGGUAUGCCAGGCAUGUUCGAGGGACUCCACGCAAAAACCUCGGCGUUCGCGCGGAGAAAGUUGACGAGCACCGCUUCCUAUUUGGGGUCGAGCUCGGAGCCAAUCCGAACUUGCUUGGAGGCAUCAUUGCUGGGGUCGAGAGGGACGGACUUAACCGCCUCUACUGUUUCGAAGUUGUCGGCGUGGCGCUUCGCAUCUGGCACCUCCUUGGAGAGGCACCCCAGGUCGGCGAUGAGGGCCUCGGAUUCGGCGAGGGCCUCAGCGUACUCCACGCACUCCACGUCGCAUUCGUACGCGUGUCGGUACGUGGAUCCGACGGUGAUGACCCCGUUGGGGCCCGACAUCUUGAGCUUGAGGUAGGUGUAGUUGGGGACGACCAUGAACUUGGCGUAGCACGGUCUCCCCAGCACUGCGUGGUAGGUUCCUCGGAACCCGACCACCUCGAACGUGAGGGUUUCCUUUCAGAAGUUGGAGGGAGUCCCGAAGCAGACGGGCAUAUCGAGUUGUCCAAGGGGCUGGACGCGCUUCCCGGGGAUGAUCCCGUGAAAGGGCGCCGCACCGGCCCGGAUCAUGGACAGAUUGAUCUGCAAGAGCCCGAGGGUCUCGGUGUAGAUGAUGUUGAGGCUGCUGCCUCCAUCCAUGAGGACCUUGGUGAGCCUGACGUUGCCGAUGACGGGGUCGUGAAACGGAAAUGUGCCCUUGGGCCAUUUCUAAGUAUUUUGGUGAUUAAGUGUCCAACACAAGUGCCUAAGUGUUAAAUUGUGCCAAGGACUCAAGAAGUGCAAAUCAAGAUUAAAGGUAUGUUUCUAGACUUAGUACAUUGUUUUGAAGACUAAUGUAUUGUGUCUAAGUGCUAGAAAUAGGAGAAACAAAUUUGGAGAAGUUGGCUGUGUACAGCCAAAAGGCUGCUCGGUCUGGGUGCACCGGACUAUCUGGUGGUGCACCGGACAGUGUCCGGUGUGCCAGGCUGGCGUCUGUCAACUGGCUGCUCUCGGGACUUCGUUGGCGGCGUACGGCUAAAAUUCACCGGACUGUCCGGUGUGCACCGGACAGUCCGGUGAGCCAACUGUCGGCCCGGCCAACGGUCGGCCGCGUAAUCUACACGCGACGCGUGGCAGAGCCAACGGUCAGAAGGGGGCACCGAACUGUCCGGUGUGCACCGGACAGUGUCCGAUGCGCCAACGGCUCUGAAUCUCCAACGGUCGGCUUCACCAAAGAAGGAAAGAAAUCCGCACCGGACAGUGUCCGGUGGUGCACCGAACUGUCCGGUGCGCCAGGCGACAGAAGGCAAGAAUUGCCUUCCUGGAAUGCUUUCAACGGCUCCUAGCUGCCUUGGGGAUAUAAAAGGGACCCCUAGGCGCAUGGAGGAGAACACCAAGCAUUCUCUAAGCAUUCCUAAGCACCAAGACUUCAAUUCUGCGCAUUCGAUUCUUUGUGAUAGCAACUAGAGCUCCAUUUGAGUAGAGAACUCUUUGAGUUGUGUUGAGAGCUCGUGUUGUGACUUGUGUGCAUGUUGUCGCUCUGAUUUUGUGUCUUGUGUGCGUUGCUCAUCCCUCCCUUACUUCGUGCUUCUUUGUGAACAUCAAAGUGUAAGGGCGAGAGGCUCCAAGUUGUGGAGAUUCCUUGCGAGCGGGAUAAAGUAUACAAAGCAAAACACCGUGGUAUUCAAGUGGGUCUUUGGACCGCUUGAGAGGGGUUGAUUGCAACCCUCGUCCGUUGGGACGCCACAACGUGGAGUAGGCAAGUGUUGAACUUGGCCGAACCACGGGAUAAACCACUGUGUCUAUCUGUGAUUGAUCUUCUUGUGGUUAUCGUGUCUUGCAAGAACUCCUCUCUAGCCACUUGGCUUUAUUGUGCUAACUCCUAAUCAAGUUUUGUGGCAUUAAGUUUCAAGUUUUACAGGAUCACCUAUUCACCCCCCCCCCUCUAGGUGCUCUCAAUUGGUAUCGGAGCCGUUCUCUUCACGUAAGGGACUAAUCGCCCGAAGAGAUGGAUCCUAAGGGCAAGGGGAUGGUGGUCAAUGAUAAGGAGAAGCAUUCCUUCGUCAAUGAUCCAAAGGAUGACAAGCCUACUGACUCAGGCUCGGGCCACAAAAGAAAAGACGGGAGGAAGAAGAAAACAAGGCGCAUCAAGGAGAUAGUCUACUACGACAGCAACGAAUCUUCCUCUUCCCAAAAGGACGACGACAACGACUACGAGAAAAAGAAGACGGUUAAUUGAAACUUUUCCUUUGAUUAUUCUCGUAUUCCGCAAAGUUCCAAUGCUCAUUUGCUUUCCAUUCCCCUCGGAAACCCCCCACACACUUUGAUGGAGAGGACUACGGAUUUUGGAGUCACAAAAUGCGUAGCCACUUGUUCUCUCUCCAUCCAAGUAUAUGGGAGAUAGUGGAAAAUGGAAUGCACUUUGAUAGUACGGAUAGUCCCAUGUUCAUUAAUGAGCAAAUUCACAAAAAUGCACAAGCUACUACUGUUCUUCUAGCCUCAUUGUGCAGGGAUGAAUACCAUAAGGUGAGCGGCUUGGAUAACGCCAAGCAGAUUUGGGACACCCUCAAGAUCUCUCAUGAGGGGAACGACGUCACCAUGCUCACCAAGAUGGAGUUGGUGGAGGGCGAACUUGGGAGAUUCGCAAUGAUCAGGGGCGAAGAACCAACCCAAACAUACAACCGGCUCAAGACCCUCGUCAACAAAAUAAGGAGCUAUGGAAGCACGCGAUGGACGGACCACGACGUCGUCCGCCAAAUGCUAAGGUCUUUUACUGUCCUUGAUCCACAUCUUGUGAACAAUAUUCGUGAGAAUCCUAGGUACACCAAGAUGACGCCCGAGGAGAUACUUGGAAAGUUCGUAAGCGGGCAGAUGAUGAUCAAGGAGGCUAGAUACAUUGAUGAUGCGUUGAAUGGCCCAAUCCAAGAGCCUCAAACCAUUGCUCUCAAAGCAACAAGGAGCAAGGAGGCGCUACCUAGCAAGGUGGCACAAGUUGAGGCGGCCGAGCUUAAUGAUGAAGAAAUGGCCCUCAUCAUCAAACGUUUCAAGACGACGCUAAAGGGUCGUAAAGAGCAUCCCAACAAGAACAAGAUAAAAGGGAAACACUCAUGCUUCAAAUGUGGUAAGAUUGGUCAUUUUAUCGCUAAUUGCCCCGAUAAUGAUAGUGACCAGGAACAAGGGAACAAGAGGGAAAAGAAGAAGACUUACAAGAAGGCUAAGGGCGAGGCACACCUUGGCAAGGAGUGGGACUCGAAUUGUUCGUCGUCCGACUCCGACAACGAAGGACUCGCCGCCACCGCCUUCAACUAAUCGUCUCUCUUCCCCAAUGGGCGUCACACCUGCCUCAUGGCAAGGGAAAAGAAGGUAAGCACUCGUGAUACUAGUACUUACGCUUCCUCAAGUGAUGAAGAAUCUAGCGAUGAUGAAAUAGACUAUUCAUGUUUAUUCAAGGGCCUAGAUAGAACUAAGGUUGAUAAGAUUAAUGAAUUAAUUGAUGCCUUGAAUGAUAAAAAUAGGUUAUUAGAAAAGCAAGAUGAUCUUUUGUAUGAAGAACAUGAUAAGUUUGUAGAGGCACAAAAAUCCCUUGCUUUAGAAAUUAAAAGGAAUGAAAUGCUUUCUUGUGAAUUGUCUACAUGUCAUGACUCUAUUUCUAGCUUAAAGAGCAUAAAUGAUGAUUUGAGUGCUAAGUUAGAAAUAGCUAAUAAAUCAACAUCUUGUGUAGAACAUGUUGCAGUUUGCAAUAGGUGUAAAGAUUUUAAUGUUGAUGCUUGUUGUGAACACCUAGUUUCAAUUUCUAAAUUGAAUGAUGAAGUGGCUAGUCUUAAUGCCCAACUUAAGACUAGCAAGAGUGAAUUUGACAAACUCAAAUUUGCAAGGGAUGCCUACACGAUUGGUAGACACUCCUCAAUUAAGGAUGGUCUUGGCUUCAAGAGGGAAGUCAAGAACUUAACAAGUCAUAAGGCUUCCAUCUCCGCCAAGGAGAAAGGGAAGGCCCCUAUGGCUAGUAGUGCUCAAAAGAACCAUGCUUUCAUGUAUCAUGAUAGGAGACAUUCUAGGAACGUUUAUAAAAGUUAUGAUGCUUUUGAUUCUCAUGCCAUGAUUGCUUCUAGUUCUUCUAUUAUGCAUGAUAGAAAUUUGGCUAGGAAAAAUGUUGUUCAUCAUAUGCCUAGAAGAAAUAUUGUUCAUGUUCCUAGGAAAGUAAUGAAUGAACCUUCUACAAUUUAUUAUGCUUGCAAUGCUUCCUUUGCUAUUUGUAGAAAGGGUAAGAAGGUAACUGCUAGGAAAUUAGGGGCCAAAUGUAAGGGAGACAAGACUUGCAUUUGGGUCCCUAAGACUAUUAUAACUAACCUUGUAGGACCCAACAUGAGUUGGGUACCUAAGACCCAAGCCUAAAUUUGCCUUGCAGGUUUAUGCAUCCGGGGGCUCAAGCUGGAUUAUCGACAGCGGAUGCACAAACCACAUGACGGGGGAAAAGAGGAUGUUCUCUUCCUACGUCAAGAACAAGGAUCCGCAAGAUUCAAUCAUAUUCGGUGAUGGGAACCAAGGCAAGGUGAAAGGGUUAGGAAAAAUUGCUAUUUCAUCCGAGCACUCUAUUUCUAAUGUGUUCUUAGUUGAGUCGCUUGGAUAUAACUUGUUGUCUGUGAGUCAACUUUGUAAUAUGGGAUAUAACUGUUUAUUCACAAAUGUAGAUGUGUCUGUCUUUAGAAGAAGUGAUGGUUCAUUAGCUUUUAAGGGUGUACUAGACGACAAACUUUAUUUAGUUGAUUUUGCAAGAGAGGAGGCCGGUCUAGAUGCAUGCUUAAUUGCUAAGACUAGCAUGGGCUGGCUAUGGCAUCGCCGUUUAGCACAUGUAGGGAUGAAGAACCUUCACAAGCUUCUAAAGGGAGAACACGUGAUAGGUCUACCUAAUGUAACUUUCGAAAAAGAUAGACCUUGUGCAGCUUGUCAAGCAGGUAAACAGGUGGGAAGCUCUCAUCAUGCCAAAAAUGUGAUGACAACAUCAAGACCCCUGGAGUUACUUCAUAUGGACCUCUUCGGACCCGUCGCCUAUCUAAGCAUAGGAGGAAGUAAGUAUGGUCUUGUUAUAGUUGAUGAUUUUUCCCGCUUCACUUGGGUAUUCUUUUUGCAGGAUAAAUCUAAAACCCAAGGGACCCUCAAGCGCUUCCUAAGGAGAGCCCAAAACGAGUUUGAGCUCAAAGUGAAGAAAAUAAGAAGCGACAAUGGGUCCGAGUUCAAGAAUCUUCAAGUGGAGGAGUAUCUUGAGGAGGAAGGAAUCAAACAUGAGUUCUCCGCUCCCUAUACACCACAACAAAAUGGUGUGGUAGAGAGGAAGAACAGGACGCUACUAGACAUGGCGAGGACGAUGCUUGGUGAAUUCAAGACGCCCGAACGGUUUUGGACGGAAGCCGUGAGCACAACUUGCCACGCCAUAAACCGGGUCUACCUUCAUCGCCUCCUCAAGAAGACUUCAUAUGAGCUUCUAACCGGUAACAAACCCAAUGUGUCUUACUUUCGUGUAUUUGGGAGCAAAUGUUACAUUCUAGUGAAGAAAGGUAGGAAUUCUAAGUUUGCUCCCAAAGCAGUAGAAGGGUUUUUGUUAGGUUAUGACUCAAAUACAAAGGCGUAUAGGGUCUUCAACAAAUCAUCGGGUUUGGUUGAAGUCUCUAGCGACGUUGUAUUUGAUGAGACUAAUGGCUCUCCAAGAGAGCAAGUUGUUGAUCUUGAUGAUGUAGAUGAAGAAGACGUUCCAACGACCGCAAUGCGCACCAUGGCGAUUGGAGAUGUGAGGCCACUGGAACAAAAGGAGAAAGAUCAACCUUCUUCCUCAACAACGGUGCAUCCCCCAACUCAAGAAGAUGAACAGGUUCAUCAAGAGGAGGCGUGUGAUCAAGGGGGAGCACAAGAUGAUCAUUUAAUGGAGGAAGAAGCACAACCGGCACCUCCAACCCAAGUUCGAGCGACGAUUCAAAGGAAUCAUCCCGUCGACCAAAUAUUGGGUGACAUAAGCAAGGGAGUAACUACUCGUUCUAGAUUAGUUAAUUUUUGUGAGCAUUACUCAUUUGUCUCUUCUAUUGAGCCUUUCAGGGUAGAAGAGGCCUUGCUAGAUCCGGACUGGGUGUUGGCCAUGCAAGAGGAGCUCAACAACUUCAAGAGAAAUGAAGUUUGGACACUGGUGCCUCGUCCCAAGCAAAACGUUGUGGGAACCAAGUGGGUGUUCCGAAACAAACAAGACGAGCACGGGGUGGUGACAAGGAACAAGGCAUGACUUGUGGCAAAAGGUUAUGCCCAAGUCGCAGGUUUGGACUUUGAGGAGACUUUUGCUCCUAUGGCUAGGCUAGAGUCAAUUCGCAUAUUGUUAGCCUAUGCUACUCACCAUUCUUUCAGGUUGUUCCAAAUGGAUGUGAAGAGCGCUUUCCUCAACGGGCCAAUCAAGGAGGAGGUGUACGUGGAGCAACCCCCUGGCUUUGAGGAUGAACGGUACCCCGACCACGUGUGUAAGCUCUCUAAGGCGCUCUAUGGACUUAAGCAAGCCCCAAGAGCAUGGUAUGAAUGCCUUAGAGACUUUUUUAAUUGCUAAUGCUUUCAAGGUUGGGAAAGCCGAUCCAACUCUUUUUACUAAGACUUGUGAUGGUGAUCUUUUUGUGCCAAAUUUAUGUCGAUGACAUAAUAUUUGGUUCUACUAACCAAAAGUCUUGUGAAGAGUUUAGCAGGGUGAUGACUCAAAAGUUUGAGAUGUCGAUGAUGGGCGAGUUAAGCUAUUUCCUUGGGUUCCAAGUGAAGCAACUGAAGGAUGGGACCUUCAUCUCCCAAACGAAGUACACGCAAGACUUGAUCAAGCGGUUUGGGAUGAAGGACGCCAAGCCCGCAAAAACUCCAAUGGGAACCGACGGACACACCGACCUCAACAAAGGAGGUAAGUCCGUUGAUCAAAAGGCAUACCGGUCUAUGAUAGGGUCCUUACUUUAUUUAUGUGCUAGUAGACCGGAUAUUAUGCUUAGUGUAUGCAUGUGUGCUAGAUUUCAAUCCGAUCCAAGGGAGUGUCACUUAGUGGCUGUGAAGCGAAUUCUUAGAUAUUUAGUCGCUACGCCUUGCUUCGGGAUCUGGUAUCCAAAGGGGUCUACCUUUGACUUAAUUGGAUAUUCAGACUCCGACUAUGCUGGAUGUAAGGUCGAUAGGAAGAGUACAUCGGGAACGUGCCAAUUCUUAGGAAGGUCCCUGGUGUCGUGGAGCUCUAAGAAACAAACUUCUGUUGCCCUAUCCACCGCCGAGGCUGAGUAUGUUGCCGCAGGACAGUGUUGCGUGCAACUACUUUGGAUGAGGCAAACCCUCCGGGACUUUGGCUACAAUCUGAGCAAAGUCCCACUCCUAUGUGAUAAUGAGAGUGCUAUCUGCAUGGCGGAUAAUCCUUAUGAACACAGCCGCACAAAGCACAUAGACAUCCGGUAUCAAUUUUUGAGAGACCACCAGCAAAAGGGAGAUAUCGAAGUGUUUUAUGUUAGCAUCGAGAACCAGCUAGCCGAUAUCUUUACCAAGCCUCUAGAUGAGUCGACCUUUUGCAGGCUGCGUAGUGAACUAAAUGUCUUAGAUUCGCGGAACCUGGAUUGAUUUAUAGCAUACAUGUGUUUUAUGCCUUGACCAUGUUCCUUAAUGCAUUUUGUUGUUUAUUUAUGGUUCUCAAUUUGUACAAGCACUCCCCGGACCUCACAAGUCCAUUCGCAAGUGAUGCACAUAUUUAGGGGGAGAUGUGCUACAACUUGACCCCUUGAGACUAACUGUGUGCUUGAGUUUGAUUGAUUUAGUCUCAAAGGUGGAUUGAAAGGAAAUGUUGGACUUGGACCAUGAAAGACUUCCACUACACUCCGAUGAAAGAGUAACUAACUCCAAGUUCAUCUUCAUGCUCUUAUUGCCUUUUUAACUCUUAAUUGAAGAUUUUGGUGAGGCAAUGGGGUUUAAGGGCCAAAAAUGAUCCUGUUUUGGUGCUUGAUGCCAAAGGGGGAGAAAUUAAGGGCCAAAGCAAUAAAUGGAUCAGCUACCACUUGAGAAUUUUGAAAAUAGUAGUGUUAGGCCUUUUGAUUGUCAAACUUCUAAAUGUCUCUUUGUGUCAAAAGUUGAUCUCUUGAGGGGAGAAUAUUUGAUUAUGGGAAAUAGGGGGAGCUUUUGAAAUCUUUGAUCAAAUUCUCUUGGAACAACUCUCUUUAUGUCUCAACAAGUGUGUUUGACUUAGAGAUGAUAGGGAAUUGAGUUUGAUUUGCAAAAACAAAACCAAGUGGUGGCAAAGGAUGAUCCAAAUAUGCCAAAUUUGAAUCAAAACAAAUUUGAGUUUUCAUUUGCAUUGAUGUUGCACUUCCUUUAGUUGCUUUUUAUUGUGUUGGCAUAAAUUACCAAAAAGGGGGAGAUUGAAAGGGAAAUGUGCCCUUGGGCCAUUUCUAAGUAUUUUGGUGAUUAAGUGUCCAACACAAGUGCCUAAGUGUUAAAUUGUGCCAAGGACUCAAGAAGUGCAAAUCAAGAUUAAAGGUACGUUUCUAGACUUAGUACAUUGUUUUGAAGACUAAUGUAUUGUGUCUAAGUGCUAGAAACAGGAGAAACAAUUUUGGAGAAGUUGGUUGUGUACAACCAAAAGGCUGCUCGGUCUGGGUGCACCGGACUGUCUGGUGGUGCACCGGACAGUGUCUGGUGCGCCAGGCUGGCGUCUGUCAACUGGCUGCUAUCGGGACUUCGUCGGCGGCGUACGGCUAAAAUUCACCGGAUUGUCCGGUGUGCACCGGACUGUCCGGUGAGCCAACUGUCGGCCCGGCCAACGGUCGGCCGCGUAAUCCGCGAGCGACGCGUGGCAGAGCCAACGGUCAGAAGGGGGCACCGGACUGUCCGGUGCGCCAACGGCUCUGAAUCUCCAACGGUCGGCUUCGCCAAAGAAGGAAAGAAAUCCGCACCGGACAGUGUCCGGUGGUGCACCGGACUGUCCGGUGCGCUAGGCGACAGAAGGCAAGAAUUGCCUUCCUGGAAUGCUUUCAACGGCUCCUAUCUGCCUUGGUGCUAUAAAAGGGACCCCAAGGCGCAUGGAGGAGAACACCAAGCAUUCUCUAAGCAUUCCUAAGCACCAAGACUUCAAUUCUGCGCAUUCGAUUCUUUGUGAUAGCAACUAGGGCUCCAUUUGAGUAGAGAACUCUUUGAGUUGUGUUGAGAGCUCGUGUUGUGACUUGUGUGCGUGUUGUCGCUCUGAUUUUGUGUCUUGUGUGCGUUGCUCAUCCCUCCCUUACUCCGUGCUUCUUUGUGAACAUCAAAGUGUAAGGGCGAGAGGCUCCAAGUUGUGGAGAUUCCUCGCGAGCGGGAUAAAGUAUACAAAGCAAAACACCAUGGUAUUCAAGUGGGUCUUUGGAUCGCUUGAGAGGGGUUGAUUGCAACCCUCGUCCGUUGGGACGCCACAACGUGGAGUAGGCAAGUGUUGAACUUGGCCGAACCACGGGAUAAACCACCGUGUCUAUCUGUGAUUGAUCUUCUUGUGGUUAUCGUGUCUUGCAAGAACUCCUCUCUAGCCACUUGGCUUUAUUAUGCUAACUCCUAAUCAAGUUUUGUGGCAUUAAGUUUCAAGUUUUACAGGAUCACCUAUUCACCCCCCUCUAGGUGCUCUUAGGUCGACAACGAGCGGGUACUUUCCUGGGCUCGGCACGCGGUCGGGGUGGUCGCCUUGGUCGAAGGUGAUGGGCUUGUCGGACCAGUCUAGGUAGACUGGCGCCGCCUCCUUCACCGAGUAGACCUCCCGGCGCUCCUGCUUGCAGUGCCGAGCCGAGGCGUUCGCCACUUGCCCACCAUAAAUCAUGAAACAGUCGUGGACCUCGGGGAACUCCUCUGCCUUGUUGCCCUCCUUGUUGUCAUUGUCGUGGCCUCUGCCACCUUCUGCUGGGGCCCGGCCUUGUGGAAGUAGCGCCGAAGCAUGACACAUUCCUUAAGGGUGUGCUUGACGGGACCCUGAUGAUAGGGGCACGACUCCUUGAGCAUCUUGUUGAACAGGUUGGCCCCUCUGAAAGGCUUCCGAGGGUUCCUGUGCUCGGUGGCGGCGACAAGAUCUGCGUCGGCGGCAUCGCGUUUCGCUUGUGACUUCUUCUUGGCCUUAUUCUUUGUGCCACGCUGGGCGGACGCCUCGGGGACGUCUUCCUGCUGGCGUCCCUGAGGCUGCUUGUCCUUCCGGAAGAUGGCCUCGACCGCCUCCUGACCAGAGGCGAACUUGGUGGCGAUGUCCAUCAACUCGCUCGCCCUGGUGGGAGUCUUGCGACCCAGCUUGCUCACCAGGUCGCGACAAGUGGUGCCGGCGAGGAACGCGCCGAUGACAUCUGAGUCGGUGAUGUUGGGCAGCUCGGUGCGUUGCUUCGAAAAUCGCCGGAUGUAGUCCCGCAGGGAUUCUCCUGGCUGCUGGCAGCAGCUUCGGAGAUCCCAGGAGUUCCCAGGGUGCACAUAUGUGCCCUAGAAGUUUCCAGCGAAGGCUUUGACUAGGUCGUCCCAGCUGGAGAUCUGCGCAAGAGGCAGAUGCUCCAACUAGGCUCGGGCGGCGUCGGAGAGGAACAGGGGGAGGUUACAGAUGAUGAGGUUGUCAUCGUCCAUUCCACCCAGCUGGCAGGCCAGCCGGUGUCCGCAAGCCACAGUUCCGGCCUUGUUUCCCCCGAGUACUUGGUGAUGGUAGUCGGGGCUCAGAACCGGGUCGGGAACGGCGCCCGUUGUAUGGCCCGGCUAAAGGCUUGCAGACCAGGCGGUUCAGGCGAGGGGCUCCGAUCCUCCCCGUUGUCGUAGCGUCCCCCACGCCUGGGGUGGUAGCCUCGGCGCACCUUCUCGUUGAGGUAGGCUCGACGGUCGCGGCGGUGGUGCUCGUUGUCGAGGCGACCCGGGGCUGCAGGUGUCGCGUUCCGCGUGCUCCCGGGGUAGACCGAGGCUUCCCGCAUGAAUCGGGAAGUCGCGACGCGAUGCUCCGGGGGGACCCUUGCCUUCGGGAGGCAGAGCUCUCGGCCCGUCGGACCGCGGCAUCCUCCAGGUGAUUCUUGAGUUCUCCCUGGAUAUGCCGCCCCUUGGUGGUGGAUGGCUCCGGCAUCGCUCGGAGUAGUAUUGCCGCUGCAGCCAGGUUCUGGCCGACCCCACUGGAAACCGGGGGCAGCCUUGCCCUGGCAUCGUCAGCGAUGCGGUGCUGGACGUCCUGGGCCAGAUGACGCGCUUCUCUGGCUAGUGCUCGGCCUACCCACUCCUGCCCGAUGUUCUGCCGGAGCUGCACAAGUUGUCCUGCUUCCUCGUCGAGCUUGGCCUGCAUCUCGCGGAUUUGCUUGAGCUGUGUGUCCUGACCCCCCGCAGGGACUGGGACCACAGCUAGCUCCCAUAGGAUGUCAACGCGAGGCGCAGGCCUAGGGGGAUCAUCGUCCUCUGGCAUACCAAGGUGGUUGCCUUCGUCGUGACCCCCCAGAUCGAUGUGGAAACAUUCGCGACUUGGGCCACAACCUUCAUCGUCAAGGCUGUGGCCAUCAUCGGAGCAAUCGGAGCGGCAGUAGUCACAUGCGGUCAUGAAGUCUCGCAUGGCGCUAGGAUUACCGAGCCCGGAGAAAUCCCAACCAGAGUCAGGCUCGUCGUCUUCCUCGGAGCCCGGGGGCCCGUAGGUCGAGACGGCCGUCAGUCGAUCCUAGGUUGACCACAUAUGGUACCCCGGAAGGUUAGGAUAUGCCUUUAUGAAAGCGUCCACCGAAGCGGGGUCGCUUGGCGGAUCGAAGCUGAAUCUAAAAGGCACAAGGUGGAAAACGGACGGUACCUCUUGAUCGACGGACGAUGACGAAGUCGCGUAGGGGACGGACUGCACCGUUAUCUCAGGUACGAGGCUAACGCCCAACAAGUCCUUCGCGAGCGUGCUGGUGUCAUCCGUCCGCUUGGGGUUGGCGUGAUGCGGGGAAACGGCGCCCGUCUUCGUCUCAGACGCGAGGUCAAUGCCUGACGUGUCCACCACUGGGGCGCCGCCGUCGUUGACUCGCUCAAAAGCCGACGAGGUGCCGCCUCCUGCUUGGCCAUGGUCGCCCCGCCUCCUCCUCCUGCGGCGAAGGAGGCGACGAGACAAACCCGGAUGUUGCUCUUCCGCCAUGGAGGGAAGACGUCGCCGAGUCCGCCGCCGCCGGGCGGGCUGACGGCCGUCGUUGUCGUUGUCGUGCGGCGGAGGAAGGAGUACCAUGUCGUAGCUGUCGUCGAGGGACAUGAACUCGAGACUCCCGAAACGGAGCAGCAUCCCGGGUUGAAGAGGUUGCUGGAAACUACCCAUCUGGAACUUGACGGGAAGUUGUUCGUCAACACGCAGCAGGCCCCUACCUGGCGCGCCAACUGUCGACGUUUCGACCCCGGGGGGUCCCUGGACCGACGAGUAAAUUGUCGCUGCGUGCCCCAGCCCAGAUGGGUUGGCGCGAGACGGAACACAAAGAGGGGAAAACUGCGGCUUCGUGUUGUCCUGCGCCAGAGUGGAUGCGCUUGCAGUAGGGGGUUACAAGCGUUCGCGAGGGAGAGAGAGAGAGUCCCGCGCGACCAUCCUCUCGUACGAGGGCCCUGGACCUUCCUUUUAUAGAUGUAAGGAGAGGGUCCAGGUGUACAAUGGGGGGGGUGUAGCAAUAUGCUAACGUGUCCGACAGAGAGGAGCCAGAGCCCUAUGUACAUGCCAACGUGGCUGUCGGAGAGGUGCUAGAGCCCUGUGCAUGCGAUGUCAUGGCCGUCGGAGGAGCGCUUGAGCCUUGUAGAAGCACAGCUGUCGGGGCUGUCGGGACCUUGCUGACGUCUCCUUGCUUCCGUAAGGGGCUGAGAGCCGCCGUCGUCAUGGGCGGACGUGGGGUGCCAUCAUUACUUGUUCACCGAGGCGAGCCAGAUGGGACGCCGAUCUUGUUCCCCGUAGCCUGAGCUAGCUAGGGGUAGGGUAAUGAUGAUCCCCCCUGUGGCGUGCUCGGUCCGAGCCCAAGGUCGGGCGAGGCGGAAACUCCUCCGAGGCCGAGGUCGAGGCUGAGCCCUGGGGUCGGGCGAGGCGGAGUCCAUCUUCUGAGGCCGAGGCGGAGGCCGAGCCCUGGGUCGGGCGAGGCGGAGACUUCUCCCGAGGCCGAGGCCCAAGGUCGGGCGAGGCGGAGCUUCCUGUGGCACCUGGGGCUGGACUUGACUGCUGUCAGCCUCACCCUAGCGGGUGGCACAGCAGUCGGAACAGGGCAGGCGGCGCUGUUUUCCUGUCCGGUCAGUCAGUGGAGGGGCAAAGUGACUGCGGUCACUUCGGCCCUAUCGACUGAGGAACGUGCGUCAGGAUAAGCUGUCAGGCGAUCCUUGUAUUGAAUGCUUCUGUGAUACGGUCGGUUGGCGAGGCGAUCUGGCCAAGGUUGCUUCACUGUGAAGCCUGCCCGAGCUGGGCCUCGGACGAGUCGAGGGUGUGCCCGUUGCUUGAGGAGGCCCUUGGGCGAGGCGUGAAUCCGCCUGGGUCUACUGUUCCUGCCCGAGGCUGGGCUCGAGUGAGGCGAGAUCGCGUCCCUUGCGUGGACGGAGCCUCGACUGAAUUGCGUCCAUCAGGCUCUACAGCUUGUGCUGAUGGUGAUUACCAGCCGAGUUUAAGAGUAUUGGGGGUACCCCUAAUUAUGGUCCCCGACAAGAAUACAUGUUGUACAGGUGCACAAAGGUUCAGCAUAAAUCAAUAAAUGUUCAAGUUAGGGAUCCAAUUCAAAGGAGUAAAAGAAACCAAGUGUGUUGUGGCUUGGCGCACCGGACAGUGUCCGGUGCACCAGGACCGUACUGAGUCCAACCAGCCACUCUCAGGUUUUUCGCAUGCGCACUCCGCUAUAAUUCACCGGACUGUCUGGUGUGCCAGCGGAGCAACGACUAACUCGCGCAACGGUCGACUGCAAAAGGGGCUGACAGAGGAACAGUACGCGUAGAGUCAGAGCCGUAGAGUCAGAGGCGCACCGGACAGUGAAUAGGACCUGUCCGGUGCCACAAGAGGAUAAGGCCUCCAACGGUCGACCGGGCUCCAGACCCUAACGGUUGGGUGACGUGGCGGCGCACCGGAUAGUGAACAGGACCUGUUCGGUGGUGCAUCGGACUGUCCGGUGCGCCCAUCACCAGUAGCCUUCCCCAACGGCUUCUUGGUGGUUGAGGGCUAUAAAUACCCCCAACCACCACAACUCCAAGCAUCCAAGUCUUCUGAAGUUUUCAUUUUCAAUACAAGAGCUAGUGCAUUCACUCCUAGACACAAAUCAAAAGACCAAAGCCUCUCCAAGUCUCAAAUUCAUUCCAACCACCUAGUGACUUCAGAGAGUGUGUGUUCGUGUUCAUUUGCGCUCUUGUUGCUUGGAUCGCUUUCUUCCUUCCUCAUUCUUGUUCCCAAGUGACUUGUAAUCAAAGCAAGAGACACCUAAGUGUGUGGUGGUCCUUGCGGGGUCUAAGUGACUCGUGUGAUUAAGGAGAAAGCUCACUCGGUCUAAGUAACCGUUUGAGAGAGGGAAAGGGUUGAAAGAGACCCGGUCUUUGUGACCACCUCAACGGAGAGUAGGUUCUUUAGAACCGAACCUCGGUAAAACAAAUCAACGUGUUCAUUCGCUUGAUUUCUAUUUGAUUUGUUUUCCCUCUCUCUCUUGGACUUGAUUUAUGUUCUAACGCUAACCCCGACUUGUAGUGUGUAUUUAAAGUUGUAAAUUUUAUAUUAUGCCUAUUCACCCCCCCUCUAGGCGACUUUCAAUUGGUAUCGGAGCCCGAUGCUUCAUUAGAGUCUAACAACUCGAAGUUAUGUCAAGAGAUCACACCAAAAGGGAGAUCGUGACCGGCGACAAGCCCGCAAGCUCGGGGAGAACCCUUUCAAGGGAGUCCGGCCACAAGCAUAAGGAGGAAUCCUCUUCCUCCAACAAGACACAUCGGAAGGGUGACAAGAAGAAGAAGAUGAAGAAGGUGGUCUACUACGAGACCGACUCUUCGUCACCCUCCAUGUCAUCAAGCUCCAACUCGUCCGUCGCUUCUAAGCGCUAUGAGCGCAAGAAGUAUAGUAAGAUGCCCUUACGCUAUCCUCGUAUUUCUAAAUGCGCUCCAUUACUUUCCGUUCCCUUAGGCAAACCACCAUAUUUUGAUGGUGAUGAUUAUUGUAUGUGGAGUGAUAAAAUGAGGCAUCACCUAACCUCACUCCACGAAAGCAUAUGGGAUAUUGUUGAGUUUGGAGUGCAGGUACCACAGGUGGGGACAAAGACUAUGACUCGGACGAGGUUGCCCAAAUUAGGCACUUUAACUCCCAAGUCACGUCUAUACUCCUCGCCUCCUUGUGUCGAGCGGAGUAUAACAAGGUGCAAGGGUUAAAGAGCGCCAAAGAAAUUUGGGACGUGCUCAAGACCGCGCACGAAGGGGACGAGGUGACCAAGAUCACCAAGCGGGAGACGAUCGAGGGGAGCUCGGUCGGUUCAUCCUCAACAAAGGAGAAGAGCCUCAAGCCAUGUACAACCGGCUCAAGACAAUGGUCAACCAAGUGCGCAACCUCGGGAGAACCAAAUGGGAUGACCAUGAAAUGGUCAAGGUUAUUCUAAGAUCCCUUGUUUUUUGUGACAGAACCUCCCAAGUCAUUAGGCCCAGCUACAGUUGUCCUUGUCCAAUAGACCUCAGACAACCCUACAGGUGCCCCUAAUCACUUGACAAGUUCGGUAUCUGUAUUCUUUACCUUGCCCGAGAGCAUUUCACCCGUCACACAGACAUUACAACACAUCGUAGGUACGAGAAUGUGGAAGCAGUUACAAUAACUUACUUUAUUUUAAAGUAAGAAAGAGUACUAUUAUUACAGACCAGAGUGAAUAUAGGAGUGCAGGAGUAAUAUUAUUACAUAACUUGGGAGGCAAAAACCCCUCCCGAUAAACAGUAAAAACUUUUUCUUAAAGGAGGACACUUCCUCCCGAGGCUUCAGUCUUGAUUUUCUUUUUUGGGCACCACCUUGGAACAAAAGCAACAAAAAUUUGCUGCUUCCUCACCUAAAACAACAUGGGACAAAGCCCUGAGUACGAAGUGUACUUUCGCAAGUCUAACCUGUCAAAAUAAAAGACUCUCAAGGAUAUGUUGGCCUUUGGGAAUCAAGGUAUGGCUUAUCAAUAAUCAAAGACUCUGUUUGUAGAAAUGCUUACUAAUAGUGGAUCCUUAAAAGUCCAGUUUUAUUAGCAAGUGAAGUCAUUACCUGAGUUCUAGAGUUCUUUCUACCCUAGUUCAAGCACUUGACCUAUACUAGCCAAUUUCUUUUCAACCCUUCUGUUGGGGGCCUUCGGCUUCCGAAGGUCCUCAAAAACGUGAUUUGACAAUGUUUUUUCUAAGUAUGCAAGUAGGUAUCUUCGGAAUCAGGUUGCGGAUAUACAGAAGCAUGGUCAAGACGAAGCUUGACUGGAAUGGAAGACGAUCAUGACGAAGGAUGAAACGAUCACGAAGCUAUGUGCAGAGGAGCUUCGGCAUGACAACAGAAAGGGGAAACCGACUUAAAGAUGAAAAGCCAAAUCAGCCCUUGAAGAAUUAUUAUAGAGUUAAUGAUAAAAGUAAAGGGCAUUAAUGUAAUUUUAUACGGGCUGCGUCCCGUGCCUAUAAAUAGAUGAACGGUAUUCCUGUACUGUUCACGCUGACUUGGCAUUGGCAUCACGCUUGUACCCUCACUUUCCUUCAAGCCGAAGGUACAUUUAUAAUUUGUCAUCAUUUAUAUAAGAAAAAUGAAUAGAAAUAAAUCAAUAACAAUGUUUAAAAUAGUCAUGUUAUUUUUCCGUAUUUUAUACAUAAAUCUUUUCUUGUCUUUUAUUACGAUUAUGAAGGUAUAACCUUCAUAACCUUCGUCCGAAAUUCAUUAUGCCCUAGGGGGAAAUAAUGUUUCGAAGGACGAAGGGCUUUAAUAUUUAAUAUUGUAUGUUGCCUUGUUCUUGAUUCAUAGCAUUUGAGAACAAGUCCCCAACAUUGGCGCCCACCUCCGGUGAACUCACUUCCAUUUCUUGAGCUUUGAACACCUUCGGCAAGCAUCACCUUCGUCAUGCCGCCGAAAAAAGCUUCAGCGACAGGGGCUGCUACCCUACAGCCAUUGGACCCCAAUCAGGACGUCCUUUCUCUUAGAGAGGCCCGAAGCCAGAAGAGGAAGGCUGCUAGUCCAACGCCUCCGGAAGAUGACUUGGAUCAGGAGAUCCAAAACCUGGAGAUCCUUCAGCAACAGGUGCAACGAAAGAAGGAGAAGAUGGCUCGUUUAGCUGACCUUCAGAGACAGAUAGAUGAAGCUUCCGAAGAGGUUCGUCAUCUUGUUCAAGAUGACCAGAACCGAAGACCUCCGCGCAGAGAGCUUCAUCAGGAGGGCUUCUACAAUGAAGACGACUGGUAUGAAGAUUUCCAUCAUGGAAAUUUUGCUUUCGAUGAUGCUUCUCCAUUAUCAACAGAAUUGCAGGCUACACCAUGGCCUCAGUCUUACAAGCCACCCCAGCUCCCCAUGUACGACGGUCAUACAGACCCGAAGCAAUUCUUGAUGAGCUAUGAAGCAACCAUAUCUUCGUAUGGUGGCAAUACUGCAGUCAUGGCAAAGUCUUUUGUCAUGGCCGUCAAGAGUGUCGCUCAGACCUGGUACUCCUCUCUCCGGCCAGGGACAAUCACCUCUUGGCAGAAGCUGAAGGAUAUGUUGAUAACCAGCUUCUAAGGGUUUCAGACGAAGCCAGUUACUGCUCAAGCUUUAUUCCAGUGUACCGAGGACCACAAAGAAUACCUCCAGGCGUAUGUCCAAAGGUUUCUGCGUCUGAGGGCACAAGCGCCAACAGUGCCCAAUGAAAUUGUCAUUGAGGCCAUGAUUAAGGGGCGUCGGCUGGGACCUUCAGCGCAAUACUUUGCCAGGAAGCCACCACAAACUUUGGAGAAGCUGCUUCAGAAGAUGGACGAGUACAUCAGGGCCAACAAUGACUUCCGCCAAAGAAGGGAGGAGGCAUUCAGGUUCUCUGAAAUGACCAGGGGCUUCGGAGGAAGAUUUCAUACAAGGCAUGUCAGGUCAAUUCAUAACUCCACUCAAAGUGAUGAUAGAGGGAGCCAACAACAAAGGCCACAAUACUCUUCGCAAGCUUCGGGACAACAGCAAAGCUCUGUUCGGCCGCCAGCGCCAAGGGGCAGAGGCGCCAGGGGCUUCGGGGGAAGAUUUGGGGAUCAGCCAAGAAGAAUUUACUGUCUAUUCUGUGAUGAAGACAAGGGCCAUACCACCAGGAUGUGCCACAUCACCAUCCAGAAGCAAAAGGAGAUAGCAGAAGCUACAGCACAACAGAGUCAGCCGAAGCAGGUCAUGCACACUGCUUCGUACCAUUCGCCUUACAUCCCAGAAUAUGUAGGCAAUCACUCUGCAGCUUCUGUUGCUUCGGCAAGUCAACCCCAAGCAUCUUGGCAACAGCCUCCACCGCCACCACCAACGCAGCGAGGACAGCAGCCAGAAGGGAGUCAGCACACUCACCUUCAGAGGGACUUCAGAGAGGAGUCUGAAGCUCGCACAGUCAAUAGCACUGUGCCAGAGUCGAAGCACAUUUACUGAUAAAUAUCCUACCUCGACAGCAGUUUAUUCGCAUUUUUACAUUCAGUAUUACUUUUUUGUUAAUAAGGAACAAUUAUGGGAAGUCUAAGUGUCUUUUAUCGUUUUUCAAUUUCCUGUAACAGUUUCGUCUUUUACCAUAAUAAAAAUAUGUCUUCUCCAUAGGCUUGAGUUGCCGAAGCAUACGAAUUUAUGGUGCCAUGAAGGACCUUUGUAUUAUCAAAAAUUUAUUCUAAGGGACACGGUGCAAUUUAUUCGAAGCAGUAAAAAGUCGUUCCUAAGGGAACACAGUGUAAGUUUUUUGAGCCUACAGCGAAAAGUCAGCGCUGAUUCCGCCGAAAGUAAAAGGCGAAGAAGCUCCUAAGGGAGGCUUACAGCGAAAAGUCAACGCUGAUUCCGCUGAAAGUAAAAGGCGAAGAAGCUCCUAAGGGAGGCUUACAGCGAAAAGUCUACGCUGAUUCCGCUGAAAGUAAAAGGCGAAGAAGCUCCUAAGGGAGGCUUACAGCGAAAAGUCAGCGCUGAUAAAAAACAAUGUGUGCUUUAUCGCAGGGAUGUGUGUAUUUUCGGCACAAAUAUCAUUUUGCAUAACAUAACAUCAUCACAUCAUUUCGCAUAACAUAAGCAUCAUACAACAUAUUGCAUGUGGAACAAGAAGGGGAUACAGUAUCGAUCUUCGGAGAGUGUUUUGAAAAAGAGAAAAUCGUGCUAAGGCAUAAGAUAAAUUGAGAAGAAGUGUAGCUUCAUUAGAGAGGCAACAUAAAACUUUUUUAUAGCUUCGGAGAACAUUUCACGAAGCUUGAUUAUUCUUCACCAGAGAAGUAUGGAAAUUCUUGUGAUAUAUAAAAGAUUUUCUUCACGAAGCAUGAAAAGAAGGGAAGGUGUUUUUUUUUCGCCGAAGGCUCAAAAAAUGGUAUGUAUGCAAAAUUUCAUGCAUCGUAAAGAAUUGAACUAUAAACAGAUUAUAUAUUACAUUCAAAGUUACAAUGUAUUACACAUGUUAUAUUUCAAACAUUUUUACAAUAGCAUCUAAUCCUCCUUAAGAACUAUUUCUGCGGCUUCGUUCAAUAGCUGAUCGACAACCUUGUCCAUGAUGGCUUCGGCCAUUUUUCUAAUUUCAUCGUCCCCCUUCGGGUGGGGGCCCGGAGAUGCCUCAGCAGGUUCUGAGGGAGGAGAAGAUACGGCUAUAUUACUAUUACAAACCGCGAACAAAGUCUGGAAUCAAAAAUUACAACAAAAUAAAAACCACUAGUUAAUACCUAUUUGCCCUUCGGGCUCUGCGCUUUUCUCAGCAGCCUCUGCUAUUUUCCUAGCAUCAUGGAUGCCUUUUUCGCUUUUUUGAAUGAUCUCUUGAGCCAUUUCUCGGCCACCAUUGUCCCAAAUAUCGGUGAAAAUUUUUCCUCCAACCAGGCUUGAUUCGGCCGAGGGGUCCUUUAUGUCUUCGGAGGACAAGGCGGUUUCGGUUUGCGCUAAAGAUUUCACAUGAUUACAGCCUUUUCUUUCCAACACCGUAGCAAUCCCCCUGGCGCCUGAAAAAGCGCAUAUGUCUCCGUGGCUAUUCAAGAUUUCUUCGAAGGCCUCAGCGUCAUGACUGAUCCAUUCAAUAGGGCCUUCUGGAUUUCCCCUUGUGAAAUUCUCUUCGCUAGAGAACGCGCCGACGCUGGCGAAGCUGGAUUUUAUCAUCUUAACACACUCUAUGGAUUUAUCAUAGUAUCUUUUCUUGGAAGCACGAAGCUCUUCAACAUUUACUUCCAAAUGAUUUGCCCAUUGAUCACUAAGUUCUCGUUUUGUUUCUUCUAGUAUGCGUUCUUCUUUAGCCCUGGCCAGUUGUUUCUGAAGAUCCUGAAUUUCGCGUUUUUGGGCUUCAGCUUGAGCCUUAGAGGUAGCUUUGUCUUCCUUUAUUUUAUCCACUAGUGUAAGCAGAAUUUUAUCUUUUUCCAAAGCUUCGUUCCUCAGCUUGAUAACCUCUGCUCGUAGGUUGUUGAAAGCGAUAUUGUAACUUUCAUCUUCAGCAUUCUUUUGCGCUCUCAAAGCGUUGCUUAGUAUUAAACCCUAUAUGAAAAAAGAAUUACUAUAAGAAUAAAAGAAUGAUUCAAAAAUUGUAAAUUUCCAAAUAUACAGUUUUCACACCUUCAGACUAUUAUAUGCAAGGCUAUCUGCAAGAUCGUCCUUCGUCAUAGCGUAGAGUCCAGCUUCAAGCUUCGGAAACCCCAUGCUUCUAGCCAUCUCCCGGCAGACAGAUAAUUCUUUAUUGUCAGGGAGGCAGUAUAGGAAGUCAUCUUCGUCUGUCCCAUUGAACACUAGUGCCCCCUUCGGAUAUUUCAAUUCUCUGGCAUAGUGAUUAGCUUCAUAAAUCUCUUCUUCAGAUAAUUUCUUCCCCGAAGCAUGUCGCACAAUGUAAUCGCGUAUGGUGGAAGGUGCUUCGGGGGCGGCAGUGUCAAUUUCUCCAACCAAAAUUGGCUCUGACAUUUUUUCGGCUGCCUUUGUAACCUUUGUUUCUUCGGUUUCCAAAGGUUGUUCCUUGGUGGGCUCUGAAGGACCAGCUUCAGCUUCAAGUUGUUGCUUCGAAGCUUCAGCAGCAAAGGCUUCAGUAGACACUUCAGAAAUUUCAACAGUUUUCUUUGGAGUUAUGCUUGAAGAUUUAAUUGUCUCCAAAACAUCUAACACAUUAACCAUCCUUUUUCUUUUCGGGGUCACUGUUGGACCCUUCUGGCUUUUUCCUGUCUCAAUCUUUGCUGAAGGACUUAAAACUUCUGAUGUUUUUGCUUCUUCAGUCCUUGGUCCUUCCAUCUUUUCUGUUGCUGGCACUUCGGCCAACUCUUUGAUUUCUGGCGGCAGAGCUGAUUCUUUAGCUUCGGUGGCCAAAGAGGUCUCACCGGCGAACUCAGGCACUGUGGCCAGUUCAAUAUAAUGUGGCCGGUGUGUGAGAACCUUUACCCUUUUCCUCUUCGGCAUCGGCUCACUAGGAGCAGCUGAAGUAGUCUCCUUCGUAGAGGAAGUAUUCUUUCUUUUUUGACCCCGCACUGGAUAAUGGUAGUCGGGGUAGACGAACCCAAUUGCGUCAAAUACUCGGUUCAGCCUCUUCUUCUUUCGGCCUCCGAAAGCUGCUGACAAUGCAGUAUCUUCAGCCUUUGAAUAUACCCCAAGCAGUUCAUCACUUACAGUUUCAAUGCUUUUUAGCCAGUCAUCAUCUGGCUCAACGAAUUUAUCUCCGAACUUAAAUGUGUAUUUCAGUCUGACUAGUCCACCUUCGUCAGUCUCUUUAAUGGUCUCCUACGGUAUUUCCCAUUUUUCCACAAGUGGCCAUACUCUGAAGGCAAUGUGUUCUUGGACCAAAUCCCUCGUCCCGAUAAAAGAGCAAACAACGUCGAAGGCUCUCUGGCACUCUUCGGCUGCUUCAUUCAUUUCCACCUUUGGCCUCCGCAGGCCGAAGCGUUGCCAGAUGGGACGCAUAAUGAUUUUCUUUAUAUCUUCUCGUGAUUUCAAGUCAUUCUUCACGUAAAACCAUUCCGUCAUCCAGUCGCCAGGCCACCUCUUUCGAAAAGUCGGCACGGGGCAGCUUGACCCAGACCGGGAGCCGAAGCUGUAGCAGCCAAAAUUGUUGUGAUAUUGUUCCUUACCCCAGGGUUUUGUUUCGUACAACAAUUCAUGUAUGUUGCAGAAGCUUUUCGCAUCAGGUUCCAAGCCUUGGCUUCUCGCGGCCCACAUGAAGAUAUUCAUCCUUAUGAUUGCUUCGGGGGUAAGUUGGUGAAGGUAGAUUUCAAAUAUCUUCAGCACCUCUACAACAAAGCUGCUUAAGGGAAAUCGUAGUCCAGCUUUCAAGAAGCUUCGGAAUACCACGACUUCAUUUUUCUCAGGAGUUGGACAAGUCUUCUCUCCUUCAUCAGCCCUCACAACGGACAAGUCCCAGAAAUAUAUGCCCAUCAUGUUGACAAGAUGAUUUUCUUUAAUACUUGAUUUGCCAAAAACCGCAUGGCUUGGUCGCCAAGGUCGAUCUUCGGAGUCUUCACCACCACUAUCCACAUCAUAGCUGUCACUGUCACCAGUAUCUUCAGAUAAACCCUCCAAAAUUUCUUUAGUGAUCUUCUCUGUAUUAGUCUUCGACAUUGAUUGAAGAAAACCCAGAUGCAUCUCCUCAGAAAGACUUAGCUUCGAAUCACCAACAACUUUCUUAUCUUCGGACAUCCUUGCAAACGCUGAGAAAGUGAUCUCUAAACCGAAGCUUUAAAAACUAAAAGGCCAAGCAAGUGUUGUUGCGUGUAGGCUAAAAGUUGGGUGAGUAAAAGUAGUUGGCAAGAGAGCGUACCAAAUAAACUCGGGAUGAGCUCUUAUUUAUACGCCCAGAGCGUUGAAACUGGAGGGCCCCGCUUGUCAAAGACUGUUGCUAUUCUAGCAAAGAGAAGGUGUUUUUUCGGACCUUCGGCUUAAGGCCUUCGUCCAUAUCGCAAUAUGAAUUUAUCAUUACAGCAAAUUAAUAUUGCGAGGGGCUACUGUUGGGGGCCUUCGGCUUCCGAAGGUCCUCAAAAACGUGAUUUGAUAAUGUUUUCUAAAUAUGCAAGCAGGUAUCUUCGGAAUCAGGUUGUGGAUAUACAGAAGCAUGGUCAAGACGAAGCUUGACUGGAAUGGAAGACGAUCAUGACAAAGGAUGAAACGAUCACGAAGCUAUGUGCAGAGGAGCUUCGGCAUGACAGCAGAAAGGGGAAACCGACUUAAAGAUGAAAAGCCAAAUCAGCCCUCGAAGAAUUAUUAUAGAGUUAAUGAUAAAAGUAAAGGGCAUUAAUGUAAUUUUAUACGGGCUGCGUCCCGUGCCUAUAAAUAGAUGAACAGUAUUCCUGUACUGUUCACGCUGACUUGGCAUUGGCAUCACGCUUGUACCCUCACUUUCCUUCAAGCCGAAGGUACAUUUAUAAUUUGUCAUCAUUUAUAUAAGAAAAAUGAAUAGAAAUAAAUCAAUAACAAUGUUUAAAAUAGUCAUGUUAUUUUUCCGUAUUUUAUACAUAAAUCUUUUCUUGUCUUUUAUUACGAUUAUGAAGGUAUAACCUUCAUAACCUUCGUCCGAAAUUCAUUAUGCCCAAGGGGGAAAUAAUGUUUCGAAGGACGAAGGGCUUUAAUAUUUAAUAUUGUAUGUUGCCUUGUUCUUGAUUCAUAGCAUUUGAGAACAAGUCCCCAACACCUUCUUAUUCACUGGAAUGCUACGUGUAGGGCAGUGACCAAGUCUUCAUGUCCGAGAAGUAACGGCGAUCCGAAUCGAUUAAUACUCAGCUGAGGAUCUCCAAUCACACGACAUAUGUAGCACUUAACCCUUGCAUAUGUCAACUCGCCACCGAGGUUCUUAAGACCAGAUCAGGUUCACGCCAACCGAGAGCACAAAUACACCACCGUCCAGCCUCUUGCCACGGAGGGUACACGAUACUCUCGCCAUCUCUCCACUCCCAUUGCGUGUUAUCUUAUUCUGGUAUUAGUCUGCCUGAGGCAAAGCUUACCCAUGAUGAGGCAUGUGACCAGUUAGAAGGUCCUCGAUCAUCAAGCCUACAUCGAGAAGGUCCUUAAUCGACUCAGACGGAGACACUACACCGAGACUCUCUUCUCGUGCAAGUCACCCGCCCGGUCUCAGCUUUAUCAUUUCAAACCCAAAGUUUGGUACCUGACAGAGGUACAUCUUUUCCGAUGUUGAACCCAUCAUGGCCAUGAUGGAUCCACCAUCAAGUUUUAUUUUUGAAAACAUCCCACCCACUUUGAAGCAUCAUCUUUUGUUAAAACAAAACAUUUUGAUUUUCUAGAGUAAGGCUAAGCAUAAGAAAAACCUUUUUUGUAAAACAGGGGAUUAAGGAGAAGUAAUCAAAUCCAAGGAAGAAAAUGCAGCAACUAGUUUAGCACACAACUCCUAUCACCUAAUGCAUCAAGUAAGUGAGAAAGAUUUCAAAAUAGCAAGGAGGUGGCAAAUGCACCGGGGCUUGCCUUGUGUGAUAGGUGAGUCAGGCUCUGCUCCACAGAUAUCAAAGUAAAAGCAGUUUCCUGCCUGAGGUUCUUCAGGUGGGGGUGGUGUAGUCCUCGCUUCUUCAACUUCUGUAUCUUCUUCGUUUUCUAUAUAUAGCCAUAUAUAAUCAUGAAUGCUCAUGUAAUGCUCAUGAAAGUGUAAAGAUAACAAAAGUAUAUUAUCUUAAGUCUUGAAUAUAAUUUUCCUUCAUGGAUCUCCAAGAAACUAGGGUUUUUAGAGUCUAUAGUGAAGUUCAUAGGGCACGAGACUAGGAUUUUGGGUUCUAGGUACCAAACAUGGUCCAAAUCAAACCAAAUUUUACCCAAGGCUUCUAAAUAAUAUUUAAAUCCUAUCUAAAAAGUUUGGUGAAUUUUGGGAUUAUUAAUUACUCUCUAAAAUUCCAGAAGUAUGGGUUUUGGCUAUAUUAAAUACUCUAUAAUUUCCUAUUUGGACUAAAAAUCAUGAAACUAUUUUUAUUAAAUACUAUGAAAAAUUAGGAACUUAGCAAAAUUGGUCUUGCAUUUUAGCAUUUUUCUGCAAUUUUCUAGAAAUUCUCUAAGUCUAGUAGAAAAAGAAAAAGAGAAAGUAUGAAUAGUAACGGGCUCAAUCUAAGCCCGAGCCAGCCCAAGACAGGCGAAACGCGCCCGCGCGCGCCCGCGGUAUCCAUUUUGCACAAGGGUCUCUGGUCAUUUGAAAUACUAGUAAAGAAUCCUCUCUAUUGUUUCUCUGUCUCACUGACAUCUGCGCAAAGCCCCUCCCCUUUCUGUUUCUUUACAACCCGAGAUCCUCGACCGUGGGCGGCGGAGCAGCGACUCCGGCGAGCCCAUACCGGCCGGAAAAUGCACCGGCUAGACUUCUCCUUUGUUUGUCACUUAAUUCAACCCUCUCCAACACUAAUCCCUCACCUAAUUUCAUUGAUCCGGACCGGAGCACGCCUGCUCACGACGACGACGGAAACCGAGGAUAAUCCAAGGUGUUCUAGGCAAUUUAAGGCGGUCUAGUUCAAUCGAAUGGGUCGGUGAGAUUCAGGGGACAUUAAGAAAGCUAGAACACCAAUUAAGAAAGCUUGAACUGACCUGCAGAAGGGUGGCCACGGCGAGGUGUUCACGCGACGGUAUUUUGGCUGAUUUGGGGGAAAUCUAAAAUUGGCGAGCUCUGGUGAGCAAUUGGAGGCACGGCUUGGUGGCUUGGGUGCUUGACUAACUUAAGGACCCGAAGGCACGCUCAAUUUAUAGGCUCUAGGGUGGUGGCGCAUGAAUUUGGAAUGGCGCGGUGGCGGCCAGAGGAGAGUUGCACUGGUGCGAGCGAUUAGUGGCUUUCACUGUGGCGGACUCACCGGCGAUCACCGGACAUGCAUGACGCGACUCACUGCAACGUGUUUAAAGUGCCGAGGCAUGUGGCACAAGACCGCGAGGUGUCUAAUUCCGGCGAGGGUUGAUUCAAAGCGAUCGGGGCAGAGCGGACAUGGCGGCCAGACGAAACAGUGUCUUAAGCUCAUCCGUGGUGGAGAUCUUUUCACCGCGAGACGUUAUCCGGGCUUCGGUGAGCACAAAUCACUUCGCCGGCGUGAAUCCAGGCGCAGGGAUCGCUGGCGGCAAGGUGCACUGCACCUGCGAUUUCGUUCAGUCUACUGUACCAUUGGAAUCUCUGUUUGAAGCGCUUGACAGAGCAUGUUUGGGGGCAAUUUGCUCCAUAUUUUAUGUGGUGACCCAACCAUCACCCUGUAUCAAAGUUGAAGCUUAAUUAACCAGCUUUAAUUUUGUUACAUUGUGCACCCACAAAAAGUCAUAGGAUCUUACUCAAAAUCGAGCCCUAAGCUCAUCCAAUCUCACUGUCACUGAAAGUUCAGACUUAAGGUAACCUGACAGCCCGACUUUGGAUCAAAUUUUCUCAAAAUUUUUCAUGCACCAAGGCUUAAUCCCUAUAGCAAAGUUGUUCUCCUAUAGUAAUUCUACAACUUUACUAUAUUGACUUUGAGAAAAAAACUUCAAGAAUCCUGAGAUGCAGGACUCCAAAGUCAGCCUUGUUCAACUGUUUUCAGACUUGACCAUGGGAACACUAGGGUGGCCUUUUUGCAAAUAAGCCCAAAACUCAUGGUUUAUUUUGCAAAUCUUCAAACAUGUGAACUAUAUGACUUAAGAUACCCUAACUCCAUGGUUUUUGCACUUAGGUCCAAAGUGUGCAUAUUUUUAUAGAUAACCCCCUAGAGUUUCAGUCCAGGGUUUUCCAGGGGUCUAUUUAGGGUUUCUGGCAUCACUAGAGUUUGGAUGCCACUUAAGUCCAUCCAUGGUGACAUUUUAUGAUCAUUACUAAUAGGUUUGAAGUUUUCUCUUAUUUAGACUUUGUUUACUCUUUUAAGCCUAGUUUAGGGUUAAGUUCUGUACCCUAGGUUUCACUCAUGACAUGUCCCAUCAAUACAACUUUGUUUGAAAUUUUUGCCUAGUGAAUGCACUCUAGGUGUGACAAACACAUGAUAUGCCAAUGCUUAUGAUGUUAUGCUCAAGUUUUAGUGAUAGUAACACCAGGGGUGUUACAUUUUUCGCAAUCCUACUCAAGUGCAAUUAAUUCGUGGGGAUCCUAGAUACAAAUUAAUGUCUCCCGAGGAAGUGAUAGGGAAGUUUGUGAGCUUUGAGCUAAUGAUCAAAGACUCCAAACACAUCGUCAACUUGGAGCAAGGUGCCACCUCCACACCCGAGGUGCAACCCGUCGCAUUUAAAGCGACGGAAGAGAAGAAAGAGGAGUCUACAUUAAGUAGGCUUCCCAUCUGUAGGAAACGGGUGACGCCUAAGAGGGGGGUGAAUUAGGACUUCUAAAACUUUCGCUAAACUAGGCCACAAAUAAAUCUUUAGAGCAAAACCUAUGCAAAUAAUCAAACUAGAAUGUGCAAACUAGGUUUUGUCUAAGUGUUGCUAUCUCUACCGCAAUGGCUAAGUUUCAAUCUACACUAUAUAAGCAUGAAUACAAGAUUGAAACUUAAAUGCUUAAUAUAAAUGCGGAAACUUAAAGAGGAAAGUAGAGAAGCAAACUCUCGUGGAUGACGCCGGUAUUUUUAUUGAGGUAUCCGGAACCGCGCAAGGUCCCGACUAAUCCUCAUUGGUGCCCCUACGCAAAGGGAAGCCCAUGCGAGGGCCAAGCACCUCGGUCGAGUAACUCCGUAGAGAGCCGUGGGCCUUCUCCACGCGCAAGUGGUGCUCCGCUUCCGGCUCCUCUCGGACGCUCCCCGCCGUCUCCACUAUCGAGCUUCCGGCCGAAACGCCGCGGGCCUCGUUCCCUCCGGUACACGGUGGCGGCCGUGACACAAACACGGUUGUCACGGUCUCGCAAGACUCUCGCCCCACUCGGUACAAUUACAACGGCCCACGCAAGAGCCGAGAGGUUGUGUGUUUGUCUAAACUCACUCAACUAACUAGGAUUCGCCUAGAGCAAGCGCUAAUGCGGUCUAACUAACCUAAGCACUUCGCAAAGCACCUACGCUAAUCACUGAGUAAUUCUAUUAAGCACUUGGGUGUUUGAGCACUUGGAAAUGUCUACAAUAUGCCUUGGUAUGUUGCUUGGGCUCCCACACCUCCAAAUGGCCGGUUGGGUGAAGUAUAUAUAUGCCCCAACUCAAAUAUAGCCGUUGGAAAGCAGUUCUGCAGCUUUCUGCGGCGCACCGGACAGGUGCACCGGACUGUCCGGUGGUGCACCGGACAUCCCACGUGUACUAGCCGUUAAAAGUAGCCGUUUGAGCUUCCGAAGAUGGCGCACCGGACAUGGCGCACCGGACGGUCCGGUGUGCACCGGACAGCCCAUGUCCGCUUGUCGUAUUUUGGCCGUAACUUUUAGCUCCGAACUCCGAUUUCGAUGAUCUUGUACUUUUUGGAAAGCUUAUGAAAUUCUCUACAUCCCAGAGUUGAAGCCAUACCAGUUUGAGCAAAUUUGGCACACCGGACAGUCCGGUGUGCACCGGACAUCCCAUAUGCUGCUCUUGUUUUUUCAGCAAUUCCGAGUUCGUAUUGUGGGCAUAACUUUUAGCUCCGAACUCCGAUUUUGAUGAUCUUGGACUUUUUGGAAAGCUUAUAAAAUUCUCUACAUCCCAGAGUUGAAGCCAUGUCAGUUUGAGUAGAUUUGAUUUUGUGAAACACUUCCAAUUCAAUCAGCCCUUCCUCUCAACUUUGUCAAGUUCACUUUUGUUUUGCAUCUUUGUAUCUCACUUCUACUUCUUGAUGUGUUGGACUCUUAGCAUAUAUAAAUUGUCUUCAAUAUGACUUUGUAAUGUCUUAUAUUGGUAUUAUAAUGUCUUCUUUGAGGUGUUGCAUCCUCAGAGCCUCAGUCCAAUCCACUUUGCAUCCUGUGGACUACAACACACAAACACUUGGAAAAUACAUUAGUUCACAGGUUGUGUUAAUCAUCAAACACCAAAAUCUAUUAAGCCAAAUGGCCUGGGGUCCAUUUUCCUUACACCAUCGACGCCUCCAAGCUUGACAACGAGGAAAUGACGCUCAUCAUCAAGAGCUUCUGCCAAAUCCUCAAGCAUAGGAGGGGUAAGGACUACAAACUCCGCUCCAAAAGGGUGUGCUACAAAUGUGGUAAGCCCGGUCAUUUUAUUGCUAAAUGUCCAAUGUCUAGUGAAAGUGACAGGGACGACGACAAGAAGGGGAAGAAGAAGAAGAAGAGGUACUACAAGAAGAAGGGCAGUGAUGCCCACGUGUAUCGGGAAUGUGACUACGAUGAGAGCUCCACCGACUCCUCCUCCGAUGAGGACGCCGCCAACAUCACUAUCAACAAGGGCCUCCUCUUCCCCAACGUCGGCCACAAAUGUUUCGUGGCCAAGGACGGCAAGAAAAAGAAGGUACAAUCUAGAGCCACCCCAAAUAUACAACAUAUAGUGAUGAGGGUAGCUCUAGUGAAGACGAAGAUGAUUUACUUACUUUUUUUUGCCAACCUUAGCAUGGAACAAAAAGAAAAAUUAAAUGAAUUAAUAGAAGCCAUUCAUGAGAAGGAUGAACUCUUGGAUAGCCAAGAGGACUUCCUUAUUAAAGAAAACAAGAAACAUGUUAAAUUGAAAAAUGCUUAUGCUUAGGAAGUAGAAAAAUGUGAAAACUUAACUAAGAAGCUUAGGAUUUGUCAUGAUUCUAUUUCUAUCCUUAGGAAUGAAAAUGCUACCUUAAUUUCUAAGGUUAAAGAUUUAAAUGUUUGCAAUGAUUCUAUUUCCAAUCUUAGAAACGAGAAUGCCAUUUUAAAUGCUAAGAUUGAUGAAUUGAAUGUUUGCAAUAAUACAAUUUCUAGUCUUAGAAUUGAGAAUAAUAAUUUAAAUGCUAAGAUUGAGAAAUUGAGUGUUUGCAAACCAUCUACAUCUACUGUUUGUACUAGAUGUAGAGAUGUUAAUGUAGAAGCUAUUGAUGGUCAUCUUGCUAUGAUUAAACAACAAAAUGAUAACAUAGCUAAAUUAAGUGUUAAAAUUAAUGAGCGUGAACUUGAAAAUGAAAAUUUUAAAUUUGCUAGAAGCAUGCUCUAUAAUGGGAGACGCUCUGGCAUUAAGGAUGACAUUGGUUUCCAAUAGGGAAGCAAUGUCAAGCUAAAUGCCCCUAAAAGAUUGUCUAAUUUUGUUAAGGGCAAAGCUCCCAUGGUUCAGGAUAAUGAGGGUUACAUUUUAUAUCCUACUAAUUAUCCUGAGCACAAAAUUAGGAGAAUUCAUGCUAGAAAACCUCACAGUGUUUCUCAUCAUGCAUUUAUGUAUAAAAAUGAGGCUUCUAGCUCUAGGCAAUCAACUCAUGUUAAAUUGCCUAAAAAGAAAACUCAUGCUGCAUCAAAUGAACAUAACAUUUCAUUUAAAACUUUUGAUGCUUCAUAUGUGCUUACUAACAAAUCAGGCAAAGUAGUUGCCAAAUAUGUUGGGGGCAAACAAAAGAGCUCCAAACUUGUGUUUGGGUACCCAAGGUGCUUGUUUCUAACGUCAAAGGACCCAAGACUGUUUGGGUACCUAAGAACAAGGCCUAAAAUUGUUUUGUAGGUUUAUGCAUCCGGUGGUUCAAGUUGGAUAAUCGAUAGCGGGUACACAAACCAUAUGAUAGGGGAGAAGAGAAUGUUCUCCUCCUACGAGAAAAACGAAGAUCCCCAACGAGCUAUCACAUUUGGGGAUGAAAAUCAAGGUUUGGUCAAAGGACUUGGUAAAAUUGCUAUAUCACCUGAUCACUCUAUUUCCAAUGUUUUUAUUAUAGAUUCUUUAGAUUACAACUUGCUUUAUGUUUCUCAAUUAUGUAAAAUGGGCUACAACUGUCUUUUUACUGAUAUAGGUGUCACUGUCUUUAGAAGAAGCGAUGAUUCAAUAGCAUUUAAGGGAGUGUUAGAGGGUCAGCUAUAUUUAGUUGAUUUUAAUGAGAACACAGCUAAAUUCAAACUUGUUUAAUUGCUAAGACUAAUAUGGGUUGGCUCUGGCAUCGCCGACUAGCCCAUGUUGGGAUGAAGAAUCUUCACAAGCUUCUAAAGGGAGAACACAUUUUGGGACUAACAAAUGUUCAUUUUGAGAAAGACAGGGUUUGUAGCGCAUUUCAAGUAAGAAAGCAAGUUGGUGCUCACCAUCCCCACAAGAACAUCAUGACAACCGACAGGCCGCUCGAGCUACUCCACAUGGAUUUAUUCGGCCCGUUAGCCUACAUAAGCAUCGGCGGGAGUAAGUACUGUCUAGUUAUUGUGGAUGACUAUUCUCGCUUCACUUGGGUAUUCUUUUUGUAGGAAAAAUCACAAACCCAAGAGACCCUAAAGGGAUACUUAAGACGAGCUCAAAACGAGUUCGGAUUAAGGAUCAAAAAGAUAAGAAGCGAUAAUGGGACAGAGUUCAAGAAUUCACAAAUUGAAGGCUUUCUUGAGGAUAAGGGCAUCAAGCAUGAAUUCUCUUCUCCCUACACACCUCAACAAAAUGGUGUAGUGGAGAGGAAGAAUAGAACUCUACUGGACAUGGCAAGAACCAUGCUUGAAGAGUACAAGACACCGGACCGGUUUUGGGCUGAGGCGAUUAACAUCGCCUGCUACUCCAUCAACCGACUAUACCUUCACCGAAUCCUCAAGAAGACAUCAUACGAACUCCUCACCGGUAAAUAGUCCAAUGUUUCAUAUUUUAGAGUCUUUGGUAGCAAAUGUUUAUUCUUAUUAAAAGAGGAAGAAAAUAUAAAUUUGCUCCUAAGGCUGUAGAAGGUUUUUUACUUCGUUAUGACUCAAACACAAGGGCAUAUAGAGUCUUCAACAAAUCCAAUGGAUCAGUCGAGGUUUCUUGUAACAUUGUGUUUGAUGAGACUAAUGGCUCCCAAGUGGAGCAAGUUGAUCUUGAUGAGCUAGAUGAUAAAGAGGCUCUGUGUGUCGCGCUAAGGAACAUGUCCAUUGGGGAUGUGUGUCCUAAGGAAACCGAAGAGCCCACACAAGCAUAAGAACAACCGUCAUCUUCCAUGCAAGCAUCUCUACCAACUCAAGAUGAGGAACAAGCUCAAGAUGAUGAAGAUCAGGAGGAUGAGCCACCUCAAGAGGAGGACAAUGAUCAAGGGGGAGAUGAAGUUAAUGAAGACAAGGAAGAUGAUCAAGAGAUACAGGGUCAAAGACCGCCACACCCAAGAAUCCACCAAGCAAUACAACGAGAUCACCCCGUCAACUCCAUCCUUGGUGAUAUCCAUAAGGGGGUAACCACUAGAUCUCGAGUUGCUCAUUUCUAUGAACAUUACUCUUUUGUAUCCUCUAUUGAGCCAUACAGGGUGGAGGAUGCACUAAGAGAUCCGGACUGGGUGCUGGCAAUGCAAGAGGAGCUCAACAACUUCACGAGGAAUGAGGUAUGGCAUUUAGUUCCACGUCCUAAUCAAAAUGUUGUAGGUACCAAAUGGGUAUUCCGCAACAACCAAGAUGAGCAUGGUGUGGUAACAAGGAACAAAGCCCGACUUGUGGCCAAGGGUUAUUCACAAGUCGAAGGUUUGGAUUUUGAUGAAACUUAUGCACCCGUAGCUAGGCUUGAGUCAAUUUGUAUAUUACUUGCAUAUGCUACUUACCAUGGCUUUAGGUUUUAUCAAAUGGACGUGAAAAGUGCCUUCCUCAAUGGACCAAUCAAGGAAGAGGUCUAUGUUGAGCAACCUCCCGGCUUUGAAGAUAGUGAGUAUCCUAACUAUGUUUAUAAACUCUCAAAGGCGCUUUAUGGGCUCAAGCAAGCCCCAAGAUCAUGGUAUGAAUGCCUGCGAGAUUUUCUUAUCACUAAUGGCUUCAAAGUCGGUAAAGCCGAUCCUACUCUCUUUACUAAAACUGUUGCAAAAGAUUUGUUCGUAUGCCAAAUUUAUGUUGAUGAUAUUAUAUUUGGGUCUACUAACAAAUCAACUUGUGAAGAGUUUAGUAGGAUCAUGAUACAGAAAUUCGAGAUGUCGAUUAUGGGGGAGUUGAAGUAUUUCCUAGGAUUUUAGAUCAAGCAACUCCAAGAUGGCACCUUCAUCAGUCAAACAAAGUACAUUCAAGACAUACUUAAGAAGUUUGGGAUGAAGGAUGGCAAACCCAUCAAGACACCCAUGGGAACCAAUGGGCAUCUCGACCUCGAUAGGGUAGGUAAAUCCGUAGAUCAAAAGGUAUACCGGUCGAUGAUAGGAUCUUUACUCUACUUAUGUGCAUCUCGACCGGAUAUUAUGCUUUCCGUAUGCAUGUGUGCAAGAUUCCAGGCUGAUCCUAAGGAAGUUCACCUUAGGGCCGUGAAGAGAAUCAUGAGAUACUUACUUUACACUCCUAAGUUUGGGCUUUGGUUCCCCAAGGGAUCCACUUUUGAUUUAAUAGGAUAUUCCGAUGACGAUUGGGCAGGGUGUAAAAUUGAUAGGAAGAGCACAUCAGGGGCUUGUCAGUUUCUGGGAAGAUCCCUGGUGUCAUGGGCUUCAAAGAAACAAAACUCCGUAACUCUUUCUACCGCCGAAGCCGAAUACAUUAUCGCAGGCCAUUGUUGUGCGCAAUUAUUUUGGAUGAGGCAAACCCUCAGGAACUAUGGCUACAAAUUGAACAAAGUCUCUCUCUUAUGUGACAAUGAGAGUGCUAUCCGCAUGGCGGAUAAUCUCGUUGAACACAGCCGCACUAAGCACAUAUACAUUCGGUAUCACUUUUUGAGAGAUCACCAACAAAGGGGGGAUAUCGAAAUAGCUUAUGUAAACACCAAGAAUCAAUUAGCCGAUAUUUUUACCAAGCCACUAGAUGAGAAAAUCUUUAGCAAACUUAGGAAUGAGUUAAAUAUACUUGAUUCUCGGAACUUUGAUUGAAACAGUGUACACAUAGCUUAUUAAUAUACCUUUGAUCAUAUCUCUUUCAUUUGGUACAUAUACAUAUUUCUUAUGUACCAAGGCUAUGACUAAUGUGUUUUCAAGUAUAUUUCCAUACUAAGUCGUAAAUUGAAAGGGAAAUGGAGUAUGUGACGAAGACAAGGCUUCCACUCCACUCUAACGGUAUAAUUUAUCCUUCGUCGCUACUUCGCUCACUCCAAAUUGGUAUAAUAUUUCACUCUUAUUUACUUGUACCUAUGGGAGAGAAAAUAUAAGGGCUCUCAACGUCUCCGUUUUUUGCGAUUAAUGCCAAAGGGGAGAAAGUAUUAAGCCCAAAGCAAAAGGACCGCACCACCAAUUUCAAAAUUUUCAAAAUAAAGCUUUAAUUGAUAUUUUUCAUUGGUAUCUAAGAGGAGAAAUUCAUUCCGGGGGAGUUUUAUUUAGUCAAAGGAAAAGCAUUUGAUACAGGGGGAGAAAUUUCAAAUCAUGAAAAUGCUUCUUGCAAUCUUAUUCAUAUACCUUUGACUAUUUGCAAAAGACUUUGAAAAGAUUUUCCAAAAAAAUUGCAAAAACAAAACAAGUGAUGUAAAUGUGGUCCAAACUAUUAAAGGAAAGAAAAGCAAUCCAUUCAUAUCUAGUGAGAUAAUCAAUUAGUUAAAUUCCAAGUAACCUAUGCACUUACCUUAUGCAAACUAGUUCAUUUCUGCACUUUAUAUAUUUGCUUUGGUUUGUGUUGGCAUCAAUCACCAAAAAGGGGGAGAUUGAAAGGGAAAUAGGGUUAACCGUUUCCCACAAUUAAUUUUGGUGGUUGAAUGCCCAACUAGUUUGCUCUAGAAUACAUGUUCUACAGGUGCACAAAGGUUCAACACAAACCAAUAAAUGUUCAAGUUAGGGAUUCAAUUCAAAGGAGCAAAAUAAACCAAGUGUGUUGUGGCCUGGCGCACAGGACUGUCCGGUGUGCCACCGGACAGUGUCCGGUGCACUAGGACCGUACUGAGUCCAACCAACCACUCUCGGGUUUUUCGUAGGCGCACUCCGCUAUAAUUCACCGGACUGUCCGGUGUGCCACCGGAGCAAUGGCUAACUCGCGUAACGGUCGAUUGCAAAAGGGGCUGACAGAGGAACAGUGCGCGCAGAGUCAGAGCCGCAGAGUCAGAGGUGCACUGGACAGUGAACAUGACUUGUCCGGUGUGGCACCGGACUGUCCGGUGCCGCAAGAGGACAAGACCUCCAACGGUUGACCAGGCUCCAGACCCUAACGGUUGGGUGACGUGGCGGCGCACCGGAGUGUCUGGUGCAUCCAUCGCCAGCAGCCUUCCCCAACAGCUUCUUGGUGGUUGAGGGCAAUAAAUACCCCCAACCACCACAACCCCAAGCAUCCAAGUCUUUUGAAGUUUUCAUUCAAUACAAGAGCUAGUGCAUUCAGUCAUAGACACAAAUCAAAAGAUCAAAGCCUCUCUAAGUCUCAAAUUCAUUCCAACCACCUAGUGACUUGAGAGAGAGUGUGUUCGUGUUCAUUUGCGCUCUUGUUGCUUGGAUCGCUUUCUUCCUUCCUCAUUCUUGUUCCCAAGUGACUUGUAAUCAAAGCAAGAGACACCUAAGUAUGUGGUGGUCCUUGCAGGGUCUAAGUGACCCAUGUGAUUAAGGAGAAAGCUCACUCGGUCUAAGUGACCGUUUGAGAGAGGGAAAGGGUUGAAAGAGACCCAGUCUUUGUGACCACCUCAAUAGGGAGUAGGUUUUUUAGAACCGAACCUCGGUAAAACAAAUCACCAUGUUCAUUCGCUUGAUUUCCAUUUGAUUUGUUUUCCCUCUCUCUCUCGGACUUGAUUUAAGUUCUAACGUUAACCCCGACUUGUAGUGUGUAUUUAAAGUUGUAAAUUUCAGAUUACGCCUAUUCACCCCCCUCUAUGCGACUUUCAACUCCAGUCGGUACAAACAAUGCCAUAGAGGCUGUUUGGACCCCGAUGGGAGCUAGAGCCUAAGCCCACCACCGCCGGGGCCUUGGGUAUUAAGCCAUCGUAUCCUUCAAGCACCAGUGCCACAAGAUACAGGGCACCCAUCAAUAUCGUGAAAUAUUCGAGAGAAUCGAACCCCAGUUUAUGGCUGGGGAUUAUUGGCUAGCAUGCCAUGCAAGAGGAACGAAUCAUGAUGACUUCAUAAUCCGCAAUCUCCCCCUGUACCUAGCAGACUCAGCGUGGGCAUGGUUGGAAAACUUGAGGCCCGGCUGCAUUCAAAACUGGACCGACAUCGAAGAGAUUUUUAUGGGGAACUUUCAAGCACGUACGUUCGCCCCUGCAGAGCAAACGACGCGCGAAGGAGGGGAAGGAGGAGAAGGGCUUGGUGGCUACGACUUUGACAUGGAUGGCACGCUCGUGGUGGCAGAGCAUGGCGAGUGGGCGUUGGUUGCCGAGUUCGGUGGAGCUCCUAAGCCGGAUGGAUGACGCGAACGAUGCAAAGCGGUUUUAAAGACACACAGAAGGCUUCAACAUGGGGGAGGAGUGGAGGACGCACUAAAGUGCUGCAUUAAAGGAGUAGAUAUAUGACACGAUGUGAAACAUAGGAAGUUAUUUAUUAUAUUCACUUCAUCUUAAAAUAAUUAUCGUUCUUAAUUUUGAAAGAGUCAAUUAUUCUAAUUUGAGCCAAAUAUAUAAAAAUUAGUACAAUGACUACGCAUUGCGACGACGCACAAUCAUAUUUCAUACCCAUCAAAAACAAAUGUAAUAUCAAAUAUUAAAUAGAGAAGAAUAAAUAUCACACUUUGUCUUAGCCAAAAGAUAGAGAGAUACGAGUCCGAAAAUAGUCCAACCCCUUUUUUAUAGCUAGCUUGGUGGUUUGUCCUCUUUCAGCCGAUGUGGUACUAUGUGUAAGUGUUACGUUACACGUGGCUUUCUAUUAUGUUGGACGGUUUACUAUCGUGUUGUUCUUGGAUGGUUUCCCACGACCCAUGUGGGUAAUAGUACACUAAUAGAGGCUUAGUUGUUUUCAUGUCCUAUGUGAGGGAGAGGAGAAUAGACUUAUGUGCUUAUAAUGACCGUCAGAGACUAUCUUCAACAAAUUAUUCAUACUUAUAUUUUUAUUCAAACUAUACUUUAAAAACAUCGGUGUAAAAUGGUGUUUUUAGUGACCAUAUGAGUAAUGUACAAUAGUUUGAAUAUGUGUAUGAUUAUGCUUAAAAAUGUUUUAUUUAUCGUAUAGAUAUUAAUUGUUAUAACAUAUAAUUAGAUAAAUCUUUAAAUCUUUUUAUAAUAUAUUUAAAGAUAUACAUUAUUGGCAUUAUUAAAAUAUUAAAAUCUGAAAAAAAGUUUAACCGUAGCGAGACGCACAUGCACCCAAGACAAGCACCGAAGAUGGCUUGACGCCCGAAUCCAGACCCUCGUCUGUUAUGGCGGCGGCGGAGGCGGCGCCACCGCCGAUACUCGAGCUGGACCCGUCGCACGAUCGAGCCGUCAGCGUUGUCGAGGACAUCGUGCGUCUAGAGCGGAGGAUCUUUCCGAAGCACGAAUCGCUGGCGCGGUCCCUGCACGACGAGCUAAAGCGGCGGAACUCCGGGCUGAUCUACAAGACGUCCAGCGCCGACGAGGGGGAGGUCAUCGGGUAUGCCAUGUACACCUGCAACACAUCCCUCUGCGCCACCAUCACCAAGCUCGCCGGUGAGACACACGUCGCGAUCCCCCUCUCUCUCCCUGGGUUAUGUUAAGGUUAUGCGGCGGAAUGACCGGAUCCGUGCCCCCGAAACUGCAAACUUUUGGUUUCAGUGAAGGAGAACUGCAGGCGGCAGGGCCACGGCGAGGCGCUGCUGGCGGGCGCAGUGGAGCGGUGCCGGCGGCGGAAGGUCCAGCGGCUCUCCCUCCACGUCGACCCCACGAGGACGGCUGCCGUGGCGCUGUACCGCAAGGCCGGGUUCCAGGUCGACACCACCGUCGAGGGCUACUACGCGCCUCACAGGGACGCCUACCGGAUGUUCUUGGAUCUGUAGUAGAACCGUCGAGGACGAGAAAACCAGCCCAUGUGUUCCGGCAGCUGCUGCCGGCUUGUAGCUGGUCUGGUCUGGUGAUACAAUACCUCGUGAGUAGGAUACAGCCAACAGCCGAGCAGGGUGGAUGAUUCGAAGCUGUAAGAACGAUCUGCUAGAAAGUUUUCAUACCACCAAGGUAAUUCCCGCUGGAUUCUGAAAAUAAUGUUUCCGUAUUAUAUGAGCAUAAGGUUUCAGUAACUGCAACUGUAGUUAGGAUAUCACUUUGGCUGUAUGGUAGUAAUUCAGUUCAUAGAUGCUGCCACAUCAGUUCCUCCUCCAUUGUCAAGGUAGCUCGGCAAGAAUUUGGUGGACAAUUUUGACCUUAUGGUAACUAAGAGAUGUUUACUGAUAGUAGCUGGCUAACGCCACUGACACAGAGAAAAUCGAAAGCCCAAUCUGAUUCAGCAUCGAUUCAAGUACCCCUUAGGCAAUGCUGAUUCACAGCAGGAGGGAGCAAACCAAUCCCGCAAGUGUGCCUGGCCCAUCGGAAGGCCGAUGCGCUGGAGUCUCGGAGAACACCCAGCGGGCAGUGCCUAUGCAAGGCCGGCGGCGGCGACGGCGGGUCAGCUCACAGGAAGAUUGCUCGGGACGGACGGAGAGGGAGGCUUUGCGUCAAGGAAGAAGUCGUUGGUGGUACUCAUUACCCAGUGGUCAUGUUCAAACUCUUAUCCACCUUUUUUUUUUGAAAGGGGUCUUAUCCACCUCAUUUAGGCUUUGUUCGGUUAGCUCUCAAUCCAUGUGGAUUGAGCGAGAUUGGAUGGAUUUGAAUCUCAAAUAAGUCAAACUUCUUCUCAAUUUUUUCCAAUCUCAUCCAAUCCAUGUGUUUUAGAAAUAACCGAACAAGCCCUUACAGGGUAGAAUAGAAUACGGGAGUGGAUUAUCCAUGGGUGAAUCUUCAGCUCAAUUCACGUAGGUCUAGUAGAUAACGCAAAGUUCGUGAAAAAGCACAUCGACAGUGGUUACAAGAGUCCUGAGUCCAGCAAAUAUUUCAGUUCUAACGUGGGACUCGUUAUUGUUCUCACUACGCUAAUCAGAACAACGCAUCGACCUCCAUACCGAAUCAUCUCUACAACAUAUUUACAUUUAGGACUUAUUUGAAUACUCUCGUAUUCACCUUGAUCCAUAUGUAUUGAGGUGAGAUGAGGUGUAAAUUAGUUUAAGUUACACUUCAAUUCAUCCUACUACAUUAGUGAAUACAAGAGUAUUCAAACAAGUUUCGUUAACAGGAGUUUUUAAAUACAAGAGUUGAACUCAGUUGUUUGAACUCAGCUGACUAAAAGGCAGGGAGUGCAAAACGCAUGGAAUACAAAAAAAAAAAACAGAACCCGGUCUUUCAGGUGAGAGCCGAAUAUUCUGACCAGCUAGACUACAACGGAUUGUGUUAGAACUCAUUAAUUUUUGUCUUUAGAUUGUAUCCAAGCUGUCUAUUCGUGGAAUCGUGUGAUGGUGUAAGAGCAUCUCCAACAACGUGACCUAUAAAAAUGCCCUAUAAUUUGAAAAUAAGUAUAUUUUAUAGAAUUUAGGGCACCAACAAAACACCUCGCUCCAACAGUAAAGCCCCAAAUCUAGAUUAUAGGGCAGCCCACUACGGUGUAGUAUAUUUGAGUCACUUGAGAGGGUGCUCUAUAGUUUUUUGACAAAAAUUUAUGAAAUAGGGCACUGUUGGAGUAGUUUUUCCAGUGUAGAGCCCCAUAUUUCAAUUUGAGGCACUAGUUUGAGAUAUUGUUGGAGAUGCUCUAAGUAUGCCUACAAGGGAGGGUAAUAUGGACUUACUUGAGUGACCAGCGGCUAUAUAUAUAUAUAUAUAUAUAUAUAUAUAUAUAUAUAUAUAUAUAUAUAUAUAUAUAUAUAUAUAUAUAUAUAUAUAUAUUUAUCGAAUAUGCAAGAGAGCUACAUAUAUUAUUAAUAAGAGAAAAGAGCGGAGGCUCCAAAAACAUACAAGAGAAAGACGUACUCACGCAGAAACAAAAAACUUGUAGUGAUAGUUUUCUUCCGUUAGGUUAAUCAUUAUCCAAUGUGUAUGCAUGGAUAAGAUUGGAGAGGGUGAGAUACAACAUCUAAACAGAUUGAUGAUAUGGACAGCUAGCGUGGACAACGAGACAAGUACGAGUAUGUCCAUACCCUCAGUGGCAGAUAGUCCAAAAUUUAUCAAGACUCCAUCUCAUCACUUCUUAGACGCUCAAUCAAAAAUAAACAGGAGCCGGCGCAGAGGACAAAACGGACCCUACCCCCCUUGCCAGCACGACGACUCGGGCAGUUUGCCUACCGGAUCCUUGUUUAUUUAUCUUAAAUUGCUUAGAUGCUUUAUGUGUUAAUAAUCCAGUUCUAAUUUUGACUCGCACAAUUUCUCCAGCAAGAGUCAAGUAGUUCAGCUUGCUGGACAUUUUUGGAGAAUUCUGAUACUUUUAUACCUUAUUACUAGUAGAUCCAGACUAAUUAAGUAUAGAGAGCAUUCUAACAUUGCAGCAGAAACCUUCCAAUGCCCAGAACUUUGCGUUGCUUCGCUAAUGGAAACAUGAGAAAGACACAAACGGCCCUGCCUCCAUUUGGGGCAAGCACAGUCCCCUAUUAACUGAGCCAAGUCAGAUAUGUACAGAGUGGCUGCAUAUGAUUAAAGAUGCAUGCAGGCACUAAACAAGUUUCUAAAGCACCACCGGAAGGCUUUCGGUUCCAAAUCAGUUCAGGCACUUCCAAAAGCUUGAGCAAAGCAUGAAAAUGGAGGACAUGGGGGCAUAAGAUUAACUGGAGCUGGGCACUGGCUGAAGGUCGUCGGGAAGGUCGCGUCGGAAGUCAUUUGAUGUGGGAAUCAUACACGCUGAAGAUGACGUCUGGGACAAUCAGAGGCAGCUUGCUUAUGUACAUGAACAGCCGUCUGAGGUUCUCGCUCGACACCGUCUCCAUGUCGACCAC